AAGGAGUUUUUGAGGUGGUGGCUGACAGAGCUCCAGAGUCUGUAGCAGAUGAAAGACCUACUGAGCGAACACUAGUAGGCUUGCAAUCACAACUUGAACAAGUCUGGAGAUGUCUUAUAGAAGAAUCAGCGGGAAUCAUUGGCCUAUAUGGUAUGGGCGGUGUUGGUAAAACUACACUAUUGAUCCAUAUCAACAAUAAAUUUCUCGAGAGUCGAACCAACUUUGAUUUUGUGAUUUGGGUAGUAGUUUCAAAAGACCCGCGACUCGAAAAAAUUCAAGAAGAUAUUGGGAAAAGGAUAGGUUUGGUUGAUGAUUCAUGGAAGAGUAAAAGUGUAGAGGAGAAAGCUCUCGACAUCUUCCGGAGUUUAAGAGAGAAGAGAAUUGUAUUGUUGUUAGAUGAUAUAUGGGAGCGGCUUGAUUUAACAAAAGUGGGCGUUCCACUUCCCGGACCAAAAAAUACUACCUCAAAAGUCGUAUUCACAACCCGUUUCUUCGAUGUUUGUGGUAGCAUGGAAGCUCACAGGACGUUCGAAGUGGCAUGCUUAUCAGAAAAGGAUGCUUGGGAACUGUUUCAAGAAAAAGUAGGAGAAGAAACUCUUAAGAGUGAUCAUGAUAUCGCUGAGCUAGCCCAAACCGUGGCCAAGAAGUGUGGUGGUUUGCCGCUCGCACUUGUUACUAUUGGUCGAGCUAUGGCCAGCAAAAAGACAGCCGAGGAGUGGAGACAUGCAAUUGAAGAGUUAGGAAGAUCAGCUUCAGAGUUUCCAGGUUUGGGAAAAGAGGUGUAUCCUGUUUUAAAAUUCAGUUAUGAUAGUUUGCCGAAUGAGACGAUUAGAUCUUGUUUCUUAUAUUGUUGUUUAUAUCCUGAAGAUUAUGGCAUUCUUAAAUGGGACUUGAUUGAUUGUUGGAUUGGUGAGGGAUUCUUAGAGGAAUCUAACAGGUUUGGUGCAGAAAACCGAGGAUACUACAUUGUGGGCACUCUUGUUCAUACGUGUUUACUAGAAGAGAUAGAAGAUGAUAAAGUAAAAAUGCAUGACGUUGUUCGUGAUAUGGCUCUAUGGAUAGCUUGUGAAACUGAGAAGGAGAAGAUAAACUUUUUGGUUUGUGCAGGUGCUGGAUUAAAGGAGGCACCGGAUGUUAAAGGAUGGGAAAAUGUGAGAAGAUUGUCAUUGAUGCAAAACCAAAUUAAAGUUCUGUCAGAGGUUCCUACAUGCCCUCAUCUCCUCACUUUAUUUCUUGACUUUAAUAGAGAGUUAAUGAUGAUCGCGGGUGGCUACUUCCAAUUUAUGCCUUCUCUCAAAGUUUUGAAGAUAUCAAACAUUGGGUAUUUCAACGUUUUGAAAUUACCUUUGGGGAUGUCAAAGUUGGGUUCACUAGAACUUCUCGAUAUUUCACAUAGCAGCAUAGAGGAGUUACCAGAAGAGUUAAAGUUGUUGGUAAAUCUGAAAUGUCUGAAUUUGAGGUGGACAGAUGUGUUAAAUAAAAUUCCACGGCAACUAAUAUCAAAUCUUUCAAGGGUACGUGUGUUGAGAAUGUUCGCUACUGGCUAUGAUCGUUUUCAUGAAGCAUCAGAAGACAGCGUUUUAUUUGGUGGGGGUGAAGUUUUGAUACAGGAAUUGCUCGGUUUGAAAUAUUUAGAGGUAUUGGAGUUGACCUUGGGAAGUUAUCAUGCUCUCCAAAUUCUUUUGAGCUCAAAUAAGUUAAAAAGUUGUAUUCGAUCUCUUCUCCUCUUCGGGUUCAGAGGUACAAAGUAUUUUAUUGAUGCUACGGCUUUCGCAGAUCUAAAGCACCUCAAUGAAUUACAGAUUCAUGAUUGUAGGGGGUUGGAAGAGUUGAAGAUUGAUUACACAGAGAUAGCACAAAAAAGGCGGGAACCUUUUGUUUUCCGCAGCCUUCGUCGUGUUACUAUGGUUUCGUGCCAUAAAUUGAAAGAUUUGACAUUCCUCGUUUUUGCUCCAAACCUCAAGUCUAUUUCGCUAGGCGAUUGCGAUGCUUUGGAAGAAAUAAUCAGCGUUGGAAAAUUUGCUGAGGUUCCUGAGAUGAUGGGACAUCUAAGCCCUUUCGAAAAUCUCCAAAAUCUUGACCUAUCGUAUUUGCUGGCUUUGAAGAGCAUCUACUGGAAGCCAUUGCCUUUCACUUAUCUGAAAGAAAUGGUGGUAAAUGGGUGUGAUCAACUUAAAAAGCUUCCACUCGAUUCCAGCUGUGCAGAAGAGCGUAAAUUUGUUAUUCGCGGAGAAGCACACUGGUGGAACUGCCUUGAAUGGGAGGAUGAAGCCACUCAAAUUGCUUUUCGUUCCUGUUUCCAGCCUUAUUCCUGAGUGGUGGUUGCAAAAUUUGAUUUCUGGUGUGGUCUUUUAUUCUCUGUUUUUAUUUAAGUUUCUUUUCCUUUCCUUUUCCUUUUUUUUUUUAAUUUCUCCUGCAAAUCACAAUUAAACAUUGAAUUAUAUGGAAUUAAUGCUUUAUAAAUUUGCCGGCACUGCCUUUUUUUUUUUUUGUCGGAGUGAUACUCUAGCUUUUGACUUUUGGUUGUCAAAUUCUGCUCUGCCUUUUUAAAUUGAUGCUUUAUUUAUAUUUUCUUAGUGAUUUAGUUUCCUGUCAAAAGACGAACGAGAAGAACAUUUGAAUUAAAUAAAUGCUCGCAAAUUUGCGGUAAAAAGAUGUAAUUAGCCGAGAAAAUAUUAAAUAUAGUAGCCCUCUUUACAGAAAAUCAAGUGGAAGUUAAUUCAGCAAGUUAUAUUCUUGAUUAAUUCCUUUUCUGAAGUUUUUAUUUUCUAUGGUCAAUUAUACCUUCAUACUAAAAAUUGCUGCUAUUGGGUGUUGAGUGUUAUGCUAAAAUUUUGCCCUAUUUUGGGCCAAUAUUUUAGAAGUGAAACAUACUUCAGAGUUGAAGUAAACUUUGAAAAUAGAGAUAAUGAUUAAUUUAGAAGAGAUGCAAGUAAAAGAUAUUCUAAAAAAAAAAAAGCAAUAUGUCCCUUUGGAGGGCAAACUUGUCAGUUUGAAAAAGUUACAUGCUUUGGAUUGAUAGUUGCAGGAUAUUUGUUUUGUCACUGUGUAUUAGGUGCGUUUGGAAUUGAAGUGUUGUAGUUUUUAAGUUAUAAUUGUUGUAAAAAAAAAUUGUAACUAUAAAACAAAAGUUAAUAAUAUAUAAUAAAUUUAAAUUUAAAUAAUAAUUUUAAUAAAAUUAUUAAAGAUAUAAUAGAUUAUUUAUUAUACAAGUGAAAAUUAUAUCAACAUAUCUUUCAAGUUACAAUAGUUAUUGAUUACUAAACACUUUACUGUUGUAACUUUUAAGUUAUAGCUAUUUAACCUCAAUUCCAAACGCAUCGGAGAAGUCACGCCUAGUGAAGAAUGUUAUGAAAGAGCAAAGGAUAUUCCUAAUCGAGCUCUAUUUGAUUAUGUAUCCAGUGAAUGGAUGUGUUGUUGGAAGAUAUUUGAGUGCAUUAGUUCAUUUGUGUCGGUCAAUGUGCUUUUAAUGAUUUUUCCACUUGUUUGUUGUAAAAGAUUAUUGUAAAUUGAAAUGAAUUGGAUGUUGUAAUAUUUUCUCUUUAGUGGAAUUUCACCUUGUAUGUAUUCAGUUGUGUUGUCUAAAAUUUUACAUUCGAAUAAGUUUUCACCUAAAAUAUUAGCAUGAGUUGUGGCCCUUGAAACUUUGGUCAAAAUUAUUGUUAUUAUUUCUUACUAGAUGUAAACUUUUUAUUAAACCUCGUUAACAUAAUUCUUAAUUAAAAGUAUAGGUUAGUGUCGGUGCAGAAUUUGCAACACCAAAUCCUGCCUAGGCAAGUGUCAAAAGUGCAAAAUAAAUGAAGAGAAAGCACGAAUACAUGAUUUAGAUUAGGAUAGAAGGAAACUUAAAUCCUAGAGAAAAGGAUAGCUAUAUCCCAAGAUUUAAAAAAAUAGUCAUGUAGAUUUUUAAGAUUUCAAUAAGCGACUAAGAUUUUCUUUUGACAAAUAAUUUCCUUUAGCUCUAUUAACAAAAAAAAUAAAGACUCAAAUAUUUUAUAAUAAAUAAAAUAUAAUAUUAAAAUAUAUGUGAUAAUAUAGAAAUUUUAAAUAAUUUCAAUCCAAAUAAAUAGUUAUGUUUUACAAGCUAUUAAACAUAUUUUAUUAAAUUAAUAUAAAUGUUUUAUAAAAUAGGAACAUAAUAUUAAAAUAAAUUUACAAAAUUUUUAAGAAUUUUGAAUGUAAAAUAAUUUUAAUAUAUUAAUACGUGAGAUUUUUUUAUUAUUAUAAAAAUUAUUUAACUUUAAGAUUUUUUAAAAUCCUUACAAUAAGUAUAAAUAUAUUAUUUACAUUUAAAAAUAUUUAAAUAUUAUUAACCUACAAUUAUAUUUGCAUUUAUUAGAAAAUUUUAAAGUCAAAUAUUUUGCACUUCUACAUUAUUAGAAUUAUUGAACACAAAGAAAGAAACAUAUAUGCUUUAUAGCUUUAGAAAUUGUUUUCUUUUACAUCUGGAAACAAAGAUGAUGAUUAUUAUAAGGAUAAAAAAUGGAUAAAGAAUAUUAAUGAUUAACGAAAUCUCUGUGCAAAUUGAUUUUAGUAGAAAAAGAGUGAGAUGAAUGAUUUCUUUUACAACUAGAAACAAAGAUGAUGAUUAUUAUAAGGAUGAAAAAAAGAUAAAGAAUAUUAAUUAUUAAUGGAAUCUCUAUGCAAAUUGAUUUUAGUAGAAAAAACGAGCUAAAUGAUUUAGACAUUCAUUCUGUGUUUAUUUUUGUGAUUAGCAUUAAAAAUUGUUUAAUUAUCAAACGAUAAUAAUGUUAUUUUGUACUUAUGUUAUAAUUUAUAUUUGUGUUUAUGUAAUAUAUUAGAAAUUAUUAAUUAUGUUUUAAAUAUAUCUAAUUUUGAGUAUAUUUGUGUGUUUAUUAGGAAAAAUAUUAAUUUUAGAUAAAUUGAGGCUCCAAACAAUUAAACGGAGGUCAAAUUUGGAUUCCGGAGGUUUGAAAACCUUAAGAUCAGUCAAGAUCGGCUUAAAAUUAGGUUUGUGUAAAAAGAGUUGACUUUUUCUGCUGACCGAGCACUGAUUGGAUGAUGAAAUGAGCUUACAAUAGAUAUGAGUGCAUGGGAUAACUGGCAAUUUUGACUAAAUCUCAACCGUUCAUGAUUCAAUGGCCAUGAUUGUGCCAUGUGGUAGUGGUUGAUGAAGCAAGUUGUAGGAUCUGAAUCUUUGUAUACGGGUCGACCUGAUCCGCCCAUUAACUCGCCAAAUCACAACCGUUCUUUGGCCAAAUCGGACGAGUCAAACGAUGCCACAUGUGAAGUUGACUUUUGAAGUUUGACCAGCCAUUGGAUCUUGAUCUAAAGGUUGUGAGAGCAUGAAGCUUAUGGAGCUUAUGAUGGACCGCAAAACACUGGAUUAUAAAUUUAUUUUUCUAUAAAUAGAGCCUCAUUUUUAUGUUUUUAAUUAUCUCUACAUCUCUCUUCUUCUCAAAUUCUCUCCAUCUCCCUGUAAUAUUUUGUAUAAUUAUUUUAUUAAAUAAAUUUAGUUUUAUUUUCAAUUUUAGUUGUUUUUAUUACUUUUAAUUAUAAGUAAUUAAAUUUUAAUAUUUCUUUUUAUUUCAAUUAUGCUUAACUAAAUAAUAUUAGUUGGGGUAAGGUGAAACUCUUAGGAAAUAAAUAUGAUUUAAUCAAAUUUUAUUUUUAAUUUUAUAAAUUAAAUUAUUUUCUAUUUAAUUUUAUACAUAUUUUAUAUUUUAAAAUUUUGAUUUAUUGUAGACAAACAAAUAAAUUUGGCACAAUAAAUUCUUAAGAUCUUAAUAUAAGGUAUGGUAAAAUGGUAUUUUGACUUAUUGUAGACAAAUUAAAUUUUGACACAAUAAAUACUUAAUCCAUCAUAAAAUUAGAGGGAAAAUAAUAAUAAUUUAUAUAAUUAAUCUUUUGGGCAAUAAAUUUAAAAAAAUAGCAAAAAGAAUUUAUUGAGUUUUAUUUACUACUAAGAGUGGAUCCACAAUCCUAACUAGAUCAAUUUCAUAAUUUCAUUUAAAUUAAGUUGUUUUUAUUCAAGUUUUUAUUUCAAUUUUUAGAUAAAAUAAAUUAAAUUAAUUAAAUCUUUUCUCUGUAGAUCGACCUCAGACUCACCGAGGACUGACCAAGGUAUAAUACAACAAGACACUCUUAUAAUUAAGAGUUUAAAAUUACUUUUAAGUUGUGUCAUUUUGGAUUGGUGAAUUAGAAUUAUUGACAACGCUAACUUCAUCUUCACAAUUUGCAAUCCAAUAGCAGCAAUUGUCACCGAUAAUGAUAUCUCCAAUGAUAAUGACGAUUUUAUUAUUAUUAUUGAUAAAAAGUAUUAUAAUUAAUUAAUAUAUUAAUGUUAAUAUUAUUAUUAUUAAGAUUAACAAUAAUUAUUAAUAAUAACAAUUUUUUGAAUAAAAAUAAUUACAAUAAUUUAAAUAUAAAUUAAUAAUUAUGACAAUAAUUAAUUAAUGUCUUUUUAAUAAUUUACUGAUUAUCACAGUUCAAGUAAACAAAUUAUUAUGAUUCCUAUUCUCCAUUUCCAUUUCAGCUCACUCCGAUUCCAAUCCAUUUCGACUUCUGCCUAAAAAACUCACCAUUAGUGCUAUAGUAAUAUUUCAUAUAGAGAAAAGUAAAAUCUACACCUAAGAUUAAGGUAAAGGACUUCAAAACUCUCUUUUGAUUAUAAUACCUUUUGUCCUAAUUAACUUAAAGAUUUUGAAUCUAAUAUUUUAUAAUAAAUAAAAAUAUAUUCCUAAAAUAAAUAUAAUAUCAAUAUUUAAAGUAUGUUUUAAUAUUUUACAAUCUAUCAGACACAUUUUAUUAUAUUAAAGUAAAUUUUAUAAUAAAUACAAACAUACUAUUAAAAUGAAUAUACAAAAAAGUUUAGAGUAUUUUGAAUAUUAUAUAAAAUAAUUUUAAUAUAAUGCGUGAGAUAUAUUUUAUUAAUUUAAAAUGCUAUUUUACCUAAAAAUUUAUUUAUGAUAAAUUAAUAAUUAUAUUUUUAAAAUUAUUUUAAAUAUUAUAAAAAAUUUAAUAUUAUUAGUGUUUUAGAUAGAUUAAAUUAUUUUAAAAUGCCUUAAUUGUUUUUACUUUUAACGUUACCGGCCUUUCUUAUAUUUUAUUGCAGCUAACAAGAAAAAGCCAGAUCAUAUUCCACAAAAGCAAAAGUGACAAAACAACCAGCUGGAUUCUUUUAUUAAACUACAAAUUAAAGGAUCCCAUUAUCUUACAACUAAUGUAAGAUACAUCCCUCACAUAAAUAGUAUAUAAACUCCACAUAUAUACUGUUCAUGUGAGGAAAUGUACCUUACAUUAAGAUAGUGUUUGCCCAAAUUAAAAUAGAUUUUUUCGAUGAACUACAAAUUAAAGUGGAUUCUUUUGAAUAUAGCUGGGGUUAGGGUAGGCUCUUUUAUUUAAGGCAAGUCUAGAGUAGUCAAAGACGAUUAGGCUCUUUUAUUAAACUACAAAUUGUAUAGUCUUUUUCAAAUUGUUCAGAUGCUUAUAAAUUAGUGGCCCCUUGUAAAUUUAACUGGAAGUGCCAAUCAGAGAAAAGUUCAAUUCUAAAUAAUUGUUCCGAUAUUUAUAAAUUGGUGGCCCCUACAAUCCUCAAUAAUUGUUCCGAUAUGUAUAAAUUGAUGGCCCCUACAAUCCUCAAUAAUUGUUCCUAUAUUUGUAAAUUGGUGGCCCCUUAGAAAUUUAACCGCAAGUCUGCAAGUGACAAUCGGAGAAAAGUCAUAAUUUACAAUCUUCCAAGGGAAGUAGGGAACCAGGGGAUAUACAAAGAUUAAGACAUGUCAUUCAUUUUUUUGGCUGCAUUCCCUUUCGUGUUCUUAAUAAUUGAAGACAGGUUGUUCAUUACAUGCUUACUUUUCAAAUGUGGAGCCGCAGCUAAUGUCGCUACUUUAAUUUGGGAUUAAAUUAGGGAAACAUUAUAUUGUAGUAUGCACUAACUUGAUGUUUAUCUAAACUCCUUAAAUUUAAGACAGAUUAUGGCAUAAAUAAGAAUAUAACGAUAACAAAAGAGUAUAUAAAAUAUUUAGAGUAUUUUGAAUAUUAUAUAAAAUAAUUUUAACAUAAUGCAUGAGAUAUAUUUUAUUAAUUUUAAAUGCUAUUUAACCUAAAGAUGUAUUUAUGAUAAAUUAAUGAUUAUAUUUUUGAAAUUAUUUCAAAUAUUAAAAAAUUAAUAUUAUAGACUAAAUUAUUUAUAUUAUUUUUUAUUUAUUAAAAAAUUUUUAAGUCAAUCUUUUUAAUUACUAUUCAAAGAAUAUAAUGAUUAAAAAAAUCUUUAUGCCUUCAUUAAAAAUUUAAAAAUUUACAUAACGAUUUCUAUAAAUAUUUAGGGUAUAUAUGAAGCACGGUGGAGAAGCUUUAUUUAAUAUUAUUGAUUUAAAUAAUAUCUCAAUUAAAAAUGUACAGAGAAGAAAUUUCGGUGGGUAUUUUAGUCUUUUCAGCAAUUAUCAUGACCAGAUCUGCCUUUGGCCUUGAAACGUCGGUCAGAAAAGUUUUAAAGUGCUUUAAUUGUUUUUAAGGCCGCUAAUAACUCUGCUCGUGCAAGUUGAGGAUAAAUGUUAAAUUAAUUACAAAAGCAAAAGGCUAAUUUAUUGAAGACAAGUAAAGCAGUCACGAAUGGUACAUGCCUAAUCUUUUCUAUAUUUACAGAAACACAAUUUUUUUUCAAUCCGCCGCAGCUUCUGUUAAAAUUAUCUUGGUUUCUCGUAGUUGAUUUCUAUUAUCCCAAAAAAAAAAAAAAGGUAACUGUUGAUGCCGAAAAAUGAUUUCAACAGCUGAAUUUAUUUUUUUUGGAGAAUUACAGUGUGAAUCCAAGCUCAAACGCAAGUCUGAUCGCAACUUUCUAUAUCUGCUAAUCAGAAAACACAGUUAGGAUACGCCGGUGGGGUUUCGGCUAGACCUUCCGAUACUUAAGUCAGAAAUUAUGUAUAAAAGGAGAAAAAUGAGAAUGAAGAAUUAUGAAUGAGUUAAAGUCAAGUAAUUUUCCGGUAGAGGGGUUGAAAAUCUUGUAGAAGCUUUGGUUGAUUUUGCUAACCCCUUCACCUGAUGCGCUCUUCAGUUUAAAUAGACUCUUGGUCGUGUACGGUUACCUCCUUAACUUCAGAAGUUGCAAGUGGUUGUCAGUUGGAGGUGGUUUAAAUAGAUCGUGGCACACAACUUCCUUAUAAAUUAGGCCACGUUCUCUUAACUAGCAAUUUUCCAUGUCAAGCUAAUUCUCAGGUCGGACAAGAGAAUUUCAAGGUCGGAUUACUUCACUUUCAGAUUAGACAGAUGAAUUUCUCAGUCGCUCAUAUAACGUUAAGGUUGUAUUCUUAAACUAAGUCAUUCACAUAGAUCUUAGGUCGUACUUAUAAACCAGGUCGCCAACAUAGGCUCCAGGUUGUACUUAUGAGGUUAGCUCAACAACAAUAAGUUUUGAGUAGAUUAGGAUCGACUAUAUUUUGAGACACUACCAGAAAAAUCCAACCCAAACACCAGUCCCCUAAUUUUCAAUACUGGAAAGUCAUUGCCAGUGUUGGAAACUAAUGGAAAACAUUUCUCAAAACCCAAUACCAGUCCCCUAGUUUUCAAUACUGAGAAGAUAUGAACGGUAUUGGAAACUAAAAUAAUUAAGAAAGAGCAAUAUAGCCACAAGCAAAAGAAAGACGGUGUAGAGCGGAACAAUGAGCAAAGAGAAGAGUAAAAAGAAAACUUCAGGUGUGGACCAAGAAAAUAACCAUGACCAAAUGCCUCGAGGUGAUAGAGUCGGGGUUGAGGGUGAGGUCUUCCUAACUAGUAGGGUUGUUGAAGACCAAGAGAGAACUUCCUAAAUUUAAUUAUUACAAUGCUUGCCCUUUUUUGCAAUAUGAACUUGUGUAGACCGUAUGCUACUGAACUUUAUUUUGCCUUUGUAAUCGGAUAAUUAUUAUGCUGACCUUGCCUUUUUUACUCUUUAUUUACUAGGGUUGGUUAUGAAUUGCAUUCCGUAGACUGAGCCCAUUUAAGACUCUGUUGAGGUCAAACAAAUAGAUAUGGUCAACUUUGGUAGCAAUAACACCAAGCAAUGACCUUGAAUUCACCAAGAUUCUAUCAUUUCGAUAUCAAUCUUGAUAAGGAAAAUGUUGACCUCACGAAAAUAUCAACUUCAACAAGAUAAAUUGUUGACCUCAACAAGAUAAAUUGUUGACCUCAACAAGAUAAAUUGUUGACCUCAACAAGGUUAAGUGUAGAGCUAAAAUGCCAACCUCACGACAAGGAAAAUGUUGACCUCACGAUAAGGAAAAUGUUGACCUCACGAAAAUGUCAACCUUAACAAAAUAGAUUGUCGACCUCAACAAGGUUAAGUGUAGAGCUAAAAUGCUGAACUCACGAUCUCACGACAAGGAAAAUGUCAACCUCACGAAAAUGUCAACCUCAACAAGAUAGAGUGUUGAACGCAAUAAGGUUAAAAUGUAAAGCUAAAAUGCCGACCUAAAAAAAAAUUGAAAAUUGGAGAACUUAAAUGUUAAGCUUAUGAUCAACCUCAACAAGGCAAUGACUGACCUCAAUAAAAUUGAAAAUUGGGCAACGACCUCAACAAGGCAAUGGCCGACCUCAACAAGGCAAUGGCCGACCUUAAAAAAAAUUAAAAAUUGUAGAACUUAAAUGUUAAGCUUAUGGCCGACCUCAACAAAAUUGAACAUUGUAGAACGUAAAUGUUAAGGCUAUGGCCAAACUCCACGAGGCAAUGACCAACCGCAAUAAAUAGAAAAUUGUAGAUUUUAACUUAUGGCCGACCUCAAUAAGGUAAUGGUCGACCUCAACAAAAUUAAACAUUGUAGAACGUAAAUGUUAAGGCUAUGGGCAAACUCCAUGAGGCAAUGACAAACCUCAAUAAAUAGAAAAUUGUAGAAUUUAGCUUAUGGCUGACCUCAAUCAGGCAAUAGCCGACCUCAACAAAAUUGAACAUUGUAGAACGUAAAUGUUAAGGCUAUGGCCAAACUCCACGAGGCAAUGAGCAACUUCAAUAAAUAGAAAAUUGUAGAACUUAGUUUAUGGCUUACCUCAAUAAGAAAAUGGUCGACCUAAAUAAAGUAAAGGCGAAUUUCGAUAAAAUUGAAAAAUGUAGAUCUCAACAAGAUAAAAGUUAAGGCUAUCUAACCACAAGGUAAUAGCUGUCUUCAAUCUCAAAAAGGCCGAAUUACAAUUAGACCUCAACAAGGUCAAAAUGACAAUCUCGAUCUCAAUAAGAUUUGAUAAAUUUUUCAGGUAGGACCUCAACAAGGCAGCAAUGUCGAUCUCAAUCUCAAUAAGAUUGGAUGAAUUUUUCAGGUAGAAUCUCCACAAAGCCGAAAUGCCGAUCUCAAUCUCAAUAAGAUUGGAUAAAAUUUUCAGGUAGGACUUAAAUAAGGCCGCAAUGUCGAUCUCAAUCUCAAUAAGAUUGAAUGAAUUUUUUUCAUGUCAGACCUCAGUAAAGUCGUCAUGUCGAUCUCAAUCUCAAUAAGAUUAGAUAAAUCUUUUCACGUUGGACCUCAAUACGGUCCAAAAAUGCCGAUCUCAAUCUCAAUAAGAUUGGAUAAAAUUUUCAGGUAGGACCUCAACAAAGCUGCAAUGUCGAUCUCAAUCUCAAUAAGAUUGGAUGAAUUUUUUCACGUUGGACCUCAGCAAGGCCGCCAUGUCGAUCUCAAUCUCAAUAAUAUUGGAUAAAUCUUUUCAUGUUGGACCUCAAUACGGUCCAAAAAUGCCGAUCUCAAUCUCAAUAAGAUUGGGUAACUUUUUCAUGUUGGACCUCAAUAAGGUCACAAAGUUGAUAUCAAUCUCAAUAAGAUUGAAUAAAUAUUUUCACGUUGGACCUCAAUACGGUCCAAAAAUGCUGAUCUCGAUCUCAAUCUCAAUAAGAUUGGGUAAUUUUUUCACGUUGGACCUCAACAAGGUUGCAAUAUCGAUAUCAAUCUCAAUAAGAUUGGAUAAAUUUUUUCACGUUGGACCUCAAUAAGGUCCAAAAAUGCCAAUCUCAAUCUCAAUCAGUCUGGAUAAAUUUAUUUCAUAUUGGACCUCAAUCAAGUCCAAGUGUCGAUCUCGAUCUCAAAUAAGACCGGUCACAAGUAGAUAAGAAAUAAAGUUGCACUUUUAAAUAACCUCAUUGAUACUAAUAUAACAGAAGUUAUAGAAUUGAACGCAUAACAAAUUGAAAUAACAAAGAAACAAACUUUCUUAGCAUAUUUAAAGAAAAUAAACAAACAAUAUUUAAAGAAAAUAAACAAACAAGGACAUCAUAAAUAAGAUAUAUCUUAACUGAUAGUAUUUUCGCAGGUGCUCUGCAUUCCAUGCCUUGCCAACGACCCUGCCAUCCUGAUAACUUAAUUUAUAUGCCCCAUUAUCAAAUUAGGGUAGCACUUUAUAUGGUCCUUCCCAGCUCGGCCCUAGAACUCCAUCAAUAAAUCUGAAGCUCAUUGGAGAUGUCAUCCAUCAUUUUUGUUCCCACUCUUACCACCCUGCUCGGAUCAACCUCACUUAUCGGCAUGUUUCAUUUCUUCAUUAGGUCACUGUUGGCACAAUCUAUUCUCAGCUCGUGGGUCGAUACUCGUGAUCUGCAUGGAUUCUCUUGCAGCUGUAGCGUAACAACUUCGAGCUAUUUGUUGCUGGCCCCUCAUCACUCCAACCCCAUAUUGAACUCUAAACUUCACACGUUGCAUGUGGGUUGAGCUCACGGCUCUUACUAUCCUAUUGAAAGGUCUACCCAAAAUAAAUUGAUAAGGGUUGGGCUCAUCAACUACCACCCAUGUCACCAUCACUGUCUUUUGUAGUGGGUUGGACUUUAUUAUCAGUGGCAAGUCAAUCAUCCCAAGGGGAAUCAACUCAGCUCCGCCAAACCCUUUUAGUGAUGUUCUGACGGGAUCAAGCCUAAGGUCCCCUAUUUGUAGAUCUUCCAGGGUUUGCUUAAACAAAAUGUCGACUGAGCUUCCUCCAUAUAUAAGAGCUCGGUUCAAAUCCUGCCCUACCAAGGUAACCUUCACUAUGAGCGCAUCCUCAUGUGGAUGUGCGACCGCUUCCUCGUCCUCGUCUGUGAACAUGAUCGGCACCCUUUGAACCCGUUGCUUCUUUGGUAUUGAAACAUUAAAAUUCAACUUAUAACUUUCUAAUGACUAUCUACUAUAAUUUCUCCUUGAACGAUUUGAGUCUCCUACUAGGGUCGGCCCUCCCAUAAUCAUCAUCGCUACAUUAUCUCUGAUGUCUCCUCUUCUCCCACCUAUUCCUUGGUCAUUCACAUACUCCUUUAGAUAUUGAUUUUGCACUAGCCACAAAAUCUGUUCUUUCAAGUCUAUGUAAUCUGCAGUUCCAUGUCCGAACACAAUGUGAAACUCGCAAUACUUGUGGUGAGCACUUCUGCCCAGACUUCUUACAAUUGGCUUUGGCGGUUUAAGUAGCCCCUUCUUUUCUACUACAACAUAUAUUUCCGCUCUGCUUUUGUUCGAUGGUGUGUAUCUUCCACUCUACUCUAAUAAGUUCACCCCAUGGUCAGAUCUCGAUACUCUCUGUUCUAUAGGCAGUGGCAACCUAUUGUAGUCUCUUGCUCGGUUCUCCCUUUAGUUCAUCUCAUAAUUAUUUCCUCUAUCUCGGCCCCAUCCCAUUAAUGAGAUUUAUCUCAUUUCACGAUUUCUUUCCCAAUCUCGACCCGACCUUUCUGGUCAUCUGUAAUUGAACAACUCUCCGCCGUAAUGACGUCUAUCAUCCGAGUUCCUCCUCGAGCUAUACUCGAGGUUAUCACUUGACCCUCUCUCUGCUCUUCCAUUCUCCUAUUUUCUUCCUCUGCAUCUUCAGUUUUCAUAUCUAAUUUUGUCUAGUCGUACGCCUCAGCGUAUGUUGUUAUCCCCUUGUUAUAUAAGCUAUUCCAUAAUCGAUUGAUUCUCAACUCCUUCUUUAAUCCCUCUAGAACAUCUGGAAGAUCAAAGGCCCCUAGAUCGGUAACCUCUCUAUGAUACCUGGUCACAAAACUCGUCAAACUUUCAAAUUCUCCUUGGACCAAUUUUGUCAAGCUGCUCAUAUCCUGCUCUGAUAUGCAUGAACCUCUAAAAUGCAUAGCGGAAAGCACACAUAACUCCUUGAAAUUUCCUAUGCUUCUAUUCUUUAAUCUCCGGUACCAUUCCCAUGCUUGUCCAUCUAGAGUUAAGGGAAAAAUACGGCACCUUUGAAAAUCAUUCAAACCUUGAAUUACAGUCAUCUCAUUAAACUUCUCCACAUGAUGAUUUGGGUCAGUUUUUCCUUCAUACACCAAGACUUGAACCACAUACUUGGGUGGCAAAGUUACUGCCAUCACUUCAGGUACCAAGGGGGACUCGUCAUCGAGUAACAGCCUUCCUACCACUUUCUUGCCCUCUGUUUUCGCCUCUAAUACCUCUAAGGUUUUUUGAAAUUGCAGCAUUCGUUGCUCAAGCUCAUUUGCCCGUUGGGGUCUCUCAGCUCUUCCCUCUCUCUUUCUUGAUUCAAGUCAUUGAUUCUCCCCCUCAACUCAUUCACUUGUUCUCCUGCACUUCUAUUCUUUUGUCGUACCCCAACUUGUGGUAGUCCCAUUCCGCUCUGCUGUUCACCAUCAAGCUCUUCCCUCUCUCGCGCUCCACUACAUUUUGGAUCACUAGCUCGAACGUGAGCCUCUCUGACUUGGGCAUCAACCAGCCCCCGAUCAUCUUCUCAAAUCUCGCCAUUUGCCUCUCAAUCCCUUCUCUCCAUCUCUUAUCUGCCGUGGCAUUCAUUUCCUCAGCCAAUUGGCGCAAGGUCUACGUAUCUUCAUCCUUAUCAUCUAUCACUAUUUUGUAAUCCGAUAGCUUCUCCUUCUAAAUCUUCAAACGUAUGGCUUUUCGCACUGAUCCCCACAGAUAGCGUCAAGAUGUUGAUGCUGAAAAACGACAUGAACAGCUGAAUUUGUUUCUUUUGGGGAAUUACAAUGUGAAUUUAAGCUCAAACGCAAGUCUGAACGCAACUUUCUAUAUCUACCAACCAGAAAACACAGUUAGGAUAUGCCGGUGGGGUUCCGGCGCAGACCCUCCGAUGCUUAAGUCAAAUUAUGUAUAAAAGGAGAAAAAUAAGAAUGAAGAAUUAUGAAUGAGUUAAAGUCAAGUAAUUUUCCAGUAGAGGGGCUAAAAAUCUUGUAGAAGCUUCAGUGAAUUUUGCUAACCCCUUCACCUGAUGCGCUCUUCAAUUUAAAUAGACUCUUGGUCAUGUACGGUUACCUCCUUAACUUCAGCCCGCUUUCUUCAGUAGUUGCAAGUGGUUGUCAGUUGGAGGUGGUUUAAAUAGAUCGUGGCACACAACUUCCUUAUAAAUUAGGCCACGUUCUCUUAACUAGCAAUUUUUCAUGUCAAGCUAAUUCAUUGGUCGGACAAGAGAAUUUCAAGGUCGGAUUACUUCACUUUCAUAUCAGACAGAUGAAUUUGUUAGUCGCUCAUAUAGCGUUGGGGUUGUAUUAUUAAACUAAGUCAUUCACAUAGAUCUUAGGUCGUACUUGUAAACCAAGUCGCCAACAUAGGCUUCAGGUUGUACUUAUGAGGUCAACUCAACAACAAUAAGUUUUGAGUAAAUUAGUAUCGACUAUAUUUUGAGACACUACAAAAAAAAUCCAACCCAAACAGUAACAUUUUGCAAAUCUCAAUCGACGGUGCUAUUUUCAAUCGUUGCCUGGAUUGCUUUCUUGGAAAAGCAGCAUCUAUAAGAAACCUGCAAAAAAAUGUUGUAGCCUUGGAGACUGAAUUGGGAAAACUAAUCGAAGCAAAGAACGAUGUGGUGGCGAGGGUCGUCAACGCUGAAAGGCAACAAACGAUGACAAGGCUGAACAAAGUUCAAGGCUGGCUUUCGAGGGUGGACGCUGUUAAAGCUGAAGCUGAUGAAUUGAUAAGACAUGGCCCUCAAGAAAUUGAGAAACUAUAACUUAGAGGCUACUGUUCCAAGAACUGCAAGUCAAGCUAAAAGUUUGGCAAAAAAGUGGCUAAAAAGCUAAGAGACGCCGGGACUUUAAUGGCCAAUGGAGCAUUUGAAGUGGUAGCUGAGAGAGCUCCAGAAUCAGUAGCGGAUGAAAGGCCUAUCGAGCCCACAGUAGUAGGCCUGCAAUUGCAACUCGAGCAUGUUUGGAGAUGUCUUGAAGGAGAAUCAGUCGGAAUUGUUGGCCUAUACGGCAUGGGCGGUGUCGGUAAAACUACACUAUUGACCCAUAUCAACAACAAAUUUCUUGAGAGUCCAACUAAUUUUAAUUAUGUGAUAUGGGUCGUAAUGUCAAAAGACUCGCGACUUGAAAACAUUCAAGAAACUAUCGGGGAGUAGAUUGGUUUGUAAAAAUUUGCCAAUUUACACAGCAAACAAUUUCCACCCAAUUAAUGUUUUUUAGAAAAUUGUAAAAAUUUGGAGUUAUGAAAAUAGAAACUAUAUAAUAAGAAGAAAUAAUUUAAGAUUUUAAGAUUUAUAUAUAUUUUAUAAAUAAAACAUUAAAAGAGAUGCUUGUUAUUACGAUGAAAUUUUAUGAGUAAGAUGAUUAACUUUAAUAUAUGAGUUUGUAUUUUAUAAAUUAAUCAGAGGUAUUUUAGAAAAUAAAUUCAAAAUGGGAGUUAUAAGAGUUUUAGAGUGGUGUUAAAAGCUCAACUCUUUUGAAUUUUACUGCCCAAUUAUAUAGUACAUUAGCGUGAUUGUUAUGUAUUCAUUUUUUUCAGAUACAACAAACGAGCUGCGUAGUGCUCAAAUAACAAAAAUUAAUAAUUUCACACACCCAUAUACAUAUAUGUAUACAUAUAGAUACAUAUUAUAUUUAAUUAAGCAAAAGAAAGAACCCCCUGUACGACGCCAGUGAGAAGAGAGAGAGAGAGAGAGAGAGGAAGAGAGCUUUUUGUGUUAUAUUUCAUAAUUUUUAUUUAAUUAAAAAUAUUUGUAGUUUGGAUUUGGGCGCCCCAAAGAAUUUCUAAAUCAAAACCUUAAUUUUUAUUAGGUCUUGAGCCUAUUCUCGAAAUAGAUCCUAUUAUAUUCUUAGGUGGUGUUUGGUUUUAAGAAAAUGGAAGAGAGGAGAGGUGAAAAAAGAAGAUGAACGGAGAGGUGAUGAGAGGAAAAGAGUGUAAAAAUUAAUUGUUAUUGUUUGGUUUCACAUUAAAUUUGAAAGGAAAAGAAAUUACAUAUUUUUUAUUUGGACGAAUAUACCCACUAUUUUAAUGCUAAUAUUGUUAAUAAAUUAAAAAAUAAUAAAACUAUGAAUUAAUUUAAUCUAGAAAUUACCUAAUUAAAUUAAAAAAUUAUUUUUUAAAAAAAUACAGCAUUUGGCCAUGGACAGCCUCCACGUUGACCACCGUUGACUGGCGAAUUUGACUGUCGUUGACCGUCAUUUUUCAUCGCGUUAAAUGCAUAAUAAUAAUAAGAAAUGAAUGAUUUAUUCAUUGGAAGUGUUAAUUUUGCAGAAAAUACACUAUAUAGUAGGAAAUAUGAGAGUUAAAAUUUUCCCAAGCAUUUAAACAAGACUUGAGGUAAAUAACAAUGUAUAUUAGCAUUUUUAAUCUCAUAGCAUUGUAGAUGGACUCAUGAGGAUUCCAUUGAUACCGGUUUUGAUGAAAAAGUGCGUCUCCGGCGAAACUCCGACGAGUCACUUUACUGUUUUUUCUUUUUUCAAAUAAGUUUAUCCUAUUAAUUUAAGAAAAUAAAUAUAAAUUAUUUGUACUUUAAUUUAUUUAACAUUGAUUUUGUUUAGAGGAUAAUAUUGGAAUUUUUGUGUUUAAAUAGAUAAGAAAUUUAAAAUCUUUAGUCAUUGAUAAGAAAUACAAAUUCUUCAAAUUGAUGGAAAUUCAAUUCCAUUAAACUUGGUCCAAGUAGAAAAGAAAUCAAUUUUUUUUGGCUCUCCCCACUUCCCUACCCCUAAGCAAACAUGGCCUUAUGGUUUUUGAGAACUCAUACCAAAUUCAAAUUAAUCAGGAGCCCACGGGUCCCGGGGCUCGCGGGAAAGUUGCCAUCCCUACCUUCAUCUGACGGAAAGUCCCUACAAACAAAUGUUUCUUUAUUUAUUUAUUUUUAUAAAAGAAAUUUCAGUUUGAAUGUCUUUUGGACGUUUCCAAUUGUCAUGAUUAGCCCUUGAACCUUUGGUCAAAAAAGUAUUAUCACGCGUUGAUUGUUUGUAUCGCAAAUGCUAGUGGCAUUUGAAAGUUGAUAUAAUUAAUUACAAUCUACAAAUGUUUAACAAAAAAGUGGGAUGGAUAUGGCACAAAAGUAAAGCAAGCAGGAUUCGUUGAAAAAGCUAUUUUGACACCUACUUCGGUUAUAAAAUUUUCAAAAAAAAAAAAAAAUUUUGAUUAAAAGUAAAUUGUAUAGGUUCAACUACCGUGCACUUGGUGCAUGGGACAUGUAUUUUGUCUAUAUAUAAGUUACCCGUCAGAUAUAACAUAGAACUUGCUUCAACGGCAUAGAUGUAUUCUCUUUAGUUUUUAACAUUGACAUCUAUGUUGUUUUUCAAAAAAGAAAAAUAGUGAAAGGUUUGACACAUAAUUUUAGAUUAUUUUUAAAUUUUAUAUUUUAAUCAAUUGAUUUAAUUUACUGUUAAAAUUAAUGACAGUAUAAGCGUAAUAACUUGAAAAAACUUUUUAAUACAUAAUUUUUUUUAUUUUUUGAAAAUAAUAUAAUAUCAAUUUAAUCUAUAAUAAAUAAUUUUAACAUAUAAUUAAAUUUUAAUUUAUCAAUAAUAAUAUGACCAAAUGACAAUGUUAAAGAAUUUCAUUAUAAUCAACUAUGAUUUAGUAUUCAAAUAUAAAUAAUAGAAAUAUACUCUAAGUGUAAAUAAUAGAAAUAUAUCAAACUUAUAUGUUAAAAUUUCAAAACUUUUAAUUUUUUCACUUUUCAGCAAACAAGAGGGAGUAAUUUACCAAAAACAAGGGGUAUCGUACACCUGGGGCACCAUAGCUUCCUCCAAAUUGUAUAAAAAAUAGAAAUAUUUUUAGUCUCCAAAUUGUAUAAAAAAGUAAAAAUAUUUUGACUAAAAGUAAAUUGUGCGUAACUACUUUAAUAUUUUAUUUCUUUCAUAACUUUAUCAAAAUCUUGUCAUCAAAUAUUUUAUCAAUGUAACGCUGUAAACAGCAAAUUAAAGUUUAAUUAUUUAAUUACAACUGGCAAAAGAGACGUUUAAUUAUUUAAUUACAAGCGGGAUAGUCUCUUUUGUUGAAGGAAAUUAAAGUUUAGUUAUUUAAAUCGAGCACGCGUAAUCUUUUCAAGCACAAACAAAAGAGAUCAUAAUUCAAAGUUGAUGUUCUCUUCACAGCAGCUUCUAUUCAUCGAACUCCAUCGUUAAAAUUUCCUUGGUUUUUCCUGGUUGAAUUCUCAUCCAAAAUAUGGGUAACAUUUUCCAAAUCACAUGCGACGGCGCUCUCUUUAACCGUUGCCUGGAUUGCUUUCUUGGAAAAGCAGCAUAUAUAAAAAACCUCAAACAAAAUCUUGCAGACUUGGAGACUGAAUUGGGAAAACUAAUCGACGCAAAGGAAGAUGUGAUGAGGGAGGUCAACGCUGCUGAAAGGCACCCAAUGAUGAAAAGGCUGACCAAAGUUGAAGGCUGGCUUUCGAGGGUCGAAGCUGCUAAAUCCGACGGUGACAAAUUGAUAGCAUUUGGCUCUCAAGAAAUUAAGAAACUAUGUCUUGGAGGCUACUGUUCCAAGAACUGCAAGUCAAGCUACGAGUUUGGCAAACAAGUGGCUAGAAAGCUAGGAGAUGUCAAGACUUUAAUGGCUGAAGAAGCUUUUGAAAAGGUAGCUGAGGAAGUACAACCACCUUUGGUAGAUGAGAGACCCACCGAGCCAACCGUAGUAGGCUUCCAAUCACAAUUUGAACAAGUCUGCAAAUGUCUUGAAGAAGAAUCAGUCAGAAUUGUUGGCCUAUACGGCAUGGGCGGUGUCGGUAAAACCACACUAUUGACUCAUAUCCACAAUAACUUUCUUCAGAGUCCAACUUUUAAUUGUGUGAUAUGGGUCCUAGUGUCAAAAGAUCUGCGACUUGAAAACAUUCAAGAAACUAUCGGGGAUCUGCGACUUGAAAACAUUCAAGAAACUAUCGGGGAGCAGAUUGGUUUGUUAAACGAUACAUGGAAAAAUAAACGAAUUGAACAGAAAGCUCAAGACAUCUUCAGGAUUUUGAAGGAGAAGAAGUUUUUGCUGUUGCUAGAUGACUUAUGGCAGCGGGUUGAUUUAACAAAAGUGGGCGUCCCUCUUCCUGGCCCGCAAAAUAAUGCAUCCAAAGUGGUAUUCACAACCCGUUCCGAAGAAGUUUGUGGUUUGAUGGGAGCUCACACGAGGUUUAAAGUGGCGUGCCUGUCAAAUAUCGAUGCUUGGGAAUUGUUUCGGCAGAACGUUGGAGAAGAAACUCUGAACAGUGAUCCCGAUAUUCUUCAACUCGCCCAAGCAGCAGCCAGAGAGUGUGAUGGUUUGCCACUAGCACUUAUUACCAUUGGCCGAGCUAUGGCUUGCAAGAAGACACCUGACGAAUGGAUUUACGAUAUUGAGGUGCUAAGAACAUCAAGUUCUCAGUUCCCAGGUUUGGGAAAUGAGGUUUAUCCUCUUUUAAAAUUCAGUUACGAUAGAUUGCCGAGUGACACAAUUAAAUCAUGUCUCUUAUAUUGUAGUUUAUAUCCAGAAGAUUAUUGCAUUUCUAAAGAGAAAUUGAUAGACUGUUGGAUCGGCGAGGGAUUUUUGACAGAAAGGGACAGGAUUGGAGAACAAAAAGAAGGAUACCAUAUUCUGGGCAUUCUUCUUCAUGCCUGCUUACUGGAAGAGGGAGGAGACGGUGAAGUAAAAAUGCACGACGUGAUUCGAGAUAUGGCAAUAUGGAUAGCAUGCGACAUUGAAAAGGAGAAGGAGAAUUUUUUUGUUAAUGCUGGCGUUGGAUUAGUUGAAGCACCCGAUGUCACAGGAUGGGAAAAGGCGAGGAGAUUGUCACUGAUGCACAAUCAAAUUACGAAUCUAUCAGAGAUUCCUACAUGUCCUCAUCUCCUUACUUUUUUCCUUAACAAAAAUAGGUUUCAGAUGAUCCCCAAUGACUUCUUCCAAUUUAUGCCCUCCCUCAAAGUUUUAAAUCUGUCAUACAGCAAACUAACCAGCUUACCAUUGGGGAUUUCAAAGUUGGUUUCACUGCAACAUCUUGACCUGUCAGAAUCCGACAUAGAAGAGUUGCCAGGAGAGUUAAAGGCAUUGGUAAAUCUUAAAUGUUUGGAUUUGGAAUAUACAGGGAAUUUAAUUACAAUUCCACGUCAACUAAUAUCUAAUCUUUCAAGGUUACAUGUGUUGAGAAUGUUUGGUGCUGGUCAUAAUGCCUUUGAUGAAGCAUCAAAAGACAGCAGUUUAUUUGGUGGGGGUGAAUUCAUAGUAGAGGAACUGCUUGGUUUGAAAUCUUUAGAGGUGAUUAGCUUCACCUUGAGAAGUUCUCAUGGUCUCCAAAUGAUUUUGAGCUCGGAUCAGUUACGAAGUUGCACUCGAGCACUCUCAUUCCAAUGCUUCAACGAUUCGACAUCGCUUGAAGUUUCAGCUUUGGCAGAUCUGAAGCAACUUAAAAUGUUGCGGAUUGCAAGGAGUGAAAUAUUGGAGGAAUUAAAGAUGGAUUGUGCAGGGGAAGUUCGACAGUUUGUUUUCCAUAGUCUCAAUAAGGUUGAAAUAUACGGUUGCAGUAAAUUGAAGGACUUGACAUUCCUUGUUUUCGCUCCAAACCUCAAGUCUAUUAAAGUAACAGGUUCCCAUGCUAUGGAAGCAAUCAUAAGUGUGGGUAAAUUUGCAGAAGUUCCAGAGGUAAUGGCAAAUUUAAACCCAUUUGCAAAACUCCAAAAUCUUGAAGUAAUUGGUGCGAUAAAUUUGAAGAGCAUUUACUGGAAGCCCCUGCGCUUCCCACAUCUGAAAACAAUGAGUUUCUUUCAUUGCAACAAGCUUAAAAUGCUUCCACUUGAUUCCAAUAGUGCAAGAGAGCAUAGCAUUGUUAUUCGUGGAGACAGAAUGUGGUGGGCACAGCUUCAAUGGGAGGAUGAAGCCACUCGAAAUGCUUUUCUUCCCUGUUUCAAAUCUUGAGCAGAGAUCACAUUUGAAUAAUUUCUGGUGCGUGCUUUUUCUUACAUUAUUCUUCUUGUUAAUUUCCUUCAUGCAGACAUCUGCACCUAAUAACUCGUUACUUCAAAUAUUCUCUAAAUUAUUUGAGGGUACUCGCCCCUGCACAUAAUGUAUAUUUAUAUCUAAUUAAAUUUUUUAAAAAGUCAAUAUUAUAUUUUUUAUGUCAUUAAAUAAAGUCUUGUUAUUUUAUCGAAUUAUAUUCAACUUGAAAAUAGUUCUAGCUUUUAGAUAUAAGUUAUGUAAGUACAAGUUCAAAGUGUAUCAGCAUUAAAUUACUCAUAUUCAAUCAUUUAUAAUCUGAUGUUGAAAAAAAAAUGUCAUUCAAUCAUAUGCAUUUAACUAAAUUCAAAUAUAAUCUAAAUUCAGAUACGUUAAAAUUAUUUGGGAAAAAAAAGCGCCACAACUCUAUAUUGUUUAUUGAGUAAACCAGAUAUUAACUCUAUCAUGAACGUAAUAGCCUCCAGCAUUUUUUAUUAUCUGUUCAAACCAUAUUUUAUUAUUUUAAUUUAUUUAUAUUCAUUGCAUUUCAAUUAGGUCAUGUUUUCUUUUGUUUUCUGUUUUAUAUUCUUUGAUCAUUUUGGCAACAUGGAGUACUAUGAUUAAUCAUUUUGUACUGGUCUCAAAUUUCAGUCGGAUUAUCUGCGGAAAAUAUCUCUGAAGAUGCUUUCAAUGGAGUCCAGUACUCAGAAUGCGAUGCCUAAUCCUUUGCAAUCCAACAAUGCUAGCAGGAGCAACGAACCCCCUCAUCCAGGUAGUGACGUGGAAUAGUAAAUGCAGCUUCACUUUCAAUUUGUCUCUGAAACCGCUCCCUAUAAUCAAUCCUAGCAUUCUUAUGUGUUCUUAACUUCUGCAGCCUGAAUAUUUCUUCCUCGACAAUCAAAGUCAUAACAGUAUGAUUGGCUGGAGUAGCUUUCCUCCAGACCCCUCAUUAUAGUUAUAAAUAAUUCCGAUAUUUGAUAUCAUGAUCGGGGAUUUCAGAGCUUAGAAAAUAUGAUUUGUACCCAUAUGUGUCUGAUCAUGAGAAGUUUGAAAAUAUACAUCAAAAACUGUAUGGAUUGGAAAAAUAUAAUCUUAUUAUGGUGUGUUAAAUCGUCAUUUGAUGAACGGAUUUGGGAUACAUUAUAAUAUGAUGUCAUUAUUAAUUAGGGUGUGUUUUUGGAAGUGCUUAAUUAUAUUCGUUUAAUGUGUAUUUCUUUUAUCACUUUUGAAAAGAAUUCUUAAAUAUUUAAAUAUUUCAAUGUUUAUAUCUUAACUUCAAAUAUAAUAAAAUAAAAUAAAAUAACUGUUCUCCAAUAUGAGGGUCCGAACUAAGGGUCUACGUCAAUAACAUGAAAUAUAAUAAUUUUUGUAAAUUUUUCUUAAAUUCAAAAUAAAUUUUGUUACUGAUUCAAAUGUUUAACAAAAUGUGGCAGCUUAUCUGUAAUUGCCACAUCAAUUGAGAUUCAAAUUACUACUCAAAUCCUGAAAUUCCUAAAGGUCCCUAACAUUAAUAUUUUAUUAAGUCAAUAUUGAAGUUGAACUAUGGGGUUCGUCGGCUAUUUCACACUAACAGAGGAAUCAUUUUAUCUUCUACAAAGGGUUCAGUUUUCUUGCACUGUAUGAUAUGAAGUAAUAUUGUCAUAUGUUGUUCUGAAUUAAUUUUUUUCUUCUCUCGUGCGAAUCAGAAAGAAAUGUUGUAUUUAAGAUGUGGAAAGUAUAAGAUCUUAGGAGUUUUACAGUGUAUAUAUAUAUAAAUUUUUUUUUGACAAACAGAGAAAUUCAGUCUAGAAUAUGAGAACAAACUAAAAGCUACGAAAUACAUUGGCAUUUUUGAGAAGUAGGAUAAAUAUUAUUUUUUUUUUUGAAAAAAAAAGGACUUGGCACCUCAAUGCUUUAAUAACCUAAUGUUAUACUUUUGGUUUGAUUUUUCUAUGUACUCUCUUCCAAUGGUCAAUUUAGGCUAUGUUUGGUAUUGAGAUAUUAUAACUAAAAAAUUUUAGGAUUUAUCACUUAAAAGAUAGAGUAGCCGUGGGAAAAAAGAGAGAGAGAGCUGAAAUUAUGAAAUAAAAUUAUUAAUGUAUUGUAAAUAAGAUGUUCAAAUAAAAAAAUUGACAAAAAUAGUAAAAAUACAAUACCAAACAAGAAUUUAUUUAGGAUACCGAUUCCAGGUCUCUAAAGAUUUGUUUUUAUGCUUUGCAGUUAUUUUCUUCUAGCUGACUGAUGAAUUAUUGUGAAAUUGCUAUGAAAAUUACUAGGGAAAUUAUCAGUCAUACACUCUUAAAUGACACCCGUAUCAAAUAUGCUACAACAUUUUUCAAGUAUAUCACUCGUAUACUCUAAGUUGACAAAACACUUCUACCGUCCACCAAUAUGUUAACUUCUAUUAGAAAGUUAAUAGAAUUGUGGCAAAUUGACUAUUUCGUCCUUGAAACUCAAAAUGAGAUUAAAAAAAAUUUACCCAAAAAAUUAAAGUAAAUUUUCAAUACAUAAUUUUUUUUAAUUUCGUUAUUAACAAUACAUUUUUUUAUUAAAAAAUAUGAAUUAUUAAUGGUACAUAUUAUUAACAAUUAUCCAUAAAAAUAUCCAUAUUAUACCAUAAAAAAUUAUUAACAACAUAUUAUUUACAAUUAUACAUAUUAUACCAUAAAAAACUCCAAUUGGAGCUUGGAGGAGUAGAUCUUAAAAAAUUUAGGUUAAAUUUUGGAUGAGUAGAUUCGGUUGUAAAGUAGUUGUUUUUUUAUAUGUAAUUAUUAACAAUUAUCCAAUAAAUGGGAUGACAUGUCAUUUUAUCAAUAUAUAUCAUAUGACAUGUCAUUGCUUAAUAGGAAAAUGGGAUGACAUGUCGUUUUUAAAAAAGACUAUAUUUACCCUUAUGAUGUCAGCACUUGCAAACGGCAGUUAACGGAUUGGUGAACGGUAGAAAUGUUUUGUCAACUUAAAGUAUACGAGUGAUAUACUUGAAAAGUGUUGUAUCACGUUUGAUAUUAGUGUCAUUUAACGAUAUAUGACUGAUAAUUUUCCAAAUUACUACUAUAACUUAUGGCAAAUUGGCAAUUAAAAAUCAUAAAAGUCUUUCCUCUUGAAUGAGAAAGUGGGUUAUUUUCGUUUACUAUAUAUAUAGUGUCACAAUCAAGAUUAGCAAAGGUUUGUUCACAAACCACCAUCUAUGAAACUAUGAUGACAAAUAUUAUUUGCUAUUAUCAUGUCACUGCAUUACUCUAAUGCCAUUAUUUGCCUAAUUAAAUAUUCAUGUCGGUUUUAAGAUGAAUUUCAAGACAUUUAACUAACCAUAUCUAUUGUAUUUUAUUAUGGUGCUCUAGCUAGCUGGUUGCCAGCUUUGCCUUUCAAUGGGGUUUGAUUAAUUACUCUGCAUAUAGACCAUUAUAUACUAGGACGGCCAAUGGUUAAUGUAAUAUAAACACAAUAAAUUUUAAUCAAAUAUGAAUUUUCUGAAUAAUUGUUUCUUUAUUUUAUGAAUUUUAUUUAAACGAUAUCCCAAUUUAAAAAAAAAAAAGAAAGAAAGAAAAUCAGCGCGUUUGUCUCCUCCCCAUUGUCAUGAUCAACCUUGUUGGAAACGUUGGUGAGAAAAGUAAUACUAUACGUUAAUUGCUUUUAAUAUUUUAAUCGUUGGUGGCACAACCGCACAAGAAAGUAAAAGUUGUUAUAUAUAUAUAUAUUUUAAAUAAAAGUUUAGCUUUCAAUAAUUCAACUUUGAAAAAGGUACAAAAGAUGUGUAGGACAUUCGUUGAACCACAUUAUUGGUUGUACACUUUCUAAAGCUACUUUGGCUAUGGAAUAGGCCAUGAUUAUGAAGCCGAGAAGUAUGUUGCAGUGUGGGGUUGUGUAGUUCCUUUUAGCUUCUUCUUACAAAUUAAUGCUGACAGAAAAAGCAAGAUCAUAUUCCACAAAAGUAAAAGUAACAAAACAACCAGCUGGAAUCUUUUAUUAAACUACGAUAAACUACAAAUUAAAGUGGAUUCUUUUGAAUACAAGUGGGAUAGACGAUUGGCUCUUUUAUUAAAGGCCAGUAGUCAAGAAUCGAAUAUCUCGAUUGCAUAGUCUUUUUCAAAUUCUUGUUUUAUUAUUUUUCAAAACUAAUUUUUUAUUAGUCUACAAUUAUUUAUAAUUAUAUUUUCAUUUAGAAUACAGUUCAAGUCAAAUCUUUUGCACUUCUACCUAACUCGGGCUAAUACUAGUCCACUCAUUAUUCAUGUGAGAGAGUUGUAAGGUACAUGCAUGUAACUUCUCUAACUCGAAUUAUUCCACACAGAGAAAUAAACAUAGAUGCUUUAUAACUUUAGAAAUCCGAUCUCUUACAGUUGGAAACAGAGAUGAUGAUUACUAUAAGAAUGAAGAAAAAGAUAAAAAAUUGUCAAUGAUUAACGAAGUCUCUAUGCAAAUUUCUCUAUGCAAAUUGAUUUUAGCAGAAAAAUAGUGAGUUGAAUGAUGUAGGCGAUUAGUGGUAAUAUUUCAUAGAGUUAGAGUAUUGGCAACCCUUCAAUCUUCUCAUGAAUCCCCUUUUUGAGUUAUAGUUAUUUUAUUUCGAAAUAUCCUUUUUCUUCUUUAAUACACUUCUAAUUUUUCAUUUAAUUUUUUUAUUGUUAAACUCAAAGUAUUAUUGUGAUAUUUUUCGUUUCUUUUGUAAUCUUAUUAUAAUUAAAAAAACCAAAAAAAAAGAUUGGCUAUGAAAUUUGUUGGAAAAAAUCUAUGUGCGUUUAAUUUUUGUUUGUCUUUGACUGUAAUUUAUUUGAAGUGGGGUUUUAUAAGCAUAAUGAAGGGAUCAAAGGAUGCCCAUAACUUCACUCUAUUUUAUAUGGAGAAAAGUAAAAGGUACACCUAAAGUUAAUGGAAAGUACUUCGCAGCUUUCUUUUGAUUAUAAUAUCCUUUAAUUUAAUUAACUUAAAAAUUUUGACUUUAAUAAUUUAUAAUAAAUUAAAUUAUAAUCUUAAAAUAAAUAUAAUAAUAUAUUUUAAAAUAAUCUCUAUAUUUAAAAUUUAUUUAUUUUCACAUUUUAUAUAAAUUUUAUAAUAAAGACAAACAUACUAUUAAAAUAAUAUAUAAAAAAUUUAAAAGUAUUUUGAAUAUUAUAUAAAAUAACUAUAACAUUUUUUAAUACAUGAGAUAUAUUUUGUUAAUUUAAAAUUCUAUUUAAUCCAAAGAUUUAUUUAAGAUAAAUUAAUAAUAAUAUUUUUGAAAUUAUUUGAAAUACUAAAAAAUAUUUUAAUAUUACUAGUCUAUUAAAUAAAUUAAAUAUAUUUAAUAGACUAGUAAUAUUCUGAAAAAUAAUAAAAGAAGAAUUAAAAAAAGACUAGACAAUAGAGAUAUUCGAUUCUUUUAAAGCAAAUCGUAAUAUUCCACAAAGGAGUAAGAUCCACAAAAGCAAACAACCAGUUGGAUUCUUUUAAAGUGGAAUCGUUUAUUAAACAACAAAUUAAUGUUCAAAUAUUUAAAUAGCAGUGCAUUAGACGAUUAGACUGUCUUAUUAAAGGCGAGUAUAAAGUAGUCAAGAAUCGAAUAUCUCUAUUGUCUAGUCUUUUUUUAAUUCUUCUUUUAUUAUUUUUCAGAAUAGGUUUUGGUGAUUACAAUGGGUUAUUAUUCAGAGUUAUUGUUAUCUUCCGGGUCAAUUUCUGUUCAUCGAAGUCGUUAAUUCAAAUUUUAGAACUUUUAUCAAAAGAAUGUUUUUCGUUAUCUUUUUUAUGGUCUAAUUCCAAUUGUAAGAAGUAGUCAUUUUAAAAUUUGGGUCUUGAAUCGAAUUUCAGUGCAUGAAUUAAUAUUAAAAAAAAAUCACUACACACAGUUUAGGCUGCAGACUACUUUUUGCAAAUUUGACUCUGAAAAUUGGAGAAAUUAAGUAAUUUAGAAUGUUUGCAAAGAAAAAGACUAACAUACUUCCUAUUACACUAAAUCUCUAUUAUCAUAAUGUUGAGACUAAACUAACUUAAAUACGUUUUAUUUGAAAAGCUAUAUUAAAUGCAGCCUAAUUUUAUUAACCUGAAGAGCUAAUAGAAGUGUAGUUAUAAAAAUUAUAUUCUGACUUAAUUAGUACAAGUGAUAUAAAGGUUAAGUGUGCACUAUAUUUAAUAAUUAAUUAAUGGAGCAUGUUAAAUAAAAUGAUAAUUUAUAUUUAUAUAAUGUUAGGAAUAUGUAAAGUCUAAGUCCACAAGUUGCAUUAUCUUUAAUAUUUUCUCUCAAUUAAAUUCUAAAAAUACUUUACAAUUAUUUAGUAACAACUGUAAAUUAAGAAUAAAUUAUUGUCCCAAACAACAUUAAAAAAUAUUUUAUUCCAUUUGAAUCCUUUAAUUUUUUUUACAGUAUAUAGAUAAUUAUUACUAUGUGAAUGUAAGUUUCUUAAGAUGGGACCUAUAACAAUUUAGAACUUAUUACAACGGGGAGUUUAUUAGGACCAAAAUUUUUUAUGAGUACAUAAAGUUAUCUUGUAUAGAAUAUUAGUAUAUAGAUGUUUUACUGUAAUUAGUCUAGAACAUUUAAAAAAAAAAAACAUAUACCGUCCCUUGGAUGUAGCUCUUGGGUGACCAUGAAUGUUCUUUGUUCCACAUACGNNNNNNNNNNNNNNNNNNNNNNNNNNNNNNNNNNNNNNNNNNNNNNNNNNNNNNNNNNNNNNNNNNNNNNNNNNNNNNNNNNNNNNNNNNNNNNNNNNNNACCCUCUAUGGGAAUAAUCUAUUUAGUUAUAAAAAAUUAUGAUCCCAAUUUAGACUAGUUAUAAAUAACAACAAAUUCCACUUUGUAAUAAAUUAUAUUUUUUCUAUAUCUUAUCUUAAGAAACUUAUCUCUACAUAGUAAUAAUUAUUUGUAUAGGUAAGAAUGGAUCAAGAUCCUCUCCUGAUCUGAGCACUCCUGAUCUUUUACAGAUCUUAUACCACCUGUGUUUUACUGUUAGUGGAUGAUUAUGAUUUGACUAUUUUUUCUUUUUAAUUUAUUAAUCACCAAUUAUAUUAAUAAAAUUUGCUCAGAUGAAGAUCAGAUCAAGAAAGGAUCCUGAUCCAAUAAGAAUACAUGUUAUAUUAGACUAAAGGAACUUGUCUGCACAUAACGAUUAGACAACGAGCGAAAAUUAUUAAAGCGAAUGCAAAUAAUUAGAAUUUUUUAAGAUGACUUUGUAUAUUCACAAUAAUAAUUGAUAGAUACAUGUACCAACGUUUUAAUAUAUUUGACAUCCUCCAUUAAUAAAUCAUUGAUGUAAUAUAGACUUUAUCUCUAUAUCCUCACACUACGGACAACUAAGUCAUAAUAAUAAUUUUUGUAACUACAUCUCUAUUACUUCCUCAUAAUAAUAAGUUAAUUUGAUCUCUACAUUAUGACUAUGGAGAUUUUAUUGUAUAGGGACACCCAAUAUAAAUAGUAUCCCAACUAAAAUUGUCCCAAAAAAAAAAUCGCUAAAGGAUAAUUAUAAUUUUUUUUCACUUCUCAAACGUUGGUGGCAGUUGUAAGCUAAGUUGUCAAAUAUAUUAAACUACAAGUGCUGCCACCAAGUGCGAUGCUCUUUUCUAAAGAGAAGUACAGUGGGUCCCGAAUAGGACGUGCUUAAAUCUGUUUAAAUUUUUCCAGUAUAACUAACAGAGGUCAUUACUAGAAUUAUAUUACUAGCCUAUUAGAUAGAAAAAAUUAGUUAUAUUAUUUUAUAUUUAUUAAAAAAGUUUAAAGUUAAUCUUUUUAAUUACUAUUUAAAAGAUAUUAUAAUAAAAAAAUAGUGUCUUUACUAAAAAUUUAGAAAUUUAUUUGACCGUUCUCUAAACUUUAUUUAAUAUUAUUGAUUUAAAUAAUAUCUAAAUUAAAAAUGUACAGAGAAGAAAUUUCGGUGGGUAUAUUAGUCUUUUACUUUUAACGUUAGUGGCCUUCUUAUAUUUUAUUACAAAUUAAUCCUAACAAGAAAAAGCUAGAUCAUAUUCCACAAAAGCAAGAGUGACAAAACAUGAAAACAACCAACUGGAUUCUUUUAUUAAACUACAAAUUAAAAUUGUUUUUUUUAAUAAACUAUAAAUUAAAGCGGAUUCUUUUGAAUACAGGUGGGACAGACUUAAGCUCUUUUAUUAAAGGCAAGUAUAAAGUAGUCAAGAAUCGAAUAGUCUUUUUCAAAUUCUUGUUUUAUUAUUUUUCAAAACUAAUUUUUGGUAAUUACACUCGGGUCAUUAAUCAUUAUUCAGAGUCAUUGUUAUCUUCGGAGACAGUGGGUAAAAGAUAAUUACUGGCUGUUUUUCCUUCAAAAGUUAGUGGCUCAUGUUUGCAAGUGUGAAUGUGCGAUGCUCUUUUUCCAAAUGCAAUUACAGUGGGUCCCGAAUCGGAGGAUAAAAAUCCUUUUAGUUUUUGUAUUUUAAGAUUAGUAUAUAUUUAGUCUUUAUAUUUUUAAAAAUACCUCGAAACAUUCAUGCCGUUAAAGUAUUGAUACCACUACCAUUACUUUUCAUUUCUUUUAACUUAAUUUUACAAUAUUACCCUUUUAUAAUAAUUUUUUUAGACAUUAAUAAAAAAUAAUUAAAUCACUAAUUUAACUCUAAAAAAUAAAAAAAUUAUAUUAAUUUUUUUGCAAGCACCGUUUGCACACUUGGUAGGUUGCAUACAAUUUUUGAUAAUUAAAAAUUAAUAUAAAUUUUUAUUUUUAUUUUUAGGGUUAAAUUGAUAAUUUAAUUAUUUUAUUUUUAUUAAUGUACAAACAAAAAAAUUAUUAUUAAAGGGUAAUAUUGUAAAAAUAAGCCAAAAGAAAUGAAAAAUAACGGUAGAAGUAUCAAUACUUUAACGACAAGGAUGUUUCUAGAUAUUUUUAAAAAUAUAGAGAUUAAAUGAAUACUAAUCUUCAAAUACAGGAUUAAAUAGAAUUUUACCCCGAAUCGAACGUGCCUAAAUCUUUUUAAAAUUUUUGCCGUACAACGGACAGAGGUCAUUACUAAAAUUUCUCUUCCACAGCCCACAUCAGCUUCAGGAAUCAGUUUAUCAAACUCAAUCAAUUUUCUUUCUUAACAAAAUUCCAAAGAUGUGUAGCAUUUUUCAGAUCACAUGCGAUGGUGCUUUUUUCAAUCGUUGCUUGGAUUGCUUUCUUGGAAAAGCAGCAUACACACGUAACCUCCAAGAUAAUCUUGUGGCCUUGCAGACUGAAUUAAUGAAACUAAACGCAGCAAAGGACGAUCUGAUGAGGAGGGUCGUCAAUGCUGAACGUCAACAAAUGAGAAGGCUGGACGGAGUGCAAGUGUGGGUUUCGAGGGUGGAUGCUGUUACAACUGAAGCUAAUGAACUUAUCAGAGACGGCUCUCAAGAAAUUGAAAAAUUAUGUCUUGGAGGGUUCUGUUCCAGGAACUGCACGUCAAGCUACAAGUUUGGGAAACAAGUGGCUAAAAAGCUACGAGAUGUGGAGGCUUUAUUUGCCGAAGGGGUUUUUGAGGCGGUGGCUACCAAGGUGGUGCCUGAGAGAGCUCCAGAGCCUGUAGCAGAUGAAAGACCUGCCGAGCGAACAGUAGUAGGCUUGCAAUCACAACUUGAACAAGUCUGGAGAUGUCUUGCAGAAGAAUCAGCGGGAAUCAUUGGCCUAUAUGGUAUGGGCGGUGUUGGUAAAACUACACUAUUGACCCAUAUCAACAAUAAAUUUCUCGAGAGUCCAACCAACUUUGAUUGUGUGAUUUGGGUAGUAGUUUCAAAAGACCUGCGACUCGAAAAAAUUCAAGAAGAUAUUGGGAAAAAGAUAUGUUUGGUUGAUGAUGAUUUGUGGAAGAGUAAAAUUUUUGAAGAGAAAGCUGUAGCCAUCUUGCGGAGAUUAGGAGAGAAGAGAUUUGUAUUGUUGUUAGAUGAUUUAUGGGAGCGGGUUGAUUUAACAAAAGUGGGCGUUCCACUUCCCAGACCAAAAAAUACUACCUCAUAAGUCGUAUUCACAAGCCGUUUCAUCGAUGUUUGUGGUAGCAUGGAAGCUGGCAGGAAGUUCCAAGUAGCAUGCUUAUCAGAAAAGGAUGCUUGGGAACUGUUUCAAGAAAAAGUUGGGGAAGAAACUCUUGAGAGUGAUCAUGAUAUCGUUGAGCUAGCCCAAACCGUGGCCAAGAAGUGUGGUGGUUUGCCACUCGCACUUAUUACUAUUGGUCGAGCUAUGGCCAUCAAAAAGACAGCCGAGGAGUGGAGACAUGCAAUUGAAGUGUUAAGACGAUCAGCUUCAGAGUUUCCAGGUUUGGGAAAAGAGGUGUAUCCUCUUUUAAACUUUAGCUAUGAUAGUUUGCUGAAUGAGACGAUUAGAUCUUGUUUCUUAUAUUGUUGUUUAUAUCCUGAAGAUUAUGGCAUUCUUAAAUGGGACUUGAUUGAUUGUUGGAUUUCUGAGGGAUUCUUAGAGGAAUCUAAUAGGUUUGGUUGUUAGAGUGCAAUUUAUGCACUAGUUUUGCAUUAUUUACUUCCCUUAAUAUCAAUGUUUUGCACUUAAUAAUAGUGAUUUACUUGUGUUUUACUUUUGUAGGUGCAAUUCUAUUGAUUGAUGAUAAAAUUGAGCUAUAAGAUGAUGUUUAAGGAUGAUUGUUCUCUUGAAGAAAUUAUGAGCGUCAGAAGAACUUUGUUGAUAAGGCGUGGGCGCGUGCUGUCAACUGCGGACCUGCAGUUUUAGUUUAACGUGUUUUGUAUUUUUGGUUAUUUUUGUAAUUACGAAUUUAAUAUUUCAGAUAUUAGGAUUUUAUUUUAAAUAGAAUUCUAAAAGAGAAGAGAGAGAAAGUAUUUAAGGGAGGAAUCUAUUGUGAAAGGGGGAUUUUGGAUUGGAGAAAAAGAAACCCUAGAUCUAAUUUUUCUCUUCUCUCUAUGAGGAACUAAACCCAUUUUUCUGGUUGAAGGUUAAUGAAGCUUUGAUUCAUCACUACUGUGAGAUCUUUCUUGUGCUUUAAUUGUUUUAUUACUUUUUGGGUAUUUGUUUAUUCUCUGAAUUAUUUUCAUGAUUAUGUUUGUUAAUUAGGUAAUUGGCCACUAUUUAAUUAUCAACUUAAUCUAUUGUCAAUUAAAGGAUUCAUCGUAUGAAGAAUUUAAUGUUUGUGACAAAUAACAUAGCAGAGAGUUGUGUUGUGAGAAUAAACAAUCUAAUUUAAAUGAAUCAUCAUAUGUGUUGAUUAGGAUUUGGGUCUCUCUGGUUUUUCAGGCUGUCAAUUGAUUAAAUUCUAUGAUCGUAUCUAGGGUUGUCUAUUGAUUAGGGAAAUAACCAACGGUCGUACCUUGGUUAUCGACUAGUUAAGGAGAGAUUGGCUAUUAGAGGGUCUCAGUAGCUAUAACCGGUCUAUUCAUGAGUAAUAAUAAUCUAUAUUUGAAUCAAUGAUCAGUAGUCGAAUCAAGCUGAGUUAAUUCCUUCAACCAGAGCUUUCUCCAAUUUGAAUUACAACUUUAAUUUGCAUUCUUGUUAUUUUAAUUUGAUUUUUAUUAUUGUCAACAAUUCCCCUAUUUUACGUUUUACGUUUCAAAAGGAUUUAAUUAAUUACCGAUCUCUGUGGACACGACCCUGCUCAAUCACUAUACACAAUUUAUUUAGAGUAGGAAUUUACUUUUGUUGGCUUCGACACCCAUCAUUGGUGCAGAAAACCGAGGAUACUACAUUGUGGGCACUCUUGUUCAUGUGUGUUUACUAGAAGAGAUAGAAGAUGAUAAAGUAAAAAUGCUUGACGUUGUUCGUGAUAUGGCUCUAUGGAUAGCUUGUGAAACUGAGAAGGAGAAGAUAAACUUUUUGGUUUGUGCAGGUGCUGGAUUAGAAGAGGCACCGGAUGUUAAAGAAUGGGAAAAUGUGAGAAGAUUGUCAUUGAUGCAAAACCAAAUUGAAACUCUGUCAGAGGUUCCCACAUGCCCUCAUUUCGUCACUUUAUUUCUUGACUUUAAUGGGGAGUUGAAGAUGAUCGCGGAUGGCUUCUUCCAACUUAUGCCUUCUCUCAAAGUUUUGAAGAUGUCAAACUGCUGGAAUUUGAAAUUUCUUGUUGGGAUGUCAAAGUUGGGUUCGCUACAGCUUCUUGAUAUUUCACAGAACGCCAUAGAAGAGUUACCAGAAGAGUUGAAGUUGUUGAUAAAUCUGACAUGUUUGAAUUUGAGGGGGACAGGCCAAUUAAAUAAAAUUCCACGGCAACUAAUAUCAAAUUUUUCAAGGUUACGUGGGUUAAGGAAGUUCAUAACGUGUGCAAGCAGUCAACUCAAGGUUAGCACGUGGGAGAAUUUGCUGAGCUAAAGUUAGUUAAAUAAGCAAUGCCAGCUCAACAAAUUCAGUCAAGGUUUACUGAGAUUUUAUUCCUAUUGUUUUCUUUUCUGUUAACAAUGUAUAAAGGUGUUCUUUGUACUCAUUUGAUCAUUAAGAAAAAAAGAAAUAAAAUCUAGAAUAUUCUCUGAAGUUUUCUCAGUAAAACAGAGUAAAUUUUCUCAGUAACUAAACAGUAUAUAUCAGUGGAAUUUACGUUUUAUAACAUGGUAUCAGAGCCAAACAGUAACCAGCAAACAAUGAUGAGAAAUCUAGCAAUCAAUAAUACACAUCAACACACUCAAAUCAAUUUCUCUUUCACGAAUCCAAUUAAACUAGAUCGAUCAAACUACCUGCUCUGGCGUUCACAAGUUCUGGCUUCGAUUAGAGGUAAUCGACUAGAAGACUUCAUAACUAGAAUCAAAUCAACAUCUGAAGAAAAUAUUUUGUUAGCUGGAGUUGAUGGAUCUACACAACAAAUUGAGAAUCCUGAGUAUCAGAUCUGGAGAUCACAAGAUCAAAUUCUUCUUGGUUGGCUACUGUCAACCUUAAGUGAAGGUAUCCUUAGUCUUGUUAUUAACUGUAAAAGCUCAUUUUCUUCAGCUCAGAUAUGAACUGAACACUCUUAAAAAGGAGUCUCUUAGUAUUGAAGAUUAUUGUGUUAAAAUGAAAGCAAUAGCUGAUAAGCUUGCUAGUGCUGGUAGCUCGAUAACAGAAAAGGAUCUAAUGCUAACCAUACUCAAUGGAUUAGGAUCAGGAUAUAGUGAUAUUGCUACUUUCAUAACUGGUUCACGAAUGGAAUUUGAUGAUACUUAUGCAUUAUUGCUCACUCAUGAAACUAGGUUGGAACAAGAUCAUGAUGAUAAGAGUAUGUUCAAUGCUAACUAUGCAUAUACUAAUGCAUUUCAUCCUAAGGUUUAUUAUGCACAGCCUAGAGGAAAUUUUAAGAGAGGAGGUUAUUAUGGUGGUAGGAAUGUUUUCUCUGGUAGAGGGAAUAUGAAUUUUUCUCCAAGAAUGUUUAAUGGAGGUUUUAGAAGUGGUUUUGGUAGAGGAUAUUAUGUUGGUAAUCCUUUUAAUGGUAAUAAUUCUUUAGCACCAAAGAAUUCAUCAUCUGUUAUCAAGAAUGGAUCACAGAGAACUUUUAAUAACAAUCCAGGGGACUCAGUAUGUCAGAUUUGUCUCAAACUUGGUCAUACUGCUGAUAUUUGUUGGCAUAGAUUUGUUGAAGAUUAUGUGCCAAUGCCAAGGGGUUUUUAGAAAAGGAAAAGCACCCAGAGCAGCAUCACUACUAGAAAAAUAGCUUUUACUGAUACUUGUCUUGUGAUACUUUUCUAAAAAGUAUCAGCAAUUACAUAUAUUUGGGCCAUUUUCCGUGUUUAACAAACAAGUGUCACAAAUUACUGAUUCUAUGAUGUUUGUAUAUUAAACAUCAGAGAUCGUCGACACUAAGGUAUCAGAAACAACAAAAAAAAAUAAAAAAUCUAUUUUUGUUUUAGUUGCGACUCGAACCUAGGACCUCAAAACUAAAGUGCUUUAUGUUCAACCAACAAACCACCAUGCCAAAUUCAUAAAUUAGUUUGUGUUGAACAUGUUGAAAUUAUCAAAUUAAAUUAAUAUAGAAAACAAAAAUAUAAAAGCAAAAGAAAAAAACCCUAAAUCAACAUAAACAUAAAAUUCCCUAACUCCUAAAUCCAUGGCCAGCCGCCUCAUCUCUCUGGCGAUAUCCUUCUUCUUCUUCAUACCUCUAAAACUUCGAGCCCUAAAAUUCAAGGGUCCAUGUCAUAAGAAAUCCUACCACCACUGCUCAAAUUCUAACACCCAUACCAUACGAAACCCUAAUGAUCUACAUUAUGCAAAACAUCCACCAUGCCGCUAUGCCACAAGCUCACAAGACCCGCUUUAGAUCUCCACAUUUUGCUCACCCUACUCGAGUGCACACCGCCCCUCUCGCUUCGACUUCUCGGGAUUUCUUGUUAGCUGAAGUUUUGUUUUCUUCCGCUAAUUCGAUCUUCGAAAGGUCUCGGAGCUCCAAGUAACUAAGUAAGCUCGGUUUUCUUCUAUUCUCUCAGAUACUUGCUUACACAUUCCUUUUUUUUUCGUGUUAAAUUUUGUUGUUUCGUUGUGUUAUAUGGAUCGAUGAGAGUCACAGACUUUGACGAGACAAUGACGAUAUUGUUUUGGAGUUUCGUUUCGUAGAUCUGUGAUAGAGUCUCCUUUUUCAGAUAUUUCCUUUCAUUUACCAUAUUUGCACAAUUUGUUUUGUCAUUAAAUUAUUUGCGUUUGAAUGUACAAUUUUUGUUUUCGUUUUAUAUUUUCAAAUACUGUUUCUUGGAGCGAAUUAGUGGAGGAAUUUUUGGUUGAAGCAGAGGAUGGAUAACUUUUGUAUUUUGAACUUUGUAUGUUAUUUAUUAUUUGAACUUGAAGCUAAAAGGUGACCAAAUUUUCCAAAGGUUAGGGUUUGGUUGGCUUAUGUGAAAAUGCCGAACGAAUGUGUAUUAUUCAUACUCCAAUAUUGUAGGUGCGUCAAUGCACCUCCUUGCGAUGGUUGCAGCAACGAAACUGUAGGUCAAGGUUUGGGUACCCCAUUUCCUUCAAAGAUCCAAUAUGGAGCAACUCGAGUCGAGCUUUUUCGGUCAAUUUAAACAAAACCUUUACUCCUAAUUUAUUGUCUUUUGCUUUCUGUUUGUACCUGUAGGAGUUCAUAUUUUGUAAUGUUCCGUAAGUGUCCAAUAACUGGUUAAAUUAUGACUUAUGCUAGGUGAAGAUUUUGUGUUACAAUCCCCUUCAAUAGGCAAUCACUCUUUUUGUAAAUGUUCAUGGGUAAUUGCUUUGCCUUUGCUUCUGUUGUACUUUUGUUUUUGUGGGGUUUUAGUUAAUGGAUGUUGAGUUAUAUUUCAAUCAGUUUGAUUUCUCUGCAUAUUUUUCAUAUUUUAGUAUUAGAAGAGGUAUUUAAUCAAAUGAAGACAAAAACAAUUGUCGGCCAACCAACAAACUCACUUUAGUUUGUUGUGAAAUGAUUUUCUCUCUCUCUCUCGAUUUUCACUGGUUCUGUGGUUUUUUCCCUUCCACAAUGUGAUUUAGUUCUGUUCUAUUUAUGGAUGUUACCAACAUUUUAGCUUUUAAGAAACAGACAAAAAGAUUCUGAAGUUUGUUUCUUGUUUCUUACUCUGAAUUUCCAAGGCAUCUUAUUUGGAGAAAUGCAUUCUGAAUGGAGAAAUUUCUCCAAAUUUAUGAGAUGUGGUUCUGUCUUGCUGAAUGAACAUUGUAUUUCCUUCAAUGGUUUGCGAGCCAUUAAGUUAUUUGAGCAAACAAAAUUAGCAAUAUGGAAUCCUGUUUCUACAGGAUUAUAGUUGUAGGACUCUAGAAUUUAGUCUAGGUAAUGUUUUUACCAUUGUAAAAAGUAUCUGACAUUGGUGAUGUUUAAGCAUAUGUGUCAUUUCUUUUGGGCUUCACUUUGGAUCCUUUUUUUCUUUUUUUACAAACAAUGGAUGGUUAAAACCUAAGAGACUGAUUGAUUUUUGUUUUAAAUCCAGUGGUUAUGCCUUGUAAACUUUUGAGUUGUAUCAAUUUCUUUUCCUGGCCUAACUUGGCUAAAUUUAUGCUAUAUAAUUGAAUUCUACAAAUUUUGGCUAUGUAUGAUGUAAAGGUCAUAAGUCUUGUAUCUUCAUUUGUUCACCACAGGCUUGAUACUUCACAACUACCAUAAGUUAUGUCAUGCCAUGUCUUCUUUAGCAAUAUUGUGUGGCUUUGAGUAGUAUUAAUGUUUUUGUUUGUUAAUUCACGACUUAAUGGAACCAUUUUCCUUAUAAUCGAGAACCUUCGUGCGAGUGUUGUGGAGAAAUCUUAUGAUUCAUGUGUAGGUGUGUUUGCUUAAUGUGAUGACUUUUAUUAUGUGUUGUAGUUCUUGUGUCUAUAAGAGGAACCUUUGCUCCUAUGUCUAUUUAUCUCCGACUUUCAGUUUAGGCGUAAAUAGGUUACUCUUCUUUCUUUCUCAUUUUUUAAUUUCUAUGUUCUCCUAUGUCUAUUUACAUGGACUGCUUUGCUGCUUCUCUGCAGUGAAAACAACCCUGGUAAUUUACAGGAGCUUUUUUCACUUCAGAACAAUAGCAAGACAUCCCCUGCAGAUUUUUUAUUGAUUUUGCAUAGAUUGGUUUGUUGCUUUGGGUUGGAAUGCUACUGGAUAUAUGUCAGAAUUAUAGCGCUAUUGGAAGAUGGUGGGUUGUUGCAUAUGAGUUGGAGUGUUCCUGGGUAUGUAGCUAGAAUUAGAGUGCUGUUGGAAGAUGGUAUUGCUACUGGAAGUUUUGCUCAAAAACUUGUCGUUGGAAUACUUGCAUUAAUUUUUGGAAAUUUUAUUGGGUAACUUGGCUAGGUGGCUGAAAUUUUAAUUGCUUUUGUGUAUUGAAGCAUUUGGAUUGUGUAAUAUAUAUUGAUAAUAUUUAAAUGUUAUGAAAGGUUUUGAUAAAUAAAUUGAUUUUUGUUCUUAUUUCUCACAGCCUUUUAAUUCUAUCAACAAAUCAAUGGGUAAUGUCAUUUUGUAUAAUUAUUUUUUUAAAUAAUACAUAAAGUAGUGAUACUAUAGUAACAGUAUCACAAAUACUAAUAUAGUAUUGUAAUAUUUUGAUACCAUGGUGUUAUGAUUUUAAUGAUACUAUAGUAAUAGUAAUUACUGACACCACUUACAAGUGUCACUAUUUUUCUGACUGCCAGAUUACUGACACAAUUAGCAAGUGUCACUAAAAGUAAUUACUGACACUAUUCUAAUGUCAGUAAAGACCAUUUUUCUAGUAGUGCAUAUCUGUCAAAUUUUGAUGGUUCUGUUUCAAAUCCAAACUUUGAAGAUUAUGAGAACUUCAACUAUAUGCCUUCAGCUUAUAAUCCUAUGUCUGGCAAUAGCUAUUAUUCUGGUUUUGAUGCUUGUACUCCUGGAGUAGCAUUUAUGGCUAACUUUGAAGGAGUUGCUAAUGAUGAAUGGUACUUGGAUAGUGGGGCAACUCACCAUCUGGACAACAACAUGGAGAGCUUGCAGAUCAGUGAGGAGUUUAAGGGUACUGAUUAGCUCAUAAUUGGUAAUGGUCAAGGUUUGUUUAUCACUAAUGUUGAUUUUGCAUUUCUGUCACAAAGAGCAUCAAAUUACUUAUCUGCACAUUCCAGAAUAGCACUUAAGGAUAUAUUACUUGUUCCAUCAAUUACCAAAAAUCUACUAAGCAUUUCCAAAUUGACAUCUGAUAACCCUAUAACUGUUGAAUUUUGUGGGAAUGUUUGUUUUGUGAAGGACAUGAAUAGACAAGUUCUGCUGCAGGGACUUGCCGAAAAAGGUCUAUACAAGCUGCUGCUGAGUUCUAAUUCCUCUUCUUCAUUUCCUUCAUCUCAUCUUUGUCAUACUCAACUAAAUAAUUAUGUCUCAAUGUUGUCUAGCUUUCAAAGCUUUGAUAAUCCUUCUAAAGUUUGUUAUCAUUCUGUUUUCAAUAAAUGCAAAACCAAAUAUGAUGUAAUGACAUUGUUACAUAGAAAAUUUGGUCAUCCAAGUUCAAUGAUUCUGAUGCAUUUAGCUAAGUCUUGCAAGCAAUUAAAAAUCUCUCAAAAAGAUAUUCUAUCUUGUACAAAUUCUUUGUGUGAGGCAUGUCAGUUAGGCAAAGUUCACAGGCAAAGUUUUCCAGCAACUGAAACAAAAACAAAAGGAGUAUUAGAACUGAUUCAUACUGAUAUCUAGGGACCUUCACCCACUGUAUCUAGAAAUGGAUACAAGUAUUACAUUAGUUUUGUGGAUGAUUACACUAGAUACACCUGGAUCUAUCCACUUAAGCUUAAAUCACAAGCAUUUGAAGUUUUCAAACUGUUCAAGGCACAAGUUGAAAAUUAGUUUAAUACCAAGAUUAAGGAAUUACAAUCUGAUCUGGGGGAGAGAGUUUAGAGUAUUCAGUAAUUUCCUAAGUCAAAAUGGAAUCAAGUUUAGACAUUCAUGCCCUUAUACUCAUCACCAGAAUGGUCUUGUUGAGAAGAAACAAAGACACAUAAUUGAAUUAGCAUUAACACUCUUAGCUCAAGCUAAUCUCCCUUUUCAGUUUUGGUGGAAAGCUGUUCACACAGCAACAUAUCAUAUUAAUAGGUUACCAACACCUGUUCUUAAGCUUUUAUCUCCUUAUGAAAAGCUCUUUAAACACAAACCAGAUUAUUCAUUUCAUAAGUGCUUUGGUUGCCUAUGUUAUCCAUAUAUGAGAGAUUUAAAUAAACACAAAUUUGAUUUUCACACCACCAAAUGCAUCUUCAUUGGCUAUAGUCAUUCUUACAAGGGUUAUAAGUGUUUAACAAGCUCAGGAAAAAUUCAUAUCCUAAGGCAUGUUAUCUUUGAUGAAAAUACAUUCCCUUACUUAACAAACAAAGUCUUUCAUUUAUCCGAGAACAGUUCAAAUUCUGAAAUAUCAGUGUCAAACUUUUCCCAGUAACAAAUUUAUCAUCUCUCCACAUUAUCCUUAACUGACAGCAGCUUGGAAGAUCUUCAAUCAGCAAGUUCAGAAAGCAAUGAACAAGUACCUUCUGUUUCUGCACACACAAAUAAUCUGCAUCAACAAGAGCAUUCUCAAGAGCAUUCCUCAUCAACUAUACCAUUAUCACCAACACAACAACAAACUGAAUCACAACCACAAAAUGAACCACAUCUAUCUACUUCCUAGCACAUAAAUCAAACUCAAACUAGAAACCUUCCUUCACAACCAUCACAUUCAAUGGUAACCAGAUCGAAAAUAUGGAAUCUUCAAGCCAAAAGUUUACAUAACCACCUUAACCAACAAAGAACCCAGUACUGUUCAAGAAGCUCUAAGUGAUCAGAAUUGGCAUCAAGCUCUGAAAGAUGAAUAUGAAGCUUUGCUUAGGAAUGAAACAUGGUCACUAGUACCAUUUUCAGAGGUAUACAAGGUUGUUGACAGUAAAGGGGUUUUCAGAAUUAAACAAAACACAGAUGAGAGUGUAGCUAAAUACAAAGCCAGGUUAGUUGCAAAGGGUUUCCAGCAAACUAAUGGUGUUGACUACUUUGAGACCUUUAGUCUUGUGGUAAAGGCCUGCACAGUAAGAAUUAUUUUUAGUUUGGCUGUGAUGAACAAGUGGAAAAUAAGGCAAGUGGAUGUCAAUAAUGCAUUCUUAAAUGGAGAAUUGACUGAAGAUGUUUACAUGUAUAAGCCAGAAGGUUUCAUUGAUGAGAAAAAGUCCAGUUAUGUAUGCAAGUUGAAGAAAGCCCUGUAUGGCUUAAAACAAGCUCCUAGAGCUUGGUAUGAUAAGUUGAAAAACCGUCUGAUAAGUUGAAAAACUGUUUGAUAAGUAAUUGGGGUUUUCAAAAUUCCAGAGCUGAUACUUCUCUCUUCUUCAAAGAGAUUCAAGGCUCAAUAAUACUUGUGCUUAUAUAUGUGAAUGAUAUACUUAUUACAGGGCCUGACAUUGGAGAAUUAGAGAAGUUUAUCUUAGAAUUCAGUAAGACAUUUGCUUUAAAGGAUCUAGGAAUACUAUCAUACUUUCUUGGGAUAGAAGUCUCUUAUGCUGAUGGUUGUAUGUACUUAUCUCAGAGAAAGUAUAUUAAUGAUCUCUUGUCUAAAGCUGAUAUGUUGAACUGUAAAGGGUGUGAUACUCCCAUAGCGAUUGGACUGAAACUUCAAAAGGAGGUUAAAGGUUGUUUAGGUCAGUAUGUUGAGGAUGCAACCAGUUACAGAAGUUUGGUUGGAGGCUUGCAAUAUCUGGUGUUAACCAGACCAGAGAUAGCCUUUGCUGUGCACAAACUCAGUCAAUAUGUGACAGCUCCAACAUUGCAGCACAUAAUGGCCUGUAAACGAGUUCUAAGAUACCUAAAGGAAACCAUGGAUUAUGGUCUAAAGUUUUCAGCUGGUGGAGAAAUGGAAAUCACAGGUUUUAUAAAUGCAGAUUGGGCAUGCGAUAUUGAUGACAGAAAAUCUAUAGGUGCAUACUGUAUCUAUUUUGGAAAUAAUCUGGUGUCAUGGUCAUCUAAGAAGUAGUCUGUGGUGAUAAGGUCUAGUGCAGAAAGCGAAUACAGAGCUUUGGCUUCUGCAAGUGUAGAAAUAGCAUGGAUUCAAUCUUUGUUCAGUGAGCUAAAUAUAAGAUGUGUCUCAGUACUUAUCAUCUGGUGUGACAACAUGAGUGCAACAAAGUUAAGAUAAAAAUCUAGUCUACCAUUCACGUACCAAACACAUUGAACUGGAUAUGCAUUUUGUUAGAGAUAAGGUUUUAGCAGAGGAGCUGAAAAUUAACUUCAUUCAAAGUGAAGAACAGAUAGCCGAUGUCCUAACAAAACCUCUCACAUUCAUUCAUUUUAAUUAUUUCAUAAACAAACUCAAUGUGCAGCCAUGCCCCUUGAGUUUGAGGAGGGCUGUUAAGGAAGCUCAUAACGUGUACAAGCAGUCAGCUCAAGGUUAGCACGUGGGAGAAUUUGCUGAGCUAAAGUUAGUUAAGUAAGCGAUGUCAGCUCAGCAAAUUCAGUCAAGGUUUACUGAGAUUUUAUUCAUAUUGUUUUCUUUUCUAUUAACAAUGUAUAAAGGCAUGCUUUGUACUCAUUUGAUCAAUAAGAAAAGAAGAAAUAAAAUCCAGAAUAUUCUCUGAAGUUUUCUCAGUAAAACAGAGUAAAUUUUCUUAGUAACCAAACAGUACAGAUCAGUGGAAUUUACGUUUUAUAACAACGUGUGUUGAGAAUGUUGGGUAUUGGCCAAUUCAAUUUUCAUGAAGCACCAGAAGACAACGCUUUAUUUGGUGGGGGUGAAGUUUUGAUACAGGUAUUGCUCGGUUUGAAAUAUUUAGAGGUAUUGGAGUUGACCUUGGGAAGUUAUCAUGCUCUCCAAAUUCUUUUGAGCUCAAAUCAGUCAAAAAGUUGUAUUCGAUCUCUUCUCCUCCACAAGUUUAGAGGUACAACGCCGAUUAUUGAUGCUACGGCUUUCGCAGAGCUAAACCACCUCAACGAAUUAUUUAUUAAUAAUAGUAUUGAGUUGAUAGAAUUGAAGAUUGAUUAUACAGAGAUAGUACAAAAAAGGCAGGAACCUUUUGUUUUCCGCAGCCUUCACCGUGUUACCAUAUUUAGGGCCCGUUUGGGAGUGAGGUGCUGUAGCUUUUAAGCUGCAGUUGCUGUGGAGUAAAAGCUAUAGAUGUGGAAUGGAAGUUGAUGGUGUUUGGUAAAAGUGUUGUAGCUUUUAAGCUGCAACUACUGAUGGUGUUUGGUAGAGUGGAUGAAUAUUUGUAAUAAUUAAUUUUAAAUAACAUUAUUUUUAAUUGUUAACAAAUCAAUUAUUUUUCAUUCUUCAAAUUAUUAUAUUGACAUACAAUUACGAUUUAUUCCGUUACAAAUUAAAUUAAUAUUUAAUAAAUCAAAUUUAUUUUUUUGCACAAGUUGUAAUAAAUAAUUUAUAAAACACAUCAUGGGGUCAAUUAUAAAUAAUUUUAAAUAACUAUUAUUGACAAUGCCAACCGGGCAGUGUACAUGAUAUGCUUCUCCAAAUUGCUUCGGUUUGUACCUGAUAUGAUUAAUCGAGUAUUAUUUACAAUACCAAAUAUAUCUAAUAAAAAUCAUACAACAAAACAAAAUAAAAUUAAAAUGUAAUUAAUUACAAAAUUUGUAUAAAUAUUUCUAUUGUUGUGCCUCCAUUAAACUUGCAGCAAUGCCAUCUUUCAAGAUUAUUAUAUCUUGAGUUGUGCUAUCAAUUGUUUCAUAACUUUCUUCAUGAGAUGCAAUAUGUUCGCUAAUACUAUGACUUGGUUCAUCCGUCAUUUCAUCAAAAUGAUCAUUAUUUUGUGAAUAUCUUCUGAUAUAAUUAUGCAAGGCCAUGGUAGCAAUAACUAUUUUCACCUGCUUCUUGAAUGGAUAGCUUGGCAUACUUCGUAAAAUCUUCCAUGUAUUCUUCCAAACCCCAAAAGUACGCUCAAUAACACUUCUCAAGGAAGAGUGCUUGUAGUUGAACAAUUCUUUAUAACCCAUUGGUUGGCUACCUCUACGAAAUUCAGGAAGGUGAUAUCUUUCACCCUUAUAUGGUCCUAAGUACCCACAUAACUCCGGAUAUCCUGCAUCUACUAAAUAAUAUUUUCCUAAAAAUAAAAAGAAAAAUACAAAAUAAAUAAAACAAUCUAAUCAAUUGAAUAUGUAUAUAUAAAAGAAAAAUUAGAAACACAAACCUGGAGGAGGGUUUGGAAAAUUGAAUGCAGGAUUCGUAAUAGUUGUUUGAAAUACCCUUGCAUCAUGGGCACUGCCUUCCCAACCAGCCACUGCAAAUAUGAAUUGCAUAUCAAAGCUACAUACAGCCAUUACAAAUUCUUUUCCCACCAUUCCUCACUUGCAUCAACUGUCCUCAACCUAUGAUUCCACCCUAAACCAGUUUCUUUGCCAAUCAAAUUCUUCCACAAUUUCCAAUCAGUUCUAAGAGAAUCCCAUUUAUUUUUCAUUUGAGUUCUGUUGUAAUCUAAUCCAGUUUCUUUAGUGAACUCCUUAAUCAAAUUUUCAUAUCCUUGGGAAGUCAAAUGAGUCCCUGGACGAUGUCCGGCAUCCACCUCUUUAACGCAUAAGUCACAAAAUACAUCUAAAGUCUGGGGGUUCCAAGUAGCCUUACUAGUUGAGCUAUUAGACACAAUUUCAUACACUUAAACCUAGGAAAAAAAAUAUUUCUUUAUCAAACAACAAUACAGAAAAAAUAAGAAUAUAGAAGUUAAGAAAAUUACUAGAAUCUUGUUAUGGAUGGUGGAAGGAAAAAUAAUUCGAUAUUAAAAAAUUAAAAAAAAAGACAAACCAGAACAAGUUACCUUAGUUGUUACUUUACUUGAAAUACUUUUCCAGCAAACAAUAAUGAUCAUAGCCCACGAAUAGAAACAAUUACAAGCAAGUCAAUAAAGCAACAAAAGACAAACCAGACUAGGAAACAAAGAAAUUCAACUAAACAAUCAUUAGGUACAAACUGCAAUUGCAUUUAGCCUCACAAUCUCAAAUUUGCUACGUGCUUUGAUAUUUCCUGUACUAUUCUUUUGGCCCAUCCUAAGACAUAUACAAUUGCAAUUGCAACACUUUCUCCCUUCUUUUUUCUGUAAUUCGUAUGGCGACUUACGUAUAUAUAACCUAAUUAAUUGAAUUAAAUUGAUGAUGGGUUAGAAAAUCAUUAGGCUUAUUAAUUAUACGCGUCAAAAGAAUGGUCGGCCAAUAAUUAGGUGUCCUGCUUAUACUCCUGUAAUUUAGUCAUUCUCUAGUAAAUAUUAUUAAAUAAAAAGAAACACAAACAAUUAAGCUUAUUGGUAACUGAACUGGUGCCCAAAAAUAACAAGAGCAGGAGAAAGCAAACACACCCAAGAAUUUGACAAACUUCAACUUGAAAUCCAGAAUUUGACAAACUUCCUUUUGUUUACUGAAGCAUAGUAUUUCAUAACGAAGGCAUGCAUUUUAUUAUUUAAUGUCUUGUAGAACUGGAAACUCAAAUCAAACAGGGGUUGUGCAUGUUUAUAAAAAGCAACUACAAAAAUAAAAACUACAAUAAAAACAAUGGUUACAAGCAAAUAAAUCACGCAUGACCCAUCACCCAUCAAUUUAUUCUAACAAAAGCCCCAACAUUUUAUGAAUGAAAAGGAAGAAAAUGAAAAAUUGCUUGAAAUAGAGUAAAGGAGUACUCAAAAAUGAACAACAGAUAGAGGAAAAGGCACCACUGACAGAGGCGUAUGAGAGUGGCCGGUGUCGGAAUCGCGCCGAUGAGAAUUUCGGUGUCAGAAUCGCAUCAAUUGGAACUCCCACAGUCGGAAUCGUGCUGAUGAGAAUGGGUGUUUAGGGUUUGUUUAAAAAAAUCGAUUUGAAAUAGAACUCCCACUGACAUGACUGUUUGAUAAAAUGAAAAUGGAAUAAUAUAUAAAGUUAAUUUAGUAAUUAAACUUGCAGCUGGGAAAAAAAAUCUGUCAAGUUGUCAAAACACAACUAUAAGUGGUACCAAACACUUUGGUGGCUGGGCUGCUCACCACACUCCCAAACGGGACCUUAGUUGCGGUAAAUUGAAAGAUGUGACAUUCCUCGUUUUUGCUCCAAACCUCAAGUCUCUUUGGCUAUUCGAUUGCGGUGCUAUGGAAGAAAUAAUCAGCGUCGGAAAAUUUGCUGAGACUCCUGAGAUGAUGGGACAUAUAAUCCCUUUUGAAAAUCUCCAAAUGCUUAAUUUAAUGGAAUUGCCGGAGUUGAAGAGAAUUUUCUGGAAGCCAUUGCCUUUCACUCAUCUGAAAGAAAUAUCUGUGGGUUAUUGCCGUAAUCUUAAAAAGCUUCCACUCGAUUCCAACAGUGCAAAAGAGCGUAAAUUUGUAAUUCGUGGAGAAGAAGACUGGUGGAACCGACUUCAAUGGGAGGAUGAAGCCACUCAAAUUGCUUUUCGUUCCUGUUUCCAACCUCGUUCCUGAGCGGUGGUCGCAAAAUUUGAUUUCUGGUGAGUGCGUUUUUGUUAACGCUUAUGUUUUUAUUCCAGUGUGUUUUUCUUCUGUCUUCUGCAAAUCACGAUUAAAUGUUGAAUAAUAUGGAAUCAAUGCUUUAUAAAUUUUCCGGCGUGGCCAUUUCCUUUUCCCUUUUUUUUUUUGGGGGGGGGGGGGGGGCGUGGUUCGAUUGAUGCUCUGGCUUUUUACUUUUUGUCUUCGAAUUUUGCUCUGUUUUUCAAAUUGAUGCUUGAAUAGUUGAAUUCAAUUAAUGCUCACAUAAAUUUGUUUAGUUGCCGUAAAACGGUAAAAGGAUAUAAUUAGAUUGAAAUUCGCACUUCUAGAAUGAAUAGAAUUACAAUAGAGAAAAUAUUAAGUAUACAAGCCCUCUUUACAGAAAAUCAAAUGAAAAUAAAAUUUUUUGGAUAUUUGAUUUUCUAUGGUCUACUGUAUACGCUUUAUAAAUUCCUCUGCUUUAACGAUAACCAAAUCCUUUUUUCAAGGAUUUUUAUUUGGGGUAUUGAUAAUAGUCCACCAACAUAGUGAACGCUUGGAUGCUGCUUAAGGAUCUCUAAUCAGUAGCUGGAAGCAAAUGAGAAGGCGGUCGCUACUUUGUACAAAGCCAUGCAGCAAUUGCUAUUCAUUUUCAAACAAAGUUGAGAUGUUAUUUUCAGAUUUGGUUCCAGAUUUUGUAUGAAUAUCGUUGUUCCAUUGAGUUGUAUAUGAAUUCAAAUGUAAAAUAUUCUUUGGUUUUCAAUUUUGAAUUCAAUUUCUUUUUCUUAAGCAUGUUGUGCAGAAAUGAUUUCUACUAAAUCAUUUUUGAUAAACUAUUUAAAUUAAACAACUGGAAUAAGAACUGUAAGGAUUUAUCGUAAGCAGACUAAUAUGAUAAUUCUGAAACUAUCAUUUUUUUUUUUUCAAUUUGUUGCAGGGAAAGCCAAAUUUUGCGUUUUUCAGUUUUAUCUGAUAUGGGCUUUAUUUCCUCUACACUAGCUACCUAAAGAUUUAUCAAAUUGCUUCUCUUCCCUGCUUCAAAUAUCUUCAUGGCAUCAUAGGAAAAGAGAGUUUGGGUUGUAUUUAUUAUAGUUUUUAUUUUUUUUUUUGUUAUAAGCAAAUUUAUUUUAAAUACUUUAGUAGUAACAGUUUUUAUUGAAUAAUAAUGAGGGAUGAUUAUUAUAGGUUCAAAUAGUUGUUAGAACAUUAUAAAAAGUCUAUUUACUAUCAAAUGUUUUAAAUUGAUGCAACGUGAUAAUUGUCUCAUAUAAUUUUUUUAUAAUAUAUAUGUCCCAUAAUCUUAACAUGAAUAAAUGAAUUUCAACGGUUAAAUUUGACACGAUUAUUAAAUAGAUCAUAUCUAUAUUAAUUCGAUUUAAAAUCUGGUCACAUUUGGAUUUAGAGUUUCUAACAUGAUAACUUGUUUUAUGACAUGAUUUACUAAUCAAUUAAUAGUAAAUCAAAUGUCAGUCAAUUAAAUAUGUGGUACAUUUGUCAUAUUUUAAAAAUUAUUUAUUUAUAUUUGAAAUGAAUUUGGUGCNNNNNNNNNNNNNNNNNNNNNNNNNNNNNNNNNNNNNNNNNNNNNNNNNNNNNNNNNNNNNNNNNNNNNNNNNNNNNNNNNNNNNNNNNNNNNNNNNNNNAUAAGACGACGCGACACAAAUACAACCAACAAGUCAACCCAAAUUGCCACCUUUUACUAUCUUCUUUGUGUUAUUUCUCUAAAAAUUUGUGCCUUCUCUUACACUUUUAAAUCUGAAGUGUUUGAACUGGAGUACACAAAUUAUCUCUCUACAAUUCCAAAACAACCAAUUUGUUACUUGGUAAAUCUUAAUCAAUGGCAGGAAGCAAUUGAGAAGGCGGUCGCUACUGUGUACAAAGCCAUGCAGUAUUUGCUAUUCAUCUUAAUAAUUGUUAAGCUUUGGUAAAAUUUUCAAACAUAGUUGACAUCAUGUUGUUUUGAGAUUUGGUUCAUGAUUUUGUAUGAAUAUCGUUGUUCCGUUUGAGUUGGAUGUGAAUUGAAACCUAAAUAUUCUUUAUUUUUCAAUUUUGAAUUCAAUUUCUUUUUCUCAAGCAUGUUAUGCAGAAAUGAUUUUUACGAAAUCAUUUUUGAUGAAUUAUUUAAAUUAAACAAUUGGAAUAAGAAUUGUAACGAUUUAUCAUAAGCAUGCUAAUAUGAUAAGUUGUUUUACGAACGAUUAAUUAAUCAAUUAAUAUUAGAUUAUAUAUUAGUCAAUUAGAUAUGUGUUACAUUUGUCAUAUUCUAAAAACUAUUUAUUUAUAUUUCAAAUAAAUUUGACCAGAGGUUACGUAGGUAAUACUACAUAAUUUCUAAAGGAAUGUAAAAAUUUAAAGUUUUAUUAAAUAGGUGACUCAAUAAUAAAUGGAUUUCUGCAAGAAUUGAGAUUCUUGAGAUAAUUAUUACAUAGGGAAUUUUGGUUAGUUCAAUUUUGACAUGGUAAGAAGACGACACGGCGCAGAAAACCCAAAUUGCCACUUCUACUAGUAAUAAAAGAUACCUGUUUGAAAAGUAAUUAUAAACUAUCUUCUUUGUGUUAUUUCUCAAAACUUUUGUGGCACAAUGUUAUUUCCCUGGAGAAAAGUACGAAAUACCCCCUUUCACGUCGGCAGAAGCAAAGCAAAGCUAUGAGCUAUCUCUGUAUACUUGAAACGCCAUUGCUAAACGAUUCUCGAUGAUGGGUGCCACUGGGUCAGUGUUGUCUCUGAUUUACAUGAUUUAUUAGUUGUCCAGAUGCCAGAGAAACCAUGGUGGCAUUGAAGUUGCCCAGAUGGUUAGUUUUCUGAUCAUUUUUUUAUUCAAUUAUUUAUUUUUUUAGAAAAAUGUGAGAAAUAUGUAGAAAUGUUGACAGCUAUGAUUUUGAAACUUUGCCUAAAAUUGUUAUCAUCACUUAUUUAAAGAGAAAUCCUAGAAACAUGAAAUGAUUAGUAGCCUAAUUCAAAAUUAGACGUGAUUACAACAAGAGAAAAGUGGAGAGAACUUGAUAAUCGAGUGCAUUUAGAAUUUAAUUUUUCUUUUAGCUGCCGAUCAUUAAAUUUUCGAUUUCAGAAAAUUAUACCUAGAAUAUUUCAAGGAUAUACUAUGAAGAUUAUGAAGGUUUGAUUACAUGUCACUAUCAAUUGCCCCAAUCAUUUGUAGUAAAUUAAUUGAUCAUUUUGAUGCAAAUGAUUCCCUACUAAAAAAUUUAAGUCAAGGCUGAAUUGCAUAGUAGUUAGUCGCGCUUGCACUUCAAAUUAAGUAUUGUAUUUUCUGCCUGGUUUGGUUGAUUAAAGUGUGUGCAUUUGCUUUUGAACGUUGUAGUAUAGAAAUCGAAACAUUUGUUUUUCGCUAAGCCCAGAAGCAAAGUUCUUUGUACUGUACUCAUCACUUCUCUUCAUUCUCUUUGUUGAAAUUUUUUCCAAACAGCGGUUUCUUCGAAUUUGUGCCUUCUCUUCCACUUUUAAAUCUAUCAAAGAACCGUUACCUGAGAAGAUUGCCAUCAGGAAUUUCUAAAUUGAUUUCACUAUAAUACCUUAAUCUUUCAGAUACUCCCGUCACUGGGUUGCCAAAAGUGCUAAAAGCCUUCGUAAAUCCUACGUGUUUGAACUGGAGUACAAAUGUUAUCUCUCCACAAUUCCAAAACAACUGAUUUGUUACUUUUCAAUGCUACACGUUCUGCGAAUGUUCAGUUGUGGUUAUCUUGCUGAAAUACCAGAAAAUAGGGUUCUAGUUGGCGGUAGUGGAUUCUUGGUUGGGGAAUUGCUUAGUUUAAAACAUUUAGAUGUAUUAAGCAUCACCUUAAAAGGUUUUUCUUCUGUCCAAAAACUUAUGAGCUCCCAACAGUUUCAAAGCUGUACAAAAUGUUUGGAGCUUAUAGACUGUGAUGAUUCAAAGUCGUUUGCCUUGGCAGAGUUGAAGCAUCUUGAAAAACUAGGUUUUUCAAAUUGUGGAAAUUUGGAAGAUAAAUUACAUUUAUAAACUGUGGAUCGCCCUUUAUAAGUAUUAGGCUUAUCCCAUACUCGAGCAAUGUGGAAUACCUUUAUAAGCAUUAAGCCUCUCCCAUACAAUUUCUGUACAUGACUUUAAAAGUGGUUGAUGACCCGUUUUGUAAUAUCAUAGAGGGAUCAUGAAUUCCUUUUCUUUUCUGUGGCUAGGCAACACUUUUGGGCCAAAGUAAGGAAAUCUAUUUUAGGUAAUGUAAAAACCAGUUGUGGGAUGUAAUAGUUUAUUAUGCACUGACAACAACUUUUUGUAUAAUUGUCAGUUUAAUGAAUACGAGAGGAACUCUGUUGGCAAAUUCAUCCAUGAUAGAUGCUAAAAUUAUACCAGUUGCCUUAACUAAUUUUUCUCAACACUGGUAUUGAACAGGAAAAUGAAUAUGCAAUUUGUAUUUGUGCCAUUGUGGAGAAUUUGGAUAUUCUUAGUUUUAGUAACAAGGAGAGUAUUUGCCUCAUCUUUAAACAAUGAAUCUUUGAGAAAUGAGGACUGGGUGAUUGGCAGUGUCAGAGUGUCUUCAUGUAAAUGUUCAUUUAUUUGUAUUUUGAACUAUUAUUAGAAUCUUUAUAUGCCAAAUUAGUAAUACAAAUGUUCAGAUGAUUUUUCCUGGUGAUCAUUUCAUUCUUGAGAGCCAUGUACAAUACUAGGAUACCAGAGAAACCAAGGUAGCAUUGAAGUUGCCCCAGUGGCUAGUUUUCCGAUCAUUUUUUAUUCAAAUUUUUAUGUUUCAGAAAAAUGUAAGAAAUUUAUAGAAAUGUUGAUAGCUAUGAUUUUGAAACUUUGCCUAAAAUUGUUAUCAUCACUUAUUGUUUCUUAUUUAAAGAGAAAUCCUAGAAACGUGACAUGAUUAUUCCAUACUUGUUUUAAUAUUAUUUAUUAGCAGCCUAAUUCAAAAUUAGACGUGAUUAUUUGUUACUUUUAAUGCUACAUGUUCUGGGAAUAUUCAGUUGUGGUUAUCUUGUUGAAAUACCAGAAAAUAGCGUUCUAUUUGGUGGUAGUGGAUUCUUGGUUGGUUUGAAUGUAUUAAGCAUCACCUUAAAAGGUUUUUCUGCUGUCCAAAAACUUACGAGCCCCCAAAAGUUUCAAAGCUGUGCACAACCUUUGGAGCUUAUAGACUGUAGUGAUUCAAAGUUGUUUGCCUUCGCAGAGUUGAAGCAUCUUGAAAAACUAGGUUUUUCAAAUUGUGGAAAUUGGAAGAGUUUAAGUUCUGCUGUGUUGAGGAUGGAAAGGCUCGAGAAUGUUUUCGUGUGAACAGCUUCAACGAGUUAAGAUAAAGGCUUGUCAUAAAUUGAGGGAAGUGACAUGGCUUGUAUUUGCUCCGUAUCUUGAGGUUAUUCAAAUAGCCAAAUGUAUGGGGAUAGAAGUAAUAAUCAGUGCAAGGAAAUUGGGUGAAGUUCCAGAGAUGAUGGCAGAUCUAAACCCUUUUGCAAAACUCCAAUAUCUUGGCCCACGAGUUCUACCAAAAUUAAAAAGCAUCUAUUGGAAUCAGUUGCCCUCUCUACAUGUCAGGCGAAUUUUGUGUCUGAAUGCCCAAUUCUCAAGAAGCUUCCACUUGGUUUUAACAAUGCAAAGGAAUCUAAAACUAUCAUUAGGGGAGAAGAACACUGGUUGAAUGAGCUGCAAUGGGAGGACAAAGUGACCCUUAAUGUUCUUCUUCCUUGUUUCGGAUCCAUUUGAAGGCAUCAACAUGGAUUGAUACUUUGCAGUGGAGAAAUUUGAAUAAAACCUAUGGUAAGCGCUUUUCCAUUUAUUGCAUAUUUAUAUCUAACUUUUGUUUUCCUUUGUGGUUAAAUUUUGCUCUAUAUACGUUGUUGUACGGUGACAUUCUCAUAUCAAUUAUUAGCUUUUUAAUUCUCUUCUCACAUUAACUGCCCUUUUGAUCAUGUAGGAUAUGCUGAUGUCAAAGAGUCGUAAUUUGGGAUGCAAAUGUAAGAAUUAGACAGAUGACCAGUUGUUUUGAAGCGCUCGAAGAAGGAUUAAUUACGUCAUUGAAAGGCUCCAAUUUUGUGACUUUUUUUUUUAAUUUGUUGUUUUUUCUAUUUUUAGAUAGCUUGAUUGUCAGUUGUCGUGAUGUAAUGCUUUAGUGUAGAAAAAUGAUAUUCGGCCAAGACAACAUUAGCAGGGCACCUUGUGCAUGCAUACUAGUGGAUAAUUUCGGCAUGCUAAAUCCAAUUAGGGUGGAUGACCCUUUAUAAGCAUUAGGCUUCUCUCAUACCCGAAAACAAUGUAGAAUACGCUUAUAAGCUGCGGAUCACCCAUUAUAAGUUUUAGGCUUCUCCUUUACUCGAGCGAUGUGGAAUACCUUUAUAAGCAUUAAGCUUCUCCCAGUAUCUUUAUGUUAAAAAUAAUAAUAAUAAAAGAAAUCCAUUUUAAAAUAGACUCUUUUUUCUUUUUCUAUAUAAACAAAUGCAUUCUUCAAAUCAAUUGUGGGCAGAAGAAGUUAGUAGAAAAGAACUAGUCCCCUUUCAUUCCCCCUUAAAGCUCACCAAAGCCUCUUUUGUAAGCUUUUCGGAUUUUCUUUCUAUAUUGCUUAUGAUCUCAUUUUUGAUUGAAUCACUUCUUUUGCAUGCUGCAUAUUUUGUUUGUUGUAUUUGGAUAUUAUCGUAUCUGGAAUGCUGUUAUGAUUGAUGGAACAAGUAAUCGAUAUUUGGUCUGAUGGAAGUUGACUUAUUUAUUUAUUGUUAUUUUAAUUUGAAACUAUGUACAAUUGCAUUUCAUUCAUUUCUCUCUCUCCCCCCCCCCCCCCCCCACACACACACACAUAUAUUUGUUAUGUAUAAUUGCGUUUCAUUUGAUAUUGAUCAUGCUGUAGAUAACCAUGUGAUUGUAGAUGGGGAUUUCAAGUUUGUUGAAUAUUCAAGUAAGUGAAGUAACUGUCAAAAUACUAGUGAAAUUGGGAGCUUUAUUCAUGAGCUUGUGGUUUUGAAAAGUACCACAGUUCAACCGAUGAAGGUUCCUUUUUGGGGUUCUUCUUUUUCUAGGCUGCAAUUAGGAUAUGUACAUGUUAGACAAUCUUUUGCGGGUUUAGCAUAUCUUCUCUGAUUUUGUCUUUUAUUCCCCAAUCUUAUAAUUGCACACCAUGAAUGUUGAGUGAUUGUAUAGAAAAUUUGUGUUAUAACCAAAGCGUUGUGAAGGAGUUAAGUUAGUGGCUUCUGUUUUAUUGGCAUUGAUUGGGUAGAUUAUGUGUUACAGUGAUUCAAUUUGUGCUCCAAAGUUUGCUUUAAUUUCUUUUUUCCCUAAUUAUUUAUGUCAAAUUUAAAUCCAGAAGCAUGUACUGAUUUUUUCUUUUUGUAUUAAUCUGUGAAGGUUAUUUGGAAUGGAAGUAUCUGGGUUGGGUCUAACGGAUUAAAUUAUGACAUUGGGGGGAAGGCAGUAAAGGGUUUGCUCGACACAUUUGGUUCUGUGUUUACUUUGCAAGAAAUAGCUUUUGGUUAUCACAAUGCCGGUGGAAUCCCGAUUUGGCUCGUGAAUUUCUUUGUGACAAAUAGGCAAACACAUCAACCUCUUCUAUCCAUCCUUCUACUGGUAAGGCAAGGGGUAAAGAGUCUUCAAAAUCAUCAAAUAGUAACAUCUCUGAGAAUUCAUUUUAUGCAAAUGGAAAAUCUAGACCUUCUAAGACAAAAUGGCGUCCUGUAUCAGGAGGUACCGUUUCAAGUUUUCUUGGUAAAAAUUAUGUUAAACCUGCACAGCCAGCUAAUGGCACAUUUCUAGCAUCAAAGCCAUUGAAGUUGGAUCCAAAGGGGUUUCCCAUGUCUCCACUUUUGCGGAGAAGAUACUAAACUGAAACAAUCAAAGGAUGACCAUUUGCAGAAGGAUAUGGAAGAUUUUCUGUUUAAAUUGCUAGGAGAAGUGUUCCUAUUGUCCUUUUCAAUGUUCUUUCUUUCUUUCUCUUCUUUUCUUCUUCUUCUUCUUUUUUCUUUUUGUGUGCGUGUGAUCACUAAUUUGGUAUUGUAGUUUAGUUGCAGAUAGUUGUGGAUAUGAUAUGCAAAAGGUAAGGACUAUAUCUUCCUGAUGGAGGCCUCUGCUUUUUCCUUUAUGUGUAAUUUAAUAAAUUGCAUCUUCCUUUGUGAUUGUUAUAUCAUAUCAAAGACAAGUCUUAAAUACUGCUGUCAUAUGUUAAGGUUCAACUUGCAGUUUGAUUAACAUUCAUGGCUCAAAGGCCUGAAAAAACUUGCCAGUAAUUGUAAAAUGACAUUCUUUGCUUUUAAUGCAAUAGAGGGAACAGGGAAGUAUAGCUUUGGAAGCCUGGAUUGGUAACUAUAGAGAGACUUAGUAUUUAAUUGAUAAAAAUUCCCAUAACCCAAGGUCAAGAAAAUUUUAGAUCGUUAAAGACUUCAUUUUGUUUCGGCCAGAAAUGUUUGUUUCGAUCGAAGACUUGAACCAUUUCGAUUGAACCUGAUUAUGAUGCUUUACGUUAUGCAUGUUCCUCUUAAUCAAGAAAAGUUGAGGUGAUGAUUUUAUAUUUCUAUAUUGUAAGUUGAAAUAAUAAUUGGUCUGCUUGUUUCUGUAGCUUGAUAACAUGAAUUUUCCUUCUCAAGUUAAUUUAAUCAAUAAAGUAAUUCUUCAAAGAAAAUAUGCCCAUUCUAUAAUCAUUUUCUUAAUUAACAUGUUUUUUUCUUCACACUUCAGAGCAUGUUGAAACUAAUUGAUCGCUCGGCAGAGACUUUGGGUGAGAAGACAAAAUUUCUCGGUAAAUCCUCUGAAAAGGUAUGCAUAAUUCCGCAGUAUUAAAUAACCAAUGGUCAUAAUUUUUGUACAGGACUCUUUUCUUGUGGAGAUAAUUAAAAGUGGCUGAUGAUCCAGUUUGUAUAUCAUAGAGGGAGCAUCAAUUCCUUUUGUUUUCAGUGGCUAGGCAACACUUUCAGGGCAAAGUAAGGAAAUCUAUUUUAGGCAAGUAAAGCCAUGUAGAUGUAAUAGUUAACAUGCACUGACAAUAACUUUGUAUAAUGUCAGUGAACGAUACAAGAGGAAUCUGUUGACAAUCAUCCAAGAUAGAUGCUAAAAUUAUUAUGCAUGCCAGUUGCUUAAUAAUUUUCUUACACUGGUAUUGAAGAGGAAAAUGAAUAUGCAAUUUGUAUAUGUGCCAUGUGAGAAUUUGGAUAUCUAUCUAAGUAACAAGGAGAGUAUUGCCUCAUCUUUAGACAAUGAAUCUUGAGAAUUUGGAUAUUCAUGUAAAUGUUCAUUUGUUUGUAUUUUGAACUAUUAUGAGAAUCUUUUAUAUGCCAAAUUAGUAAUGCAAAUGUUCAGAUUAUUUUUUCUGUUGAUCGUGCAUUUGUGUCUGCACACAACCAUUGUAUAUCACUUCAUUCUGAUGCGCAAGUGUCUGUAGUUUAGAAGAAAAGAAAUAAUAAUGAUAUAUUAUUGCUUGAUUCAUGAUUAUUAAAUGAUUAUGGCUUUAAAAAACCUACAAAUUCCUUUUGUUGAUAUAUGAAUGUACCAAGUUUGCUAUAUCUUAGAUUACCAUUUCCAAGAUAACAAGUUCAAAUUUUUUCUUUAUCCUUUUCCUUCACAGUUGCAUUUUAAGUGUAAGAUUUGUUAUUAAUACCUGGUUUCCCGUCAUUAUGAUUUCAUAAACAGUGUAUGGGUAUGUGCUCUACUUUUGGAGGGCCUCCACGUGAAAGAAAAUUGUAACAAUUGAAUUCUUCCGGAUGGUAUGGUAUUUAAUUUAUUUUCUCAACCUCUUGUAAGACUAAUAUAUUUUCCUUUAGUAGACACGGCAUGGUGGGAAGGGUUUUUUAUUGAAAGAAUUCUGAUAUUUCUUAGACUUUGUUUUGGAAGGGGGUGCAGGGGUUUCUCAUCCAUAUAUGGUUACUUGAUUAGCUUUUGACUGUAUUGCCUCAAUCGUGCAAAGGAAGAUCCAAAUACAAACGAAAGAGAAUUGUUUAGACACCCAGAAGAUGGAAAUGAACUACAGAAGGAAGUUUUUGCUGCUUUAUUUAGUGCUCCUGAGAAAUCUGAUGAAUUUCCUGAAAUUACGGUGAAGACCAAGUGUGAGGUCCAAAGCAUUAGGAAAGGUGGUGAGUGAACUGCCGGAGCAAUUGGUACAGAAUACAAGGCUAAUGUGGUGGACUUGCAGCAAGAUAACCGGAACAGUACGUGCUCUUAUAUUAACUAUAUUGACUGGAUUUGCUAGUGUGUGCAUUUUCGUGUGUAUACUUUUGUAUUUAUGCAUAUUAAUGUGUGUAGGAUUCUUGAUUUCUGCCACUUAUUGGAGAACUAAUGGAAAGCUUUAUACUGGUAUAUCUGCAAUAACUAAUGGAAACUAUGAUAUUAAUAUUUUCUCUCGCUUGGAGAAUGCGUAACAGAUAUACUUUGUGGCUCUGGAAUACUAAAGAUUCUGCAAUAACUAAUGGAAACUAUGAUAUGAAUAUUUUCUCUCACCUGGAGAACUUUGUAACAGUUACACUUUGGGGCUUGGAAUGUCUAAAGAAUUUUGUCUGCUUCAGUUAGAUCAAAUAUCUUUUAGUUACAUACAUUAUAGAAAAGAUAAAGUUCUCUGAAUCUGAAAGACUUAAAAUUUUGCAUAUUUCUUGAUAGGGAAAUAUCUGUAGAUACUAGUUCAUGCAUUGUGGUAGCAUCAGUGUUAAAGAAAAACAGCAGUAAGUUAUUAUAUAGAAUUAGGUUCACUUGCUUUAAAUCCUGGUCUGGUCAACCAUAUGAACCUGUAAGUGGUUCUGUAGAAAUAUAUAUAUACGGGGAGAAAGUAGCUAAAUUUUCCUUUCAUUUAUGGGUUUGGUCAUUUUUUCCCCUUAUUUAUGUUUUCUCACACAUUUUUUAAAUGCCCCAGACAUGCAAUUUUGUAUGUGUCAAUUGCCUUUUAAGUUUUAAAAACCAUAAAGUAAGAAUACAGUUUCUUGUCAGGCUAUUGAUGCAUUUGCUCGGGGGGAUCAUGCUCGAGCAGGAAAACUUCUAGAACAGGUAAGGUUUCCAUCUACAGCCAUUUAUUGACAACAUAUAUAUUUUCAUUCAGCAAGCACUGUUAGCAUUCAAGAUGCUGGCAGAUUCACUUGAUUCUUAUUAGUUUGUUUAGUAGCAAAGCAUAUAACCUGUAUUUUAAAGCUAAGUUGUGCUAUUGAUUAUGUUAACUUUAUUGUUCACAUAAAGUGAUAUUGAGGAAAUAAUCAAUGUAGGAAAAUUAGGUGAAGAGAUGAUGUCAAAUCUUGAACCUCUUACAAAACUCCAAGUUCUUUACUUGAAGAAGCUACCAAAUUCGAACAGCAUCUACUGGAAGGCCUUGCCAUUCCCUGAUGUAUGCAGAAUUUUUGUAUUUAAAUGCCCAGAGCUUAAGAAGCUGCCACUGGAUCUUGAGAGGGCAGGCCAAGGUAAAAUUCUUAUCAAGGGAAAGAAAGAUGGGUGGAAACAACUUCAAUGGGAGGAUCAAGUAACUCAGAAUGCAUUGCUUUCAUUUUAAAAAUCAACCAACAAGUGAUUGAAGGGGGCAUCAUCAACGUAAUCAACAUGGAUGGAGAGAUUCUGGAGCAGAUCAGCGGGGUUUAGUACGACCUGUGGUGGUUUCUUUUUUGUGACUUUUUUGCCUUUCAUUUUUUCACUUCCUGUCAUAUUAUCAUUUCUUUGUCUGUGUUUCUAUUGCUAGUGUUGCUGCAUGCUUGCUGUCCUUGACAAAGUUAGCUAGUUUUUUUUGUUUAUUAAAUUUUGUAUGUUCGGUCGGGACAGUCACAAAGUACUACUUGUUCUAUAUGGGGGUGAUGUGAAUCAACUUUUCAAUUAUAUAUUCUGUGGUAAUUGUGAAUUCAAUUUCAUUUAUCUCCUGCAAAUUAUGAAGAAAGUGCAGAGUUACAAUAUGGAAAAGUUCACUGGCAAAUACUUUGUAAAAGCUUCGGAGUGAAACAGGAAAUGCACUUGCAACUAAGGACAAAUUGGUGGCCGGCUAAUGCAUUCAUUUUAGGGAAAAGGACACAGACCCUCAACGUUUUAAUAAGGGACAUAAAACUCCCUAAUAUUUUAAAAAAAAUACUCAAACCCCCAUUUGUUAAUAGUAAAUUCUAAGUUUAAAGUGUAAUUACCAUUAUACCUUUAUAGCAUAUUAAAAAAUAAUUAUUCAUUAUUCAAUUUAUUCUUAUAUUAUUAAUAAAAUUACGAAUAUAAUUUCAUUAUCUAAUUUUUUCAUUUAAUUUUUGUUAAAUUUUCUCUUCAAACUAAAUAAAUUUAAUCCAUUGCUUAAGAAUAAAAAUAAAUUAAAUUGAUUACUAAUAUAAUAAAAAUAACAUAUAUUUAAUAUAAAAAUAACAUAUAUUAAAUUAAAAUAAAUUUAAUUUAUAUAUAGAGAAUUGUUAUUUUUAAGAAAUUAUCAAUUUAAUUUAUAUAUAAGAAAUUAUAAGAAAUAACAUAUGGAGAAUUGUUAUUUUUAUUAUAUUAAUAAUCAAUUUAAUUUAUUUUUAUUUUUGAGCAAUGGAUUAAAUUUAUUUAGUUUGAAGAGAAAAUUUGAUAAAAAUUAAAUGGAAAAAUUGGGUAAUGAAGUUAUAUUCAUAAUUUUAUUAAUAAUAUAGGAAUAAAUUAGAUAAUGAACAAUUAUUUUUUAAUAUGCUAUAAGGGUAUAAUGGUAAUUGUACUUUAAAAUUAGAAUUUACUGUUAACAAAUAGGGGUCUGAGUGUCUUUUUUGAAACAUUAGGAAAUUUUGUGUCUCUUAUUCAAACGUUGGGGGUUUCUGUGUUAUUUUCCCUUCAUUUUAUGUACAUUCAUCUUUUUAAUUAUUGAAGAUAAGUGGUUCGUUGCUUUUGUUGUAGAUAAAAUUCAGACGACCUCAAUUGUGACAUGACAAUAUUUAAAACAUCUCUUAAAUUAUUAUAAAUUUAAUUUAUCUUAACUUUAUUGAAAAGAUAAAAGAAAAAUGUGGUGUAUGGAUAAAUUUUUUUUUAUCUUCUUAAUCAAAUGGAAUAAAUUAAAAUUUACAAUAAUUUAAAAUAUUUUAAAAAUUAUUAUUUCAUAAGAGAUUAAUAUGAAAUUAAUCGUUUUUACUUUUUUAAUGUGAAAGGACAAGAAAAGAGAAAGCAUGUGUCCCUGCUUUUUAGUUUUUAUUUUAUUUGAAAUCGGAGUUAUCCCAUAUACUUUACUAAUUUAGCUCUAACAUUACAAUGUUUUUAGGCUACACUUUUAUUUUUCUUUUUCCCCCUUUUUUUAUACAUGCAUGUGGAUUACUUUUCUCUAAGCUCCUUAAUAUUUAAGACAAAUCAUAAAAGCAAUUGAAGUAUAACAAGAUGAUCAAAACAUUUAACCAAAAAAAAAGAAAGAAAAAAGAAAGAAAACAUUGAAAAUGGAGAUGUUGAUUAAUUUAGAAGAGAUGCAAGCAAAAGAUAUUCCCAAAAAAAAGAAAAAAAGAAAAAAACAACGUUAGUUCAUCCAUGUCUGUCAAUGCGUUUUUUAUGGUUUUUUUUUUCCAGUUGUUUGUUGUAAUAGAUUGAUUGUAAAUUGAUAUGAAUUUGAUGUUGUAAUAUGUUCGCUUUUGUGGAAUUAAAUUUGAAUAUUCAAGAUUAUUCAAGUCUUAUCUAGUAUGUGUUCAAUUGUGUUGUCGAUAAUUUUGCAUUCGAAUAAUUUUUCACCUAAAAUAUUAGCAUGAGUAGUAGUCCUUGAAAUUUUGGUCAAAAUUAUUGUUAUUGUUUGUUUUAGAGGAAAUUUUUUUAUUAAAGCCUCGUUAACACUAUACCUUAUUAAGAUUAUAAGUUAGUGUCAGUGCAGGAUUUACAGCAACAAAUCUUGUCUAGCCACGUGUCAAAAGUACAAAUAAAUCAAGAGUAAGCACAUGACAUGGAUUAGGAUCCAAUAAGAUUUAAAUCCCAAGGAAAAGGACAAUUGUAUCCUAAAGUUUCAAUAAGAGAUACUGAGAUAUCUUUUGACUAAUGUUAUUUUUUUAGCUUUAUUAAUAAAAAGAUCAAAUAGUUUAUAACAAAUAAAAAUAUAGUAUGAAGCUAAAUGUGAUAAUAUAUACAUUUUACAUAAUUUCAAUAAAAAAAAUUUCAAUAAAAAACAUUUUAAUGUUUUACGAUCUAUUAGACAUAUUUUAUUAAAUUAAUAGGAAUUUUCUGAUAAAUAGCAACAUAAUAUUAAAAUAAAUUUAUAAAGAUUUAAAUGUAAAAUAAUUUUAGUAUAAUUAAUACGUGGGAUAUAUUUUGUAAAUUAUAAAAUUACUUAACCCAAUGAUUUUUAAAAAUCUUUAAAAUAAAUAAAAAUAAAUUAUUCACAUUUUGAUGUAAAUAUUUAAAACAUUUUUAUACAUUAGUCCACAAUUAUUUAUGUUAUAUUUGUAUUUAUUAGAAAUUUUGAAAGUCAAAUGUUUUUCACCUCUAUCUUAUUAGAAUUAUUGCACACAGAGAAAGAGCCAUAUAUGCUUUAUAGCUUUAAAAUCGAUUUGUUUUAUAGCUGGGAACAGAGAUGAUCAUUAUUAUAAGGAUUAAAAAAAAGAUAAAGAAUAUUAAUGAUUAGCGAAAUCUCUAUGGAAAUUGAAUUUAGUAAGAAAAAAUUGAGCUGAUUUUAGCGGUAUAGUAAUAUUUUAUAUAGAGAAAAGUAAAAGCUGCACCCAAGGUUAAGGGAAAUGGUCAAAACUCUUUUUUAAUCAUAAUACUCUUUUUCCUACAUAAUUUAAAAAUUUGACAUUAAUAUUUUAUAAUAAAUAAAAACAUAUAAUCCUAAAAUAAAUAAAAUAAUAUAUAUUUUAAAAUAAUCUCAAUAUUUAAAAUAUAUUUUAACAUUUUAUAGUCUAUCAGAUAUAUUUUAUUUUUUUUAAAGUAAAUUUUAUAAUAAAUACAAAACAUACUAUUAAAAUAGAUAUAAAAAUUUUAAAGUAUUUUGAAUAUUAUAUAAAAUAACUUUAAUAUUGUUAAUGCGUGAGAUGCAUUUUAUUAAUUAAAAAUUCUAUUUAACCCAAAGAUUUAUUUAUAAUAAAUUAAUAAUCAUAUUUUUGAAAUUAUUUUAAAUAUUAAAAAAUAUUUUAAUAUUACUAACUAUUAGAUAGACUAAACUAUUUAUAUUAUUUUCUAUUUAUUAUAAAAUUUCAAAGUUAAUCUUUUUAACUACUAUUCAAAAGAUAUUAUGAUAAAAACAGAAUUUUUCUGUUUUAUUAAAAAUUUAGAGUUUACACCUAUUUUUUCAAAUAUUCGGGGUGUAACUGUUUUAUUUAAAUAAAAUCUCAGUUAAAAAUGUACAGAGAAGAAAUUUCUGUUGGUAUUUUAGUCUUUUACCAAUUAUCACGAUUAGGCCUUGGCCUUGAAACAUUAAUUGUUUCACUUUUAGCGCUAGUGGCGUUGAAAGUUGUCAAGAAAAAGCAAGACCAUAUUCCACAAAAGCAGCUCUUUUAUUAAAGGCAAAGUAUAAAGUAGUCAAGAAUCGAAUAUCCUGUCGUCUACUCUUUUUUAAAUUCUUCUUUUAUUAUCUUUUAGAAUAGUUUUUGGUAAUUACAAUCAUUAUUCAGAGUUAUUGUUAUCUUCUGGGGCAGUCUCUGUUCAUCGAAGUCGUUACCUUUUUUUCAUGGAUCAGUUCCAGUGCCAAGCAGUAAUUUUCUUAGAACUCGGAUCUUUAAUUCGAGUUUCUUUGUGAAUUAAUAAUAAAAAAUUUUCAUUACACGCAAUUUAAGCUACGAAUUACUUUUUGCAAAGUUGAAUAUGAAAUUGGAGAAAUUAAAUAAUUUAGAAUGUUGGUAAAAAUUGACUAACAUAUCCCCAAUUACAGUAAAACCUCUCUACAGUCAUAACAUUAUAACAAAAUUAAUUUUAUUACUAUGUUGAGGUAAUAUAGGUUUAGUUACAAAAUUAUUGUUUUAAUAUGGUUAGUGUCAAGUGAUAUAAAGGUUAAGUAUGCAGUACAUUGAUAAUUAAAUAAUGAAGCGUGUCAAAUCUAACGUAUAUAUAUUAAUGAUAUAGAUAGACAUAGUUUUAAAAAACUAAUUAAUGUAUAUUUAUGUACUGUUAUGAAUAUGGAAAGUCAAGCCUACACUUUACAUUAUCCUUAAUUUUUUCUCUCAGUUAAAUUCUACAAAUAUUGUACAAUGAUUGGGUAAGAACUCUAAAUUAAGAAUAAAUUAUUGUCACAAAUAAUUUUAAAAAAUAUUUUAUUUCAUCUUAAACCUUUAAUGUAAGUAAAUAUAUAUAUAUGUGUGUGUGUGUGUGCAUAUUUUGCAAGGUAUAGAUAAUUGUUAGUAUAUGGAGACAAGUCUUUUAAGGUAGGACCUAGGAAAAUUUAUAACUUACUACAUUGGGGAGUUUUUAUUCCUUUUUAUAAUUGGCUCAUAUUGAUACAUUCUUACACAAAAUAUUACCAUUGACAUAUUUUACUACAAUUGGUUUAGAACAUUUGUUAGGAAAAAAAAAAGAAAAGAAAACAUUCAUUGGAUGUAGCUCUCCCUCGUAUGCUUUUUUCUCCAAAUAUUCCUGCGUCCACAGAAACAAGUCAGAGCACGCCGGUUGUUUUCCCGGCGUAAACCCUCUGACGCUCAAGUCAGAUAUGAAGGCUCUGGGAAUGCUUGCCACAGAUCUUAUGGUUUUUCUGUAGUUUCUAUUCUUUAGAGUUUCAUUUAUCUCUGAAUAUAAUCUCAAAAAUGCUAACCCUUUUACCUUCCUUGGCUACCUUUUUAUAGGCUUCCUCUGAAUCCCGGUCUUCCGUAGUCCACGCCCGUUAUUCUCCCCACCCUCGGAUGUGGAUGCCCCAUUAUCGCCAUUGUGGGCGAAUGGAGAUGGACUUCGUGCCUUGAUUCUCGGAUAGGAAUGCACGUCUUGCCAACUGUCGUUGACUGGGUCUCCUCGCCUCUCGACCUCUAGCCGGAAUGGCCUUAUGCCUCUAACAAGAGUUCGACCUCGUGAAUGGCAUACUCGCGGACGAGCCGAAUAUUUCUGCUCAUGUUCCCCUGCUACCUGGCUCUUACAGGACAUACCUGUUCGCAGAACUCCGCCAUCAAAUAUCUGCUCAUCACGUCUGGUCUCGUUGAAGUAUUUCCCUCAAACAACAUAUUUUACUACAAUUAGUUUAGAACAUUUGUUAGGAAAAAAAAAGAAAAGAAAACAUUCCUUGGAUGUAGCUCUCCUGACUAUUUAAAUCUUUUAAGGAAAAAAAGAAAAAAGAAAAACUGACACAUUCAAAUCUUGAAGCAAUUACAUUAAAACCUCUCCAUAAUGAUAGGAAUAAUCUCCAUUUAGUAAUAAAAAAUUUUGUUCGCAAUCUAGGCAGAGUUAUAAAUAAGAAUAAAAUCCUCAUUGUAAUAAGUUGUAUUUAUUAUGGAUCCCAUCCUAAGGAACUUGUCUCUAUAUAGUAAUAAUUAUUUGCAUAUUAUAAAUAUAUAUGUUGCAUUAGAUUAAAUGAACUUGUCUCCACAUACUACUUAGACAAUGAGAGAAAGUUAUUAAAGAGAACACAAAUAUUUAGAGAUUUUUAAGAUUACUUUGCAUGUUUAUAACAAUAAUACAUUGAUAUAUGUAUUAGUUUUUUGAUAUAUUAGAUUUGACAUGCUCUAUUAAUAAAUUAUUAAUACGAUGCAAACUUCAUCUCUCUAUCCUUGCAAUAAAAGUAACUAAGUUAUAACAAUAAUUAUUAAUAAAUUAUUAAUACGAUGCGUACUUCAUCUCUAUAUCCUUGCAAUAAAAGUAACUAAGUUAUAACGAUAAUUUUUGUAACUACAUGCUUAUUAGGUUUUAACUACUUCAUAAUAAUAAAUUAAUUUCGUCCUAAUAUUAUAAUUAUGUAGAGUUGUAGUGUAUAGACACACCCAAUUUAAAUAGUAAAUCAAAUAAAAUUGUCCCCACAAAAAAGAAAAAAGGGGUAAAGGAUUGUUAUUUCUUCAAACAUUAGGAGCACGUUUGUUCAAGUGCGAUGCCUUUCUUUUGAAGGCAACGUCAGUGGGUACCCAAUAGGACGUGUGUAAAUCUUUCCAAAAUUUCUCCGGUAUAACGGACAGAGAUCAUUACUUUUCUCUUCCAUAGACCACAGCAGCUUCAGUUAAUCAGACUCAAUCAAUUUUCUUGGUUUCUUCGCUUAUCAAAAUUCCAAAAUAUGGGUAGCAUAUUUCAAAUCACAUGCGAUGGUGCUUUUUUCAAUCGUUGCUUGGAUUGCUUUCUUGGAAAAGUAGCAAACACAAGUAAGCUCCAAGAUAACCUUGUUGCCUUGGAGACUGAAUUGGGAAAACUAAUCGUAGCAAAGAACGAUGUGAUGAUGAGGAUUGUCAAUGCUGAACGGCAACAACUGAGAACGCUGGACCAAGUGCAAGUGUGGCUUUCGAGGGUGGAAGCUGUUAAAACUGAAGCUGAUGAAUUGAUAAGACACGGCUCUCAAGAAAUUGACAAAUUAUGUGUUGGAGGCUACUGUUCCAAGCACUGCGCGUCAAGCUACAAGUUCGGGAAACAAGUGGCUAAAAAGCUACGGGAUGUGCAGACUUUAAUCGGCGAAGGAGUUUUUGCGGCGGUGGCUACUGAGGUGGUGCCUGAGAGAGCUCCAGAACCUGUAGCAGAUGAAAGACCCACUGUGCCAACAAUAGUAGGCUUGCAAUCACAACUUGAACAAGUUUGGAGAUGUCUUGUAGAAGAAUCAGUGGGAAUCAUUGGCCUAUAUGGUAUGGGCGGUGUUGGUAAAACUACACUAUUGACCCAUAUCAACAAUAAAUUUCUUGAGAGUCGAACCAGUUUUGAUUGUGUGAUUUGGGCCGUAGUUUCAAAGGACUUGCAACUCGAAAAAAUUCAAGAAGAUAUUGGGAAAAAGAUCGGUUUGGUUGAUGAUUCAUGGAAGAGUAAAAGUGUAGAGGAGAAAGCUCUCGACAUCUUCCGGAGUUUAAGAGAGAAGAGAAUUGUAUUGUUGUUAGAUGAUAUAUGGGAGCGGGUUGAUUUAACAAAAGUGGGCAUUCCACUUUCGGGACCAAAGAAUACUACCUCAAAAGUCGUAUUCACAACCCGUUUCAUCGAUGUUUGUGGUAGCAUGGAAGCUGACAAGAAGUUCCAAGUGGCAUGCUUAUCAGAAGAGCAUGCUUGGGAACUGUUUCGAAAAAAAGUUGGGGAAGAAACUCUUGAGAGUGAUCAUGAUAUCGUUGAGCUAGCCCAAACUGUGGCCAAAGAGUGUGGUGGUUUGCCACUCGCACUUAUUACUAUUGGUCGAGCUAUGGCCUGCAAAAGGACAGCCGAGGAGUGGAGACACGCAGUUGAAGUGCUAAGAAGAUCAGCUUCUGAGUUUGCAGGUUUGGGAAAAGAGGUGUAUCCUCUUUUAAAGUUUAGCUAUGAUAGUUUGCAGAAUGAGACGAUUAAAUCUUGUUUCUUAUAUUGUUGUUUAUAUCCCGAGGAUUAUGGCAUUCUUAAAUGGGACUUGAUUGAUUGUUGGAUUGGUGAGGGAUUCUUAGAGGAAUCUGACAGGUUUGGUGCAGAAAACCAAGGAUACUACAUUGUGGGCACUCUUGUUCAUGCGUGUUUACUAGAAGAGAUAGAAGAUGAUAAAGUAAAAAUGCAUGACGUUGUUCGUGAUAUGGCUUUAUGGAUAGCUUGUGAAAUUGAGAAGGAGAAGAGAAACUUUUUGGUUUGUGCAGGUGCUGGAGUAGGAGCGGUACCAGAUGUUGAAGGAUGGGAAAAUGUGAGAAGAUUGUCAUUGAUGCAAAACCAAAUUGAAAUUCUGUCAGAGGUUCCCACAUGCCCUCAUCUCCUCACUUUAUUUCUUGACUUUAAUUAUAAAUUGGAGAUGAUCACUGAUGGCUUCUUCCAAUGUAUGCCUUCUCUCAAAGUUUUGAAGAUGUCAAACUGUGGGCAUGUCAAAGUUUUGAAAUUACCUUUUGGGAUGUCAAAGUUGGGUUCACUACAACUUCUUGAUAUUUCACAUACCGGCAUAAGAGAGUUACCAGAAGAGUUAAAGUUGUUGGUAAAUCUGAAAUGUUUGAAUUUGAGGUGGACACAUAUGUUAAAUAAAAUUCCACGGCAGCUAAUAUCAAAUUCUUCAUGGUUACGUGUGUUGAGAAUGUUCGCUAUUGGCUUUGAAAAUUCUAAAGAACCAUCAGAAGACAGCGUUUUAAUUGGUGGGGGUGAAGUUUUAGUACAGGAAUUGCUCGGUUUGAAAUAUUUAGAGGUAUUGGAGUUGACCUUGCGAAGUUAUCAUGCUCUCCAUUCUUUUUUGAGCUCAAAUAAGUUAAAAAGUUGUAUUCGAUCUCUUUUCCUCAAUAAGCUGGGAGAUACAAAGUCGAUUGAUGCUACGGCUUUGGCAGAUCUAAAGCAUCUCAAUGAAUUAUAUAUUCUUUUUUUUNNNNNNNNNNNNNNNNNNNNNNNNNNNNNNNNNNNNNNNNNNNNNNNNNNNNNNNNNNNNNNNNNNNNNNNNNNNNNNNNNNNNNNNNNNNNNNNNNNNNNNNNNNNNNNNNNNNNNNNNNNNNNNNNNNNNNNNNNNNNNNNNNNNUCUUUCGCUAUACGGUUGUAAUGCUGUGGAAGAAAUAAUCAGCGUUGGGAAAUUUGCUGAGGUUCCUGAGAUGAUGGGACAUAUAAGCCCUUUUCAGAAUCUCCAAAAGCUUGAUUUAUCACAUUUGCCAGCUUUGAAGAGCAUCUACUGGAAGCCAUUGCCUUUCGCUCAUCUGAAAGAAAUGGUGGUGCAUUGGUGUGAUCGGCUUAAAAAGCUUCCGCUCGAUUCCAACAGUGCAAAAGAGCGUAAAUUUGUUAUUCGUGGAAGAGCAGACUGGUGGAACCGUCUUCAAUGGGAGGAUGAAGCCACUCAAAUUGCUUUCCAUUCCUGUUUCCACCUAAUGAAAUAUAAAUUCCUUAGCGGUGGUUGCAAAAUUUGAUUUCUAGUGAGUGCUUUUUUCUUAAACUCUUACAUUUAUUUCAGAUUCGUUUUUUGUCUCCUGCAAAUCACAAUUAAAUGCUGAAUUAUAUGGAGUCAAUGCUUUAGAAAAUUUUCAAGGCACUGCCAUUUCCUUUUUUCCAUUUUUUUUUGGGUCGAAUUGAUGCUCUGGCUUUUUACUUUUUGUUGUCAAAUUUUGCUCUGUUUUUUCAAGUUGAUGCUUGAAUAGUUGAAUUCAAUUAAUGCUCACAUAAAUUUGUUUAGUUGCCGUAAAAGGAUAUAAUUAGACUGAAGUACACACUUCUAGAAUGAAUACAAAAUGUUAAGUAUACUAGCCCUCUUUACAGAAAAUCAAAUGAAAAUCAAUUUUUUGGGGCUUUGAUUUUCUAUGGUCUAUUAUAUACUCUUUUUAAUAUCUUCUGUUCUAACUAUAACCAAAUCCUUUGUUCAAGGAUUUUUAUUUGGGGUAUUGAUAACUAUCCACCAAAAGAGUGAACACUUGGAUGCUGCUCAAGGAUCUCUAAUCAAUAGCUGGAAGCAACUGAGAAGGCGGUCGCUGCUGUUUACAAAGUGAUGCAGUAUUUGCCAUUCAUCUUAAUAAUUAUGAAGCUUUGGUAAAAUUUUCAAACAAAAUUGAACAUGUUGUUUGAGAUUUGGUUCAUGAUUUUGGAUGAAUAUCGUUGUUCCGUUUGAGUUGGAUGUGAAUUCAAAAUCUAUAUAUUCUUUGGUUUUCAAGUCUGAACUCAAUUUCUUUUUCUCAAGCAUGUUAUGCAGAAAUGAUUUUUACUAAAUCAUUUUUGAUGAAUUGUUUAAAUUAAACACUUGGAAUAAGAAUUGUAAACGUUUAUCAUAAGCAUGCUAAUAUGAUAAAUUGUUUUAUGAACGACUAAUUAAUUAAUCAAUUAAUAUUAAAUUAUAUAUUAAUCAAUUAGAUAUGCGUUACAUGUCAUGUUUAAAAACUAUUUAUUUAUAUUUCAAACAAAUUUGACUGGAUGUUGUGUAGGUAAUACUACAUAAUUUCAAAACAAAAAAAAGUAAUAAAAACACGUUAAAUUUUGUUUUUAUGAAGAAAAAUUUAAAAUUUUAUUAAAUAGGUGAAAAUAAUAAAUGGAUUCGUGUAUGGUUUGAGAUUCUUGACAUAAUUAUGAAAUAAGCCGGAUUCGACUUAGUUCAAUUUUGACGCGAUAAGAAGACGACACCACACAAACACACGACAAGAACCGUUACCUGAGAAGAUUGCCAUCAGGAAUUUUGAAAUUGAUUUCACUACAAUAUCUUAAUCUUUCAGAUACUCCCAUCACUGAGCUGCCAUAAGAGCUAAAAGCCUUGGUAAAUCUUAAGUGUUUGAACUGUACACAAAUUAUCUCUCUACAAUUCAAAAACAACUGAUUUGUUACUUUUCAAUGCUACAUGUUCUGCGAAUAUUGAGUUGUGGUUAUCUUGUUGAAAUAUCAGAAAAUAGAGUUCUAUUUGGUGGUAGUGAAUUGUUGGUUGGGGAGUUACCUAGUUUAAAACGUUUAAAUGUAUUAAGCAUCACCUUACAAGGUUUUUCUGCUGUCCAAAAACUUAUGAGCUCUCAAAAGUUUCAAAGCUGUACAAAAUGUUUGGAGCUUAUAGACUGUGAUGAUUCAAAGUCUUUUGCCUUGGCAGAGUUGAAGCAUCUCGAGAAACUAGUUUUUCGAAUUGUGGAAGAGUUUAAGUUCUGCUGUGUUGAAGUUGGAAAAGCUCAAGAAUGUUUUCGUUUGAACAGCUUUCCCCGAGGUAAUAUAAAGGCUUGUCAUAAAUUGAGGGACGUGACAUGGCUUGUAUUUGCUCCAAAUCUUACGGUUAUUCAAUAGAAAAAUAUAUGCAGAUGGAAGUAAUAAUCAGUGCAAGGAAAUUGGGUGAAGUUCCAGGGAUGAUGGCAGAUCUAAACCCUUUUGCAAAACUCCAGUAUCUUCGUCUGCGAGUUCUACCAAAAUUAAAAAGCGUCUAUUGGAAUGAGUCACCCUUUCCACAUGUCAGGGAAAUUAUUGUAUCUGAAUGCCCAAUUCUCAAGAAGCUUUCACUCGGUUUUAACAAUGCAAAGGAAUCUAAAAUUGUCAUUUAUUACAUGUUUAUAUCUAACUUUUGUUUUCCUUUAUGGUUAAAUUUUACUUUAUAUAUGUUGUUAUACGGUGACAUUCUCGCAUCAAUUGUUAGCUUUUUAAUUCUCUUCUCCCAUUAAUUGCCCUUCUGAUCAUGUAAGAUAUGCCGAUGUCAAAGAGUAGUAAGUUGGGAUACAAAUGUAAGAAUUAACCAGAUGACAUGUUGUUUUGAAGCUCUCGGAGAAGGACUAAUUAUGUCAUUCAAAGCAUCCAAUUUCGCUACUUUUUUUUUCAUUUGUUGCUUUUUCUAUUUUUAGAGAGCUUGAUUGUCAGUUGUCGUAAUGUAAUGUUUUAGUGUAGAAAAAUGAUAUUCGGCCAAGACAUCAAUAGGAGGGCACAUUGUGCAUGCACACUAGUGGAUGAUUUCGGCAUGCCGAAUCCAAUUAGUGUGGAUAACCCUUUAUAAGCAAUUGGCUUCUCUCAUACCAGAGCAAUGUAGAAUAUAUUUAUAAACUGUGGAUUACUCUUUAUUAGGCUUCUUCUAUACUCGAGCAAUGUGGAAUACCUUUAUAAGCAAUAAGCUUCUCCCCUACACUUUAUGUUAAUAAUAAUAAUAAUAAAAUAAAUCCAUUUUAAAAUAGACUUUUUUUUUCUUUUUCUAUAUAAACAAAAUGCAUUCUUCAAAUCAAUAGUGGGUGGAAGAAGUGAGUAGAGAAGAACUAGUCCCCUUUCAUUCCCCUAAAACCUCACCGAAACCUCUCUUGUGAACUUCUCAGAUUCUCUCUCAAUAUUUCUUAUGAUCUCGUUUUUGAUAGAAUCACUUCUUUUGCAUGUUGCAUUUGGUGUGUCUUUUUUGGGUAAUAUCUUAUCUGGAAUGCUGUCAUGAUCAAUAGAACAAGUAAUCAAUUUUUGGCUUGACGGAAGUCGAUUUAUUUAUUUACUAUUAUUUUUAUUUGAAAUUUUGUACAAUUGUGUUUCAUUCAUUUCUUUCCUUUUUUUUUAAUAUUUAUUAUGUAUAAUUGUGUUUCAUUUGAUAUUGAUCAUACUCUAGAUAACUAUGUGAUUGUAGCUGGGGAUUUUAAGUUUUGUGAAUUCAAGAAACUGUCAAAAUGCUAGUGAAAUUGGGACCUUUAUUCAUAAGCUUGUGGUUUUGAAAAGUAGCCCGGUUCAACUGAUGAAGUUCCUUUUUGGGAUUCUUUUUUUUCCUAGGCUGCAAUUCGGAUAUGUACCUGAUAGACAAUCUUUUGUGGGUUUAGCAUAUCUUCUCGGAUUUUGUCUUUUAUUCCUCGAUUUUAUAAUUACACACCAUGAAUGUUGAGUGAUUGUAUAGAAAAUUUGUGUUAUAACCAAAGCAUUGUGAAGGAGUUAAGUUAGUGGCUUCUGUUUUAUUGGCAUUGAUUGGGUAGAUUACGUGUUACAGUGAUUCAAUUUGUGAUCCAAACUUUGUUUAAAUUUCUGUUUUCCCAAAUUAUUUAUGUCAAAUUCAAAACCAGAAGCAUGUGCUGAUUUUUUCUUUUUGUAUUAAUCUGUGAAGUUUAUUUGGAAAGGAAGUAUCUGGGUCUAAUGGAUUAAAUUAUGUAAGUGGCAGAAAUUCCUACACACAUAAAUAUGCAUAAAUACAAAAGUAUACACAAAAAAAUGCACACACUCAUACAUCCAGUCAAUAUAGUUAAUGUAAGAGCACAUACCGGUUUGGUUAUCUUGCUGCAAGUGCACCGCAUUAGCCUUGCAUUCUGGUGCCAACUCCUCCGGCGGUUCACUCACUACCUUUCCCAAUGCUUUGGACCUCCAUUCGGUCUCCAUCAGAUUUCUCAGGAGCACUAAAUAAAGCAGCUAAAACUUGCUUCUGUAGUUCAUUUCUGUCUUUCGGGUGUCUAGGCAAUUUUCCUUCGUCGGUAUUUCGAUCUUCCUUUACAUGACUGAGGAAAUACAGUCAAAAGCUAAUCAAGUAACCAUAUAUGGAUGAGAAAUCCCUCCACCCCCCUUCCAAAACAAAUUCUAAGAAAUAUCAGAAUUCUUUCAAUAAAAACCCUUCCCCCCAUGCUGUGCCUGCUGAAUGAAAUAUAUUAAUCUUACGAGAAGUUGAGAAAAUAAAUUAAAGAACAUACCCUCCGGAAGAAUUCAAUUGUUGCAAUUUUCUUUCACGUGGAGGUCCUCCAAAGUUAGAGCACAUAUCCGUACACUGUUUAUGAAAUCAUAAUAACAGGGGACCAGAUAUUAAUAACAAAUCUUGACACCUAAAAGUCAACUGUGAUGAAAAACAUUAAAAAGAAUAUGAACUUGUUAUCUUGGAAGAAGAUAAUUUAAGAUAUAGCAAACUUGGCACAUUCAUAUAUGAACAGAAGGAAUUUGUAGACGUUUUAAAGCCAUAAUCGUUUAAUAAUCAUGAACCAAGCAAUAAUAGAUGAUUAUUAUGUUGGGUGCAAGCGGAAGUGCAGAAAAAUUUUUAUUUAAGAUCAGAGUAUUUUGCUGGAAAUUUCUGAAACUUUAUUGCUUAAUUCAUUUUUUCGUUUCUCUCUUACUUUUCAUACAACCAGAGUUCUAUAUUUAUAUGCAUUAUAGACAACUCUAGAGAUUACAUUAAUCAUGCUUUACAUUUCCAAAGCCACAUUGCAAACAUCAAUUCUACCCUUUACUUCACGUUGAAAAACAAACCAAAUAAUCCUUCAAACUUCUUGCUCAAUUUACUAGAUUACUAAUUAUAUCUCAACACCCCCUCUUAAUUAGUAAUCUUCAAUUGCUUCUUGAAUUUUUCAAACUUCUCAAUAAUGAUUGCUUUGGUCAGAAAAUCUGCUGGCUGCUCAUUAGUGCUGAUAAACUCCAUAUUAACUUCUCCUUUGCUUACUAAGUCACGGAUGUAGUGAUAACGCAGCUCAAUGUGCUUAGAUUUAGCAUGAAAUACGAGGUUCUUUGUUAGAGCAAUGGCUGACAUGUUGUCACAAUAAAUUGUUGUUGCAGCAUCUUGAUUGAACUGCAAAUCCUUGAGAAUUCUUCUAAGCCAAACGGCUUCACAAGCUGAUUCAGUUGCUGCAAUGUACUCUGCCUCGGCUGAGGAUAAAGCUACUGACUUCUGCUUCCUUGAGCUCCAUGAAAUCACAUUUGUACCAAGACAAAAUAAAUAACCUGAUGUGCUUUUUCUGUCAUCAAGGGAACCAGCCCAGUCACUGUCAGUAAAACCAACAAGCUUGCAAUUGUCUUCUUUUUCAUACAUGAUCCCCUGCUUUUUUGUUCCUUGAAGAUACCUUAAGAUUCUCUUUGCUGCAAUAUAAUGGGACUUCCUUGGAUCAUUCAUAAAUCUAGAAAGAACACUAACUGAGUGCAAAAUGUCAGGUCUUGAGUUGGUUAGAUAAAUCAACGAACCAACCAAGCUUCUAUAGAUUCUUGCGUCAGCCUUUUCUUCUUUUUCAUCAUGUUUCAAUUUUUCAUUCAAACCCAUAGGAGUAGGUGCUGGUUUGCAUUUGAACAUGUGGAAUUUCUUCAACAAAUCUUCUACGUAUUUUUCUUGACAAAAGAAGAUUUUUCCUCUGGCUUGCUUCACUUGAAUGCCAAGAAAAUACUUCAUUAAGCCCAAGUCAGUCAUCUCAAAUUCAUCUAGCAUGCUUUUUUUAAACUCUUCCACCAUUUUCAGAUUAGUGCCACAAUAAAUUAGAUCAUCAACAUAAAGGCAAACAAUAAGGAAAUCAGUACCUUCCUUUUUGACAUAAAGAGAAGGUUCACUUGAGCUUCUGUCAAAUCCAUUUUUAACGAAAUAUCUAUCAAUUCUGCUAUUCCACGCUCGAGGGGCUUGCUUCAAGCCAUACAAGGCUUUUCGGAGUUGAUAAACUUUGUUUUCUUCACCUUUCACUUCAUAUCCUUUAGGUUGCUCAACAUAAACCUCUUCUUCAAUUUCACCAUUUAGAAAUGCCGAUUUUACAUCUAGUUGAAACACAUGUAAUUCCAUUUGGGCUGCCAAGGCAAGAACAGUUCGAAUAGUCUCCAUUCGAGCUACGGGAGCAAACGUUUCUGUAAAAUCAACUCCAGGCAGCUGAGAGUAUCCUUUGGCAACGAGCCGCGCCUUAUAUUUUUUAACUGAACCAUCUUCAUUGUACUUGAUUUUGAAGAUCCAUUUCAGCCCAAUUGUUUCUUUUCCAUUUGGCAAAUUAACCAUCUCCCAAGUUUUAUUUUUCACAAUGGUGGCCAUUUCCUCGUUCAUUGCUUGGAUCCAAUUUUCAUUUCUUGAGGCCUCCUCAAAGUCUUGAGGCUCACAAGAAAAUAAAGCAAGUUCACAUGACUCAUAAAUUUCUCUCAUUGACUUUAUCUUCCUUGGAGGGCUUUCAUCAUCCGAAGAACUUUCUGCUGCUGAAUUUGGAGAAUUUGGUUCCAAAUUAUUUUGCUGUGAAGAAUUUGGUGGAGAUACAGGAGCUUCGAAAAAGCUAGAUGCUUGAGAUUGAUCUUUUUCCCACUGCCAAGCUGAUGCCUCAUCAAAUACAACAUCUCUUGAGAUAACAAGCUUAUUUGUUGUAGGAUUCAACAACCGAUACCCUUUAGACUCAUCACUAUAGCCAAUAAACAAAUAUUUUUCACCUUUUUCAUCAAACUUCUCUCUGUUUUGAGCUAGAAUAAGAGCAUAAGCAAUACUCCCAAAAAUCUUCAAGUGAUCAACAGUUGGCUUUCGGUUGUGCCAAGCUUCAAAUGGAGUUUUGUCUCUAACAGCUUUUGUAGGAGACCUGUUGAGGAUGUACACAGCUGUAUGACAUGCUUCUGCCCAUAAGUUGUUAGGAAUGCCUUUGCCUUUUAACAUGCUUCUUGCCAUCUCUACAAUGGUACGGUUCUUCCGUUCUGCAACUCCGUUUUGUUGUGGACUUCGGCUGACAGUAAGUUGUCUUUGAAUUCCAUUAUCCCUGCAAUAAUUCAUGAAUGGAGUGUAGAUAAAUUCACCACCACGAUCAGUUCUCAAGGUCUUCAUUUUGCAUCCACUUUGCCUUUCUGCAAGAGCUUUAAACUGAAGAAAAGUUGAGAAAGCUUCUGAUUUUUCAUUCAAAAAAUAAAUCCACAUCAUCCUUGUAUAGUCAUCAACAAAAAGAAUGAAAUAUCUCCUGUUAUUGAGAGAGAGAGUCCUUGUAGGACCACAAAUAUCAGCAUGCACCAACUCCAACGGAGCUUUGGCUCUCCAUGAAUUUUUAGGAAAUGGAAGUCUAUGCAUUUUUCCAUAUAUACAGCCCUCGCAAACUUUUUCAUAUCUUCCAACAUCAGGUAAGCCAAUCACCAUGUUCUUUUGCUUGAGCAAAUUCAGCCCUUUAUAGUUUAAAUGACCAUAUCUGAGAUGCCAUAAAUUUGACAAAUCUGAAUUUUCAGUUUUGAGAGCAACAUUCUCAUCAAGUGGCAUAACAAGAGGAAAAACUUUGUUCUUUGACAUUUCAACAACGGCCACUGUAUGAUUAUUAGUUUUAUCAAUGAUUUUGCAUUUUUCAUCAUCAAAAUAAAUUGAAAAACCCUUUUGAAUUAGCUGCCCCACACUCAAGAGGUUUUGAGUUAAAUUUGGAACAUAAAGAACGUCAUAAAUGAGCUUUUUGUUACCUCCCUUUGUAUGGACAGCAAUAGUGCCUUUUCCCACAGCUUUCUGCAUCUUUCCAUCUCCAAGCUUCACUUGCGAAUUAAAACUUUGGUCAAGGUUGAUGAAAAUGUCACGUUCUCCAGUCAUGUGGUUGCUACAACCGCUAUCCAAGUACCACAAAUUAUAUGAUUCACGUUCAGCACCUUUACUUGAAUAAAACAAGUAAUCUCCAUCACAUUCUUUUGUAAAAUUUGCCUCAUUUUUGCCUUUCUUAUUUUGAUACCAGCAAUCCCUUUGAGAAUGGUUAGGAAUGCGACACCUUGUGCAUUUAUAACGACAAUCUUUUGAUUCAUGAUUAGACCGAUUACAAAUGAUGCACUGAGAAUCUGAAUUUUGCUGUGAAUUCCCUCUGUCAUUUUUCCACUUGUUGCGGUUGUCGUUCUGUUCUCUUUGCCCUAUGCCACGCUGCUCGUUUCUUUGAGACGAGCCUCCGUUCUUCUGGUCUUUCUUGCUGCUUUUAUUCUGAUCUGAAUUAUUAAUCUUUGACUGAAAAGCUUGCUCUGUAGGCUGACUUGAAGGUCGAUUGAUUCUUUGCUCAUGAGACCGUAAUGAUCCUGACAAAUCUGAAAAAGUCAUCUUGGACAAAUCCUUUGAUUCUUCAAUGGCUGCUGCUACAUGAUCAAACUUUGGAGGAAGACAUCUCAGCACCUUUUCAUUCACCUUCUUGUCUUCAAUGGAGUCCCCACAACCUUUAAUCUGGUUCACAAUCUCAGUAACUCUACUGCAAAAAUCCUGAAUUCCUUCUCUGUCUUUCAUUGAUAAAUUAUCGAACUCUUUCCACAAAGUCUGUAACUUGAUGGUGACUGCCUUUUCAGAACCUUGAAAUUCUUGUUUUAGGAUUUUCCAAGCAUUUUUGGCCUUUUUGACACCAAAUAUUCUGGGGAAAAUUGACUUACUAACACCUUGCUGGAUAUAUCGAAGUGUCGUGGCAUUUCUCUGUAUGUUUUCUUUGUACUGCUGUUGAUGUGCUGGAGUCCAAUCUGAAGAACUUGCAGAUUCUGGUGGUUCAGCAUAUCCAUCUUCAACAACAUCCCAUAAAUUUUGAGAGAGGAAAAAGGUUUCCAUUUGAUUACUCCAAUAUUCAUAAUGUACCCCUUCAAAUAUUGGAACUUGACUGGGAGCAUAUGAGAAUAAUGUGGGUAGGGUAUUUGAUGUCAUUUUGAGGGUGUUUUGGAAAAGCUCUGAUACCAAAUUUGUUGGGUGCAAGCGGAAGUGCAGAAAAAUUUUUAUUUAAGAACAGAGUAUUUUGCUGGAAAUUUCUGAAACUUUAUUGCUUAAUUCAUUUUUUCGUUUCUCUCUUACUUUUCAUACAACCAGAGUUCUAUAUUUAUAUGCAUUAUAGACAACUCUAGAGAUUACAUUAAUCAUGCUUUACAUUUCCAAAGCCACAUUGCAAACAUCAAUUCUACCCUUUACUUUACGUUGAAAAACAAACCAAAUAACCCUUCAAACUUCUUGCUCAAUUUACUAGAUUACUAAUUAUAUCUCAACAUAUUAUUCCGUUUCUUCUAAGCUACGCAUACUUGCACAUCAGAAUAAAGUGAUAUACAAUGGUUGUGUGCAGACACAAACGCAUGAUCAACAGGAAAAAUCAUCUGAACAUUUGUAUUACUGAUUUGGCAUAUAAGAUUCUCAUAAUAGUUCAAAAUACAAAUAAAUGAAUAUAUAUAUAUUCCCCACCGGAAUCACCCCCUGGAUCCUCACUCAAGGUGUCUUCCGAGCCAGAAGAUCCCUCCUCACCACUAUUUCCGCUCGUGGAGGUUGUUUGGGGGGACAUCCUCCUAGCGCUAGUCCCAACACUAGACCUAAUGGGUUCUAAGGGGAUCCCGGGGUCAAAAGCAGGAUCGGUGAGCAGACUAGACAAGAAACCUAAUUCGUCGUCAUCAAUCUCAACGAUUUUCUCUUUACCCUUCGACAUUCCCUAAACUAUAAUCAGAACACCACCACCAACUACAACCCCAAGCAAAGCACAGAGAAAAGAAAUUAUCUACAACUAACCAAGACCGAGAAAAUAGAAGAAAUACCUGAAGCAGGGAUUCGAUCAGAGAGAGAUAGGGAUGAAAGCUUUAAUGCCGAGGUUCAUUCGCCGGAGAGACAAGAAGGGAGAAAAUGACGAGUUCGUGUUUGAGGAUUUUGGGUUUUCUUACUGAGAAGCAAACUCUUGGGCUGCCAGCAUUUAAUGACACAUAUUCCGAGAAUCUUGCAACCGUAGGUUUGAAAUUCAAAUGGAGGGGUGGAUUUCUGCCACAUCACUUCAUCUGCAAUUAAAUGCGACACGACUCUUGGCAGUCUUUUCCAGUCCCACGCGAGCAAGAACCGAUUGAGUUUCUACUGCUGGUCCAUUACAUUACCCAACACCAGAAACUGGGGGACUGGUGUUUGAGGGAAAUACUUCGACGAGACCAGACGUGAUGAGCAGAUAUUUGAUGGCAGAGUUCUGCAAACAGGUGUGUCUUGUAAGAGCCAGGUAGCAGGGGAACAGGAGUAGGAAUAUUCUGCUCGUCCACGAAUAUGCCAUUCACGAGGUCAAACUCCUGUUAGAGGCAUAAGGCCAUUCCUGCUAGAGGUCGAGAAGCGAGGAGACCCGGUCAACGACAGUUGGCAAGACGUGCAUUCCUAUCCGAGAAUCAAGGCACAAAGUCCAUCUCCAUUCGCCCACAAUGGCGAUAAUGGGGCAUCCAUAUCCCGGGGGGGGGAGAAUAAGGGGCGUGGACUACGGAAGAUCGGGAUUCAGAGGAAGCUUAUAAAAAGGUAGCCAACGAAGGUAAAAGGGUUAGAAUUUUUGAGAUUGCAACUAAGAAAAGAGAGCUCUAAGAACUGAAACUAAAGAGAAGCCAUAAGAUUCGUGGCAAACAUUCCCAGAACCUUCAUAUCUGACUUGAGCGUCGGAGGAUUUACGCCGGGAAAACGACCGGCGCACCCUGACCUGCUUUUGUGUUCGCAUGAAUUUUUGGGGAAGAAACCUUACGAGGAGAGAUCCUGGUCAUGGUAGAGUUGGUCGAGCAGAGGUCCUGGUCUUGGUAGAGAAGGCAACCAGAAUCUCGCAUCAACAAUUAUUUUACUUGAAAUUAUGUACAAUUGCAUUUCAUUCAUUUCUCUCUCUCUUUUUCUUUUUUCCCCCCAUAUAUUUUUUAUGUAUAAUUGCGUUUCAUUUAAUAUUGAUCAUACUGUAGGUAACCAUGUGAUUGUAGAUGGGGAUUUCAAGUUUGUUGAAUAUUCAUGUAAGUGAAGUAACCGUCACAAUACUAGUGAAAUUGGGAGCUUUAUUCAUGAGUUUGUGGUUUUGAAAAGUACCACAGUUCAGCUGAUGAAGGCUUCUUUUUGGGAUUCUUCUUUUCCUAGGCUGCAAUUAGGAUAUGUACAUGAUAGACAAUCUUUUGUUGGUUUGGCAUAUCUUCGCUGAUUUUGUCUUUUAUUCCCCAAUUUUAUAAUUACACACCAUGAAUGUUGGGUGAUUGCAUAGAAAAUUUGUGUUAUAACAAAAACAUUGUGAAGGAGUUUCUGUGCUAAUAGUUAGUGGCUUCUGUUUUAUUGGCAUUGAUUGGGUAGAUUACGUGUUACAGUGAUUCAAUUUGUGUUCCAAACUUUGCUUUAAUUUUCUGUUUUCCCCAACUAUUUAUGUCAAAUUUAAAUCCAGAAGCAUGUACUGAUUUUUUCUUUUUGUAUUAAUUUGUGAAGUUUAUUUGGAAUGGAAGUAACUGGGUCGGGUCUAAUGGAUUAAAUUAUGACAUUGAGGGGAAGGCACUAAAAGGGUUUGCUUGACACAUUUGGUUCUGUGUCUGCAAGAAAUAGCUUUUGCUUAUUGCAAUGCAGGGGGAAAUCCCGAUUUGGCUGGUGAAUUUCUCUGCAACAAACGGGCAAACACCUUGACUUCUUCUGUCCAUACUUCUGCUGGGGAGGCAAGGGGUAAAGAGUCUUCAAAAUCAUCAAAUAGUAACAUCUCUGAGAAUUCAUUUUAUGGAAAUGGAAAAUCUAGAGCUUCUAAUACAAAAUGGUAUCUGGUAUCAGGACGUACCGUUUCAAGUUUUCUUGGUAAAGAUUAUGUUAAACCUGCACAGCCAGCUAAUGGCACUUUUCUGGCAUCAAAGCCAUUGAAGUUGGAUCCAAGGGAGUUUCGCAUUUCUGCACUUUCAGAGAAGAAACUAAACCGAAACAAUCAAAGGAUGACCAUUUGCAGAAGGAUAUGGAAGAUUUUCUGUUUAAAUUGCUAGGAGAAGGGUUCCAGCUGUACAGGGAUGUGAUUCAGAUGGUUCAUGGUAACGUCUUAAAUAUAUUGAUGCCAAUUUAAUACAUAUUGUCCUUUUCAAUGUUCUUUCUUUCUUUCUCCUCUUUUUAUUCUUCUUCUUCUUCUUUUUUCUUUUCAUGUGCAUCUGAUCACUAAUUUGGUAUUAUUCUUAACUUGCAGAUAGUUGUGGAUAUGAUAUGCAAAAAGGUAAGGACUAUAUCUUCUUGAUGGAGGCCUCUGAUUUUUUAAAUCGCAUUUUCCUUUGUGAUUGAUAUAUCAUACCAAAGUCAAGUCUUAAAUACUGCUGUCAUAUGUUAAGGUUCAACUUCCAUUUUGAUUAACGUCGAUUUGCUACUGCUUCCAAAAGUGAGAAUGAGAUACUUUGGUUAAUUUCAGUAGUUGAACCCAAUAGAGUACUUUAUUUAGAUCUUCAUGGUUCAAAGGCCUGAAAAAACUUGCCGGUGUUUGCAAAAUGACAUUCUGUGCUUUUAUUUAGACUUAUUAUUAAAGACAACAUUUUGUUUCAGCCAAAAAUGUUUGUUUCGAUUAAAGACUGAUUUUAUAUUUCUAUUUUGUAACUUGAAAUAAUUGGUCUGCCUGUUUCUGUUGCUUGAUAACAUGAAUUUUUCCUUCUGAAGUUAAUUUGAUCAAUAAAGUAAUUCUUCGGAGAGGAUAUGCCCAUUCUAUAGUCAUUUUCUUAGCUAACAUGUUUUUUCUUCACUCUUCAGAGCAUGUCUAAACUAAUUGAUCGCUCAGCGGAGACUUUGGGUGAGAAGACAAAAUUUCUUGGUAAAUCCUCUGAAAAGGUAUGCAUAAUUCCCGAGUAUUAAAUAAUCAUUGGUCAUAAUUUUUGUACACGACUCUUUUUUUGGAGAUCGUUAAAAGUGGUUGAUGAUCUAUUUUGUAAUAUCAUAGAGGGAUCAUGAAUUCCUUUUCUUUUCUGUGGCUAGGCAACACUUUCGAGCCAAGCUAAGGAAAUCUAUUUUAGGUAAUGUGAAAACCAGUUGUAGGAUGUAAUAGUUUAUUAUGCCCUGCCAAUAACUUUUUGUAUAAUUGUCAGUUUAAUGAAUACAAGAGGAACUCUGUUGGCAAGUUCAUCCAUGAUAGAUGCUAAAAUUAUUUAUGCAUACCAGUUGCCUUAACUAAUUUUUCUCAACACUGGUAUUGAACAGGAAAAUGAAUAUGCAAUUUGUAUAUUGUGCCAUUGUGGAGAAUUUGGAUAUUCUUAUUUAAGUAACAAGGAGAGUAUUUGCCUCAUCUUUAAACAAUGAAUCUUUGAGAAAUGAGGAGUGGGUGAUUGGCAGUGUCUUCAUGUAAAUGUUCAUUUAUUUGUAUUUUGAACUAUUAUGAGAAUCUUUGUAUGCCAAAUUAGUAAUACAAAUGUUCAGAUGAUUUUUCCUGUUGAUCAUGCGUGUGUAUCUGCACACAACCAUUGUGUACCACUUUAUUCUGAUGCGCAAAUAUCUGUAGUUUAGAAGAAAAGAAAUAAUAAUCAUAUAUUAUUGCUUGGUUCAUGAUUAUUAAACGAUUAUGGCUUUAGAAAAUCCACAAAUCCUUUGUGUUCAUAUAUGAAUGUGCGAAGUUCGCUAUAUCUUAGAUUACCUUCUUCCAAGAUAACAAGUUCAUAUAUUUUUUAAUCCUUUUUCAUCACAGUUGAAUUUCAAGUGUAAGUUUUGUUAUUAAUAGCUGGUUUCCUGUUAUUAUGAUUUCAUAAACAGUAAGAGGAUAUGUGCUCUACUUUUGGAGGGCCUCCACAUGAAAGAAAAUUGCAACAAUUGAAUUCUUCCGGAGGGUAUGGUAUUUAAUUUAUUUUCUCAGCUUGUUGUAAGACUAAUAUAUUUCCUUCAGUACGCACGGCAUGGUGGGAAGGGUUUUUAUUGAAACAGUUAUGAUAUUUCUUAGACUUUGUUUUGGAAGGGGGUGGAGGGAUUUCUCAUCCAUAUAUGGUUACUUGAUUAGCUUUUGACUGUAUUGUCUCCGUCGUGCAAAGGAAAAUCCAAAUACUAACGAAGGGGAAUUGCUUAGGCACCCAAAGGACAGAAAUGAAUUACGGAAGGAAGUUUUUGCUGCUUUAUUUAGUGCUGCUGAGAAAUCUGAUGGAUUUCCUGAAAUUACGGUGAAGACGGAGUGGAGGUCCAACGCAUUAGGAAAGGUGGUGAGUGAACCGCCGGAGGAAUUAGUACCAGAACACAAGGCUAAUGUGGUGCACUGGCAGCAAGAUGACCAGACCUGUAUGUGCUCUUAUAUUAACUAUAUUGGCUGGAUUUGUGAGUGUGUACAUUUUUGUGUGUAUACUCACUUUUGGAUUUAUGCAUAUUAACGUGUGUAGGAUUCUCGAUUUCUGCCACUUACUGGAGAACUAGUGGAAAGCUUUAUACUGAUAUAUGUGCUAUAUAACUAAUGGAAACUACAAUAUGAAUAUUUUCUCUCACCUGGAGAACAGUGUAACUGAUAUAAUUUGUGGCUCUGGAAUACUGAAGAUUCUGCAAUAACUAAUGGAAAAUAUGAUAUGAAUAUUUUUUCUCACCUGGAGAACUUUGUAACAGAUACAUUUUGUGCUGGAAUGUCUAAAGAAUGCUUCAGUUUAGAUCAAAUAUCUUUUAGUUAGAAAAGAUAAAAUUCUCUGAAUCUGAAAGACUGAAACAUUUUGCAUAUUUCGUGAAAGGCAAGUAUCUGUAGAUACUAGCUCAUGCAUUGAGGUAAUAUCAAUGUUAAAGAAAAACAGCAAUAAUUUAUUAUACAGAAUUAGGUUCACUUGCUUUAAAUGCUGGUCUGAUCAACCAUAUCAACCUGUAAUGGUCCUGCAGAAAUAUAUAUACGGGGAGAAACUAGCUAAUUUUCCUUUCACUUAUGGGUUUGGUCUUUUUUUUCCCCUAUUUUUCAGCUUUCCUUCUCCUGAAGUAUGUUAACAAUUGCAGAUAAUGACGAAGAGGACCGCUUCCAGGCUCUUUGUAGAGCUGUGAUGGAAUAUAGGGGCACAAUGAAAGAAUAUUGUAAGGCUGUAUGUACUUUCUCUCAUGUCAUUUAUGUUUUCUCACACAUUUUGUAUAUGCCCUGAACAUGCAGCUUUGUAUGUGUCAAUUGCCUUUUACGUUUUAAAAGCCAUAAAGUAAGAAUACAGUUCCUUGUCAGGCUAUUGAUGCGUUCGCUCAGAAGGGUCAUGUUCAAGCAGGAAAACUUCUAGAACAGGUAAGGUUUCCAUCUACAGCCAUCCAUUGACAGCAGAUAUAUUUUCAUUAAGCAGACACUGUUAGCAUUCAAGAUGCUGGCAGAUUCACUUGAUUCUUAUUAGUUUGUUUAGUGGCAAACCAUAUAACCUGUAUUUCAAAGCCAAGUUGUGCUAUUGAUUAUGUUAACUUUAUUGUUAACAUAAAGUGAUAUGGAGGACAUAAUCAAUGUAGGAAAAUUAGGUGAAGAGAUGAUGUCAAAUCUUGAACCUCUUACAAAGCUCCAAGUUCUUUACUUGAAGAAGCUGCCAAAUUUGAAGAGCGUCUACUGGAAGGCAUUUCCAUUCCCAGAUGUAUGCAGAAUUUUUGUAUUAAUGCCCAGUUCUUAAGAAGCUGCCACUGGAUUUUCAAGGGGCGGGCCAAGGUAAAAUUCUUAUCAAGGGAAAGGAAGAUUGGUGGAAAGAACUUCAAUGGGAGGAUCAAGCAACUCAGAAUGCAUUGCUUCCAUUUUUCAAAUCAACUGACAAGUGAUUGAAGGGGGCAUCAUCAACAUCAUCAACUGGGAUGGAGAGAUUAUGGAGCAGAUCAGCAGGGUUUGUAUAUGAUCUUUGGUGGUUGCUUUCUUUUGUGAUUUUUUUUUUCUCAUUUUUUUCCCUUCCUGUCAUUUUAUCAUUUCUUUGUCUCGUUUUCUAUUGCUGAUGUUAGUGUAUGCUUACUGUUGCUUGACAAAGUUUGCUUGCUUCUUGUUUAUUAAUUUUUUUAUGGUCACAAAAUAUUACUUGUUCUAUUUGAGAGUGAUGUGAAUCAAUUUUCAAUUAUAUAUUUUAUGGUCAAUGUGAAUUCAAUUUCAUUUGUCUCCUGCAAUUAUUUAAAAAAUGCAGAGUCAUAAUAUGGAAAAGUCGACCGGCAAAAACUUUGUGAAAGCUUCGGAGUGAAACAGGGAAUUCACUUACUAACAGGGAAUUCACUUACUACUAAGGACAAUUGGUGGCGAGCUAUUCCAUUCAUUUUAUGUCCAUACAUCUAUUUAAUUAUUAAAGAUAAGUGGUCCAUUUGUAAAUUUCAGAUUGUGUCUCUCUGAAAAUAACAAUAUUUAAAAUGUCUCUUAAAUUAUUAUAAAUUUUAAUUCACUCUCGAUUUAAAAUGGAACAUGCUGAUGAAAUUUUUUUUCUUCUUAAUAAAAUUGAAAUAAAUUGUGUUUGCAGUAGUUUGAAAUAUUUUAAAGAUUAUUAUUUUAUAAGGGAGUAAUAUGAAAUGAAAUUUACUUUUCAUGCGUGAAAUGUUGAAAAAGGACACAGCAAGUGUCCCUGCUUUUAUUUUAUUUCAAAGUGGAGUCAUCUCACAUACUUUAACUCUAUCGUUACAAUUUUUCAGGUUACAUUUUUAUUUAUUUAUUUAUUUUCUUUUUUACACAUGCAUGUGGGUUACUUUUCCGUAAGCUCCUUAAUAUAUAUAUUUAACACAAAUCAUGGAAGAGAUGGGAGUAUAUCAAGAUGAUCAAAGCAUGAAACAAAAAUAUUUAAGAAGUAAAACACUGAAAAUAGAGAAGAGAUGCAAGCAAAAGAUAUUCCAAAGAAAAGCAAUCUAUCUCCUUUCGAAGAAUGUUAUGGAAGAGUUGAACCCAGCGAAGAAUGUUAUGGAAGAGCAAAUUAAUGAUAUUUUUGAUAGAGUCUAUUUGAUUAUGUAGCCUGAAUAGAUGUCUUGUUGAAAGAUAUCUCAGUGCAUUAGUUCAUCCUUGACUGUCAAUGUGUUUUUAAUGGUUUUUCCAAAUUUUUAUUAUUAUAGAUUGAUUGUAAAUUUGAUAUGAAUUUAAUGUUGAAAUGUUUUCUCUUUAGUGGAAUGAAUUUAAAAGUGCAAAAGCUUAUUGCACACAGAGAAAUAAACAUAUAUGCUUUAUAACUUUAGCAAUCGAUUCUUUUACAGCUGGAAACAGAGAUGAUGAUUAUCAUAGGGGUGAAGAAAAGGACAAAAAAUGUUAAUGGUUAACGAAAUUUCUAUGCAAAUUGAUUUUAGCAGGAAAAAAGUGAGCUAAAUGAUCUUAAUGUUCCACAAGAAAAAGCAAGAUCUUAAUGUUCCACAAAAGCGUUAUUUAUUUUUUUUUGGUGAGCCACGUGGAGCUCAAUUAUCAUUGUCUUUACUUUAAAAACGUUAUUUUAUUUUCUUUUAUUACAAAUUAAUGCUAACAAGAAAAAGCAAGAUAUAAUAUUCCACAAAAGCAAAUCGUAAUAUUCCACAGAGGAGUAAGAUCCACAAAAGCAAACAACUAGCUGGAUUCUUUUAUUGAACUACAAAUUAAAACAACAAAUUAAAGUUCAAAUAUUUAAAUAGUAGUGCGUUAGACGAUUAGGCUCUUUUAUUAAAGGGAAGUAUAAAGUAGUCCAGAAUCGAACAUCUCUAUUGUCUAGUCUUUUUUUUUUUUUUUAAUUCUUCUUUUAUUAUUUUUCAGAAUAGGUUUUGGUGAUUACUAUUGGGUUAUUAUUGAGAGUUAUUGUUAUCUUCCGGGGCAGUUUCUGUUAAUCGAAAUCGUUAAUUAAAAUUUUAGAACUCUUAUUGGAAGAAUGUUUUUCCGUUAUUUUUUUAUAUUCUAAUUUCAAUUGUAAGAAGUAGUCAUUUUAGAAUUUGGGUCUUGAAUCGAAUUUCAAUGCAUGAAUUAAUAUUUAAAAAAAAAAUUACUACACGCAGUUUAGGUUACAAACUAUUUUUUGCAAAGUUGAUUAUGAAAUUGGAAAAAUUAAGUAAUUUAUAAUGUUUGCAAAGGAAGAGACUAACAUACUUCCAAUUACACUAUAUCUCUAUUAUCAUAAUGUUAAGAUUAAACUAACUUAAAAUAAAUUUUAUUUGAAAAGUUAUAUCAAACGCAGUCUAAUUUUAUUAACUUGAAGAGAUAAUAGUUAUAGAAAUUAUUGUUCUAACUUAAUUAGUACAAGUGGUAUAAAGGUUAAGUGUGCACUAAAUUUGUUUAAAUUUUUUCCAGAAUAACUAACAGAGGUCAUUACUAGAAUUAUAAUUACUAGUCUAUUAGAUAGAAAAAAUUAUUUAUAUUGUUUUAUAUUUAUUAAAAAAUUUUAAAGUCAAUCUUUUUAAUUAUUAUUUAAAGGAUAUUAUAAUUAAAAAAAAUUUAAUGUCUUUAUUAAAAAUUUAAAAAUUUAAAAAUUUAAAAAUUUACAUGACCGCUCUAUAAAUAUUGAAAGUGUAACUGUCAUUUUCUCAUAUAUAUAUAUAUAUAUAUAUAUAUAUAUAUAUAUAAACCACGGUGGUGAAGCUUUAUUUAAUAUUAAUGAUUUAAAUAACAAUAUCUCAAUUAAAAAUGUAGAGAGAAGAAAUUUCGGUGGGUAUAUUAGUCUUUUACAAUUAUCAUGAUUAACCCUUCCUCUUGUAACGUUGGUCAGAAAAGUUUUAAAAUGCCUUGAUUUCUUUUACUUUUAACGUUAGCGGCCUUCCUUAUAUUUUAUUACAAAUUAGUCCUAACAAGAAAAAGCGAGAUCAUAUUCCAAAAAAGCAAAAGUGACAAAAAAACCAGCUGUAUUCUUUUAUUAAACUACAAUUUAAAAUGAUUUUAAAGUGGAUUCUUUUGAAUACAGGUGGGGUAGUCGAAUAGUCUUUUUCAAAUUCUUGUUUUAUUAUUUUUCAAAACUAGUUUUUGGUAAUUACAAUCGGGUCAUUCAUUAGUCAUUAUUCAGAGUUAUUGUUAUCUUCGGGGGCAGUGGGUAAAAGGCUAAAUGAUAAUUACUAAGUGUUUUUCCUUCAAAAGUUAGUGGCUCGUGUUUUGCAAGUGUGUACGUGCGAUGCUCUUUGUCUAAAGGCAAUUACAGUGGGUCCCGAAUCGGACGUGCCUAAUAAAUCUUUUAAAAAUUUUUCUAAUAAAUAUUCCUAAAAUUUCUCUUCCACAGGCAAUUACAGCAGCUUCAGUUAAUCAAACUCAAUCAAUUUUCUUUCUUAACAAAAUUCCAAAGAUGUGUGGCUGUUUUCAGAUCACAUGCGAUGGUACUUUUUUCAAUCGUUGCUUAGAUUGCUUUCUUGGAAAAGCAGCAUACAUACGUAACCUCCAAGAUAACCUCGUUGCCUUGGAGACUGAACUAAGGAAACUAAUCGCAGCAAAGAACGAUGUGAUGACGGCGGUUGUCAAUGCUGAACGGCAACAAAUGAGAAGGCUGGAACGAGUGCAAGUGUGGGUUUCGAGUGUGGAUUCUGUUAAAACUGGAGCCGAUGAACUUAUCACAGACGGCUCUGAAGAAAUUGGCAAAUUAUGUGUUGGAGGCUACUGUUCCAAGAACUGCAGGUCAAGCUACAAGUUCGGAAAACAAGUGGCUGAAAAGCUACAACAUGUGAAGAAUUUAAUCGCCGAGGGAGUUUUUGAGGCGGUGGCCACUGAGGUGGUGCCCGAGAGAGCUCCGGAACCUGUAGCAGAUAAAAGACCCAUUGAGCCAACAAUAGUAGGCUUGCAAUCACAGCUUGAAGAAGUUUGGAGAUGUCUUGCAGAAGAAUCAGUGGGAAUCAUUGGCCUAUAUGGUAUGGGCGGUGUUGGUAAAACCACACUAUUGACCCAUAUCAACAAUAAAUUUCUUGAGAGUCCCACAAACUUUGAUUGUGUGAUUUGGGUCGUAGUUUCAAAAGACCUGCGACUUGAAAAAAUUCAAGAAGAUAUUGGGAAGAAGAUAGGUCUAUCUGAUGAUUCAUGGAAGAAUAAAAGUUUUGAAGAGAAAGCUGUGGACAUCUUGCGGAGAUUAGGAGAGAAGAGAUUUGUAUUGUUGUUAGAUGAUAUAUGGGACCGGGUUGAUUUAACAAAGGUGGGCGUUCCACUUCCCGGACCACAAAAUACUACCUCAAAAGUCGUAUUCACAACCCGUUCCAUCGAUGUUUGUGGCAGCAUGAGAGCUAGGCCGGUUAAAGUGGCAUGCCUAUCAGAAAAGCAAGCUUGGGAACUGUUCCACGAAAAUGUUGGGGAAGAAACUCUUGAGAGUGAUCAUGAGAUCGUUGAGCUAGCCCAAACAGUGGCCAAAGAGUGUGGUGGUUUGCCACUCGCACUUAUUACUAUUGGUCGAGCUAUGGCCUACAGAAAGAAAGCGGAGCAGUGGAGACGUGCAAUUGAAGAGUUAAGAAGAUCAGUUUCAGAGUUUGCAGGUUUGGGAAAAGAGGUGUAUCCUUUUUUAAAGUUCAGCUAUGAUAGUUUGCAGUAUGAUACGGUUAGAUCUUGUUUCUUGUAUUGUUGUUUAUAUCCUGAAGAUUAUGGCAUUCUUAAAUGGGACUUGAUUGAUUGUUGGUUUGGCGAGGGAUUUUUUGGGGAAUCUGACAGGUCUGGUGCAGAAAACCGAGGAUAUGGCAUUUUGGACACUCUUGUUCGUGCAUGUUUAUUAGAAGAGGUGGAAGAUGAUAAAGUAAAAAUGCAUGACGUUAUUCGUGAUAUGGCUAUAUGGAUAGCUUGUGAAAUUGAGAAGGAGAAGAGAAACUUUUUGGUUUGUGCAGGUGCUGGAUUAAAAGAGGCACCGGAUGUUAAAGGAUGGGAAAAUGUGAGAAGAUUGUCAUUGAUGCAAAACCAAAUUAAAACUCUGUCAGAGGUUCCUACAUGCCCUCAUCUCCAUACUCUAUUUCUUGACUUUAAUAAGGAGUUGGAGACGAUCGCGGAUGGCUUCUUCCAAUUUAUGCCUUCUCUCAAAGUUUUGAAGAUGUCAAACUGUGGGCAUGUCAAAGUUUUGAAAUUACCUAUUGGGAUGUCAGAGUUGGGUUCAUCACUAGAACUUCUUGAUAUUUCAAAUACCAACAUAACAGAGUUACCAGAAGAGUUGAAGUUGUUGGUAAAUCUGAAAUGUUUGAAUUUGAGGUGGACAAUUUGUUUAAAUAAAAUUCCAUGGCAACUAAUAUCAAAAUUUCAAGGUUACGUGUGUUGAGAAUGUUCGCUACUGGCUUUGCACGUUUUGAUGCAGCAUCAGAAGACAGCGUUUUAUUUGGUGGGGGUGAAGUUUUAGUACAGGAAUUGGUCGGUCUGAAAUAUUUAGAGGUAUUGGAGUUGACCUUGGGAUGUCAUCAUGCUCUCCAAAUUUUUUUGAGCUCAAAUAAGUUAAAAAGUUGUAUUCGAUCUCUUCUCCUCCAAUUGGCCGGAGAUACAAAGUCGAUUAUUGAUGCUACGGCUUUCGCAGAUCUAAACCACCUCAAUGAAUUAUGGAUUGAUAGGGCUAAGGAGUUGGAAGAAUUGAAGAUUGAUUGUAAAGAAAUAGUACAAAAAAGGCGGGAACCUUUUGUUUUCCGCAGCCUUCACCGUGUUACUAUACAUAGCUGCCAGAAGUUGAAAGAUUUGACAUUCCUCGUUUUUGCUCCAGACCUCAAGUCUCUCGAUCUAGACCGUUGCGAUGCUAUGGAAGAAAUAAUCAGCGUCGGAAAAUUUGCUGAGACUCCUGAGAUGAUGGGACAUAUAAGCCCUUUCGAAAAUCUCCAAACUCUUCAUUUAAGAGCGUUUAACAUCUUUUCUCGACGACCUGCACGAUUGCCUUUCACUCAUCUGAAGGAAAUGGAGGUAAGUGGGUGCGAUCAGCUUAAAAAGCUUCCACUCGAUUCCAACAGUGCAAAAGAGCGUAAAUUUGUUAUUCGUGGAAAAGAAGACUGGUGGAACCGACUUCAAUGGGAGGAUGAAGCCACUCAAAUUGCUUUUCGUUCCUGUUUCCAACCUGAGCGGUUAGUCGCAAAAUUUGAUUUCUGGUGAUUGCGUUUGUCUUUUAACUCUUAUAUAUAUUCUUGUCGUUUGUUUUCUUCUCUGUUUUUAACUCUUAUAUUGCGUUUGUCUUUUGAAAAUCUCCAAUUAAAUGUUGAAUUAAUGGAAUUAAUGCUUCAUAAAUUUGCCGGCACUGCCAUCACUUUUUUUUUUUUUAAUACAAAUUGAUACUUUAUUUAUAUCUUCUUAGCGAUAUAAUUUCCUGUCAAUUGACGAACGAGAAGAACAUACGACUUAAACCAAUUCACGCAUAAACUUGCUGUAAAAAGAUAUAAUCUCACUGAAAUGCACACGUCUAGAAUGAAUAGAAUUAAAACAGGGAAAAUAUUUAAGUAUAUUAGCCCUCUUUACCGAAAAUGAAAUGACAAUAAAUUUUUUGAAAGUUUUGAUUUUCUAUGGUCAAUUCCACCUUUUGCAAUUUCUUCUGUUCUAACAAAAACCAAUUUCUUUGUUCAAGUAUUUUCGUUUGGGUAUUAAUAAUUCUCCACCGAAAGAGUGAACUCUUGCUCAAGGGAUCUCUAAUCAAUAGCCGGAAGGGCGCCGAGACCUGAUCGGACCUAGGCCCAAGUUUGGUCUUAAAGCCUGGGCUUGAGCCUGGCAAUUAAAUUAAAACAUUAAUUGAUUUCUUGAUUGAAUUGUCGUGUAAUUGAUUUAUGGGGGAUGACACAUCAACAUGCUUGAAAACACACUAAUCUCAGCAUCAUCGGUUAAUAACUUUUAGAAUUAUGGGUAAUCAAUAGUUAAGAUUAGUUGUCAUUAAUACUAAAUAUUUUUUUACUAUUUUCGUCUCUUCUAGAGGAUCUUCUAGAAAAAUGCAUCCACAACAAAAUUUAAUACUUUACAUAAUAAACAAAGCAUAAAUGUUAAAUUUAAGAAACUGCAUUGUAUUUCAGCUGAAGUUGACUUUAAUAUUUAGGGUAGAAAAAUAAUAAAUCCUUAAUGUGUUUAAUUUCUAUCACUUGUGUCAUUAAAAUUUUCUAGUCACCCUAACCAAUUACAUCUCAACCCACUUUUUUUUGGAUGAUUUUAUUUUUACACUAUUAUUUUCAUCAUUUUUUUUCCUUUUAACACCAACAUUAGUGUAUGUUACGUAACAUAAUUCAUAUUUGGAUAAUUUGAAAUUUGUUUGUGUUUUAUCUCAAAAUAGAGCUUCAAUCAAUUUGUACCUCAUAAAUUCACAAUAUCUAUGAGGGCUAAUAAGACCAAACUCUGGCAUAUUGUCAAAUGUGCUUAUCCUUUUGCUUGACAUGUCAUUUUAAAAUUGUCAUUCAAUGCCAAAAAAUCACAUCAACUGAUGGCCGACUACUUUAAUUUGAAAGCAUGCAUGCGAUCGCCAAUAAUUAUAACUUAAUUGUUAUUUUGAAAUUUUUUUCUUUAUAAUUUUUAAGUUUAAUACUACUACAUGUGCAGCACAUAAGUUGGAAAAUAUAACAUAAAAUUUGAAAAAUGUGUAGCUUUCGUUCCUUUUUUUUCUUAAAAAUGAGGAAAAAGAAUGUAAUUUUGUUUAAAUUACUGUUGUGAUAACAAUUAUUAUUUUAUUGAUUAAUUGGCAGAGAAUGGUUAUGGUUUCGCAUGGUUGUUAAAACAUUGGAAAAUCCACUACAUCAUCCGUUAAUAACUUUCAGAUUUAUGGUUAAUCAAUAGUUGAGAUUUGUUAUCAUUAAUGUUAAAUAUUUUUUUAAUAUUUUUUCUCUCUCCUAGAGGAUCAUCACAGCAAAAAUUUAAUAUUAUAAAUAGUAAACAAAAUAUAAACAGUUAAAUCUAAGAAACUGCAUUGCAUUUCAGCUGAAGCUAACUUUAAUAUUUAAUGGAGAAAAAUAAUUAAGUCCUUAAUGUACUUUAUUUACCCAUACUGAUACGCUCUUAAUUCGUGAAACUGAGCAACAUCAAAAUUAUCACUACUUCGAGCGAGUGUUUGCUCCAGAAGAAAGAACUGGAAGUUGAGAAAUGAGAAAGAAGAAAAGAAGAAGAGUCACAGCGAGGAAUAAAAGUGGUCCAUUCAUUUCAUGCCUUCCCAAAAUGACAAAAUCCCGCAAUAUAUAACAGACAAUCGAAAAUAACCAAUUUGACAACGCAACAGAAAAUGACAAAAAAGAAUCCAAAACAAACGUAGCCAAUCACAAUGCUUUUACAGAUCAUCCUAAACGACGUAGUCUCGUAGCCAAUCUAGAAGUUUCUUGUUUCGUUUGGGCCGUUGAUUCUCUUGCACUGGCUCAUGGUGAAUGUCCUCUUUGGGUUGACUGACUGUGGGUUCUCGGUUGAGCUCUUCCACUUGCGCCCCCUCUAAUGGCUCUAAUUUGAUAUAUAAAUUCGUAUCAUUCCCUCCUGCUUGAAAACACACAUUGUCCUCAAGGUGAAAUGCUGGAUAGAGCUUACAAAAGGCGUCAAAGUUUUCCCAAGACGAAUUCUUCGGUGAACUGACGGUCCAUUGAACUAACACUUGAAGCGUUGGCUUCCCCUGUUGCAAAACUAUUCGGGUUGCACAAAUGGCAGCCGGUAGCAAAAGAGGAUGGUUAUCCACACUCAACUCUGGUAAAGGAUGUGAAAUAGCAGGGUCGUUGCCAUGAUAAUGCUUAAGGACAGAGAUGUGAAAAACCGAGUGGAUUUUGGAAGUAUUGGGUAACUCCAAUUUGUAAGCUACAUACCCCACUCUAGCAAGUACCGUAAAUGGCCCGUAGUAUCACUUGGCCAACUUCUGACAGGCGCGAGAAGCUAUAGUGGUCUGUCGAUAUGGCUGUAAUUUAACCAGCACUUUAUCCCCUACUUCAAAGUGAGCUUCACGGCGAUGGGCAUUAGCUUUCUGAGCCAUUCGAUGUUGUGCUUGCCUCAAAUUAGCUUUUAAAGAUUGGAGAAGAGUAUUACGUUCAAGGAGAAUGUCCUCCAAAGUUUGGAUUGAAGUAGAGCCCUUAGCAUAAUGAGGAAUAGUUGGAGGCAAUCGGCCAAAUAAAGCUUGAUAGGGAGACAUCUUCAAGCCACUGUGGAAAUGAGAAUUAUAACUAAAUUCUGCCCAACUCAGUAAGGAAACCCACUUCCGUGGUUUGUCUUGAGUGAAAGCUCGUAAAUAUUGCUCCAAUCCUCAAUUUACCACUUCCGUUUGACCAUCCGUUUGAGGGUGGUAUGCCGUGCUAUGACGAAGAGUUGUGCCACUUAAGAGGAAUAAUUGUUUUCAAAAAUUGCUCAAGAACACUGGGUCUCGAUCGGAGAUAAUUGAACUUGGAAAACCAUGUAUUUUAAUGACCAUGUCCACAAAGAGUUCAGCUGUCUUGAGGGCAGUAAAUUGACAGGGUAACGGACCAAAAUGGGCAAAUUUUGUAAGACGAUUGACAACAACCAAUAUGACCGAGAAACCUUGUGCUAACGAAAGACCUAUAACGAAAUCCAUUGUGACCUCAUCCCAAACCAUAUUAGGUAUCGGCAAUGGUUGAAGAAGACCAGCAGGGGCUUGAGUGGAAUACUUAGUUUGCUGGCAUAUUAAACACUCUCGGAUAAACGUUUCCACAUCAUGACGCAUCUUGGGCCAAUAGAAUGUUGAAGAUAAUCUGAUUAAGGUUCUAGUGACACCCACAUGACCUGCCAGUGGUGUAGAGUGAAAUUCUUGCAAUAGUACGACUUUUAAAGAGGAGGUAGGACUGAUGUAAUAACGCUGACGGUGGAGAAGAAAUCCGUUUUGAACAGAGAAGUCAACUGACAGUUUGCCUUGUAAAAGUUGCUGGUGAAGUGAUAUUAAAUCAGGUAAUGUGGUAUUCUCAUUAAGUAAUGACUGCAGCAAUUCAAAUGAAGGAUGGCUGUUGAAAGAAAGGCAAGUGGGGGAGAUGUUGAUGUUAUCCUCAGGAGCUGUUUCAUGGACACGGGAUAGAGCAUCAGCGGCGCUAUUGGUACAACAUGGUCUGUACUCAAUUCUGAAUUGGAAACCCAAUAAUUUGCGGAGAUAAACUUGCUGAUCUAGUGUUUGUAUCACUUGUUGAAGGAGUUCUUUGAUACUCUUAUGAUCCGUGCGGAUAACAAAGAAUCGGCCCAACAAAUACUGCCGCCACUUAUACACAGCUUCUACAAUUGCAUGCAACUCCUUGAUGUAAGUGGAAGAAGCCCGCAAUUUGGGACCCAACUUCUUGCUGAAAUAAGCAAUUAAAUGCCCAUGUUGUGUAAGUACAGCUCCUAUGCCUACAUUAGAAGCAUCGGUCUCAAUGACGAAUUCGAAAGUAAAAUUCGGCAACUUAAGGACUGGAGCUUGCACCAUUGCUUGUUUAAGAGCUUCAAAGGCCUCCAUGGCUGUCAAAUUCCAUUGAAAGGCAUCAUUUCGCAGCAAAUCAGUGAGUGGGGCUGCCAAGGAAGCAUAACCACGGAUGAAGCGCCUAUAAUAUCCAGUGAGACCAAGAAAACCCCUCAACUGUUUGAUAGAACGUGGAAUUGGCCAAUUAAGCAUGGCAUCAAUCUUUUGGGGGUCGGCUUGUACUCCCGAGGCUGAAACAAUACGGCUUAGAUACUCAAUAGCGGCUUGGCAAAACAAACAUUUGGAUAAUUUAAUAAAAAAUUGAUGAAGAUGUAAACAAGCUAAUACUUUCUCAAGAUGAAGCAAAUGCUCGGCCAUGGAGGAGCUAUAAACCAAGAUAUCAUAAAAAAAAACGAUCACAAAUUUCCGGAGAUGAGCUGCAAAAAUCUGAUUCAUUGUGGCUUGAAAAGUGGAUGGGGCAUUUGUCAACCCAAACGGCAUGACAAGAAACUCAUAAUGGCCCUCAUGUGUUCAAAAUGUCGUUUUGUAUAUGUCGCGGUUGUGGACACGAAUUUGAUGGUAUCCCGCGCGCAAAUCCAAUUUGCUAAAAAUGGUGGCGCCCCCAAGUUCAUCAAACAACUCAUCGAUUGUCGGUAUAGGAAAUUUGUCUUUGAUGGUUACGGCAUUUAAUGCACGAUAGUCAACACAAAACCGAUAGGUGCCAUCUUUUUUCUUGACCAAGAGAACCGGGGAGGAAAAAGGGCUUUAGUUCGGUCGGAUUAUGCCCUACUCUGACAUUUCCCUGAUCAGUUUUUCCAUUUCAGAUUUCUGGAAGUGUGGGUAGCGGUAUGGACGAACAUUGACGGGGGCUGUGUUGGGUAAUAAAUGGAUUUUGUGGUCAAUAGUUCUGUGCGGUGGUAGGCUAGAAGGUUGGAGAAAUAGGUGUUUGUAUUGCUGUAAAAGGUUGAGAAAUUGAGCAGGAAGGGAAAAAGGAAAUUCAAGUGAGGAAGUGUCUGUGAUGGAAAAUGAAGGCAAAGCAUCGAUAGCGGGCACUGGUUGUAAGGCACAAAGGCUGGUCACGGUAUCACUUUGAACCAAUACCUGCAAUUGAUUAUAAGUGAUCAAAUUAUUAGAAGACAAAUCACCAUGAAGCAUCACUGGUUGCUCAUUUAAAGAAAACUCCAUAGGACACUUUGCCCAAUUUCUGUAGCCAUUGAAUGCCAAGGACCACAUAUGUGCCCUCAAUUGGCAAAAUGAAGAGGUCUACCAUAAAAGCCGUGCCUUGCAUUGUUAAGUUCACUUGAGGACAGAACUGUUUACACACCAGGAAGUCACCGUUGCCAAUAUACACUCGGAAAUUGGUAGUUGGAUGAAUGGCUAACCCCAAUCGUUCCGCUAACGCCGGUUUUAUGAAAUUGUGAGUGUUGCCACUAUCAAUCAGCACUUGAAAGGUGUGCGAAUCAAUUUCUCCAAUUAAACGAAGAGAGCGAGGAUUGGCCUGCCCUGCUAGAGCAUUUAAGCUAGAGAUGUCACCAGUAAUACCAGCAUCUACCAAUUCUGAUGGUUCCUCGUUAUUUUUGGGUUCCAAUUCUUCAUCAUCCGUGCCCAUGAGAAGUAGAAAUUUACUGCGACAGAGAUGAUUGUUGCUGUAUUUUUUGUCACAAUUGUAACAUAAACCCUUCUCGCGUUUGUCGCAAAGUUCAGCCGAAGACAAACGGCGAAUUGGUAAUGUUGGUGUCGAUAAUAAUGCAGGUAAAGUGUUUGAUUUAUUGGUAUUGUGGGUUUGUGAGGGAAGAGUUGAAGAUGAUACGGGGGUGAUGGCUGUGGUAACAGUUGCAAGUGAUGAGGAUGGAUAAAUGGGUUUGGGUUGUGUUUGGAAACCAUGUGAAAGGGGAUAUGGUUGCUGCCAUUUAGGCCAUGAGCGUGAGCUCUGUUUCACUUCGUCAUAUUUGGCCUCAAAAGCACGAGCUAAAGUUUCCAUUAGUGAAGACGGUCUAGAGAAAAGCAAUUCCCGUCGAAUGUUGGGUUUCAGACCAGUGAUGAAAAAACUAAUCAAAAGAAGUUCAGAAAUUCCAGUGACCUUGUUCAUUAAAUCUUCAAAAGCUGACUGGAAAUCUGCAACCGUGGUAGUUUGACUCAAUUUGGACAAAUCACCUUGGGGAUCUUCACACAAAGAAGCACCAAAACGAUAGCGCAAGUUAGCUAAAAAUUCUUGCCAAGUAGUGAGCAAGUGAUUGUUCUUUAUCCAUUGAUACCACGCUGCAGCGCGACCCUCCAUAUGAAAAGAGACAAUCCGUAGUCGGAGGAUCUCAGGUGUGUCAUGAAAGUCAAAAAAUUCUUCUAUUCGAAAAAUCCAUCCAUUUGGGUCAGACCCAUCGAAUUUGGGCACAUCCAUUUUCAUGGAACAAAGUACUGGAGAAACUUUAGAACCAGUAAGAACGCCAUCAUAUUUAGAAGAUGAAGGGUGUGAAGGGUUGGAGGAACCAACUGGUUUGUUGGAAGACCCAUGAAUUUAUGUACGUAACUCCUCAAAACGAGAGUCAACUGAUGUCAUGAAUUGUUGGAUUGUUUGAUGGAUGGACAGUUGCUACCCAUCAAGUUUGGCGUCAAAAGUUGCUUGAAGGGUCUGUAAAGCAUAAAGAAUUUCAGAAUUUGCCAUGAUCAAUGAAAGCACCAGUGAUACGCUCUUAAUUCGUGAAACUGAGCAAUAUCAAAAUUAUCACUACUUCGAGCGAGUGUUUGCUCCAGAGGAAAGAACUGGAAGUUGAGAAAUGAAAAAGAAGAAAAGAAGAAGAGUCACAGAGAGGAAGAAAAGUGGUCCAUUCAUUUCUUGCCUUCCCAAAAUGACAAAAUCCCGCAAUAUAUAACAGACAAUAAAAAAUAACCAAUUUGACAACGCAACAGAAAAUGACAAAAAAGAAUCCAAAACAAACGCAGCCAAUCACAAUGCUUUUACAGAUCAUCCUAAACGACGUAGUCUCGUAGCCAGUCUGGAAGUUUCUUGUUUCGUUUGGGCCGUUGAUUCUCUUGCACUGGCUCAUGGUGAAUGUCCUCCUUGGGUUGACUGACUGUGGGUUCUUGGUUGAGCUCUUCCACUUGCGCCCCCUCUGAUGGCUCUAAUUUGAUAUAUAAAUUCGUAUCACAUACAUGCGGUUAAUUUUUUAAGAUAAAGGGGAAGGAUGAUGCUCAAAAAUAUAAAUUAUAGAAUUAAUUGAACUCUCAAAUAAGUUUAAAGUUCAUUAUUUUUAAUUACAUGUUUAUAAUUUAUUUUUAUUUCGUAUUAAUCUAUAGAUCUAAAUCCACUUUGGAUUCAUAUACACAUAUAGACAUAAUGUGUAUGUUAAUCUAUAGGUCUAAAUUCACUUUAGGUCUAUAUAGGUAUUUUGACAAAUGUACUCCAAUCAUGCAUAUUGGCAAGUUCAAAUUCAAUUUGGAAUAUGGUCAUGGUACGUUCUUGUUCUUCCCUCUUUACGAGUGCAUUCCCCCCAACCUCAAGCUCCCUCUCUCGUCUUCAAUGUCACUGCUUAUAUCCUUAUGUUGUUCUAGUUUGAAACAGUGGCUUCCACUAUUUCAGGGCCCCCAAAAAUCCAGAAACAUACUAUUCAUCACGAUGACAAAAUUUUGGGCAGGCAGGUGCUUCCUGACUUUCACACGGUAAUUCUCAAAUUCUGAUUUCACCAUAUUUUAAUUACUGAUUAUGCUCUCCAUUAUAAUAGAAGUCGCCGCCACACUAGUGAUUCCAAACUUUAUCUUUUUUCCUUUUUUAAAUUAAUGCAAGUAGCCGCUGUCCUUUUUAUUAAUUAAUUAAUUCGGCCGCCCACAUUUCUUUUUCUAAUGUCUUCUACUGUCGAGUUUAUUUUAUUUUCCCUUUAUUCUUAAAAUAUACUUAUAAUAAUAAAAUAUAAAAAUAAAAAUAAAAAUUAACAUAUCAAAAUAUAAUUUAACAGAAAAUUAAGAUGAAAAAUAAAAAAAAAUAAAUUCUGAACAUAUCAAUCAAUAAAUGAAAAAUAAUAAUUUUUAUUUUUAUUAAAUAUAUUUUUUUCAGUAUUAAUCAAUUAUCUGAAUAACUAAAAUCAUUUAAAAAUAAAUAAACAAAUUAUUCUUUAUAAAAAAAAAAAACUUUUUAUAACACUCACUAUGCUGGUUGUAGGGUAGACGCUUUGGGGACUGAAGUUGGUAACUUCUACAAGUAGUCUUAAGUUGAUAACUUCUACAAGUAGUCUUAAGUUGACUGGCAAAUGUUCUCAGUAUUAUAUUGGUGUGUCGAUAUUAUCUCUAACUGCCUUAUAGAUAAAAAAAUAAUCUAAAUUUAAAAUUUAACAUAAAAUAAAAUAAUUGGUAGAAAAACAAUUAUGGUUCAUUUACUUAUCAGUAAUCAGAAUAGACUGAAAUCGAAAUGAGUUGUAUUACCGUUGAUGUGUUUAUGUUGUCCUCGAAUCGGAAUGAAUUAUUUUAAGUUACUAAAAUAUCCUUGGUUUGUUAUUCUAAUUAUUAUUAUUUAAUAUUUAUUAUAAUAUUUGUCAUAUCAUUAAAAAGAAAUAAUAAUGAUGAUAAUAUUAUCAUUAUUGUUUGUUACAUUAUUAUUAUUCAAAAAAAUUAUUGUUAAUAACAAUAAUUACUUUAUUUCAAUACUAAUAAUGAUAAAAUUAAUAAUAACAAACAACAAUAAUUAUUUAUUAUGCCAAAAAUAACAAUAAUAAUAAUCAUCAUCAUUUUUUUUCCCAAAGAAGCAUUAUCAUCAUUUCAAAAAAAAUAUCAUCAUUAUCAUCAUCAUUUUUGUAGUGGCUGCCUAUCGGCUGUUGCUUUCAUGUGAGAUUGACUUGCGACGCUUCAACGGCUAUUAUUUCUGGCAAUGUCAGGUGUUACUGUUUCAAUUUAGGAAGAAGCUGUUUCGUUGUGCUAACGAUGGGAGAUGUUGUGGCUGCGAUUCGGGGAGCUACUAGUUUAUUGCACUAAUGACGGCAGGUGCUGCUGCUUGAUGCGAGGUCCAUGGCCAGUUGUCAGCAGUUCGACUUUGGUAUGGGUGCUGCUGGUUCGAUUUUAGGUGUUGUCCAAUUUCAUUUUCAGGAUUUUAAUUUUAUUUUUCUUUUAUAUUUUCAUUAAUUAAUCAGGACAAAGUUGGAUUUUAGAAUUUGGAAUGAAGGUAAUUUUGUUAAUCAUGGAAAUGAGAUUCUGAUUGUCGAGAAUGAGCUUACACAAACAACUACAAAUUAAGUGAAAACAAAACGCUUUUUCUCUUUGUGUGAUUAAAACAUGAUAUGUACCAUAAAUAAAUAGGUAAAAAAUAAAUUAAUACAAUCCAAAACAGUAAACUAAUUACAAGAGGCACAAAUUUUUAUGUGAAAUACCAAAAAUAGAAAAAACCACAGCAUCUUAGUAUGAGAUAAUCUUCUACUAUAUUAAUGAGAUUAUAGCACAAAUUCUUCCUUAUAUAACACUAGAGGUUAACAACAUCAAGAAUUUCAAUAAUCUUGACUUACAAUACAGCCUAAUAUUUGUCUCUCUAAUAAGUAGAUAUCUAAAAUAACAGUCUCUAAUAAAUAAGUAUCUCAAAUAACAGUCUCUAAUAAGUAUCUCAAAUAAUAAUUUCUAAUAAGUAUGUAUCUCAAAUAAUAGUUAACAAGAGGAUAAAACAAAAAUUAAGAUUAGUAGGAUUGUAUAAGGCGAUGCUAUCAACUUAUCUUCUAAAUUUGAGAAAAAUAGUUAAAUUCACUUUUUCGAUUGUGACCAAAGAUGGAAACCUUUGCCCCAAAACCAAAGGAAUCACCAUUUCUCUCUCUCUCUCUCUCUCUCUCUCUCUCUCUCUCUCUCUCUCUAUCUCUCUCUCUCUCUCUCUCUUCUUCUACUUUUCUUAAUGUUAGCCGCCACUCGCUUUUAUUCUUUAUAGCAUUUAAAAAGCUACUUUUAAUGGUAAAUUUCAUUUAAGUCCAAAACUUAGUGAUAAUUGUACACCAAACAAUUCUUUUUGGACUAUGAGCUUUUGGGCCUCCAAAUGAGAUGAAUACAACAAAUCUCCCCCUUUAGAUCAUGUGGGGGGCACCACAAGCCUGCUCUCUGCAUAUAGUUUUUCAACUUCUCCUUGAAUAAUGACUUUGUCAUCAUACAUAACCCAUUCUCUGUUGUGUAAAUUUUCUCAAGCUGUAGCUGUUGCUUCUCAAGCACGUCUCGUAUCUAAUGAUAUCUCACAUCAAUAUGCUUAGAUUUCGAAUGGUUUAUCAAAUUCUUUGAACGGCACUCUGACUGUCGCAGUACAUAACAUAGCUGUCUCGUUUUACACCCAGCUCUUAUAGGAAAUUCAUUAUCCAUAAUAUUUUUUUGCAACCUUCAAUAAUUGUUAUAUCAUUUGCUUUAGUGGUAGAAAACGUAACUUAUUACUAAAGUUUAGAUUGCAAUGAGACUUCUCCCCCUGCAAAAGUGAGCAAACAUCCUAGAAGGAAUUUUUCGGAAUCAACAUCUUCUGCCAUAUCUACACACUUGUAACACAGGUUUGUCACCACUAAAAUAUAAACAUGCUCUGGAAAUGCCUCUAAGAUAUCUGAGAAUUUUUCAUUGUUGUCCAAUGCUCUUUUAUAAUAAAUACAAACAUAAUGAAUUUAUAAAACAUUUAGAGUAUUUUGAAUAUUAUAUAAAAUAAUUUUAAUAUAAUGCAUGAGAUAUAUUUUAUUAAUUUAAAAUGCUAUUUAAUCUAAAGAUUUAUUUAAGAUAAAUUAAUAAUUAAAUUUUUUUAAUUAUUUCAAAUAUUAAAAAUUUGUAAUAUUAUUAGUCUAUUAGAUAGAUUAAAUUAUUUAUUUUAUUUUGUAUUUAUUAAAAAAUUUUAAAGUCAAUAUUUUUAAUUACUAUUCGAAGGAUAUAAUGAUUAAAAAAAUCUUAAUAUUUUUUAUUAAAAAUUUAAAAAUUUACAUGACCAUUUCUAUAAAUAUUUAGGGUAUAUAUGAGCCACGGUGGAGAAGAUUUAUUUAAUAUUAUUGAUUUAAAUAAUAUCUAAUUAAAAAUAUACUGAGAAAAAAUUUCGGUGGGUAUUUUAGUCUUUUCAGCAAUCACAUGAUUAGCCUUUGGGCUUUGGCCUUGAAACGUCGGUCAGAAAAGUUUUAAACUGCUUAAUUGUUUUUCACUUUUAACGUUAGUGGCUGCUUAUAUUUUAGGAAAAUGAGAUUCUCACCACAGUGAGAACCACACUGAGCACAGAACGGUGCGUUUUGUGCUCAGUAUAAAUUCUAACUGUAGCGGAAAUAUCGCAACACAAACGCGCCAUUCCAAACCCACGCGCGUUCUCCCUCACGCCAGCAAAUCUCACCACGCUUCCUCCUCACUGUAAGCGCCCCCCCUCCCCGGGGGCGGUCGGCUGCGUCACGCUCCCUCACGGCGCCUCACUCUCUCGGCUCUCUUAGAAAAUUGAAUUGCGGCUUCCGCCGUGGGGUUCUCUCCUCAACUGCCGUUGUCUCGUCUCUGACAGCUGCCUUAAUCAAAUUCUGAAGGUAGUUUGCUUCAAUUCAUUACAUUAAUUUCAAAUUUGGUUUGUGUGGGAUUAUGAGUUUGUGAAGAUUUAGUUCUGUUUCAUGGUAAACUAUUUUUUGCUCAGUGUGUUGAGAAUAUCAGCACGGUUUAAAAUUCUUUUUAGAUUCUGUCGUAAAGUUUUCUUUGUAUUGGGCAAGUCAGUUACUUUAGUUUUGUGUCUGAAAACAAAAACACUUAGCUUAGUGAGUUUUAAGAGAUUUUGCUAUUUUGUUCAACGAAGCUUAAAAAGGGGAAGCUUUUAUGGCGUCUGUGAGCCGAGGCAAUUUGGAUCGGGUGCUUUUUCAGUUCAUUUGUUUGUUUCUUAUUUGGGUUCUUUAUUGUUAGAUGUUCUUUUGAGAUUCUGGCAUCUGGCAUCUGGCUACUUGCUUUUGUGGAGUUUUUUUAUUAUUUGAAUUCUGUGAAUUCUUUGUUUUCUUUCCCAAAUGAUUCCACUCUAUAAAAUAUAUAUUGUGCUUGGCUAGAAUUUUCUUUUAGAUAAUUGCAUCCUGUACAUUGGCUUAACCUGUCAAGAAUGAGAAUGAUGGAAGAUGCCUAUCUUGGAAAGAAUAUAUUGAGUUACAUAGUACCGGUUCCAAAUGAAUAAAUUGGAACUUGCCUAAAACAGGCACCAAUCCACCAUGACACCAAGCCUUUUUAAAAUUUUUUUUUUUUUAAGUUUAAAGAAACUUAUGUUGCUUCUUUAGAUCUGUUUUAGCUUAUGAUGAAUUUUGCUAAUGGUAAAAUCCCUCCCCUUCAAAGUUGGGGGAGGGGAAGCAUCUAUAUGCAUAUGUGUACAUUAUGGAGCUCGAACUACAUGUCGCAGUAAUACAUUAUUCUCUUUGCUUUGCAGGUUUUGAUCAACAUGAGUGAUUGGGAUGUAGGUCUGUGCUUGAGAGGCCGGAGUGAUGACCAGAAUUCUGUCAACCAGACCAAAGACAAUCAACUGAUGAAGUGUUGUUGUUCUCUAUAUUGAUUGUUGGAAAUUAUGUGUUAUUUCCAGAUUUUUAGAAAAUUAUGAUUGCUGGAAAUAAUUAUAUAUGUACAAUCAUUAUGUCCUCCAGCACAAGUGAAUUUCCAAACCCACAACUGAAAGCUUGCGAAAAAUUUGUAGAAAAUUUGUACAUCAAAUCCACAAGCUAAGUGUUGUAUCAGAAUAUGAAUGACAAUAAAACAAAAAUCUGUGUUCUUCAUUCUUAAAAUACUAAUACAAUACAAGUACAUUCUUAUUCUGAGAAAUAACUACCUAUUAACUCCAUAUUCAUUAUCUUGUUGAAAGAGUAGCUGCUGAAAAUGUCCAUGUCGCUGAGCUUGUAUGUGCUAUUAAAAAAAAAUUAAACAUCUUGUUGUCAUCCGAAAAAAUAAAGAAGGCAAGAUGAACAAAUAAAAAACUUAUCACUACUUACGGUGCAAGAAUUUUAUGUAGAUAUUGAAUAAACAUUAUCCUCAAUUAUUUGUCACAAUAAUUUAUAUUCAAUUCAUGGUGUGUUGCAGCAAGCUUCCAUUGUUUAACUAAAUGACAGCUGAAUCUUUACAACUAAUUAUCUUUACAAUCAAAUUUGGAAUUAAUUAAGCAAAUUACCGCUAGAAAUCGACGAGUGAAGCUAAGAGAGUGAGGCUGCAAGUCGAAUUUUUGAGACAGCCGAGAGAGUGAGGCGCUGUGAGAGAUGCAAUGGACGGGCGAGAGAGAGACGAAGCCGAUGGUGAUUGCUGCAUUGGUAGGAUUGAGGGAGAGAGCGAAAGAGCCAGAGCGUGCGUGCUUGUUCUGCCAGAGAGCGCGUAUGUUUUUUCUCAAUGCGCGUGUUGCGUAAUUAUCCAUCUACAGUGACCAUUUUAUAGUUAUCUUGAAACGCACCGUUCGGUGCUAUAUGUGGGGCUGAAUGUUGUGAGCAUAUCGGUGCUGUAUAUUUUAUUAAAAAUUAAUGCUAACAAGAAAAAACCCCUCAAUGAAUGAGGGUGAGAUUGCUAAAAAUUACGACAGGUGAUAUUUUAUUAUUAUUAUUAUUAUUGGGGGAGAAAUCCUCACCAAAGUGAGGAGAUUUUAUCAAAAUCAAAAUAAAAAUAUAACAAGAACUGAAAGUUGGGCAGCCUAAAAGCUAGAUAAACUAAAAUUCAGGCGCCUAAAAACAACCUUAUGCAAAAGAGAAGCAACAUGAGACCGAUCAAGUAAAAGAAUCCACCGCAACACCUAAAUUGGCCAAAUUAUCUGUUGGUAUUACAAGUUUCUUGUUAUAAAAGUGUAGAAUGAAGAAGGUGACGUAGUUUUAAGUUACAGCUGCAUGCCCGAUCGCAAUAUCAAAUAAUGAUUAAAUAUCAAAUAAUACUUAAAAUAGUUGCCUAGACCCGCCACAAUUUAUAUUAACUCUUAAAUUUAUAAAUAAUUAAAUUUUUAAAAGUUCGGAUUUAUAUUAAAAAAUCUUCAUAUAAAUAAAUAAUAUAUGCACUUUUACAACACAGUCUUUAAAUUUAAAUUUUUCUAGAAAAAUCUUCUGUAUAUCUUUUCUAUUAAAAAAUUUCCAUAUAAAUAAAUAAUAUACCUAAUUUAAUUGGACCCAGCGCAACGCAUAUGCAUAGAACACAUUCCGAAAAGCCAUGAUAUUCGGAAAUUGACGAAUGAAAAGUGAGGAGGCAGCAGUCAAUGCUAUUUCGGCUUGGCCCAAAAUUGAUUUAUCAGUUUGACGUGUGCCAGGAAUGAAGAACUGGAAUAUCACCAUCAAGCAAGCAACCUGCGGAGCAAUACCAUAGAAUGCACAAUCCGGCUUUGCAAGGUGACACUGGAGGCUUUUUGAAAAGUGCUUCACGCUCACUUGACAGAUUGAGCAUCCCCUCUGGAUAUUGCCCUCUCUGAUCGAAUCUGAGCACUCAAAUUUCGGUCCUCAGAUGGAGCUACAGCUUUCUCUCCAAUAACCAACAAUUUUCUAAACUCAGCACCUAGUGUGAUCAGAGUUGUUGAUAUUUGUAAAUGGAGAUCCCCGUAUUUGCAAAUGGAGACAUUUACCAAAUCACCAACAUGCUUCAUCCAGUCUACGAAAUUCUGCAGCUGAUUCAAAUCCGGAACCUGAACAAGAGUCGGAGGUAAAUCUUGAGCCAUAUCUAAAGCAGUCUGAAGUUCAAGUACUUGAGCCCUUGACAAUGGUUUUGAAAUUGGAACAUCUUGGAUUACUGCAGACUUGUGCCCCUUGGUUUCAAAGGUAAGGAAAGGCAUUGCUUGAGUACAAUUUGGAGGCAGCUUCUUCACCAAUUUUAUUUGGAGGCGAUUGGCAGCGGAUCCAGCUGCACCAAUUUCAGAGCAAAUACUGACACUACUUCGAACAGCACACUGAAGAAGUGAUAUGUCUACGGCAAAGGCAAUGCAGUCCUCAUUUUGGCUUGAGAUGCAGUAAUCAUCGAAGAGAGUUUCCUUGUGAAACUGGGCAACACAUUGAAUCCCUUCGCCACUGAGAAGGUUGCGGAGGAAGUAAGCUUUCUCUCUAGUGAGGAAGAGGUGGCAUACCUUCCCCAUGUCUAGGGCAGGUAGGAAUCUUUUUUCUAAGAGAUUUACUUCAUUCUCUGUGAGAAAUGCUUUGAACUUCAUCCCUCUGUCUCUAUCCUCACUUAUCAGUAAAAUAGUUGAAAGUGCUACAAGGAGAGAAAAGAAGAGUAUUAAGAUAUAUAUAGACAAGAAAAACAUUAGAUGUCGAUCUUACAAGCUAAUACUUCAAACAGUAUCCUAGAAAGCUAAAAACUGCAAAAUGGCUUGACAUUUGAAAAGAACACAUGCUUUUCCUCCUUAACUUGAGAAAAUGUUUAAUAUAGUGCACCUUACAGAAACAUUUAAGCAAUUAGAACUUUGCACAAAAAUAUUCAAGAAGACUAAACAAAUCAGAUGCAGUGUAUUUCUCCAAGCACAAAUGGCAUUGCAUUUUUUCCUCAACUGUAAUAUUUAUUGAUGAAAAUCAGUACAGGUCCCUCAUUUGUUAUGGAAAGCUUUCUUGUAGUCUGACUGGUUAAUUCACGGAUCUAUAAUUAUCUUGCAAAGUUACAGGCAUUUCUUUCGAUUUAAAGUCUUUGCAUCACCACCUCAUCACACACCUAGCCAAUAUUCCGUCUACUUCUACAACAAAAAGUUUUAAGUAAACGAUCCUAAUGCAUGCAGCCAAAUAAAAUGCAGUAAGAAUAUUCAACUUAAAACUCUGAAAGCCAUCUUGGUGAAUUGCCUCCUUAGGGGAAGUUCCAUGAUUUACUAUACUUGACAGGACUGAGCAAAAGCUUACAUACAACAGAUUUUGAAAAUGAUGAUGCCAAUAGAUACUCAUACAAUCCAUUGAAACUCCUAAGGUCCAUUGUUCACAGAGGUUUACAGAGUUUUGGUUAUCAAAUAGCUCAGACCUUAAUCCCAAACAAAAAACGAGUGAAAAUUAGAUCACCAGCAGCAAAUUGUAAAUUCUAACUUAACUCUUCAUCUCCUUUGUAAACAGGAGACAAAAUGGAGACACGCAAAAUGAAUAAGGAGAACAUUUGAACUCAAAUGAAAUGAGGGCACGAAAGCAAACAAAUGGCAUGCGCAAACAAACCAAGCCUCAAUCAAAAACUAAUUAACCAUUAAAAAACAAAACUGGUCAGCUUCUGGUGUUCUCAAAUUGUAUAACAAGAGAUCGACACAUCGAAUCAGAAGAACUCAAUUCAAAUUUGUCUCAAAAAUCAAAAUUAGAAGAUUUCACAUUUCGAGAGGAACAAGCGACAGGUCAGAUGCAAAAUUUUCAGCCAUAACAUGCCACAAUUAACGGUUUAUUUCCAUGGAUUUAGAGAGCUGACUGACCUUUUGGCUUUUGGAAUUGAGAAGAUCGCGCGCCAAAAUGGAAGAGGGAAAGCGAAAGUGCGGGUUUUAAUAGGGUAUUGGAUUAGCAAAUUUUAUUAGUUUGCGAGGGUAAAAUAGGAAAGUGAUAUCACUAUUAACCUUUUUUUUAAUAAGAAAAAAGAAUAAUAAAGAAUAUUUUAUUGUCAUUUGCAGCAUUUAUUUUUUUUAAAUGCUAUUAGAAAAAUACGACAACAAAGAAAUGCUCUUUUUUUUUUUUUUUUUUUUCUCGAAGGUAAAAUCAAUUAUUUAGCUCCUUAUAUGUAAUCAAACUACAUUUCUUACUUUAAGUCAUAUCCAACGGACCAACAAAGUAAUUAUUUUUUUUUUCAUUCAUUUUUGCAGAAAAUUAAUAACUUAAAAAUAUUGAAAGCUAUUGUAAAAUUUUUUAUUAUCAACCUCAUAGUUUUAUUUUUUGGGAAGAAUUGAAUUUUUUUUUUUAAUUUCCAAGAAUUUCAUUCUCUAGUUUUUCCAUUAAUAUUACUUAUCUUGAUACCCAUCUUAAUUAAAAUCUGUAGUUUUAUUCAAGAGUCAUGCUAUUCAUUCACUCACAGACCAAAGGCUUUCCGCAGCAAUAUUAUUAUUUAAAUUACAACAAAGGGGAAAUCAAAUACGUCAUACAGAAGCUUAAAGCUGAAUCUACAAAAUCUAGAGCUCUCAACUACAUAAAUUACACUUGAUGAUCCUCUACAAGAUGAAGCUUGUUCAAUAUCUCAUCCAAAGCUUGUAAAGUAACAUUAUAACGAUCUUGAGAUUGCCUGCCUUCCUCGACGACCUGCACGAUGCGUUUGUACAAAUCAUCAUACCUGUGCACCGGAUUUUUAAUAUCAAUGCCACUGCAGCUGUGAUCAAGAACAUAAGAGCGUUUAACAUCUUUUCUCCAUCAAGAAAGAAUGUAGUGAGAUGGGAUCUCCUGCAUGCCACUCUGGUUUAGAACACAAAGAAUGUGUCUGCAUAAAUAUCCUCUGAAAUUGAACAACCCACAAACACAAAGCACCUCCAAGUCGGAGGCAUUGUACAAAACAUCGAAAAUAGUUAUGUUUUACAAUCUAUUAGACAUAUUUUAUUAAAUUAAUAUAAAUUUUCUAUAAAAUAAGAAUAUAAUAUUAAAAUAAAUUCACAAAAAAUUAAAGAAUUUUGAAUGUAAAAUAAUUUUAAUAGAUUAAUACGUGAGUUUUUUUAUUAAUAUAAAAAUUAUUUAACUUUAAGAUUUUUUAAAAUCUUUACAAUAAGUAUGACUAUAUUAUUUACAUUUAAAAAUAUUUAAAUAUUAUUAACCUACAAUUAUAUUUGCAUUUGUUAGAAUUUUUUAAGUCAAAUAUUUUGCACUUCUAUAUUAUUAGAAUUAUUGCACACAAAGAAAGAAACAUAUACCUUUAGAAAUUGUUUUCUUUUAAAAUAGAGAUGAUGAUUAGUAUAAGGAUGAAAAAAAUGAUAAAGAAUAUUAAUGAUUAACGAAAUCUCUAUACAAAUUGAUUUUAGUAGGAAAAGAGUGAGAUGAAUGAUUUCUUUUACGGUUAGAAACAUAGAUGAUGAUUAUUAUAACGAAGAAAAAAAGAUAAAGAAUAUUAAUUAUUAAUGGAAUCUCUAUGCAAAUUGAUUUUAGUAGGAAAAAAAAUGAGUUAAAUGAUUUAGAGUGCGUUUGGAAUUGAGAUUGGGCAGCCAUAGAUUUUAAGUUACAAUACUGAAGUGUUUGAUAAAUACUAGCUGCUGCAGAUUGAAAGUUAUAUUGAUAUGAUUUUUCACAUGUAUCAUAGAAAAUAUAUUACAUCUUUAAUAAUUUUUUUAAAAUUUAUAUUUGCUAUAUAUUAUUAAUUUUUUUUUAUAGUUAUAACUUUUUUUCCACAGCAGUUGUAGCUUAAAAGUCACAGCAUCUCAAUCUCAAACAAAUCCUUAGACAUUCAUAGUGUGUUUAUUUUUUGGAUUGGUGAAUCAAAAUUAUUGACAACGCUAACUUCAUCUUCAUUGUUCGCAAUCCAACAGCAGCAGCAAUUGUCACCAAUAAUGAUAUCUCCAAUGAUGAUGACAAUUAUUAUUAUUAUUAUUAUUAUUAUUAAUUUAUUAAUUAAUAUAUUAAUGUUAAUAAUAUUAUUAUUAAGAUUAACAAUAAUUAGUAGUAAUACAAUUUUUUGAAUAAAAAUAAUCACAAUAAUUAAAAUACAAAUUAAUAAUUAUGACAAUAGUUAAUUAAUGUCUUUUUAGUAAUUUGUAAUAAUCUAACUCAUUUUGAUUCUGAUUAUUACAGCUUAAGUAAACAAAUUAUUAUGAUUCCUAUUUUCCUUUCCUAUUUUAACUCACUUCGAUUCCAAUCUAUUCCAAUUUCUAUCUAAUAAAUGCACCAUUAGUGCUAAAGUAAUAUUUCAUACAUAGAAAAAUAAAAACUACACCUAAGGUUAAGGGAAAGGACUUCAAAACUCUCUUUUGAUCAUAAUACAUUUUGUCCUAAUUAACUUAAAGAUUUUGAAUCUAAUAUUUUAUAAUAAAUAAAAAUAUAUUCCUAAAAUAAAUAUAAUAUCAAUAUUUAAAAUAUGUUUUAAUAUUUUACAAUCUAUCAUACACAUUUUAUUAUAUUAAAGUAGAUUUUAUAAUAAAUACAAACGUACUAUUAAAAUUAAUAUAUAAAAAAUUUAGAAAAUUUAGAAUAUUAUAUAAAAUAAUUUUAAUAUAAUGCGUGAGAUAUAUUUUAUUAAUUUAAAAUUUUAUUUUACCUAAAAAUAUGAUAAAUUAAUAAUUACAUAUUUAAAGUUAUUUCAAAUAUUAAAAAAAUUUAAUAUUAUUAGUUUUUUAGAUAGAUUAAAUUAUUUUUAUAAGAGAUAGAUUAAAUUAUUUUAAAAUACCUUAAUUGUUUUUACUUUUAACGUUACCGGCCUUUCUUUUAUUUUAUUGUAAAUUAAUGCUAACAAGAAAAAGCUAGAUCAUAUUCCACAAAAGCAAAAGUGACAAACACAAUCAGCUGGAAUCUUUUAUAAAACUACAAAUUAAAAUGGUUUUUUUUUUUUUUUGAUAAAUUACAUAUAAAAGUGGAUUCUUUUGAAUAUAAGUGGGGUAGGCUCUUUUAUUUUUUUUUAAUACUGUAUAACAAGAUUGUAGACUCCUUGAUUAAGCACAAGUAUAAAGUAGUCGAGACGAUACUUUAUGCUAGGUGUCCAUUGAAUAUUAGAUCUUCAUUUCUUUGGCCAUUUAAUUUUUUCGAGAAAUUUUUCUUACGAUCCCGGCUAAGCUUGAAGAAAAGACAACUCAACGGUUUUUUUAAAACAAGUUUCCGUUUUGGUUGGUGAAAUGAAAACGAAAUAAAGCACUUCCAUCCAAAAAUCAUUCUUCUGGAGAAAGGGAUGACAGAUUAAAGAAAAGGGGUGUACUGAAAGGAGAAAAAAGGUUCUUGCAUGAGAGCUGGACACGUUAAAAGAAGUUGAACAAAUGUCUCAAAAAGAAGCUAUUUCGCUUUCAUACUAAAGCCUAUUUGUAAUAGCAUCAGCAAUGCUCCACUAUCCACAUUCUUGUGCGGAUAUCAUUGCAAUCUACUAAUGGUAUAUAAACAUGCAUGUUGUCCCAUGAUGAUUAAGUUAACACACACUUGGAGGUACUUAAAUUAUGCCAUAAAGAGAUAUAGUUAUUACGCAUACAAAUGUUAUUCAAUGGUUAAAAUGUAUGAUAAAGAAAUCGCUUGAAUUUUUUAUUUGCCGUUACGUAAUUUUUUUAUUGAUUCCGAGUUUGAAUCUUAAAAGAAAUAAAGGGUUAGAAAAUUAAUUUGAACUUUGUCCACUCUUUAACUUAAUGAGUAUAAAAACAGAAAAUGCAGGUAAUUUAAUUUUGACAUCUAACAUUUAAGAGAUAGAGCUUGAAAGAGUCCAAUAUUAAAUUAUAAAAUAAUUGAAAUAAAGUUUGCCCCAUAAGAAAAAUUGAACAAAAAAUCUUAAGUAUGAUAUGAUGCUAGAGAAAUUAUUUAUCUCAAAACUUUUAUUAGGUAAUUAAGUCCUAAGAAUAUGUAAUUACACAUGUAACAAAAAUUAGAGAUGAGGGUCUUUUAUUAAACUACAAAUUGUAUAGUCUUUUUAAAAUUGUUAUAAAUUGGUGGCCCCUACAAUCCUCAAUAAUUGUGCCGAUAUUCACAAGUUGGUGGCCCCUACAAUUAUCAACUGUGCAAGUGCUCAUUCACAAUCUUCCAGGUCAUGCUCUUAAUAAUUGUUUUUUUUUUCUGCAUUCCCUUUCAUGCUCUUAAUAAUUGAAGAGCAUACUUUUCAAAUAUGGAGCCGCAGCUAAUGUCGCUAAUUUAAUUUGGGAUUAAAUUAGGGGACCAUUAUGUUGCAGUGUGCACUAAUUUUUGUGUUUAUCUAAACUCCUUAAAUUUAAGACAUAUUACGGCAUAAAUAAGAAUAUAACAAUAACAAAAGAGUUAAAAAGUGUAGAGAAGAUCUUGCAGAAAUAUAAAUAAUAUCUAUUUUAAAAUAAUAUCAAUAUUUAAAAUAAUUUUUAAUAUUUUAUGAUCCAUUAGAUAUAUUUUAUUAUAUUAAAGUAAAUUUUAUAAUAAAUAAAACAUACUAAAUUUAGAGUAUUUUAAGUAUUAUAUAAAAUAAUUUUAAUAAAAUAUGUGAGAUAUUCAUAUUUUAUUAAUUUAAAAUACCAUUUAACCUAAAGAUUUAUUUAUGAUAAAUUAAUAAUUAUAUUUUUGAAAUUACUUCAAAUAUUAAAAAAAUUAAUAUUACUAAUCUAUUAGAUAGAUUAAAUUAUAUAUAUUAUUUUCUAUUUAUUAAAAAAUUUUAAAAUUAUUUUUAAUUACUAUUCAAAAAAUAUAAUGAUAAAAAAAAAUCUUAACAUCUUUAUUAAAAAUUUAAAAAUUUUCAUGAUCAAUUCUCUAAAUAUUUAGGGUAUAUGUGAACCACGGUGGAGAAGCUUUAUUUAAUAUUAUUGAUUUAAAUAAUAUGUGACAAAACAACUAGGUGGACUACAAAUUAAAGUGGAUUCUUUUGAAUACAAGUGGGACAGACGAUUAGGCUCUUUUUAAUUUUUAUUAAAGGCAAGUAAAAAGUAGUCGAAUAGUCUUUUUCAAAUUCUUGUUUUAUUGUUUUUCAAAACUAACAAGAAAAAGCGAGAUCAUAUUCCACCCCAAAAGCAAAAGUGACAAAACAACCAGCUGUAUUCUUUUAUUAAACUACAAAUUAAAAUGGAUUCUUUUGAAUACAAGUAGGACAGACGAUUAGGCUCUUUUUAUUAAACGCAAGUAAAAAGUAGUCGAAUAGUCUUUUUCAAAUUCUUGUUUUAUUAUUUUUCAAAAUUAGUUUUUGGUAAUUACUGUUUUUCCUUCAAAAGUUAGCGGUUCAUGUUUGCAAGUGUGAAUGUGCGAUGCUCUUUUCUUAAAGGCAAUUACAGUGGGGCCCGAAUGCCUAAAUCUUUUUAAAAUUUUUGCCGUAUAACGAACAGAGGUCAUUACUAAAAUUUCUCUUCCACAGCCUACAGCAGCUUCAGUUUAUCAAACUCAAUCAAUUUUCUUUCUUAACAAAAUUCCAAAGAUGUGUAGCAUUUUUCAGAUCGCAUGCGAUGGUGCUCUUUUCAAUCGUUGCUUGGAUUGCUUUCUUGGAAAAGCAGCAUACCUUCGUAACCUCCCAGAUAAUCUUGUAGACUUGGAGACUGAACUGGGAAGACUAAUCGCAGCAAAGAACGAUGUGAUGAUGAGGGUUGUCAAUGCUGAACGGCAACAAAUGAGAAGGCUGGGCCAAGUGGAAUGGUGGGUUUCGAGGGUGGAUGCUGUUAAAACUGGAGCCGAUGAACUUAUCACAGACGGCUCUGAAGAAAUUGGCGAAUUAUGUGUUGGAGGCUACUGUUCCAAGAACUGCAGGUCAAGCUACAAGUUCGGAAAACAAGUGGCUAAAAAGCUACAAGAUGUGAAGGCUUUAAUCGCCGAGGGAGUUUUUGAGGCGGUGGCUACUGAGGUGGUGCCCGAGAGAGCUCCGGAACCUGUAGCAGAUGAAAGACCCAUUGAGCGAACAGUAGUAGGCUUGCAAUCACAACUUGAACAAGUCUGGAGAUGUCUUGUAGAAGAAUCAGUGGGAAUCAUUGGCCUAUAUGGUAUGGGCGGUGUUGGUAAAACCACACUGUUGACCCAUAUCAACAAUAAAUUUCUUGAGAGUCCCACCAACUUUGAUUGUGUGAUUUGGGUCGUAGUUUCAAAAGACCUGCGACUUGAAAAAAUUCAAGACGAUAUUGGGAAGAAGAUAGGUCUGUCUGAUGAUUCAUGGAAGAAUAAAAGUUUUGAGGAGAAAGCUGUAGACAUCCUGCGGAGUUUAGGAGAGAAGAGAUUUGUAUUGUUGUUAGAUGAUUUAUGGGAGCGGGUUGAUUUAACAAAAGUGGGCGUUCCACUUCCCGGACCACAAAAUACUACCUCAAAAGUCGUAUUCGCAACCCGUUUCAUCGAUGUUUGUGGUAGCAUGGAAGCUGACAGGAAGUUCCUAGUGGCGUGCUUAUCAGAAAAGGAUGCUUGGGAACUGUUUCGAGAAAAAGUUGGGGAAGAAACUCUUCAGAGUCAUCAUGAUAUCGUUGAGCUAGCCCAAAUUGUGGCCAAAGAGUGUGGUGGUUUGCCACUCGCACUUAUUACUAUUGGUCGAGCUAUGGCCUGCAAAAGGACAGCCGAGGAGUGGAUACACGCAGUUGAAGUGCUAAGAAGAUCAGCUUUUGAGUUUGCAGGUUUGGGAAAAGAGGUGUAUCCUCUUUUAAAGUUUAGCUAUGAUAGUUUGCAGAAUGAGACGAUUAGAUCUUGUUUCUUAUAUUGUUGUUUAUAUCCCGAAGAUUAUGGAAUUCUUAAAUGGGACUUGAUUGAUUGUUGGAUUGGUGAGGGAUUCUUAGAGGAAUCUGACAGGUUUAGUGCAGAAAACCAAGGUUACUACAUUGUGGGCACUCUUAUUCAUGCGUGUUUACUAGAAGGGAUAGAAGAUGAUAGAGUAAAAAUGCAUGACGUUGUUCGUGAUAUGGCUCUAUGGAUAGCUUGUGAAAUUGAGGAGAGGAGACACUUUUUGGUUUGUGCAGGCGCUGGAUUAGAACAGGCACCGGCUGUUAGAGAAUCGGAAAAUGUGACAAGAUUGUCAUUGAUGCAAAACCAAAUUAAAAUUCUGUCGGAGGUUCCCACAUGCCCUGAUCUCCUCACUUUAUUUCUUGACUUUAAUGAGGAGUUGGAGAUGAUCGCGGAUGGCUUCUUCCAAUUUAUGCCUUCUCUCAAAGUUUUGAAGAUUUCAAACUGCGGGAAUUUUACUUUUCAAUUACCUUUGGGGAUGUCAAAGUUGGGUUCACUAGAACUUUUUGAUAUUUCACGCACCGAAAUACAAGAGUUACCAGAAGAGUUAAAGUUGUUGGUAAAUCUGAAAUGUUUGAAUUUGAGGUGGACAAGCAAGUUAAUUAGAAUUCCACGGCAACUAAUAUCAAAUUCUUCAGGGUUACGUGUGUUGAGAAUGUUCGCUACUGGCUAUGAAUGUUUUCAUGAAGCACCAGAAGACAGCGUUUUAUUUGGUGGGGGUGAAGUUUUAGUACAGGAAUUGCUCGGUUUGAAAUAUUUAGAGGUAUUGGAGUUGACCUUGGGAAGUUAUCAGGCUCUCCAAAUCUUUUUGAGCUCAAAUAAGUUAAAAAGUUGUAUUCGAUCUCUUUUCCUCCAGUUGGCCGGAGAUACAAAGUCGAUUAUUGAUGCUGCGGCUUUCGCAGAUCUAAACCACCUCAAUGAAUUAUAUAUUUAUGAAGGUAUUGAGUUGGAAGAAUUGAAGAUUGAUUAUACAGAGAUAGUACGAAAAAGGCGGGAACCUUUUGUUUUCCGCAGCCUUCACCGUGUUACCAUAUUUAGUUGCGGUAAAUUGAAAGAUGUGACAUUCCUCGUUUUUGCUCCAAACCUCAAGUCUCUUGAGCUAUUGCAAUGCGAUGCUAUGGAAGAAAUAAUCAGCGUCGGAGAAAUUGCUGAGACUCCUGAGAUGAUGGGACACAUAAGCCCUUUUGAAAAUCUCCAAAGUCUUCAUUUAUCGUAUUUACCAAUUUUGAGGAGCAUCUACUGGAAGCCAUUGCCUUUCACUCAUCUCAAAAAAAUGGAGGUACGUAGAUGCGAUCAGCUUAGAAGGCUUCCGCUCGAUUCCAACAGUGCAACAGAGCGUAAUGUUGUUAUUCGUGGAUACACACUCUGGUGGAACCGACUUCAAUGGGAGGAUGAAGCCACUCAAAUUGCUUUUCGUUCCUGUUUCCAACCUCGUUCCUGAGCAGUGGUCGCAAAAUUUGAUUUCUGGUGAGUGCGUUUGUCUUUUAAAAAGAAGAAUUUAAAAGAAAUUUAUUCUUGUCGUUUUCUUCACUGUUUUUAUUUGAUUUCUGGUUAGUUUCUUUCUCUCUCUCUCUCUCUUUGUCUUCUGCAAAUCACAAUUAAAUGUUGAAUUAAUGGAAUUGAUGCUCUGGUUUUUUACUUUUUGUUGUCAAAUUUUGCCCUGUUCUAUCUUCUUAGCGAUUUAAUUUCCUGUCAAAAGACGAGCGAGAAGAACAUAUAUAUGACUUAAACCAAUUGAUACUUUAUUUAUGUGCAUUGUAUGUAAUAAAUAUUAAGUAUACUUUAUUUUUGCCCUGUUCUCUGUUUUUAUUUCAGUCUCUCUCUCUCUUUCCUGUCUUCUGCAAAAUAUAAUCAAUUAUUUUCAAAAUAUCAUUGAUGAUUUUUCUGCUCUAAUGCUAUGUAAAUAGUAUGUUAAGUAAAACAUAAUCAAUUAUUUGUGUUUUAUCUCUAAUUAGAACAUCAAUCAGUUCAGUACCUCACAAAUAAUUCGCAAUAUCUACAAAAUACUAUAAUGGCUACAAAACAAAUCCUGCUUGCAAAUUGUCAAGGAUACCUAUCCGUUCGCUUGACAAGUCAUUUGAAUAAAUAUUGUUCACAUUCCUUACUCUAUCAAUUAUCCAAAGCACCAUCAAUGGUCCUCAACUUUAGUUUGAAUAGUAUACAUGCCAUCACCAUUACCAAGAAUCAAGCAUGGAAGAGUCAUUCUAUAGAGUUAAUCGAAGCAAGGAAUGAUGUAUCAGAAAAUAUUUGGUGGAGAAUUCAGCACAAACAUAUUUUGGAUGAUCAGAAUCAAUAAAACCUGGUGGUUGCGCCAUAUAAACAUCUUCGGAAAGCUGACCUUGAAGAAAGGCGUUAUUGAUAUCCAAUUGACGAAGAGGCCAGCCAUGACUAACAUCAAUACUAAGAACAAGCCGUACUGUGGUGGACUUAACAACUGGACUGAAAGUGUCAUAAUAGUCCACACCAGGCCAUUGAUUGAACCCUUUGGCAACAAGAUGAGCUUUAAACCUGUCAACAGAACCGUUGGAAUGUCUUUUAAUACAAAAAUCCAUUUGCAGCCAACAAUAUUGGAAGGGAUGGGAGGUGGAACAAGCUUCCAUGUCCCGUUACGAACAAGAGCAUCAUACUCUUCUGACAUAGCUGGACGCCAGUGAAGAUUUUUGAUAGCUUGCGUCACAGUUGUAGGUUCACAAUCAGAAGAAGGGCUAAAAUGAGCACGGAGGUUAAGUUUUUGUAACGGCUUGUGAAUCUUAUUUUUAGCUCGGGUAGUCAUAUCAUGAUGACUUGUGGGGCAAUGAUCUAGUGGAGUUUAGGAAGAUGAUUGAACAGGAAGUGAAGAAGUGCUUUGUGUAGAGGUAGAAGUAGGUUGGGAGGAUUGCUGCGGAGAUGUUACCGGUAGAGAAGAAGGAGCAGUACACGGUGGCAACUCCAGAGGGCCCACAAUAGAUGGAGUAGGUGCCGACAAUGGAGUACUAGGAAAUGAAACAGGAAGAAUUGGUGGAACACUUGCGUAAUUAGGAGUGGUAGAUGAGCUUGUAAUGAUUUGUAUGGAAAAACAAACUCUACAAAUUUAACGUGACGUGAAAUAAAAAUUCAACCCGAUUGCAUAUUUAAGAACAUCUCAAAUGAAUUGCUUACUGCUAUCAUCAUCAUUAUUGUCUAUAUAAUAAUGGAUCUUUAUUAUAUAUAUGUUUCCACUAAAAUAUAUUUAAUUAUUCUUUAUUUUUCUAUUGUUGCGUGUAAGAUUUAUUUGAGUUCUAAGUUAUAUCAAUACAAAUGUUAUCUUAUCCAUAAAAAGUUAGAUCCAACAAUUAUGAAAAUUACUAUAGAGUUGCUUUCAAUUAUUUUUUUAAAAUACCAGGAGUAAAUAAUAAUUAGUUCAAAUGGUGGAGACUAAAAUGCGUUCACCUUUAUUUUUUAUCUGUUAUUUACUUUUGUCAUUACAUUAAUGCACAUGCUAUACAUUUGAGACAUUCCAUUAAUUGCCAAUUAUGUAUGUGAGAUAGUAAUUUAAAUUAAAAAAUAAAAGUGAAAGUUAAUCCUAUGCAAUGUGAAUAAAUUUCUUUCCUUUUUCCUUUACUCUUUUUAUUUGACAAUAAAGUUUCCAUCUAUCAUCUAUCAUCUAUGUACACAAAAUUUCUGCAACAAGUACAAAACAUAAAAAUAUAUGAAUAUUAAGGGAAACACGCAGAAGUUCAUCAUUUCAAUGUUCAGUAUUACCAAUUUUGGCAUUAAGCUUGUACGAAUAUAUUCUACUUCGAAAGCAAAAUAUUAGACUCGUGAUUUUAAUUCAUUCAUUAUCUCUCAUUUUAAUCCCAAAAUAUUCAAGAGUAUCCAAGUUACCAUAAGACUUCAGAGGCUCGAGCCUUAGCCAGAGAUGGUUAAUUGAUAGACUAUGUGCCUGGGUCGAGCACUGGAAGCCUGCAAUGCAGACUGAUUGAUUUAUCAGUUUAACGUGUGCCAGGAAUGAAGAACUGGAAUAUCACCGUCAAGCAAGCACCCUGUGGAGCAAUACCAAAGAAUGCACAAUCUGGCUUUGCUAGGUGACCCUGGAGGCUUUUUGAAAAGUGCUUCAUGCUCACUUGCACAGAUUGAGCAUCCCCUCUGGAUAUUGCCCUCUCUGAUCGAGUCUGAGCACUCAAAUUUCGGUCCUCAGAUGGAGCUACAGCUUUCUCUCCAAUAACCAACAAUUUUCUAAACUCAGCACCUAGUGUGAUCAGAGUUGUUGAUAUUUGCAAAUGGAGAUCCCCAUAUUUGCAAAUGGAGACAUUUAACAAAUCACCAACAUGCUUCAUCCGGUCCACGAAAUUCUGCAACUGAUUCAAAUCUGGAACCUGAACCAGAGUCGGAGGUAUAUCUUGAGCCAUAUCUAAAGCAGUUUGAAGUUCAAGACCUUGAGCCCUUGACAAUGGUUUUGAAAUUGGAACAUCUUGGAUUACUGCAGACUUGUACCCCUUGGUUUCAAAGGUAAGGAAAGGCAUUGCUUGAGUACAAUUUGGAGGCAGCUUCUUCACCAAUUUUAUUUGGAGGCAAUUGGCAGCGGAUCCAGCUGCACCAAUUUCAGAGCAACUACUGACACUACUUCGAACAGCACACUGACGAAGUGAUAUGUCUACGGCAAAGGCAAUGCAGUCCUCAUUUUGGCUUGAGAUGCAGUAAUCAUCGAAGAGAGUUUCCUUGUGAAACUGGGCAACACAUUGAAUCCCUUCGCCACUGAGAAGGUUGUGGAGGAAGUAAGCUGUCUCUCUAGUGAGGAAGAGGUGGCAUACCUUCCCCAUUUUGUCUAGGGCAGGUAGGAAUCUUUUUUCUAAGAGAUUUACUUCAUUCUCUGUGAGAAAUGCUUUGAACUUCAUCCCUCUGUCUCUAUCCUCACUUAUCAGGAAAUAAGUUGAAAGCACUAUGAAGAGAGAGAGAGAGAGAGAGAGAAUUAAGAUAUAUAGACAAGAAAAUAAUUAGACGUUGAUCUUACAAACUAAUACUUCAAGCAGUAUCCUAGAAAGCUAAAAACUGCAAGAUGGCUUGAAAUUUGAAAAGAGCACAUGGUUUUCCUCCUUAACUUGAGAAAAUGUUUAAUAUAGUGCACCUUACAGAAGCAUUUAAGCAAUUAGAACUUUGCACAAAAACAUCAAGAAGACUAAACAAAUCAGAUGCAGUGUAUUUGUCCAAGCACAAAUUGCAUUUUGUCCUCAACUUUAAUAUUUAUUGAUGAGAAUCAAUACAGGUCCCUCAUUUGUUAUAGAAAGCUUUCUUGUAGUCUCACCAGUUAAUUCACAGGUCUAUAAUCAUCUUGCAAAGUUAAGGGCAUUUCUUUCGAUCUAAAGUCUUUGCAUCACCACCUCAUCACACGCCAAGCCAAUAUUCCAUUUACCUCUACAACAAAAAGUUUUUAAGUAAAUAAUCCUAAUGCACGCAGCCGAAUAAAAUGCAGUAAGAAUAUUCAACUUAAAAAUCUGAAAGCCAACUUGGUGAAUUGCCUCCUUAGGUGAAGUUCCAUGCUUUACUAUAGUUGACAGAACUCAGCAAAAGCUUCCAUACAACAGAUUUUGAAAAUGAUGAUGCCAAUAGAUACUCAUUCAAUCCAUUGAAACUCCAAAGGUUCAUUGUUCAUAGAAGUUUACAGAGUUUUGGUCAUCAAAUAGCUCAGACCUAAUCCCAAACAAAAAACGAGUGAAAAUUAGAUCACGAGCAGCUAAUUGUAAAUUCUAACUUAACUCUUCAUCUCCUUUGUAAACAAGAAACAAAAUGGAGACACGCAAAAUGAAUAUGGAGAAAAUUUGAACUCAAAUGAAAUGAGGGCACGAAAGCAAACAAAUGGCAUGCACAAAAAAACCAAGCCUCGAUAAAAAACUAAUUAACCAUUAAGAAAAAAAUUGGUCAGAGAAUGAACUCCAAAUUCAGGAGUCAAGCAAGAAGCUUUCAUUAUUUCAGAAGCUCCUGUACAAAUUAAUAAGUUAUGCUCUUUGGAAGCAAACCUAAAUUCCAAGAGAAACAGAACCCAAAAAAUUUGCAAUUAUACGCAAAGGAAGUGAAGCACAGGAUUCUAUCACACAUAGGAAUUGUAUAACAAGAGAUCGAUAUAUCGAAUUAGAAAACUCAAUUCGAAUUUGUGUCAAAAAUCAAAAUUAGAAGAUUUCACAUUUCGAGAGGAACAAGCAACAGAUGAAGUUCAAAAUUUCAGCCAUAACAUGCUAAAAAUGCUACACUUAACGGUUCAUUUUCAUGGAUUUUCUCGGGAAACAAACAGAAAAUUACGGUUUAGAGAGUUGACUGACCUUUUGGCUUUUGAAAUUGACCAGAUCGCGCGCCAAAUUGGAAGAGGGAAAGUGAAAGCGCGAGUUUUAAUAUGGGUAUUAGAUAAGGAAAUUUUAUUAGGUUGCGAGGGUAAAAAAGGAAAGAGAUAUCAUUAUUUUAUUAUCGAUAAUUAUUAAAUUUUUUUCCAAAAAAAAGAACAAGCAAGGAUUUUUUAUUGUCAUCACUAAGUUAAAAAAAAUUGUUUCAAAAUUACUUGAGUCAUAUCCAAUGGACCAACAAAGUAAUCGUUUUUAUUUUUAUUGAUUUUUGCAGGAAAUUAAUAACUUAAAAAUACUGAAAGCUACUGUAAAAAUUUUUAUUAUCAACCUCAUAAUUUUUUUUUUUUGGGGAAGAGAAUUCAAACUUUUUUUUUAUGAAUAUCGCUGUUUCGUUUGAGUUGGAUGUGAAUUCAAAUCCAAAUAUUCUUUGUUUUUCAAUUUUGAACUCAAUUUCUUUUUCUCAAGAAUGUUAUGCAGAAAUAAUUUUUACUAAAUCUUUUUUGAUGAAUUGUUUAAAUUAAACAAUUGGAAUAAGAAUUGUAACGAUUUAUCAUAAGCGUGCUAAUAUGAUAACUUGUUUUACGAAGGAUUAAUUAAUCAAUUAAUAUUAAAUUAUAUAUUAGUCAAUUAGAUAUGUGUUACAUUUAUCAUGUUUUGUAGGUGAUAGUACAUCAUUUCUAAAAGAAUAUAGUACGUUAAAAUAUUAUUUUAAUGAAGAAAAUUUUAUUAUUUUAUUAUUAGGUGACACAAUAAUAAAUGGAUUUCUGUAAGAAUUGAGAUUCUUGAUAUAAUUAUUACAUAAGGAGAAGUUUAGUUGGUUCAAUUUUGACGUGAUAAGAAGACAACACAGCACAGAAAACCCAAAUUGCCACUUCCACUAAUAAAAGAUACCUGUUUGAAAAGUAAUUAUAAACUAUCUUCUUUGUGUUAUUUCUCAAAACUUUUGUGGCACAAAUGUUAUUUCCAUUGACAACAGUACGAAAUACCACCCCUUUCACUUGAGCAGGAGCAAAGCAAAGGUAUGAUGAGCUAUCUCUGUAUAAUUGAAACGCCAUUACUAAACGAUUCUUGAUGAUGGGAGCCACCGUGCCAGCUUUGUCGCUGAUUUGCAUGAUUUAUUAGUUGUCCAGAUGGCGGAUUUUGUACUGUUACCUUCGUUUCAUUCUUCAGAGCCAUGUACUGUUCUAGGAUACCAGAGAAACCAAGGUGGCAUUGAAGUUGCCCUGGUGGUUAGUUUUCCGAUCAUUUUUUUAUUCAAUUAUUUAUGUUUUUAGAAAAAUGUAGGAAAUAUGUAGAAAUGUUGACAGCUAUGAUUUUGAAACUUUUGCCUAAAAUUGUUAUCAUUACUUGUUGUUUCUUAUUUAAAGAGAAAUUCUAGAAACAUGAAAUGAUUAUUCUACGCUUGUUUUAAUAUUGUGCUAUGAAGAUUACGAAGGUUUGAUUAUAUGUCACUAUCAAUUGCCUUAAUCGUUUGUCGUAAAUCAAUUAAGCAUUUUGAUGCGAAUGAUUCCCUAUUAAAAAAUUCAAGUCAGAGCUGAAUUGCAAAGUAGUUAGUCGUGCUUGCAAUUCAAAUUAAGUAUUGUAUUUUCUCCCUGAUUUGGUUGAUUCAACUAUGUGCAUUUGCUUAUGAACGUUGCAGUAUAGAAAUCGAAAUAUCUUGUCUUUUGCUAAGCCCAGAAGCAAAUUCUUUGUAUUCUACUCAUCAGUUUUCUUCAUUCUCUUUGUUGAAAUUUUAUCUAAACAGCGGUUUCUUCGAAUUUAUGCCUUCGCUUACUCUUUUAAAUUUUAUCCAAACAACGGUUUUGAAAUUGUUUUCACUACAAUACCUUAGUCUUUCAGAUGCUCCCGUCACUGAGUUGCCAGAAGAGCUAAAAGCCUUGGUAAAUCUUAAGUGUUUGAACCGGAGUACACAAAUUAUCUCUCUACAUUUCCAAAGCAAUUGAUUUGUUACUUUUCGAUGCUACAUGUUCCGCGAAUAUUCAGUUGUGGUUAUCUUGUUCAGAUACCAGAAAAUAGCGUUAUAUUUAGUGGUAAUGAAUUCUUGGUUUGGGAGUUGCUUAGUUUAAAACGUUUAAAUGUAUUAAGCAUCAUCUUGAAAAGUUUUUCUGCUGUCCAAAAACUUAUGAGCUUCCAAAAGUUUCAAAGCUGUACACAAUGCAUGGAGCUUGUAGACUGUGAUGAUCCAAAGUCAUUUGCCGUGGCAGAGUUGAAGCAUCUUGAAAAACUAGGUUUUUCAAGUUGUGGAAAUUUGGAAGAGUUAAAGUUCUGCUGUGUCGAAGUUGCAAAGGCUCGAGAAUGUUUUCGUUUGAACAGCCCUCACUGAGUUAAGAUGAAGGCUUGUCAUAAAUUGUGGGAAGCGACAGGUUAUUCAAAUAGAAAAAUUUAUGGAGAUGGAUGUUAAUCUUAAGGUUAUUCAAUUAGAAAAAUUUGAAUAAAAUUUAUGGUAAGUGCUUUUCCAUUUAUUGCAUAUUUAUAUCUAAUUUUUAUUUUCCUUUAUUGUUAAAUUUUGGUCUCUAUUUGUUGUUGUAUGGUGGCAUUCUUGUACAAUUAUUAGCUUUUCAUUUCUCUUCUCACAUUAACUGCCCUUCUGAUCAUGUAGGAUUUGCUGAUGCAAAGAGUCAUAAUUUGGGAUACAAAUGUAAGAAUUAGACAGAUGACAUGUUGUUUUGAAGCUCUCAAAGAAGGACUAAUUAUGUCAUUGAAAGCCUCCAAUUUUGUGAUUGGUUUCUUUUUAUUUUAUUUGUUGUUUUCUCUAUUUUCAGAUCACUUAAUUGUUAGUUGUUGUAAUGUAAUGUUUUAGUAUAGCAAAUUAUAUUCGGCCAAGACAGUGAUAGGAGGGCACAUUGUGCAUGCACACUAGUGGAUUUGGCAUGCCAAAUCCAAUUAGGAUGGAUAACACUUUAUAAGCAUUAGGCUUCUCUCAUACCUGAGUAAUAUAGAAUAUGUUUAUAAGUUGUGAAUCACCCUUUACAAGUGUUAGGCUUCUGCUAUACUCAGUGAUGUGAAAUAUAUUUAUAAGCACUAAACUUCUCCCAUACACUUUAUGUUAAUAAUAAUAAUAAUAAUAAUAAUAAUAAUAAUAAAAUAAUAAUAAAUAAACCCAUUUUAACAGACUCUUUUUUCUUUUUCUAUAUGAACAAAUGCAUUCUUCAAAGCAACUGUGGGGAGAAGAAGUGAGUAGAGAAGAACUGAGCCCCUGUCAUUCCCCUAAAACCUCACCAAAACCUCUCUUGUAAGCUUCUCGGAUUUUCUUUCUAUAUUUCUUAGGAACUCAUUUUUUAUUGAAUCACUUAUUUUGCAUGCUGCAUUUUUUGGUUGUCGUAUUUGUGUAUUAUCUUAUCUGGAAUGCUGUUAUGAUUGAUGGAACAAGUAAUCGAUUUUUGGUCUAAUGGAAGUUGAUUUAUUUAUUUAUUGUUGUUUUUAUUUGAAAUUAUGUACAAUUGUAUUUCAUUCAUUUCUCUCUCUUUUGCUUUUUUCCCCCCAUAUAUUUGUUAUGUAUAAUUGCGUUUCAUUUAAUAUUGAUCAUACUGUAGGUAACCAUGUGAUUGUAGAUGGGGAUUUCGAGUUUGUUGAAUAUUCAUGUAAGUGAAGUAACCGUCACAAUACUAGUGAAAUUGGGAGCUUUAUUCAUGAGUUUGUGGUUUUGAAAAGUACCACAGUUCAACUGGUGAAGGCUCCGUUUUGGGAUUCUUCUUUUUCUAGGCUGCAAUUAGGAUAUGUACAUGAUAGACAAUCUUUUGUUGGUUUAGCAUAUCUUCGCUGAUUUUGUCUUUUAUUCCCCAAUUUUAUAAUUACACACCAUGAAUGUUGGGUGAUUGUAUAGAAAAUUUGUGUUAUAACAAAAACAUUGUGAAGGAGUUUCCGUGCUAAUAGUUAGUGGCUUCUGUUUUAUUGGCAUUGAUUGGGUAGAUUACGUGUUACAGUGAUUCAAUUUGUGUUCCAAACUUUGCUUUAAUUUUCUGUUUUCCCCAACUAUUUAUGUCAAAUUUAAAUCCAGAAGCAUGUGCUGAUUUUUUCUUUUUGUAUUAAUCUGUGAAGUUUAUUUGGAAUGGAAGUAACUGGGUCGGGUCUAAUGGAUUAAAUUAUGACAUUGAGGGGAAGGCACUAAAAGGGUUUGCUUGACACAUUUGGUUCUGUGUUUACUCUGCAAGAAAUAACUUUUGCUUAUUGCAAUGCAGGGGGAAAUCCCGAUUUGGCUGGUGAAUUUCUCUGCAACAAACAGGCAAACACCUCAACAUCUUCUGUCCAUACUUCUGCUGGGGAGGCAAGGGGUAAAGAGUCUUCAAAAUCAUCAAAUAGUUACAUCUCUGAGAAUUCAUUUUAUGGAAAUGGAAAAUCUAGAGUUUCUAAUACAAAAUGGCAUCUGGUAUCAGGACGUACCGUUUCAAGUUUUCUUGGUAAAGAUUAUGUUAAACCUGCACAGCCAGCUAAUGGCACUUUUCUGGCAUCAAAGCCAUUGAAGUUGGAUCCAAGGGAGUUUCGCAUUUCUGCACUUUCAGAGAAGAAACUAAACCGACAAUCAAAGGAUGACCAUUUGCAGAAGGAUAUGGAAGAUUUUCUUUUUAAAUUGCUAGGAGAAGGGUUCCAGCUGUACAGGGAUGUGAUUCAGGAGGUUCAUGGUAACGUCUUAAAUAUAUUGAUGCCAAUUUAAUACAUAUUGUCCUUUUCAAUGUUCUUUCUUUCUUUCUCCUCUUUUUAUUAUUCUUCUUCUUCUUUUUUCUUUUCAUGUGCAUGUGAUCACUAAUUUGGUAUUAUUCUUGACUUGCAGAUAGUUGUGGAUAUGAAAUGCAAAAGGUAAGGGCUAUAUCUUCUUGAUGGAGGCCUCUGAUUUUUUAAAUCGCAUUUUCCUUUGUGAUUGAUAUAUCAUACCAAAGUCAAGUCUUAAAUACUGCUGUCAUAUGUUAAGGUUCAACUUCCAUUUUGAUUAACGUCGAUUUGCUACUGCUUCCAAAAGUGAGAAUGAGAUACUUUGGUUAAUUUCAGUAGUUGAACUCAAUGGAGUACUUUAUUUAGAUCUUCAUGGUUCAAAGGCCUGAAAAAACUUGCCGGUAUUUGCAAAAUGACAUCUGUGCUUUUAUUUAGACUUAUUAUUAAAGACAACAUUUUAUUUCAGCCAAAAAUGUUUGUUUCAAUUAAAGACUUGAACCAUUUUCAUUUAACCUGAUUGUGAUGCUUUACAUUAUGCAUGUUCCUCUCAAUCAAUAAAAGUUGAGGUCAUGAUUUUAUAUUUCUAUUUUGUAACUUGAAAUAAUUGGUCUGCCUGUUUCUGUUGCUUGAUAACAUGAAUUUUUCCUUCUGAAGUUAAUUUGAUCAAUAAAGUAAUUCUUCGGAGAGGAUAUGCCCAUUCUAUAGUCAUUUUCUUAGCUAACAUGUUUUUUCUUCACUCUUCAAAGCAUGUCUAAACUAAUUGAUCGCUCAGCGGAGACUUUGGGUGAGAAGACAAAAUUUCUUGGUAAAUCCUCUGAAAAGGUAUGCAUAAUUCCCGAGUAUUAAAUAAUCAUUGGUCAUAAUUUUUGUACACGACUCUUGUUUUGGAGAUCGUUAAAAGUGGUUGAUGAUCUAUUUUGUAAUAUCAUAGAGGGAUCAUGAAUUCCUUUUCUUUUCUGUGGCUAGGCAACACUUUCGAGCCAAGCUAAGGAAAUCUAUUUUAGGUAAUGUGAAAACUAGUUGUAGGAUGUAAUAGUUUAUUAUGCCCUGACAAUAACUUUUUGUAUAAUUGUCAGUUUAAUGAAUACAAGAGGAACUCUGUUGGCAAGUUCAUCCAUGAUAGAUGCUAAAAUUAUUUAUGCAUACCAGUUGCCUUAACUAAUUUUUCUCAACACUGGUAUUGAACAGGAAAAUGAAUAUGCAAUUUGUAUAUUGUGCCAUUGUGGAGAAUUUGGAUAUUCUUAUUUAAGUAACAAGGAGAGUAUUUGCCUCAUCUUUAAACAAUGAAUCUUUGAGAAAUGAGGAGUGGGUGAUUGACAGUGUCUUCAUGUAAAUGUUCAUUUAUUUGUAUUUUGAACUAUUAUGAGAAUCUUUGUAUGCCAAAUUAGUAAUACAAAUGUUCAGAUGAUUUUUCCUGUUGAUCAUGCGUGUGUAUCUGCACACAACCAUUGUGUACCACUUUAUUCUGAUGCACAAAUAUCUGUAGUUUAGAAGAAAAGAAAUAAUAAUCAUAUAUUAUUGCUUGGUUCAUGAUUAUUAAAUGAUUAUGGCUUUAGAAAAUCCACAAAUCCUUUGUGUUCAUAUAUGAAUGUGCGAAGUUCGCUAUAUCUUAGAUUACCUUCUUCCAAGAUAACAAGUUCAUAUAUUUUUUUUAAUCCUUUUUCAUCACAGUUGAAUUUCAAGUGUAAGUUUUGUUAUUAAUAGCUGGUUUCCUGUUAUUAUGAUUUCAUAAACAAUGAGAGGAUAUGUGCUCUACUUUUGGAUGGCCUCCACAUAAAAGAAAAUUGCAACAAUUGAAUUCUUCUGGAGGGUAUGGUAUUUAAUUUAUUUUCUCAGCUUGUUGUAAGACUAAUAUAUUUCCUUCAGUACGCACGGCAUGGUGGGAAGGGUUUUUAUUGAAAGAAUUAUGAUAUUUCUUAGACUUUGUUUUGGAAGGGGGUGGAGGGAUUUCUCAUCCAUGUAUGGUUACUUGAUUAGCUUUUGACUGUACUGUCUCCGUCGUGCAAAGGAAAAUCCAAAUACUAACGAAGGGGAAUUGCUUAGGCACCCAAAGGACAGAAAUGAAUUACGGAAGGAGGUUUUUGCUGCUUUAUUUAGUGCUGCUGAGAAAUCUGAUGAAUUUCCUGAAAUUACGGUGAAGACGGAGUGGAGGUCCAACGCAUUAGGAAAGGUGGUGAGUGAACCGCCAGAGGAAUUAGUACCAGAAUACAAGGCUAAUGUGGUGCACUGGCAGCAAGAUGACCAGACCUGUAUGUGCUCUUAUAUUAACUAUAUUGGCUGGAUUUGUGAGUGUGUUCAUUUUUGUGUGUAUACUCACUUUUGUAUUUAUGCAUAUUCACGUGUGUAGGAUUCUCGAUUUCUGCCACUUACUGGAGAACUAGUGGAAAGCUUUAUACUGAUAUAUGUGCUAUAUAACUAAUGGAAACUACAAUAUGAAUAUUUUCUCUCACCUGGAGAGCAGUGUAACUAAUAUAAUUUGUGGCUCUGGAAUACUGAAGAUUCUGCAAUAACUAAUGGAAAAUAUGAUAUGAAUAUUUUUUCUCACCUGGAGAACUUUGUAACAGAUACAUUUUGUGCUGGAAUGUCUAAAGAAUGCUUCAGUUUAUAUCAAAUAUCUUUUAGUUAGAAAAGAUAAAAUUCUCUGAAUCUGAAAGACUGAAACAUUUUGCAUAUUUCGUGAAAGGCAAGUAUCUGUAGAUACUAGCUCAUGCAUUGAGGUAAUAUCAAUGUUAAAGAAAAACAGCAAUAAUUUAUUAUACAGAAUUAGGUUCACUUGCUUUAAAUGCUGGUCUGAUCAACCAUAUCAACCUGUAAUGGUCCUGCAGAAAUAUAUAUACGGGGAGAAACUAGCUAAUUUUCCUUUCACUUAUGGGUUUGGUCUUUUUUUCCCCAAUUUUUCAGCUUUCCUUCUCCUGAAGUAUGUUAAUAAUUGCAGAUAAUGGCGAAGAGGACUGCUUCCAGGCUACCGGCAAAAACUUUGUGAAAGCUUUGGAGUUAAACAGGGAAUUCACUUACUGCUAAGGACAAUUGGUGGCGAGCUAUUUCAUUCAUUUUAUGUCCAUACAUCUAUUUAAUUAUUAAAGAUAAUGUACGCAUUUGUAAAUUUCAGAUUGUGUGUCUCUGAAAAUAACAAUAUUUAAAAUGUCUCUUAAAUUAUUAUAAAUUUUAAUUUACUCUCGAUUUAAAAUGGAACAUGUUGGUGAAAUAUUUUUUCUUCUUAAUAAAAUUGAAAUAAAUUAUGUUAGCAGUAGUUUGAAAUAUUUUAAAGAUGAUUAUUUUAUAAGGGAGUAAUAUGAAAUGAAAUUUACUUUUCAUGCGUGAAAUGUUGAAAAAGGACAAAGCAAGUGUCCCUGCUUUUAUUUUAUUUCAAAGUGGAGUCAUCUCACAUACUUUAGCUCUAUCAUUAGGAGCCGGCUAAGUUACGUUAAACGUAAUUUACGCCAGGCACAGCAAUAAUGACAAGUCCCAUGACUAGUAUUGUUGCUGUGUCUGACGUAAGUUACGUUUAACGUAACUUAGCCAAAGCCCUAUCAUUAAUAUAUAUUUAAAUUUAACACAUGCAUGUGGGUUACUUUUCCGUAAGUUCCUUAAUAUAUAUUUAACACAAAUCAUGGAAGAGAUGGGAGUAUAUCAAGAUGAUCAAAGCAUGAAACAAAAAUAUUUAAGAAGUAAAACACUGAAAAUGGAGAAGAGAUGCAAGCAAAAGAUAUUCUAAAGAAAAGCAAUCUAUCCCCUUUCGAGGGCAAACUUAUCAGGUUUAAGAAAAGUACAUGCUUUGGAUUGGUAGUUGCAGCCUUGCAGGAUAAUUGUUUUUGCCACUAUAUUAGUUGGAGGAGUUGAACCCAGUGAAGAAUGUUAUGGAAGAGCAAAUGAUAUUUCUGAUAGACUCUAUUUGAUUAUGUAGCCUGAAUAGAUGUCUUGUUGAAAGAUAUAUCAGUGCAUUAGUUCAUCCUUGUCUGUCAAUGUGUUUUUAAUGGUUUUUCCAAUUGUUUUUUUUUUUUUUGAAACUGAUUAAGCAUCAGGUUACUGCAUUACACAGAUAUAUAUACAACUGCUAUGACAGCAGGUCAUUACACUGAUAUUUACAAUCAGAUAUAUAUACAUGGGACUUAUAUUAUUACAUUUUUAUUCUAUGAAGUACAUGCCCAUCCCAAAUACCCCUCACGGAGGAGGGAUGUCUCUACUCCACUCGCAUUUCGCAAGGGAGAAAGACGUUUAUAGAAAUCUCCACACAAUUAUGUUUAAUUGGAGGAGGUUGAGUCCGUGGGGACUCGAACCAUUGCCCUCAAAGUCAUGCUUAACUUUGAGGGCAAUGGUCCACCACUGGGCUACAAGCCCAAGUGGCGGUUUUUCCAAUUGUUUAUUGCUAUAGAUUGAUUGUAAAUUGAUGUGAACUUAAUGUUGAAAUAUUUUCUCUUUAGUGGAAUGAAAGUUAAACAUUCAAGAUUAGAUUAUUCAAGGUCCACAUAGUAUGUGUUCCGUUGUGUUGUCUGUAAUUUUGCAUUUAAAUAAAUUUGAGUGCUGCCGUUUCGCUCCCACAAUCUCUCGCCUUUUUUUAAUUUUAAAAAUUAAAAUAUUAAUAAAAAACAAUAAAGAAAAUCGAAUCCUUUAUGUCAUUCCAUCUUUACAACUCUCUCUCACAAACUCCAUCUAACAGACUUCUCUCUUACUAUCUCGGUCGAACAAGACCAGUGACAAUGAUGACACGACCGCCGACGAUGAGAUGGUCAUCGCUAAAGAAUCGGGCCGUGUAUUUUACAAUUUCUUGGUUUGUGACAACAAUGGAAAACUCCUGAAAAUUUUGAAUUUGUAGUCGAGCAAAGGAAGAAGCAAGUUAUCUUCAAAGCAUUUUCCAGUAAUAGCUGAUGAAAUUUAAUACUUCAAGCUGGCCCUUUGCUGUCACAACUAGAUGCAUUUGCACUGUCAUUACAAUUUAUGGAAAUUAAAGUAAUUAAUGGUUCUAAUUAAUAGCUUCCCAAAAAACCAAUCUGCCCUUGUGAGAACCAAAGCAUUAAUUUCUUGUAAGAGCUGCAGAAGGCCAGAGAAUUUCAGAUCGUGAAAAGGAGUGUGUGAGUGAGAGAGAGAUCGUGAAAUAGUGAGAGACAAUGAGAGAGAGAGCCGCUCGACUGAGAUGGUGAGAGAGUUGCAAAAAUGGAGUAAGGAGCAGAUAAGAUUAUGUUUUCUUUAUUAUUUUUUAUUAAUAUUUUAAUUUUUUUAAUUAAAAAAGGGCGAGAGAUUUUGGGAGUGAAACGGCAGCAUGUUCCAAUAAAUUUUUACCAAAGUUUCUCUCGUGUUUCUCUCACCUUUCUAGAUACCAAGCAUUUUCCAAUAAAUUUUUACUAAAAACUUAGCAAGCCCUUGAAACUUUGGUCAAAAUUAUUGUUAUUAUUACUUUUAGAGGAAAAACUUUUAUUAAAACCUCAUUAACACAAUUCUUAAUUAAAAUUAUAAGUUUGUGUUGGUGUAAGGAUUUGCAGGAGCAAUUACUGCCUAGCCAAGUGUCAAAAGCACAAAAUAAAUCAAGAGAAAGUAGACAUGAAUUAGGAUCCAAUGAAAUUUAAAUCCCGGAGAAAAGAAAUAAUCAUGCAGAUUAUCAAGAUUUCAAUAAGGGAUAUUGAUAUCCUAUUUUGAUUAAUAAUAUCCUUUUACUGUGUUAACUCAAAAAAUAUGUAUAUUCUAAUAUUUUACAAUAAAUAGAAAUCUAAUAUUAAAAUAAAUGUGAUAUAUAUAUAUAUAUAUUAAAUAAUUUAAAUAUAAAAAAUAUUUUAAUGUUUUACAAUCUACUACACAUAUUUUAUUAAGUUAAUAUAAUUUUUCAAAUAAAUAGGGACAUAAUAUUAAAAUAAAUUUAUAAAAAUUUAAAUUAUUUUGAAUUUAAAAUAAUUUUAAUAUUAUUAAUAUGUUAGAUAUGUUUGAUUAAUUAUAAAAAUUAUUUACGCAAAUUUUUUUAAUAUUUUCAGUAGAUAUAAAUAUAUUACUUACAUUUUGAUUAUUUAACUAUUAUUAUUCUACAAUUAUUUAUAUAAUGUUUGCACUUAUUAGAAUAUAUUUAAAGUCAAAUCUUUUGCACUUCUACCUAGCUAGAAUUAUUGGACGCAGAGAAAUAAGCAUAUAUGCUUUAUAACUUUAGAAAUCGAAUUAUCUAUACAAAUUGAUUUUAGCUGGAAAAAAAGUGAGCUGAAUGAUAUAGGCGAUUAGUGUGGUAAUAUUUCAUAGAGUUAGACUAUUGAAUUUGGCACCCCUCCAAUCUUCUCAUGAUUACCUUUUUGAGUUAUUAAUACACUUCUAAUUUUUCGUUUAAUUUUUUUUAUUGUUAUACUCAAAGUAGUAUUGUGAUAUUUUAUAUUUCUUUUGCAAUCUUAUUAUUAUUUUACACAAAAUUAAAAAGUUUUCUAGGUGAUGAACUUUUGAGUUUUGAACAUUAAUCAUUGGCUUAAAUUUCAUAUAUUUUACAUUAUAAUUUGAAAUUAAGUACGAAAAUAUUUAAUAAAUUAUGAAAAGAUUAACAGAUUAUUCUAAAUUGAUACAACUUAUUUUAGUUAAAUAAAAAGUAACAGGUAAAAAAAAAAAGGAUUGGUUAUGAAAUUUGUUGGAAAAAAAUCUGUGUGUGUUUAAUUUUUAUUUGUCCUUAAUUGUAAUUUAUUUGAAGUGAGGUUUUAUAAGGAUAAUGAAGGGGUGCCAUAGUUUCACUCUAUUUCAUAUGGAGAGAGAAGUAAAAGGUACACCUGAGGUUAAUGGAAAGGACUUCGAAAGUUUCUUUUGAUUAUAAUACUGUUUGUUCUAAUUAACUUAAAAAAUUUUACUUUAAUAUUUUAUAAUAAAUUAAAUUUUAAUCUUAAAAUAAGUAUAAUCAUAUAUUUUAAAAUAAUCUUAAAAUAAAUACAAUCAUAUAUUUUAAAAUAAUCUUAAAAUAAAUACAAUCAUAUAUUUUAAAAUAAUCUUAAAAUAAAUACAAUCAUAUAUUUUAAAAUAAUCUUUAUAUUUAAAAUUUAUUUAUUUGUACAUAUUUUAUAAUAAAUAUAACACAUACUAUUAAAAUAAUAUAUAAAAAAUUAAAGUAUUUUGAAUAUUAUAUAAAAUAACUUUAAGAUUCUUAAUAUGUAAGAUAUAUUUUAUUAAUUUAAAAUUCUAUUUAAAAUUUUAUUAAUUUAAAAUUCUAUUUAACCCAAAGAUUUAUUUAAGAUAAAUUAAUAAUCAUAUUUUUUAAAUCAUUUCAAAUAUUAAAAAAUAUUUUGAUAUUACUAGUCUAUUAAAUAGAUUAAAUAUUUUUAUUAUUUUGUACUAAUCAAAAGUUACAGCUCGAAUGAUAUUAUGAGAACAGAAUUUUUAUGUCUUUAUUAAAAAUUUGGGUUUGUAUAAUUAUUUUUUCAAAUGUUAGGGGCAUAGCUGUCUUUUUACUUUUAUAUAUGUGAACCGCGGUGGUGAAAAAGUGUGAUUUAAUAUUAGUUAUUUAAAUAAUAUCUGAAUUAAAGAUGUACAGAGAAGAAAUUUCGGUGGGCAUUUUAGUCUUUUAACGAUUAUCAUGAUUAGGGAUUAGGUCCUGCUCUUGAAACGUUGGUCAGAAAAGUUCUAAAAUGCGUACAUUAUCUUUACUUUAAAAAAGUUAUUUUAUUUUAUUACAAAUUAAUGCCGACAAGAAAAAGCAAGAUCUUAAANNNNNNNNNNNNNNNNNNNNNNNNNNNNNNNNNNNNNNNNNNNNNNNNNNNNNNNNNNNNNNNNNNNNNNNNNNNNNNNNNNNNNNNNNNNNNNNNNNNNAUAAAGAUGAAGAAAAGGGCAAAAAAAUAUUAAUGAUUAACGAAAUCUCUAUCCAAAUUGAUUUUAGCAGGAAAAAAGUGAGCUAAAUGAUGUAGACGAUUAGUGGUAAUAUUUCAUAGAGUUAGACUAUUGGCACCCUUCCAAUCUUCUCACGAAUCCUCUUUUUGAGUUAUAUUUAUUUUAUUUUUAAAAUAUCUUUUUUCUCUUUUACUACACUUCUAAUUUUUCAUUUAAUUUUUUUAUUGUUAAACUCAAAGUAGUAUUGUGAUAUUUUUAAUUUCUUUUGCAAUCUUAUUAUUACUCUGCAUAUAAAUUAAAAAGUUUUUUAGGUGAUGAAUUUUUGAAUGUUAAUCAUUAGCUUAAAUUUCACAUAUUUUACAUUACAAUUUGAAAUUUAAUAUGAAAAUAUUUAAUCAAUAAGAAUUAUGAAAAGAUUAAUAAAUUAUUCUAAAUUUAUACAACUUAUUUUAGUUAGAUCAGAAGUAGCAGGUUAACAAAAGAAAGGAUUGGUUAUGAAAUUUGUUGGAAAAAAAUCUAUGUGUGUUUAAUUUUUAUUCGUUGUUAACUCUAAUUAAGUAGGUUAAAUAUUUUUGUUAUUUUUUACUUAUCAAAAAAUUUAAGAUCAAUAUUUUUAGUUACCAUUCGAAGGAUAUUAUGACAAAAACAGAAUUUUCACUUCUUUGUUAAAAAUUUGGGGGUUUGUGUAACUAUUUUUUCAAAUGUUAGGGGCAUAUCUGUCUUUUUACUCUAUAUAUAUGAACCAUGGUGGUGAAAAAGCGUGAUUUAAUGUUAUUUAUUUAAAUAAUAUCUCAAUUAAAAAUGUAAGGAGAAGAAAUUUCGGUGGGCAUUUUAGUCUUUUAACGAUUAUCAUGGUUAGGCCCUGGUCUUGAAACGUUGGUCAGAAAAGUUCUAAAAUGCGUUCAUUUGUCUUUACGCCAACAAUAAAAAGCAAGAUCUUAGUGUCCCACAAAAGCAAAUCGUAAUAUUCCGCAAUGGAGUUAGAUCCGCAAAAGCAAACAAAUUCUUUUAUUAAACUACAAAUUAAAGUGGAAUCAUUUACUAAACAACAAAUUAAAUUUGAAAUAUUUAAAUAGUCGUGCGUUAGACGAUUAGAGACUCUUAUUAAAGGCAAGUACAAAGUAGUGAAGAAUCGAAUAUUUCUAUUGUCUAGUCUUUUUUUAAAAAAAAUUUUCUUUUAUUAUUUUUCAGAAUAUGUUUUGGUGAUUACUAUUGGGUUAUUAUUCAGAGUUAUUGUUAUCUUCCGGGGCAGUUUCUGUUCAUCGAAUUCGUUAAUAAAAUUUUAAAACUCUUAUUGAAAGAAUGUUUUUCCGUUAUCUUUUUUAUAAUCUAAUUUUAAGUGUAAGAAGUAGUCAUUUUAGAAUUUGGGUCUUGAAUCGAAUUUCAAUGCAUGAAUUAAUAUUUAAAAAAAAUUUACUACAUGCAGUUUAGGUUACAAACUAUUUUUUGCAAAGUUGACUAUGAAAUUGGAGAAAUUAAGUAAUUUAUAAUGUUUGCAAAGAAAGAGACCAACAUACUUCCAAUUACACUAUAUCUCAAUUAUCAUAAUGUUAAGAUUAAACUAACUUAAAAUAAAAUUUAUUUAAAAAGUUUAUCAAACGCAGUCUAAUUUUAUUAACUUGAAGAGAUAAUAGUUAUAGAAAUUAUUAUUCUAACUUAAUUAGUAAAAGUGGUAUAAAGGUUAAGUGUGCACUAAAUCUAUUUAAAUUUUUUUCCAGUAUAACUAACAGAGGUCAUUACUAGAAUUAUAUUACUAGUCUAUUAGAUAGAAAAAAUUAUUUAUAUUGUUUUAUAUUUAUUAAAAAAAUUUAAAGUCAAUCUUUUUAAUUACUAUUUAAAGGAUAUUAUAAUUAAAAAAAUUUUAAUGUCUUCAUUAAAAAUUUAAAAUUUUAUAUGACCGUUAUCUAAAUAUUUAAAGUGUAACUGUCAUUUUCUCAUAUAUAUAUAUAAUUUCAUCAACCCCUUAUACUUUAUGUUAUUUAUAUUUUAUUCAUGAAUAUUAUAAAUUUUUUGAAAUAUAAAAUUUCGUUUAACCCUUUAUACUCAAUUUUAUUUUAUUAAAACCCUAGAGUAUGAAUUCGUCCCUAUAAUAUUAAAUUCUCAAAAUAACUUCCAUUUAAUUAAAAAAUAUAAUUAUUAUUAAAUGAAUUAUAAUUAUUAUUAUUAUGUUAUUAUAAUCAUAAAAAGCGAGAUCAUAUUCCACAAAAGCAUAAGUGACAAAACAACCAACUGGAUUCUUUUAUUAAUCAACAAAUUGUAUAGUCUUUUUCAAAUUGUUAUAAAUUGGUGGCCCCUACAAUCCUCAAUAAUUGUACCGAAAUUCACAAGUUGGUGGGCCCUACAAUUCUGUUCCGAUAAUUUAACUGUGCAAGUGCUCAUUCACAAUCUUCCAGGUCAUGCUCUUAACAAUUGUUUUUUCUUUUCUGCACGCCCUUUCAUGCUCUUAAUAAUUGAAGAGCAUACUUUUCAAAUGUGAAGCCGCAUCUAAUGUCGCUAAUUUAAUUUGGGAUUAAAUUACGGGACUAUUAUAUUGCAGUGUGCACUAAUUUUUAUGUUUAUCUAAACUCUUCAAAUUUAAAACAUAUUAUGGCAUAAAUAAGAAUGUAACAAUAACAAAAGAGUAAGAAAGUGUAGAGAAAAUCUUGCAGAAAUAUAAAUAAUAUUUAUUUUUAAAAUAAUAUUAAUAUUUAAAAUAAUUUUUAAUAUUUUAUGGUCCAUUAGAUAUAUUUUAUUAUAUUAAAAUAAAUUUUAUAAUAAAUAAAAACAUACUAUUAAAAUGAAUAUAUAUAGAAAAUUUAGAGUAUUUUAAGUAUUAUAUAAAAUAAUUUUAAUAAAAUAUGUGAGAUAUUCAUAUUUUAUUAAUUUAAGAUACCAUUUAACCUAAAGAUUUAUUUAUGAUAAAUUAAUAAUUAUAUUUUUGAAAUUACUUCAAAUAUUAAAAAAAUUAAUAUUACUAAUAUAUUAGAUAGAUUAAAUUAUAUAUAUUAUUUUUACUUAUUAAAAAAAUUUUAAAAUUAUUUUUAAUUACUAUUCAAAAAACGUAUUCAAAAAACAUAAUGAUAAAAAAAUCUUAACAUCUUUAUUAAAAAAUUAAAAACUUAUAUGAUAAAUUCUCUAAAUAUUUACGGUAUAUGUGAACCACGGUGGAUAAGCUUUAUUUAAUAUUAUUGAUUUAAAUAAUAUGUCAAUUAAAAAUGUACAGAGAAGAAAUUUCGGUGGGUAUUUUAGUCUUUUAAGCAAUUAUCAUGAUCAGAUCAGCCUUUAGCCUUCAAACGUCGGUCAGAAAAGUUUUAAAAUUAAUGCUAAAUUGUUUUUCACUUUUAACGUUGGUGGCCUUGAAAUUGCUUGUAUUUUAUUAAAAAUUAAUGCUAACAAGAAAAAGCUAGGUCAUAUUCCACAAAAUCAAAAGUGACAAAACAACCAGCUGGUUUCUUUUACUAAACUACAAAUUAAAAUAAAUUUUUUCGAUAAAUUACAAAUUAAAGUGGAUUCUUUUGAAUACAAAUGGGACAGACGAUUAGGCUCUUUUUAUUAGAGGCAAGUAAAAACUAGUCAAGAAUCGAACAGUCUUUUUCCAAUUCUUGUUUUAUUAUUUUUCAAAACUAGUUUUUGGUAAUUACAACCGGGUCAUUAAUCAUUAUUCAGAGUUAUCUUCCGGGGCAGUUUCUGUUCAUCGAAUUCGUUAAUAAAAUGUUAAAACUCUUAUUGAAAGAAUGUUUUUCCGUUAUCUUUUUUAUAAUCUAAUUUUAAGUGUAAGAAGUAGUCAUUUUAGAAUUUGGGUCUUGAAUCGAAUUUCAAUGCAUGAAUUAAUAUUUAAAAAAAAUUUACUACAUGCAGUUUAGGUUACAAACUAUUUUUUGCAAAGUUGACUAUGAAAUUGGAGAAAUUAAGUAAUUUAUAAUGUUUGCAAAGAAAGAGACCAACAUACUUCCAAUUACACUAUAUCUCAAUUAUCAUAAUGUUAAGAUUAAACUAACUUAAAAUAAAAUUUAUUUAAAAAGUUUAUCAAACGCAGUCUAAUUUUAUUAACUUGAAGAGAUAAUAGUUAUAGAAAUUAUUAUUCUAACUUAAUUAGUAAAAGUGGUAUAAAGGUUAAGUGUGCACUAAAUCUAUUUAAAUUUUUUUCCAGUAUAACUAACAGAGGUCAUUACUAGAAUUAUAUUACUAGUCUAUUAGAUAGAAAAAAUUAUUUAUAUUGUUUUAUAUUUAUUAAAAAAAUUUAAAGUCAAUCUUUUUAAUUACUAUUAAAGGAUAUUAUAAUUAAAAAAANNNNNNNNNNNNNNNNNNNNNNNNNNNNNNNNNNNNNNNNNNNNNNNNNNNNNNNNNNNNNNNNNNNNNNNNNNNNNNNNNNNNNNNNNNNNNNNNNNNNNNNNNNNNNNNNNNNNNNNNNNNNNNNNNNNNNNNNNNNNNNNNNNNNNNNNNNNNNNNNNNNNNNNNNNNNNNNNNNNNNNNNNNNNNNNNNNNNNNNNNNNNNNNNNNNNNNNNNNNNNNNNNNNNNNNNNNNNNNNNNNNNNNNNNNNNNNNNNNNNNNNNNNNNNNNNNNNNNNNNNNNNNNNNNNNNNNNNNNNNNNNNNNNNNNNNNNNNNNNNNNNNNNNNNNNNNNNNNNNNNNNNNNNNNNNNNNNNNNNNNNNNNNNNNNNNNNNNNNNNNNNNNNNNNNNNNNNNNNNNNNNNNNNNNNNNNNNNNNNNNNNNNNNNNNNNNNNNNNNNNNNNNNNNAUUGUGGGCACUCUUGUUCGUGCAUGUUUGCUAGAAGAGAUGGAAGAUGAUAAAGUAAAAAUGCAUGACGUUGUUCGUGAUAUGGCUUUAUGGAUAGCUUGUGAAAUUGAGAAGGAGAAGAGAAACUUUUUGGUUUGUGCAGGUGCUCGAUUAGAAGAGGCACCGGGUGUUAAAGAAUGGGAAAAUGUGAGAAGAUUGUCAUUGAUGCAAAACCAAAUUGAAACUGUGUCAGAGAUUCCCGCAUGCCCUCAUCUCCAUACUCUAUUUCUUGCCUCUAAUAGGAAUUUCAGGAUGAUCACGGAUGGCUUCUUUCAAUUUAUGCCUUCUCUCAAAGUUUUGAAGAUGUCACGCUGUGGGCAAUUCGAAGGUUUUCAAUUACCUGUUGGGAUGUCAGAGUUGGGUUCAUCACUAGAACUUCUUGAUAUUUCACAUACCACCAUAAGAGAGUUACCCGAAGAGUUAAAGUUGCUGGUAAAUCUGAAAUGUUUGAAUUUGAGGUGGACAGGUGCGUUAAUUAGAAUUCCACGGGGACUAAUAUCAAAAUUUUCAAGGUUACGUGUGUUGAGAAUGUUGGGUACUGGCGGGUUCAUUUUUUAUGAAGCACCAGAAGACAGCGUUUUAUUUGGUGGGGGUGAAGUUUUGAUACAGGAAUUGCUCGGUUUGAAAUAUUUAGAGGUAUUGGAGUUGACCUUGGGAAGUUAUCAUGCUCUCCAAAUUCUUUUGAGCUCAAAUAAGUUAAAAAGUUGUAUUCGAUCUCUUUACCUCUAUUUGACCGGAGAUAAAAAGUCGAUUAUUGAUGCUACGGCUUUCACAGACCUAAACCACCUCAAUGAAUUAUGGAUUGAUAAUGGAAUUGAGUUGGAAGAAUUGAAGAUUGAUUAUACGGAGAUAGUACGAAAAAGGCGGGAACCUUUUGUUUUCCACAGCCUUCACCUUGUUACGAUAUAUAGUUGCCAUAAAUUGAAAGAUUCGACAUUCCUCGCUUUUGCUCCAAACCUCAAGUCUCUUUCGCUAUUCAAAUGCCGUGCUAUGGAAGAAAUAAUCAGCGUCGGAAAAAUUGCUGAGAAUCCUGAGAUGAUGGGACAUAUAAGCCCUUUUGAAAAUCUCAAAAGUCUUGAUCUAUCAUAUUUGCCGGAGUUGAAGAGCAUUUUCUGGAAGCCAUUGCCUUUCACUCAUCUCAAAGAAAUGGGGGUAAGAGCAUGUGAUCAGCUUAGAAAGCUUCCACUCGAUUCCAACAGUGCAAAAGAGCGUAAAUUUGUAAUUCGUGGAGAAGAAGACUGGUGGAACCGACUUCAAUGGGAGGAUGAAGCCACUCAAAUUGCUUUUCGUUCCUGUUUCCAACCUGAUUCCUGAGCGGUGGUCGCAAAAUUUGAUUUCUGGUGAGUGCGUUUGUCUUUUAAAAGAAGAAUUUAAAAGAAAUUUAUUCUUGACGUUUUCUUCACUGUUUUUAUUUCAGUCUCUCUCUCUCUCUUUUUGUCUUCUGCUAAUCACAAUUAAAUGUUGAAUUAAUGGAAUUAAUGCUUCAUAAAUUUGCCGGCACUGCCAUUACUUUUUUUUUUUUUAAUACAAAUUGAUACUUUAUUUAUAUCUUCUUAGCGAUUUAAUUUCCUGUCAAUUGACGAACGAGAAGAACAUAUGACUUGAACCAAUGCUCGCAUAAACUUGCUGUAAAAAGAUAUAAUCUCACUGAAAUGCACACGCCUAGAAUGAAUAGAAUUAAAACAGGGAAAAUAUUAAGUAUAUUAGCCCUCUUUACCGAAAAUCAAAUGACAAUAAAUUUUUUGAAGUUUUGAUUUUCUAUGGUCAAUUCCACCUUUUGCAAUUUCUUCUGUUCUAACAAAAACCAAUUUCUUUGUUCAAGUAUUUUCGUUUGGGUAUUAAUAAUUCUCCACCGAAAGAGUGAACUCUUGCUCAAGGGAUCUCUAAUCAAUAGCCGGAAGGGCGCCGAGACCUGAUCGGACCUAGGCCCAAGUUUGGUCUUAAAGCCUGGGCUUGAGCCUGGCAAUUAAAUUAAAACAGUAAUUGAUUUCUUGAAUGAAUUGUCGUGUAAUUGAUUUAUGGGGGAUGACACAUCAACAUACUUGAAAAUACACUAAUCUCAGCAUCAUCCGUUAAUAACUUUUAGAUUUAUGGGCAAUCAAUAGUUAAAUUAGUUGUCAUUAAUACUAAAUAAUUUUUACUUUUUUUGUCUCUUCUAGAGGAUCUUCUAGAAAAAUGCAUCCACAAUUAAAUUUAAUACUUUACAUAAUAAAGAAAGCAUAAAUGUUAAAUUUAAGAAACUGCAUUGUAUUUCAGCUGAAGUUGACUUUAAUAUUUAGGGUAGAAAAAAAUUAAAUCCUUAAUGUGUUUAAUUUCUAUCACUUGUGUCAUUAAAAUUUUCUAGUCACCCUAACCAAUUACAUCUCAACCCACUUUUUUUUGGAUGAUUUUAUUUUUACACUAUUAUUUUCAACAUUUUUUUUUCCUUUUAACACCAACAUUAGUGUAUGUUACGUAACAUAAUCCAUAUUUGGAUAAUUUGAAAUUUGUUUGUGUUUUAUCUCAAAAUAGAGCUUCAAUCAAUUUGUACCUCAUAAAUUCACAAUAUCUGGCAUAUUGUCAAAUGUGCUUAUCCUUUUGCUUGACAUGUCAUUUUAAAAUUGUCAUUCAAUGUCAAAAAAUCACAUCAACUAAUGGCCGACUACUUUAAUUUGAAAGCAUGCGUGCGAUCGCCAAUAAUUAUAACUUAAUUGUUAUAUUGAAAUUUUUUUCUUUAUAAUUUAAGUUUAAUACUGCUACAUGUGUGGCACAUAAGUUGGAAAAUAUAACAUAAAAUUUGAAAAAUGUGUAGUUUUCGUUCCUUUUUUUUCUAAAAAAAUGGGAAAAAAGAAUGUAAUUUUGUUUAAAUUACUGUUGUCAUAACAAUUAUUAUUUUAUUGAUUAAUUGGCAGAGAAUCGUAAUGGUUUCGCAUGGUUGUUAAAACAUUGGAAAGUCCACUACAUCAUCGGUUAAUAACUUUCAGAUUUAUGGUUAAUUAAUAGCUGAGAUUUAUUAUCAUUAAUGCUAAAUAUUUUUUCUCUCUCCUGGAGGAUCAUCCACAGGCAGGUGCUUCCUGACGAUGACAAAAUUUUGGGCAGGCAGGUGCUUCCUGACUUUCACACGGUAAUUCUCAAAUUCUGAUUUCACCAUAUUUUAAUUACUGAUUAGCAUAUAUUCAAGUGCUCUCCAUUAUAAUGGAAGCCGCCGCCUCACUCGUAAUUCCAAACUUUAUCUUUUUUUCCUUUUUUAAAUUAAUGCAAGUAGCCGCUGUCCUUUCUAUUAAUUAAUUAAUUCGGCCGCCCACAUUUCUUUUCCUAAUGUCUUCUACUGUCGAGUUUAUUUUAUUUUCUCUUUAUUAUUAAAAUAUACUUAUAAUAAUAAAAAAAUAAAAAUUAACAUAUCAAAAUAUAAUUUAACAGAAAAUUAAGAUAAAAAAUUAAAAAUAAAUAAAUUAUGAGCAUAUCAAUCAAUAAAUGAAAAAUAAUAAUUUUUAUUUUUAUUAAAUAUAAAUUUUUCAGUAUUAAUCAAUUAUCUGAAUAAAUAAAAUCAUUUAAAAAUAAAUAAAUAAAUUAUUCUUAAAAAAAAAAAAAAAACUUUUUAUAACACUCACUAUGCUGGUUGUAGGGUUGACGCUUUGGGUACUGAAGCUAGUAACUUCUACAAGUAGUCUUAAGUUGACUGGCAACAACUAUAUUGGCAUUUAGAAAUAAUGUACUGCAACCAUAUUGGCAUGUUCAAAUGUUCUUAUUAUUGUAUUGGUGUGUCAAUAUUAUCUCUAACGGUUUUAUAAAUAAAAAAAUAAUCUAAAUUUAUAAUUUAACAUAAAAUAAAAUAAUUGGUAGAAAAACAAUUAUGGUUCAUUUACUUAUCAGUAAUCAGAAUAGACUGAAAUCGAAAUGAGUUGUAUUACUGUUGAUGUGUUUAUGUUGUACUCGAAUCGAAAUGAAUUAUUUUAAAUUACUAAAAUAUCCUUGGUCUGUUAUUCUAAUUAUUAUUAUUAUUUAAUAUUUAUUAUAAUAUUUUUCAUAUCAUUAAAAAAAAAUAAUAAUGAUGAUAAUAUUCUCAUUAUUGUUUGUUACAUUAUUAUUAUUCAAAAAAAUUAUUGUUAAUAACAAUAAUUACUUUAUUUCAAUAAUAAUAAUGAUAAAAUUAAUAAUAAUAAACAUGACAACAACAAUAAUUAUUUAUUAUGCCAAAAAAUAACAAUAAUAAUAAGAAUAAUAAUCAUCAUCAUUUUUUUGCCAAAGAAGCAUUAUCAUCAUCAUUUCAAAAAAAAAAUCAUCAUCAUCAUCAUCAUUUUUGUAGUGGCUACCUAUCGGCUGCUGCUUUCAUGUGAGAUUGACUUGCGACGCUUCAACGGCUAUUAUUUCUGACAAUGUCAGGUGUUGCUAUUUCAAUUUAGGAAGAAGUUGUUUCGGUGUGCUAGCGAUGGGAGAUGUUGUGGCUGCGAUUCGGGGAGCUACUAGUUUAUUGCACUAAUAACGGCAGGUGCUGUUGCUUGAUGCGAGGUCCAUGGCCAGUUGUCAGCAGUUCGACUUUGGUAUGGGUGCUGCUGGUUCGAUUUUAGGUGUUGUCCAAUUUCAUUUUCAGGAUUUUAAUUUUAUUUUUCUUUUAUAUUUUCAUUAAUUAAUCAGGGUAAAAUUGGAUUUUAGAAUUUAGAAUGAAGGUAAUUUUGUUAAUAAUGGAAAUGAGAUUCUGAUUGUCGAGAAUGAGCUUACACAAACAACUAUAAAUUAAGUGAAAACAAAACACUUUUUCUCUUUGUGUGAUUAAAACAUGAUAUGUACCAUAAAUAAAUAAGUAAAAAAUAAAUCAACACAAUCUAAAACAGUAAACAAAUUACAAGAGGCACAGAUUUUUAUGUGAAACACCGAAAAUGGAAAAAACCACAGCAUCUUAGUUUGAUAUAAUCUUCUACUAUAUUAAUGGGAUUAUAGCACAAAUUCUUUCCUAUAUAACACUAGAGAUUAACAACAUCAAGAAUCUCAAUAAUCUUGACUUACAAUACAGCCUAAUAUUUGUCUCUCUAAUAAGUAGAUAUCUAAAAUAACAGUCUCUAAUAAGUAUGUAUCUAAAAUAAUAGUCAACAAGAGGAUAAAACAAAAAUUAAGAUUAGUAGGAUGUGUAUAAGGUGAUGCUAUCAAUUUAUCUUCUAAAUUUGAGAAAAAUAGUUAAAUUCACUUUUUCGAUUGUCCGACCAAAAAUGGAAACCCUUGCCCCAAAACCAAAGGAAUCACCAUUAUGUUUUUCUCUCUCUCUCUCUCUAUCUCGUUCUUUUCUUCUUCUUUUCUUAAUGUUAGCCAUCACUUGCUUUUAUUCUUUAUAGCAUUCAAAAAGCUACUUUUAAUGGUAAAUUUCAUUUAAGUCUGCAACUUAGUGAUAAUUGCACACCAAACAAUCCUUACAUAGUGUUUUGGGCCCUCAAAUGAGAUGAAUACAACAAAUCUCCCCCUUUAAAUCAUGUGGGGGGCACCGCAAGCCCGCUAUUUGCAUAUAGCUUUUCAGCUUCUCCUUGAAUAAUGACUUUGUCAUCAUACAUAAUCCAUUCUUCGUUGUGUAAAUCUUCUCAAGCUGUAACUGUUCCUUCUCAAGCUGUAAUUAUUCCUUCUCAAGCACGUCUCGUAUCUAAUGAUACCUUACAUCAAUAUGCUUAGAUUUCGAAUAGUAUAACAGCACUCUGACUAUCGUAGUACAUAACAUAGCUGUCUUGUUUUACACCCAGCUCUUGUAGGAAAUUCUUCGUCCACAAUAUUUUUUUGCAACCUUCAAUAAUUGUAAUAUCAUUUGCUUUAGUGGUAGAAAAGGCAACUUAUUACUAAAGUUUAGAUUGCGAUGAGACUGUUCCCCCUGCAAAAGUGAGCAAACAUCCUAGUAGGAAUUUUUCGGAAUCAACAGCUCCUGCCAUAUCUACACACUUGUAACACAGGUUUGUCACCACCAAAAUAUAAACAUGCUCUGGAAAUGCAUCUAAGAUAUCUGAGAAUUUUUCACUGUUGUCCAGUGCUCUUUACCGAGGUUGAAGAGAAACCACUGACUACACUAACUGUAUAGGCAAUAUUUGGUCUUGUACAAAUUAUGGCGUACAAUAAACUGCCAACUGCUGAAGCAUAAGGAACUCCUCUCAUGGAGAAAUGGGUUUUACUCUUGAGAUUUUUGGGACCAUGAAGAAUAAAGAUGUAAUUUCUUAUACUGCCAUUGUUUCGGGAUAUAUAAAUAGAGAACAAGUCGAUAUAGCUCGACAGUGUUUUGAUCAGAUGCCAGAACGAGAUUAUGUCUUAUGGACUACCAUGAUUGAUGGGUACCUUCGAGUGAAUAGGUUCAGAGAGGCUUUGACACUUUUUCAGGAGAUACAAACUUCAAAUAUAAUGGGAGACGAGUUUACCAUUGUUAGCAUUCUUACAGCUCGUGCGAAUCUGGGGGCACUAGAACUGGGAGAAUGGAUAAAGACUUAUAUUGACAAAAACAAAGUCAAGAAUGAUAUAUUUGCGGGGAAUGCUUUGAUAGACAUGUACUGUAAAUGUACUGUAAAUGCGGAGAUGUUGAGAAAGCUCAAAAGGUAUUCAGGAAGAUGCUUUGAAAGGUCAAAUUCACAUGGACGACCAUGAUUGUUGGCCUUGCCAUCAGUGGAAAUGGUGAUAAAGCUCUUGAUAUGUUUUCCCAAAUGCUCAGGGCUUCGAUCAAACCAGAUGAGGUAGCUUAUGUUGGUGUUCUGUCUGCCCGUACUCACAAUGGUAACGAAACUUUUGUGAUAAAUAGUUGCAACUUAAGGUGAGAACUGGAGGAAGGGAAAUAGAUUGAAGUUGUUCAAUCAUCAGUAGUUGCUACUUGGUUUUAAGUUGUUCAAUCAUCGGUCGUCUCUAUUUGGUUUUCUCCAAUAUCUCAUCUUCAAUUUUGACUCAGAUUGUAUCUUACCACUAGUAAUUACAUAGACUUGCUGCCAAAGGUAAGAAUGGGAAUAAAUUAAAUAGAUUAUGUCGAAAACGAAAUAAAUUUACUAUUGUUCUGUUCAUUCUAUUUGUUUCCUACAAAAUAUUUCUCCUGCCUAAAAUUUUUUGAAUCAGUAAGUUUUUACCUUAUGGAUGAAUUGUGUUGAGAGUAAUUCCAUUUCUCAGUCUCUUUAUGUUUCAAUGAAGACGUAAAACUUGUGUUCUAGUGCACCAACGUUUAUGCUUCUUACAAUUUGACUUUAAUUUACUUUGUAAAAUUUUUGUCAAAAAGUACUAAAAAGUAGUGCACCAAACACCAACUUUAUUACAGAGAGGACUUUAGUUAAAUUUUAAGAAAACACUCAAAAGAAAGAGUUGUAAAUUAUUAUAAAAAUAUUUCACAUAAAUAAAAGCCAUCCCAUGCUGCAAAGAUCUUGCUAUAAUCACCAAAAACUAUCGGGAGCUUUUAGGGUUUCCAUAAAAAUGCCAUUUCGUUCCAUGUAUAUGAUUCUAUAGUCUCACUGGCAAGUAAACCACAGCCCAACAGCACUGACUGUCCAUGAUGAUUCACCCCAAUGAACGAAACCAGCGUUGCAUCAUAUCUUUCUGUCAAGCAUGUAAUAUCAAUUGAUUUGAGCUAUUAACAUCAUUUCCAAAUACUCCAUUGGCAUCUACAUUACCAUUUCCCUCGGCAUCAAUGAUAAGAGUUCGAAACAGUCUAAUCUUUUGAACUUCUUCAGCACCAUCUAAGAGCAAUGUUCUUUUGGUUCCAAUACCCAUGUGCUUAUGAUAUUUGUAAAAUAAUUAUUUGUAAAAUAAUUAGUUCAAUUUUGACAUAAUACGGAAUAAACACAACCUGCCAAUCUAAGUUACUAUCUUUUCCCGUCAUCAGGUACCUGUUUGAAAAAUAAUUAUAUACAAUUUUAUUUGCGUCGUCCCUCUAAAAAUUUGGGACUCAAAUGUUAUUUCUAAUUGCUAAAAGUACGAAAUUGCCCCCUUUCUCUUCAGCUAAAGGAGUGCAAAGUCAUCUGUAUAAUUGAAUCUGCAUCAUCAGUUUCUAUUGCUGGCUGGUGUUACUGCAUGCUUACAGUUGCUUGACAAAGUGAGCCAGUUUUUUGUUUAUUAAUUUUUUUUCUUGUCGAGACAGUCACAAAGUAUUACUUGUUCUAUUUGAGAAUGAUGUGAAUCAAUUUUUCAAUUAUGCAUUCUGUGGUAAUUAUUGUGAAUUUAGUUUCAUUUGUCUUGUCUCCUGCAAAUUUUGAAGAAAAUGCAGACAUACAAAUUUACAAUAUGUAUUUGCGUUAGUAUAAAAACAAUUGUUAGAUGAUUAAAGCGAUUUAUUUUUUUUUUUACAGCAUUUGAUUGUAUUAGUUAAAAUCAUUUUUUAAGGAUAAAAAUAAAUAGAAAAUUAUUCUCAUGUAGUGUGGAAAUCUUUUCUAAUUUCUUGUUGACUUGUACAUUUAUUUCAGAAUUUCCAUUCAUUAAUUCUACUGUUUUAAUCUUUGACUUAGCUACCGUAGUUGACUUUUUAUAUCAAAGGCUUAAACAGCAUGCAUUUUUGAAUUGACUGAGAAUAAUUUGGUGGACAAAUUACUAGUAAAGGACUUCAAAUGGUUGAAUUGACUGUGGGUUUUUCAUGCCCAAGUCACUCGUCACGUCGUUUCAUCGAAACAAAGUGCCCGGUGCAAAUGGUGUGAUGUAAAACACCUUUUUAAAUUGUCAUUUUUUUUCCUUUGCUUUUGCUUUAAUUUUCUAAAUGCUCAACGCCAUAAAUCCAUGUAUUCUUAAUUUUCGUUUGCUGUAUUGAUUCCCAACCCUCUAUGUCACAAGGUUUUGAAUGCCAGUAAUUAAGUUAAAUUAAACAUAUUUUAAGUCCUACUUUAAAUUAUUGAAAAAUGUAUUAUGGUUGAACUGAAUUUUAACUAAAAAAUAUAUACAAAAUAAAAGAUUAAUCAUAUCUUUUUAUGAGGAAGGUCAGUCAUCAUUCUGACCACAGACACUUAAAAUUAAUUGAGUGGAAUAUUGCAAAAUAUAUAUAAACCAUGCCAAAACUAGAUGUUUGAGUAAUGAAAACGAGAAUUCAUAUGACUCAGAAAUAUGGUCGCUUUCCUUUUUCUGAAAGGCAAAAAAAAAGGGGGAACCAAAAAGGACCAAAAUGAACAAAAAUGGAAGGCGAAGGUAAGCAGACAUGUUAUAUGUUUUACCUAAGAUGCCAAAUGCAACUCCCCAUUGAUGGUGAUCGAACAUUAUGGCCAUUUUCUUAGUAAACAAAAAAUGAAUUUUGAACACUCAACAACGAAACUUGAGCAGAAGAUCAAGCAAGGGCCUCGAUCUCAAAGAAGAUACUAUGAAACCCUACUUAAUGGUUAAAUAACUUUCAUUCAGCUUUGGACCCUAUUUCGUGAUACGGAAAGACAAACCUUUCUUGGCCGGCAGUGUCCCAGAUCUGGGCUUUGAUGAUCUAGAGGUUGAUGGUGACAGUUCUGGUUUGGAACUCGACGCCAAUGGUUUAUUUCGAUUCAAAGCAAAACUCAUUCUUGGUGAAUCUCGAAAGAAUCUGAGACUUGCCCACGGCCGAGUCACCGAUCACCACUACCUUGAAUACAUAGUCUAUUUUGUCAGGAAUCAUAUUCUCUCGUUGUUGAUGACGAUGAUCGGUGCCAUCACCACUCAUUUCUUCGUUCAUUCAUUCUAUGUCCAUUGAUCUUUUUGAAUUAUUGAAGACAAGUGGCUCACCGCUUUUAGUAUUGGUAAAAUUCAGAUAAUCUCUAUUCCGAAAUAAUAAUAUUAAAAAUAUCUCUUAAAUCAUUAUAAACUUCAAAUCUAUUUUAAUUUUAUUUAAAAGAUAAAAGAAAAAUAAGUUAUGUUGGUGAUUUUUUAUUAUCUUUUUAAUAAAAAUAGAAUAAAUUGAUGUUUAUAAUUAUUUAAAGUAUUUUAAAGAUUGCUAUUUUAUGAGAGAAUAAUAUUUCAUUUUUUUUUUCGUGUGAAAGACCGAAAAAGGACAAAGCAAGUUUCCCUAAUUUUUAUUUUAUGUGAAAUUGGUCAUCUCAUAUACUUUACCCUUCAACACUCUAAUUUUUUUGGUUAUAAUUUUAUUAUUUUUUCUCUUUUACACAUGCAUGUGAAUUACUUUUCUUUAAGCUCCUGAAUAUUUAAGACAAAUCAUGGAAGAGAUGAGAGUAUAACAAGAUGAUCAAAAUAUGUAACAAAAAAAUUUUAGAAGUGAAAAAUAUGUUAGAGUCGAAGUAAAACUCUGAGGUGAUGUUUGAUUUGAAGAAAAUGGAGGAGAGAAAAAGAGUGGAAUGGAGAGGAAAAGAGAGAAAAGGAGAGGAGAGGAGAGGAGAGUGAACUUUUUUUCUAAUGUUUGGUUUGUCACAUAAAUAUACAAAGAAAGGAAAUCUCCAAUUUUUUAUUUAGACAAUUUUAACCUUAAUAAGUAUUAAGCUUUCAAUAUUUAUCAUGUGUAUAAUUUAAAAAAAGUAAAUGGUAGAAAGCGGUUUCUGAUUCCGGCCACAUCGCCGGCAAUGGAAGGUACUUAUCAGAACAUCAAGAACCGGCCAUCAUUCCCUAGCCAUCACUGCUGUAGGAACACUGCUAAAAAGCUGCCGAUUGAACCGCGAAAAGUCGUGGAAAUCGUUGCCUCAAAUCGGUGAGUUUCGCCUUUUUCUGGUCAUGCCGUCGCCUUGGCUUUGUCCAUCAACGCUGCCACUUCCAUUUCAACCAUCCAUAGCCACUAUUAACCGCCAAAUCGCCGCCGAUCAGCGGGAUCUGUGGAAGUUAAAAAGUUUCUAAAAUUUUUUAAUUGGAUUUGAACAACAUACAACCAUUUUUUGAUCUCAAUAACGACAUAGUAAUGUUGAUCGUUGGUCGGCAAGUCGAAUGGUAGUGGCGGUGAGUAACACGCGCCAAUGACAUCGGCGGCGGCGGCGGCACUAUCCGGCUACUGUUAAAAUUAAUAUUUUAUAUUUGUAGAUUAAAUAAAUUUAUUUUAUUAAACUUUUUAAAUCAUUAUUUAAAUUUAAUUAAUUUAAAAUUAUCUAUGAUGUUGAAUUGAUAAAAUAAAUUUAUAAAUAAUAAUUAUGUGAUUACAUUAAAUAAGUUAAAAAGUUGAAGGGUUAUUUUUGGAAGAUUUAGUUUCCAACACAAAGGGAAUUUGAAUUCUUCACUUCUUAGUGUGGAAUUCAAAUUCUAUAUUGUAAUGGAUAUUAAAUUCCAAUAGAAAUUAAAUUCUUAUAAGUUAUGUCAAACCAAACAACGGAAAUAAAAAAAAAGAAUUUAAAUUACUUUCCUUUCCUCCACCCUCUCCUUCCAACCAAAUACAUCCUGAAAAUAGAGAUAUUGAUUAAUUUAGAAGAGAUGCAAGCAAAAGAUAUUCCACAAAAAAAAAAAAGCAAUAUGUCCCUUUGGAGGGCAAACUUGUCAGUUUUAAAAAAGUACAUGCUUUGGAUUGAUAGUUGUAGGAUAUUUGUUUUGUCACUAUGUGUUAGUUGGAGAAGUCAAGCCUUGUGAAGAAUGUUAUGAAAGAGCAAAGGAUAUUCCUGAUAGCUGAUAGAGCUCUAUUUGAUUAUGUAUCCAAUGAAUGGAUGUGUUGUUGGAAGAUAUUUGAGUGCAUUAGUUCAUAUGUGUCUAUCAAUGUGAUUUUAAUGAUUUUUCCACUUGUUUGUUGUAAAAGAUUAUUGUAAAUUGAAAUGAACUUGAUGUUGUAAUAUUUUCUCCUUAGUAGAAUUUCACCUAGUAUGUAUUUAGUUGUGUUGUCUAUAAUUUUGCAUUCGAAUAAGUUUCACCUAAAAUAUUAGCAUGAGUAGUGGCCCUUGAAACUUUGGUCAAAAUUAUUGUUAUUAUUUCCGACUAGAUGUAAAUUUUUUAUUAAAUCUCGCUAACACAAUUCUUAAUUAAAAGUAUAGGUUAGUGUUGGUGCAAGACUUGCCACACCAAAUUCUGCCUAACUGUCAAAAGUGCAAAAUAAAUGAAGAGAAAGCACAAAUACACGACUUGAAUAAGGAUACAACGAAACUUAAAUUCAAGAGAAAAUGAUAGCUAUAUCUCAAGAUUUGAAAAAACGGUCAUGUAGAUUUUUAAGAUUUCAAUAAGCGACUGAGAUUCAAAUAAUAUCCUUUAAUUCUAUUAACAAAAAACAAAGACUCAAAUAUUUUAUGAUAAAUAAAAAUAUAAUAUUAAAAUAUAUGUGAUAAUAUACACAUUUUAAAUACUUUCAAUCCAAAAAAAUAGUUAUGUUUUACAAUCUAUUAGACAUAUUUUAUUAAAUUAAUAUAAAUUUUCUAUAAAAUAAGAAUAUAAUAUUAAAAUAAAUUCACAAAAAUUUAAAGAAUUUUGAAUGUAAAAUAAUUUUAAUAUAUCAAUACGUGAGUUUUUUUAUUAAUAUAAAAUUUAUUUAACUUUAAGAUUUUUUAAAAUCUUUACAAUAAGUAUAACUAUAUUAUUUACAUUUAAAAAUAUUUAAAUAUUAUUAACCUACAAUUAUAUUUGCAUUUGUUAGAAAUUUUUUAAGUCAAAUAUUUUGCACUUCUAUAUUAUUAGAAUUAUUGCACAAAAAGAAAGAAACAUACACCUUUAGAAAUUGUUUUCUUUUAAAAUAGAGAUGAUGAUUAGUAUAAGGAUGAAAAAAAGGAUAAAGAAUAUUAAUGAUUAACGAAAUCUCUAUACAAAUUGAUUUUAGUAGGAAAAGAGUGAGAUGAAUGAUUUCUUUUACAGUUAGAAACAUAGAUGAUGAUUAUUAUAACGAAGAAAAAAAGAUAAAGAAUAUUAAUUAUUAAUGGAAUCUCUAUACAAAUUGAUUUUAGUAGGAAAAAAAUGAUUAAAUGAUUUAGAGUGCGUUUGGAAUUGAGAUUGGGCAGCCAUAGAUUUUAAGUUACAACACUGAAGUGUUUAGUAAAUACUAGUUGCUGCAGAUUGAAAGUUAUGUUGAUAUGAUUUUUCACAUGUAUCAUAGAAAAUAUAUUACAUCUUUAAUAUUUUUUAAAAAUUUAUAUUUGCUAUAUAUUAUUAAUUUUUUUUUAUAGUUAUAACUUUUUUUCCACAACAGUUGUAGCUUAAAAGUCACAGCACCUCAAUCUCAAACAAAUCCUUAGACAUUCAUAGUGUGUUUAUUUUUUGGAUUGGUGAAUCAAAAUUAUUGACAACGCUAACUUCAUCUUCACUGUUCGCAAUCCAACAGCAGCAAUUGUCGCCAAUAAUGAUAUCUCCAAUGAUGAUGACAAUUAUUAUUAUUAUUUUUAUUAUUAUUAUUAUUAUUAUUAUUAUUAUUAUUAAUUAAUUAAUUAAUUAAUUAAUUAAUUAAUUAAUAUAUUAAUGUUGAUAUUAUUAUUAUUAAGAUUAACAAUAAUUAUUAGUAAUACAAUUUUUUGAAUAAAAAUAAUCACAAUAAUUAAAAUACAAAUUAAUAAUUAUGACAAUAAUUAAUUAAUGUCUUUUUAGUAAUUUGUAAUAAUCUAACUCAUUUUGGUUCUGAUUAUUACAGCUUAAGUAAACAAAUUAUUAUGAUUCCUAUUCUCCUUUCCCAUUUUAACUCACUUUGAUUCCAGUCUAUUCCGAUUUCUAUUUAAUAAAUGCACCAUUAGUGCUAAAGUAAUAUUUCAUACAUAGAAAAAUAAAAACUACGCCUAAGGUUAAGGGAAAAGACUUCAAAAUUCUCUUUUGAUCAUAAUACAUUUUGUCCUAAUUAACUUAAAGAUUUUGAAUCUAAUAUUUUAUAAUAAAUAAAAAUAUAUUCCUAAAAUAAAUAUAAUAUCAAUAUUUAAAAUAUGUUUUAAUAUUUUACAAUCUAUCAUACACAUUUUAUUAUAUUAAAGUAGAUUUAUAAUAAAUAUAUAAAAAUUUAGAAUAUUUAGAAUAUUAUAUAAAAUAAUUUUAAUAUAAUGCGUGAUAUAUAUUUUAUUAAUUUAAAAUGUCAUUUUACCUAAAAAAUAUGAUAAAUUAAUAAUUACAUAUUUGAAGUUAUUUCAAAUAUUAAAAAAAUUUAAUAUUAUUAAUCUUUUAGAUAGAUUAAAUUAUUUUUUAUAAGAGAGAUUAAAUUAUUUUAAAAUGCCUUAAUUGUUUUUACUUUUAACGUUACGGGCCUUUCUUUUAUUUUAUUGCAAAUUAAUGCUAACUAGAAAAACAAAAACAAAAGUGACAAACACAACCAGCUGGAAUCUUUUAUAAAACUACAAAUUAAAAUGGAUUUUUUUUUUUUGUUGAUAAAUUACACAUGAAAGUGGAUUCUUUUGAAUAUAAGUGGGGUAGGCUCUUUUAUUUUUUUUUUAAUACCGUAUAACAGGACUGUAGACUCUUUUAUUAAGCACAAAUAUAGAGUUGUCGAGACAAUUAGGGUCUUUUAUUAAACUACAAAUUGUAUAGUCUUUUUUAAAUUGUUCAGAUAUUUAUAAAUUGGUGGCCCCUACAAUCCUCAAUAAUUGUACCGAUAUUCACAAGCUGGUGGCCCCUACAAUCCUUAAUAAUUGUUUUUUUUUUUUUCUGCAUUCCCUUUCAUGCUCUUAAUAAUUAAAGAGCAUACUUUUCAAAUGUGGAGCCGCGGCUAAUGUCGCUAAUUUAAUUUGGGAUUAAAUUAGGGGACUAUUAUAUUGCAGUGUGCACUAAUUUUUAUGUUUAUCUAAACUCCUUAAAUUUAAGAUAUAUUAUGGCAUAAAUAAGAAUAUAACAAUAGCAAAAGAGUUAGAAAGUGUAGAGAAGAUCUUGCAGAAAUAUAAAUAAUAUUUAUUUUAAAAUAAUAUCAAUAUUUAAAAUAAUUUUUAUUAUUUUAUGAUCCAUUAGAUAUAUUUUAUUAUAUUAAAGUAAAUUUUAUAAUAAAUAAAAACAUACUAUUAAAAUGAAUAUAUAGAAAAUUUAGAGUAUUUUAAGUAUUAUAUAAAAUAAUUUUAAUAAAAUAUGUGAGAUAUUCAUAUUUUAUUAAUUUAAAAUACCAUUUAACCUAAAGAUUUAUUUAUGAUAAAUUAAUAAUUAUAUUUUUGAAAUUACUUCAAAUAUUAAAAAAAUUAAUAUUACUAAUCUAUUAGAUAGAUUAAAUUAUAUAUAUUAUUUUCUAUUUAUUAAAAAAUUUCAAAUUAUUUUUAAUUACUAUUCAAAAAAUAUGAUGAUAAAAAAAUCUUAACAUCUUUAUUAAAAAAUUAAAAACUUACAUGAUCAAUUCUCUAAAUAUUUAGGGUAUAUGUGAACCACGGUGGACAGAGGUCAUUACUAAAAUUUCUCUUCCACAGGCAAUUACAGCAGCUCCAGUUUAUCAAACUCAACCAAUUUUCUUUCUUAACAAAAUUCCAAAGAUGUGUAGCUUUUUUCAGAUCACAUGCGAUGGUGCUUUUUUCAAUCGUUGCUUGGAUUGCUUUCUUGGAAAAGCAGCAUACAUACGUAACCUCCAAGAUAAUCUUGAUGCCUUGGACACUGAACUGGGAAGACUAAUCGCAGCAAAGAACGAUGUGAUGAUUAGGGUUGUCAAUGCUGAACGGCAAUAAAUGAGAAGGCUGGACGGAGUGCAAGUGUGGGUUUCGAGUGUGGAUGCUGUUAAAACUGGAGCCGAUGAACUUAUCACAGACGGCUCUGAAGAAAUUGGCAAAUUAUGUGUUGGAGGCUACUGUUCCAAGAACUGCAGGUCAAGCUACAAAUUCGGAAAACAAGUGGCUAGAAAGCUACGAGAUGUGGAGACUUUAAUCGCCGAAGGAGUUUUUGAGGCGGUGGCUACUGAGGUGGUGCCUGAGAGAGCUCCAGAGCCUGUAGCAGAUGAAAGACCUACCGAGCGAAAAGUAGUAGGCUUGCAAUCACAACUUGAACAAGUCUGGACGUGUCUUGUGGAAGAAUCAGCGGGAAUCAUUGGCCUAUACGGUAUGGGCGGUGUUGGUAAAACCACACUAUUGACCCAUAUCAACAAUAAAUUUCUCGAGAGUCCAACCAACUUUGAUUGUGUGAUUUGGGUAGUAGUUUCAAAAGACCUGCGACUUGAAAAACUUCAAGAAGAUAUUGGGAAAAAGAUAGGUUUGGUUGGUGAUUCAUGGAAGAGUAGAAGUGCAGAGGAGAAAGCUCUCGACAUCUUCCGGAGUCUAAGAGGGAAGAGAAUUGUAUUGUUGUUAGAUGAUAUAUGGGAGCGGGUUGAUUUAACAAAAGUGGGCGUUCCACUUCCUGGACCACAAAAUACUACCUCAAAAGUCGUAUUCACAACNNNNNNNNNNNNNNNNNNNNNNNNNNNNNNNNNNNNNNNNNNNNNNNNNNNNNNNNNNNNNNNNNNNNNNNNNNNNNNNNNNNNNNNNNNNNNNNNNNNNNNNNNNNNNNNNNNNNNNNNNNNNNNNNNNNNNNNNNNNNNNNNNNNNNNNNNNNNNNNNNNNNNNNNNNNNNNNNNNNNNNNNNNNNNNNNNNNNNNNNNNNNNNNNNNNNNNNNNNNNNNNNNNNNNNNNNNNNNNNNNNNNNNNNNNNNNNNNNNNNNNNNNNNNNNNNNNNNNNNNNNNNNNNNNNNNNNNNNNNNNNNNNNNNNNNNNNNNNNNNNNNNNNNNNNNNNNNNNNNNNNNNNNNNNNNNNNNNNNNNNNNNNNNNNNNNNNNNNNNNNNNNNNNNNNNNNNNNNNNNNNNNNNNNNNNNNNNNNNNNNNNNNNNNNNNNNNNNNNNNNNNNNNNNNNNNNNNNNNNNNNNNCAGGAAGUCCUAGUGCGUGCUAUCAGAAAAGAUGCUGGGAACUGUUUCGCGAAAAUGUUGGGGAAGAAACUCUUGAGAGUGAUCAUGAGAUCGUUGAGCUAGCCCAAACUGUGGCCAAAGAGUGUGGUGGUUUGCCACUCGCACUUAUUACUAUUGGUCGAGCUAUGGCCUACAGAAAGAAAGCGGAGCAGUGGAGACGUGCAAUUGAAGAGUUAAGAAGAUCAGCUUCAGAGUUUGCAGGUUUGGGAAAAGAGGUGUAUCCUCUUUUAAAGUUUAGCUAUGAUAGUUUGCAGAAUGAUACAAUUAGAUCUUGUUUCUUGUAUUGUUGUUUAUAUUCUGAAGAUUAUGGCAUUCUUAAAUGGGACUUGAUUGAUUGUUGGAUUGGUGAGGGAUUUUUGGGGGAAUCUGACAGGUUUGGUGCAGAAAACCAAGGAUAUGACAUUUUGGACACUCUUGUUCGUGCAUGUUUAUUAGAAGAGGUGGAAGAAGAUGAAGUAAAAAUGCAUGACGUUAUUCGUGAUAUGGCUAUAUGGAUAACCAGUGAAAUUGAGAAGGAGAAGAGAAACUUUUUGGUUUGUGCAGGUGCUGGAUUAGAAGAGGCACCGGAUGUUAAAGAAUGGGAAAAUGUGAGAAGAUUGUCAUUGAUGCAAAACCAAAUUGAAACUCUGUUUGGGGUUCCCACAUGCCCUCAUCUCAUCACUUUAUUUAUUGACUUUAAUAGGGAGUUGAAGACUAUCGCGGAUGGCUUCUUCCGAUGUGUGCCUUCUCUCAAAGUUUUGAAGAUGUCAAACUGUGGAAAGCCUUAGAAAGGUUUGGAAUUACCUUUGGGGAUGUCAAAGUUGGGUUCACUACAACUUCUUGAUAUUUCACACACCUGCAUACAAGAAUUACCACAAGAAUUAAAGUUGUUGGUAAAUCUGAAAUGUUUGAAUUUGAGGCGGACAAUUUGGUUAAAUAAAAUUUCAUGGCAACUAAUAUCAAAAUUUUCAAGGUUACGUGUGUUGAGAAUGUUCGCUACUGGCUGGUUCAGUUUUCAUGAAGCACCAGAAGACAGCGUUUUAUUUGGUGGGGGUGAAGUUUUGAUACAGGAAUUGCUCGGUUUGAAAUAUUUAGAGGUAUUGGAGUUGACCUUGGGAAGUUAUCAUGCUCUCCAAAUUCUUUUGAGCUCAAAUAAGUUAAAAAGUUGUAUUCGAUCUCUUUUCCUACAGUUGUUCAGAGAUACAACGUCGAUUAUUGAUGCUACGGCUUUCGCAGAUCUAAACCACCUCAAUCAAUUAUGUAUUAGUAACGGUUCUGAGUUGGAAGAAUUGAAGAUUGAUUAUACGGAGAUAGUACGAAAAAGGCGGGAACCUUUUGUUUUCCGCAGCCUUCAACGUGUUACCAUAGAGGAGUGCCAUAAAUUGAAAGAUUUGACAUUCCUCGUUUUUGCUCCAAACCUCAAGUCUCUUUCGCUAUACGAUUGCGGUGCUAUGGAAGAAAUAAUCAGCGUCGGAAAAUUUGCUGAGACUCCUGAGAUGAUGGGACAUAUAAGCCCUUUUGAAAAUCUCCAAAUGCUUUAUUUAAUGGCAUUGCCGGAGUUGAAGAGCGUCUACUGGAAGCCAUUGCCUUUCACUCAUCUGAAAGAAAUGGAGGUACUUGGGUGUGAUCAGCUUAAAAAGCUUCCACUCGAUUCCAACAGUGCAAAAGAGCGUAAAUUUGUAAUUCUUGGAGACACACAGUGGUGGAACCGUCUUCAAUGGGAGGAUGAAGCCACUCAAAUUGCUUUUCGUUCCUAUUUCCAAACCUGAUUCCUGAGCGGUGGUCGCAAAAUUUGAUUUCUGGUGAGUGCGUUUGUCUUUUAAAAGAAGAAUUUAAAAGAAAUUUAUUCUUGUCGUUUUCUUCUCUGUUUUUAUUUCAGUUUGUUUCUCUCUCUCUCUUUUUGUCUUCUGCAAAUCACAAUUAAAUGUUGAAUUAAUGGAAUUAAUGCUUCAUAAAUUUGCCGGCACUGCCAGUACUUUUUUUUUUUUUUAAUACGAAUUGAUGCUUUAUUUAUUUCUUCUUAGCGAUUUAAUUUCCUGUCAAAAGACGAGCGAGAAGAACAUAUGACUUAAACCAAUUGAUACUUUAUUUAUGUGCAUUGUAUGUAAUAAAAUUUUCUCUGUUUUUUUCAAAUUGAGGCUUUAUUUAUAUUUUCUUCGUGAAGAGUGAUUUAAUUUCCUGCCAAAAGACAAACGAGAAGAACAUUAGAGUCAAACUAAUGCUCACAUAAAUUUCCCGUAAGAAUAUAUAUAUAAUUAGACUGGAAUGCACACCUCUAGAUUGAACAGAAUUAAAGCUGAGAAAAUAUUGAGUAUAGUAGCCCUCUUUACAGAAAAUGACGCGAAAGUUAAUUUAGAAAGAUAUAUUCUUGAUUAAUCCAUUUUCUGAAGUUUUUUAUUUUGUAUGGUCAAUUAUACCUUCAUACUAAAAAAAAAAAAAAAAAAGAGAAAAUAUGUAAUCCAUGAAUGGUUAAUUUUGUUUGUUUGUUUUUUUUUCUUAAAUAUCAUUCUUUUUCGGCCACCCAAGGACAUUUUCACAAAUACCUUUUGUGUGCAGAAGUCUUCCAAACCAUCAAUGGAAAAAUAAAAAAUAAAAAAAACACGGUCCAGUAUACCUCAAAAUAUCAUUGAUGACUUUUCUGGUCUAAUGCUAUGUAAAUAGUAUGUUAAGUAAAACAUAAUCAGUUCAGUACCUCACAAAUAAUUCGCAAUAUCUACAAAAUACUAUAAUGGCUACAAAACAAAUCCUGCUUGCAAAUUGUCAAGGAUACCUAUCCGUUCGCUUGACAAGUCAUUUGAAUAAAUAUUGUUCACAUUCCUUACUCUGUCAAUUAUCCAAAGCACCAUCAACUUUAGUUUGAAUAGUAUACAUGCCAUCACCGUUACCAAGAAUCAAGCAUGGAAGGGUCAUUCUAUAGAGUGCAGAACAUGACUCUAUGCGGUAGUCAAUUUGACACACGACGAACACCAUAUGCUGCAUAACAUACAAAUUAAUUUCCCAUAUGUGAUGCAAUUUUCUCCUCAACAUAUGCGCAAUUCUUUCCAUUCCGGCAUUUACACUCAAAUUUUCCUUCCUUUCUCUUUGUGGUUGAAUCUUACACCACAACUCAUGUGAUGCAAUCUCCUCUCGCUGCCUAAAUUGCACUCUCAGCAAAGCAGCAUAUGUAAGCAAGCUUGAAGAUAAUCUUGCUGCUCUGCAGAAGAACGGCAAAAGUUAAUCGAAGCAAGGAAUGAUGUAUCAGAAAAUAUUUGGUGGAGAAUUCAGCACAAACAUAUUUCGGAUGAUCAGAAUCAAUAAAACCUGGUGGUUGUGCCAUAUAAACAUCUUUGGAAAGCUGACCUUGAAGAAAGGCGUUAUUGAUAUCCAAUUGAUGAAGAGGCCAGCCAUGACUAACAUCAAUACUAAGAACAAGCCGUACUGUGGUGGACUUAACAACUGGACUGAAAGUGUCAUAAUAGUCCACACCAGGCCAUUGAUUGAACCCUUUGGCAACAAGAUGAGCUUUAAACCUGUCAACAGAACCGUUGGAAUGUCUUUUAAUACAAAAAUCCAUUUGCAGCCAACAAUAUUGGAAGGGAUGGGAGGUGGAACAAGCUUCCAUGUCCCGUUACGAACAAGAGCAUCAUACUCUUCUGACAUAGCUGGACGCCAGUGAAGAUUUUUGAUAGCUUGCGUCACAGUUGUAGGUUCACAAUCAGAAGAAGGGCUAAAAUGAGCACGGAGGUUAAGUUUUUGUAACGGCUUGUGAAUCUUAUUUUUAGCUCGGGUAGUCAUAUCAUGAUGACUUGUGGGGCAAUGAUCUAGUGGAGUUUAGGAAGAUGAUUGAACAGGAAGUGAAGAAGUGCUUUGUGUAGAGGUAGAAGUAGGUUGGGAGGAUUGCUGCGGAGAUGUUACCGGUAGAGAAGAAGGAGCAGUACACGGUGGCAACUCCAGAGGGCCCACAAUAGAUGGAGUAGGUGCCGACAAUGGAGUACUAGGAAAUGAAACAGGAAGAAUUGGUGGAACACUUGCAUAAUUAGGAGUGGUAGAUGAGCUUGUAAUGAUUUGCAUGGAAAAACAAACUCUACAAAUUUAACGUGACGUGAAAUAAAAAUUUGAAAGGUGGAUGGGUCAAAACAUAAAUAAGCACUUUGAGAUAAAGGAAUAUCCUAGAAAAACACAAGGCUUAGAGGGUGGUUCGAGUUUAUGUGAUGAAACACAAACAUUCAAAAAAUUUUAAGUUUAUAUUAAUUAGGAGUGGUACCAAAAAUUAAUUAGCUAUGGGGUUGUUGGAUGUGUUUUGGAUAUUUACAGUUAAGUUUGAGUAUCUCAACUUAAAAUUUGUAGUUUUCACUUGAAAAAAUUCAGUUAAAUUUUGCAAUGCAGACUGAUUGAUUUAUCAGUUUAACGUGUGCCAGGAAUGAAGAACUGGAAUAUCACCGUCAAGCAAGCACCCUGUGGAGCAAUACCAAAGAAUGCACAAUCUGGCUUUGCUAGGUAACACUGGAGGCUUUUUGAAAAGUGCUUCACGCUCACUUGCACAGAUUGAGCAUCCCCUCUGGAUAUUGCCCUCUCUGAUCGAGUCUGAGCACUCAAAUUUUGGUCCUCAGAGGGAGCUACAGUUUUCUCUCCACUAACCAACAAUAUUCUAAACUCAGCACCUAGUGUGAUCAGAGUUGUUGAUAUUUGCAAAUGGAGAUCCCCAUAUUUGCAAAUGGAGACAUUUAACAAAUCACCAACAUGCUUCAUCCGGUCCACGAAAUUCUGCAACUGAUGCAAAUCUGGAACCUGAACCAGAGUCGGAGGUAUAUCUUGAGCCAUAUCUAAAGCAGUUUGAAGUUCAAGACCUUGAGCCCUUGACAAUGGUUUUGAAAUUGGAACAUCUUGGAUUACUGCAGACUUGUACCCCUUGGUUUCAAAGGUAAGGAAAGGCAUUGCUUGAGUACAAUUUGGAGGCAGCUUCUUCACCAAUUUUAUUUGGAGGCGAUUGGCAGCGGAUCCAGCUGCACCAAUUUCAGAGCAACUACUGACACUACUUCGAACAGCACACUGAAGAAGUGAUAUGUCUACGGCGAAGGCAAUGCAGUCCUCAUUUUGGCUUGAGACACAGUAAUCAUCGAAGAGAGUUUCCUUGUGAAACUGGGCAACACAUUGAAUCCCUUCGGCACUGAGAAGGUUGUGGAGGAAGUAAGCUUUCUCUCUAGUAAGGAAGAGGUGGCAUACAUUCCCCAUUUUGUCUAGGGCAGGUAGGAAUCUUUUUUCUAAGAGAUUUACUUCAUUCUCUGUGAGAAAUGCUUUGAACUUCAUCCCUCUGUCUCUAUCCUCACUUAUCAGUAAAAUAGUUGAAAGCGCUACAAGGAGAGAAAAGAAGAGUAUUAAGAUAUAUAUAUUAUAUAGACAAGAAAAACAUUAGAUGUCGAUCUUACAAGCUAAUACUUCAAACAAUAUCCUAGAAAGCUAAAAACUGCAAGAUGGCUUGAAAUUUGAAAAGAGCACGUGCUUUUCCUCCUUAACUUGAGAAAAUGUUUAAUAUAGUGCACCUUACAGAAGCAUUUAAGCAAUUAGAACUUUGCACAAAAACAUCAAGAAGACUAAACAAGUCAGAUGCAGUGUAUUUGUCCAAGCACAAAUUGCAUUUUGUCCUCAACUUUAAUAUUUAUUGAUGAGAAUCAAUACAGGUCCCUCAUUUGUUAUAGAAAGCUUUCUUGUAGUCUCACCAGUUAAUAUGGAUAUUAGAUAAGGAAACUUUAUUAGGUUGCGAGGGUAAAAAAGGAAAGAGAUAUCAUUAUUUUAUUAUCGAUAAUUAUUAAAUUUUUUUCCAAAAAAAAGAACAAGCAAGGAUAUUUUAUUGUCAAUUGCAACCUUUAAUUUUUUUAAAUGCUAUUAGAAACACAAGAUAACAAAAAUGUAGUGAGAUGGGAUCUCCUGCAUGCCACUCUGGUUUAGAACACAAAGAAUGUGUCUGCAUAAAUAUCCUCUGAAAUUGAACAACCCACAAACACAAAGCACCUCCAAGUCGGAGGCAUUGUACAAAACAUCAAAAGCCCUUGAAUCCUUCUCGUUGCCACCAACCUCGAAUUCUUCCUUCACUAUGUAUGUUAUAGGUCCAUCAGAACUAAUAUGUUUUGUGCUAUAGUAAGAGUACAUAGCCUCCACCUCCAUCUGAAACUUCCUUAACAUUUCAUUUGUGUACAGUUUUGAGAGUUGAAAUUCAUAGUAACAUCUUGGUUUCCGGAUACAACUUGAAUUUCUUGAAUCCAUAUCUGCCAAGGCUACCAGUUGAUAAUUCGCCUGCAGUGCUUGAUCAUACUUGUCUAAGAAUUCUUUCAAAGGAGUAUUCUUAUCAAGAUAUCCUUCAAAGUAUGAAGUAGAAACCUCAUUCUGCAGGAACGAAAACACUCCUGAUAAAAAAGCUUCCUUCAAAUAAAUAGGAGCCCACCUUUUAUGAUCUUCAUAUAAAGUUUGAAUCCAUCCGUGAUCCUUUAUUCCAUGACAUUGAAUCAUGUCUUCCCAAGCUGCUUCAAAUUUCUCAGGCCUGAGAGAGUGAUAAAUUGCUCUAUGUAAUGCAGCUUUAAUAGCUUCAUAUUCAAACAAUCCUUGGAGUUUCUCUGGAAUUUUUUUGCAUGAUGCAUGACAAUGAAAAGAAAUGAUAAGCUCUUGGGAAAACAUCACCAACAGCAAUUUGCAAGAUUCUACAUUGGUCAGUGAUGAUUGUUUGUGGAGAGCGCCCUAACAUACAUGUAAGCCACGCCGUAAACAACCAUGUAUAUGAUUCUAUGGUCUCACUGGCAAGUAAACCACAACCCAACAACACUGAUUGUCCAUGAUGAUUCACCCCAAUGAAUGAAACCAGUGGUACAUCAUAUCUUUCAGUCAGGCACGUAGUAUCAAUUAAGACCACAUCACCAAAGUACCUAUAUGCAACUCUUGACCUGGUAUCAGUCCAGAAUAGGUUUUUCAAGCAUCCCUUUUCAUUUAGAUCCACUACAUUAAAAAAGUUUGGAUCUGUCAACUGCAAAUGACAAAAGAAACUCUGGACAGCUUGUGCAUCUCCUGGUUUAAGCUUCAAUUGAUUUGAGCUAUUAACAUUAUUUCCAAAUACUCCAUUAACAUCUACCAUUUCCCUUGGUAUCAAUGAUAAGAGUUCGAAACAGUUUAAUUUUUUGAACUUCUUCAGCACUAUCUAAAUGCAAUGUUCUUUUGGUUCCAAUACCUAUGUGCUUAUGUGACUUGUAAAACUUUCCGCUUCUUGGGCUUAACAAGUGGUUAUGCUCAAGCUCGACUUCAAUGAUUCUCCACCUUUUGGUUUCCAUCAACCUAAACUUUAUCAUUGCUGGACAGCCAGUUCUUGUUUCUGGUCUUGGGCGGUUUGCCUCGCUUUUCUUCUUGAAGCCUGCACUACUACAGCUCAGCUUUCCUCUAUACUUUUCUCUACUCUUUCGGUACCAUGGAUUGCUAACUCUAACACCAAAACCCUGUUCCUUGGCAUAGCAAUUGUAAAAGUAAUAUACAUCAUCAUACAUCUCAAACUCCAUUCCAACAGUAGGAGGCAAGGGAUUUUGGAUUAUCCCAGUUUGUCCAACAUAUUCAGUCAUCGCACAAUCUCCUACAACCUCAAAAUCAUCAGUGUCAUCAUCACCUACUGGUUCGGUGUUGAGAGAAACUUCAUCCAUCUACAAUGGAUGUUCAAUGAAGUGAGCUUUAAGGAGAAAAAGCAAAAUCUGUUCAAGGAAUGAUAAUAUAAUCAUACAGUUACUUUCACAAAGCUUCAUAUUUCAUCACUGCUUUACCAACAUGCAACUGCCAGAGAACAAACAGACAUGUCAUAGACGCUUGAAUUAAGUAUUGGUACAAAUGAGCACACAUCAUGUGGGACAAAAUUUCAGUCACUAAACCCAAUACCACUUUUUACAUCAUACCAAGGAACAGAUUAAACCCGACACCUUCUUUUAAACCAUACCAAGGAACAGAUUAAAUCAUCAAUGAAAAAUUAAUCACAUAAUAACUUAACCAGACAAAUGAAGAGCCUGAAACAGCACAAAACUUGAAUCUGAUUAUGAUAAUUGUUGAGUCCUUGUAUCUACAGCUUUCCUUCAAUGAUAAGACAAUGAACAUAAACGAGACACAAAAAAAUUAUUUUAAACUGACAGCCCAUGAUAUAAAUCAAACAAAAUCAACUCCUUUUUUUACACAUUACAUCUCAUAUUCAUUUACAUUGAAACACAAAAAGGAAGCAGGAGUGGGAAAAAAACAACAGCAGAGGAACUUAUUUCCAUAAGGUUUACGAAAUAAGGAAUCUAUUAAAACCCAAAACUUGAGGUCACCACUAAGAAUUUGGUUCUCAUUAUUUUUUUCUUCAUUUUUCACCAAUUGAUGAACUUAAAAUACAAUCAUAAAUGAUAAAACCCCAUCUCCAUCUUUUUGAACUAGAGCUAAAGCAAAGCAUUUUAAGAUGUUUCAUCAUUUUUUUUUUUAAAAAAAACUCAAUAGUACAAUGUUUUUCAAUGCUAAAUGCACAAUUCAAUCUUCUCCUAAUUUACUCUAAUAAUCUCUUAAUUAAGGAAGAUUAAGCUUCAGUUGUAAGCUAAAACAAAUUUCUUAAAUCAAGCCCCAAUGCUUUAUGCUAUUCAACAAGGGCUCAUAAAUGAUAAAACUACUUCUAUAAAGAUACCCAUUUUCUAAAUUAAUUUCACAAACUGAAAUCAAACUCCUGAAACGUAACGAGCAUUAAUAUAAUCAAGCCCGAACAAGAAUUGAAAAAUGAUACAUAAACUCGUUUACACAUUUCGACAGACACUUUGCAAUCAAUGAGCAAAAAAUUAAUGGAGAAGAUAAAAUUCAAACGAAACAUGCCUUACAUUGAUAAAUUAGAAGGGCAAAAGAAAUUUUAGUACGAUAUGCGAUCAGGGUCUUGCCACGGUGAUGUUAUUUGUGAAGUUCGAGCGACUCAGCAGCCUUCGAGGUUGAAAAUUUGAUUGACCAAAAGCUUCCCGUUCGUUGAUUCUCUAAUAGUAGAAACGAGACUGGCAGUAUACACAAGAAGUUCGCCGAUUUUAAAUUCCGUUGUUUGAGAUGGAAAAUUUUUUGAAAAAAUUAAUGUGUUCGAUGAAAAUCAAAAUCUCAAAAACCUCUUGUUUUUCAUUUUUUUGGAAAAAACCAUUGAGAUCCUUACUAUUUUUUCUUAUAUCAUCUUCCUUAAUAAUUUGCAAAGUCUAUCGCAUAGCACCCAUGUAUGAUGUAUGCUGCGUUGUAAUUUACAAAAUUGCACAUGAAUAAAUCCAGCUAAAAUUUGUUAAAAGAAAAUAAUAAUAACAUGUUAAAACUUUAAAAUUUGAUUAUUCGAAGAAAUUUUAAUUUAGUUAAGUAGGUGACAUGAUAAUAAAUAGAUACGUAUAAUGUCCGAGAUUUUUUAUAAGAUUAAUAAAUAUGAUAAAUUUGGAUUAGUUCAAUUUUGACAUAAUUCAUAAUAAACACAGCUUGCUAAUCUAAAUUGCCACCGUUACUCAUCAUCAGGUACCUGUUUGAAAAAUAAUUACAAACAAUUUUAUUUGUGUUGUUUCUCUAAAAGUUUGAGACACAAAUGUUAUUUCAAAUUGAUAAAAGUACGAAAAUUCCCCCUUGCUCUUCAACUAAAAAUGAAACAUGCAAAUAUACACACUAAUUUAGAUGUGUGAAUAACAAAUAUGGAACGACACAUGCAAAGUCAUCUGUAUAAUUGAAACGCCAUGCACUAGUAGUAGGUAAGAGAAACCAAGGUUGAAGUUGCUCCAAUGGUUACUGUUAAUUUAUUUUUAUUUAUGAUUUUUUUUGUAAAAUGUAAGAAAUAUGUAGAAAUGUUGCCAGCAAUGAUUUUGGAACUUUGCAUAAAAUUUUUAUCAUUAUUGUUUUUGGUAUUAAGAAAUCCGAGGCGGUGAUUAGACGUAUGUUGCAACAAUUAAGAAAUUUCUUAUUGGAGAUAAUUUGGUAGGUUUGCAGCAAUUAGAGAAUAAUUUUCCUGCCAGUUAAUCAAUCAAUAAUAAAUUUCAAAUUGCAGAAAAUAAAAUAAUACAGCCUCACUUAGAAUCAUCUUUUCUAUCUCUUUCAAUUGUGGCAAUCAUUUGCAACAAAUAAAUCAAUUUGAUGCACAUCAUUUCCCCAAUUCAAAGUUCAAGUCACUGCUCAAUUACAGAGUAGUUAGUGGACAUGCAUGCAUGUUUAAUUAAGUACUGCAUUGUAGUAUCGAAAAUCAUAACAUCUCACCAAUAUCAGAUUAUUAACCAUGGAAAUCAUAUCACAAUAUCAUAUAGAAUUCACAAAUCUGAAAAUCAUCACCAAACAAGUACCCAGAGAAAUAAUCUCGUCAUAUCCAGACCUCAACGGACGGGCAAUGACGUACUAUUUGGGUAACGUCACACCCUGGAGCUACACGGAUAAAUAGGAAAAUACCAUCUCAUAUCUCAUCAUAUUUGUGCAUGCAUAAUCUAGUCCCCAAGGGACAAAAGCGCCCAAGCACACGGCCCAAAGCCUCUAUGUGUACUCAGACGGGCCCCAAAGGCCUGUAUCUCAUAUGUAUCAUAUGUAUCAUUUGUAUCUCAAUAUCUGUUUGUAUCUCAUUUCCGUAUAUCUAUAAUCAUCAUACCGCAUGCAUAUGCCCCCAAAAGACAAAAGCGCCCAAACACAUGGCCCAAAGCCUUUAUAUGUGUUUAGACGGGUCCCAAAAGCCUCUUAUCUCAUCUUAUCUGUAUCACUGUAUCUGGAGAGAAGGGUACUGUCUAAUGAUUUAAAAAACAAUCAUUAUACUCAUAUUUACAUACCUCUUAAUCAUAUUUGAAAUCAUAUCACAUUUGAAUCCACUUUUCUAAUCUUUAAAAUAUUAUCAUGCUUUAUUCAAAGUCGAUACGCAAAAUCAAUAACCAAACAUUUUAAAUCAAAUUAUUAACCAUGGAAAUCAUAUCACAAUAUCAUAUAGAAUUCACAAAUCUGAAAAUCAUCACCAAAUAAGUACCCAAAGAAAUAAUCUCGUCAUAUCCGGACCUCAACGGACGGGCAAUGACGUACUAUCUGGGUAACGUCACACCUUGGAGCUACACGGAUAAAUAGAGAAAUACCAUCUCAUAUCUCAUCAUAUCUGUGCAUGCAUAAUCUAGUCCCCAAGGGACAAAAGCGCCCAAGCACACAGCCCAAAGCCUCUAUGUGUACUCAGACGGGCUCCAAAGGCCUGUAUCUCAUAUGUAUCAUAUGUAUCAUUUGUAUCUCAAUAUCUGUCUGUAUCUCAUAUCCGUAUAUCUAUAAUCAUCAUACCGCAUGCAUAUGCCCCCAAAAGACAAAAGCGCCCAAACACAUGGCCCAAAGCCUUUAUAUGUGUUCAGACGGACCCCAAAAGCCUCUCAUCUCAUCUUAUCUGUAUCACUGUAUCUGGAGGGAAGGGUACUGUCUAAUGAUUUAAAAAAUAAUCAUUAUACUCAUAUUUACAUACCUCUUAUCAUAUUUGAAAUCAUAUCACAUUUGAAUCCACUUUUCUAAUCUUUAAAAUAUUAUCAUGCUUUAUUCAAAGUCGAUACGCAAAAUCAAUAACCAAACAUUUUAAUAAAAUACCAAUGCAUAAAUAAAAUUCAUUUCGAGAAAUCAUUAAAUCAGAACAUUUAAAAUACUUAUUUCGCAAACAUGCUUUACUAUCAUCGCUAACUAUGAAAAUAAGUUUUGUAUAUUCCACUUUCAGUGAUGGUGUUCACGGUCGGUUAUCGUCCAUAUCUGCAGACCGAUUCUCGCUCGCGAAUCCUCCUAAAUCAAGGAAACGACAUAAUUAUUUUUUGUAAAUCGGAAUUAUGACUAAAUUUUAUGCAAUAAACUCAAAACGAACAUCUAUUCAUAAUUGACAACUCCUAUAUCCAUAAAAUUACUAAAAUAUCCUUGAGUCCGUAGAUCAUUAACAUGCUCCGAAAUCGUAAAUCACUGAAUUACCCUCGGAAUCGUAAUUACACCCGAUCCUCAAUUAUAGGAAUUACUAACAGAUCCACAGGCUUAGAAAUUACAAAAUUGCCCUCGUAGUGUGAAAUUACCAAAAGCCGGAAGUUGGUCAACAAUGGCUAGGAAGCUCAAAUCGUAAAGUUCCAAUCACGCUGAGUUCAAUGGUACCGGCGGUGAGCUCCAACGCGCGACAACGAUGCCAGAAUCUAGCUCGGCAGCCGUGAAUUCCACCAAUCGACCGGCGGCACAACAGUGACUCUCGGUGCCUAUGGAUGGUCGAAAAUGGAAGAGGGAGCCGUGGGGAACAAAAUCCAACCGGUGGUGUCACCAAAACCGGUGAAAAUCCCGGCGGAGCAAAGUGAAACAGUCGCGGGUUUCAUGCUUCGAUCGCCGGUGUUCCGAUUGGUUUUUGGCGAGGAGGAUGGCAAGGGAACGACAGCCGGCUUCUAAGCUUCAGAUUGGUACCAAGCUCGGCCGAAACGAUGGCCGGAAAUGGGAGAUAUGACCGGGUCAAGGUCGCGGGUUCCGGGUCGGGUUUUUUGGUCUGUAGUUGGGUCGGUUUGGUAGCUUCUCUCUCACUCUCUGUUACACGUGCAUAUGUUUCCUCUGUUUCCAGCUUAUUCUUUUGCUUUUACUAACUUCUUAACCGCCUCAUACUUAUUCAUUUUUAAUUCACAUAUGUUACAAUAAUUCCCGAGUAUUAAAUAACCAGUGGUCAUAAUUUUUGUACAAGAUUCUUUUUUUUUUUUGGAGAUCGUUAAAAGUGGUUGACGAUCCAUUUCGUAAUAUCAUAGAGGGAUCAUCAAUUCCUUUUCUUUUCUGUGGCUAGGCAACACUUUUUGGCCAAAGUAAGGAAAUCUAUUUUAGGUAAUGUAAAAACCAGUUGUAGGAUGUAAUAGUUUAUUAUGCACUGACAAUAACUUUUUGUAUAAUUGUCAGUUUAAUGAAUGCAAGAGGAACUCUGUUGGCAAAUUCAUCCAAGAUAGAUGCUAAAAUUAUUUAUGCAUGCCAGUUGCCUUAACUAAGUUUUCUCAGCACUGGUUUUGAACAGGAAAAUGAAUAUGCAAUUUGUAUAUUGUGCCAUAGUGGAGAAUUUGGAUAUUCUUAUUUAAGUAACAAGGAGAUUAUUUGCCUCAUCUUUAAACAAUGAAUCUUUGAGAGAUGAGGAGUGGGUGAUUGGAUGUGUCUUCAUGUAAUUGUUCAUUUAUUUGUAUUUUGAACUGUUAUGAAAAUCUUUAUAUGCCAAAUUAGUAAUACAAGUAUUCAGAUGAUUUUUCCUAUUGAUCAUGCAUUUGUAUCUGCCCACAACCAUUGUAUAUCACUUUAUUCUGAUGCGCAAGCAUCUGUAAUUUAGAAGAAAAGAAAUAAUAAUCAUAUUUUAUUGCUUGGUUCAUGAUUAUUAACGAUUAUGGCUUUAAAAAUCUACAAAUUUCUUGUGUUCAUGUAUGAAUGUGCCAAGUUUGCUGUAUCUUAGAUUACCUUCUUCCAAGGUAACAAGUUCAUAUAUAUAUAUUUUUUAAAUCAUUUUCCAUUACAGUUGAAUUUCAAGUGUUAGUUUUGUUAUUAGUACCUGGUUUCCUGUUAUAAGGAUCUAAUAAACAGUGUACGGAUAUGUGCUCUACUUUUGGAGGGCUUCCACGUGAAAGAAAAUUACAACAAUUGAAUUCUUCCGGAGGAUAUGGUAAUUAAUUUAUUUUCUCAACUUCUUGUAAGACUAAUAUAUUUCCUUCAGUAGGCACAGCAUGGUGGGAAGGGUUUUUAUUGAAAGAAUUCUGAUAUUUCUUAGACUUUGUUUUGGAAGGGGGUGGAGGAAUUUCUCAUCCAUAUAUGGUUACUUGAUUAGCUUUUGACUGUAUUGUCUCUGUCGUGCAAAGGAAAAUCUAAAUACUAACGAUGGGGAAUUGCUUAGGCACCCAAAAGGCAGAAAUGAAUUACAGAAGGAAGUUUUUGCUGCUUUAUUUAGUGCUGCUGAGAAAUCUGAUGAAUUUCCUGAAAUUACGGUGAAGACCGAGUGGAGGUCCAAAGCAUUAGGAAAGGUGGUGAGUGAACUGCCGGAGGAAUUUGUACCAAAAUACAAGGCUAAUGUGGUGCACUUGCAGCAAGAUAACCAGACCGGUAUGUGCUCUUAUAUUAACUAUAUUGACUGGAUUUGUGAGUGUGUGCAUUUUUUUGUGUAUACUCACUUUUGUAUUUAUGCAUAUUAACAUGUGUAGGAUUCUUGAUUUCUGCCACUUACUGGAGAACUAGUGGAAAGCUUUAUAUUGAUAUAUCUGCAAUAACUAAUGGAAACUAUGAUAUGAAUAUUUUCUCUCACCUGGGGAGCUGUGUAACAGAUAUACUUUGUGGCUCUGGAAUGCUGAAGAUUCUGCAAUAACUAAUGGAAAAUAUGAUAUGAAUAUUUUGUCUCACCUGGAGAACUUUGUUACAGAUACCCUUUGUGGCUCUGGAAUGUCUAAAGAAUGCUUUAGUUAGAUCAAAUAUCUUUUAGUUAGAAAAGAUAAAAUUCUCUGAGUCUGAAAGACUGAAACAUUUUGCAUAUUUUGUGAAAGGGAAAUAUCUGUUGAUACUAGCUCAUGCAUUGAGGUAAUAUCGAUGUUAAAGAAAAACAGCAAUGAUUUAUGAUAUAGAAUUGGGUUCACUUGCUUCAAAUGCUGGUCUGAUCAACCAUAUCAACCUGUAAUGAUUCUGCAGAAAUAUAUAUACAUGGAGAAAGUAGCUAAAUUUUUCUUUCAUUUAUGGGUUCGGUCUUUUUUCCCCUUAUUUUUCAGCUUUCCUUCUCCUGAAGUAUGUUAACAAUUGCAGAUAAUGAUGAAGACGACAGCUUCCGGGCUCUCCUUAGAGCCGUGAUGGAAUAUAGGGGCACAAUGAAGGAAUAUUGUAAAGCUGUAGGUACUUUUUCUCCUUUCAUUUAUGUUUUCUCACACAUUUUGUAUAUGCCCUGAACAUGCACCUUUGUAUGUAUCAAUUGACUUUUAAAUUUUAAAAGCCAUAAAGUAAGAAUACGGUUCCUUGUCAGGCUACUGAUGACAUUCGCUCAGGGGGAUCAUGUUCGAGCAGGAAAAUUUCUAGAACAGGUAAGGUUUCCAUCUACAGCCAUCCAUUGACAGCAGAUACAUUUUCAUUCAGCAGACUCUGUUAGCAUUCAAGAUGCUGGCAGAUUCACUUGAUUCUUAUUAGCUUGUUUAGUGGCAAAGCCUAUAACCUGUAUUUCAAAGCCAAGUUGUGCUAUUGAUUAUGUUAACUUUUUUGUUAACAUAAAAUGAUAUGGAGGAAAUAAUCAGUGUUGGAAAAUUAGGUGAAAAGAUGAUGUCAAAUCUUGAACCUCUUACGAAACUCUAAGUUCUUUACUUGAAGAGGCUACGAAAUUUGAACAGCGUCUACUCGAAGGCCUUGCCAUUCCCUGAUGCAUGCAGAAUUUUUGUAUUUAAAUGCCCAGAGCUUAAGAAGCUGCCACUGGAUCUUGAAGGGGCAGACCAAGGUAAAAAUCUUAUCAAGGGAAAGGAAGAUUGGUGGAAACAACUUAAUGGGAGGAUCAAGUAACUCAGAAUGCAUUGCUUCCAUUUUUUAAAUUGACUGACAAGUGAUUGAACGGGGCAUCAUCAACAUCAUCAACAGGGAUGGAGAGAUACCGGAGCAGAUCAGCAGGGUUUGAAUAUGACCUUUGGCGGUUGCUUUUUUUUUGUGAUUUUUUUUUCAUUUUUUCCUUCCUGUCAUUUUAUCAUUUCUUUCUCUGUUUCUAUUGCGGGUGUUACUGCAUGCUUACUGUUGCUUGACAAAGUUUGCUAGCUUUUUGUUUGCAGUGUUGCUAUACACUCCGAGUCAAGCCUCGAAAAUUUAUUAAACGAAGCCGUUUCGACAGUAACAAUUCUUUUCUUUUCCCUUUGCAUGUCUCUUUCAUCUGCUGUUUCUCUAUCACUUUUCAUUUUUGAUUUCCUUGCUUCUCAGCUGCCCCUAAAUUGUUAUUCUAGCAAUAUACUUUCUCAUCUUUGAAUUUUCAUCCUUGAGUACUCCCACAGCCGUAAUUUCAUCAUCAUAGACUUCACUUGGAAUGCUGUAUUUUUUCGAUUCUUGAGCUACUUCAAUUACAUCUUAGUAUAGGAUCCUCAUCUUCCUUUAUUUCUUCAUCUUAUGAGGUAAUAAAUGGAUUUCACAACUCAUCUACUUUUAAGCAAUUACAUAUUAUACCUUGAAUGAUUCAACUGUUCUGACAGUUAAAGAUUUUAUGCUCAACCUGCAGUGCUACGAACAUUGUCCAUGAAAGAUGAGUUUCAGCAUAUAAAAUGAAAUAUAGAUGUUUAAUCUAAAAUAACCCUUCACUGCCAGAAACCUAGGUCACAAAAUUCACAGAUAAUGAUAAAGAGCUAAAAAAUUUGAAAAACUCUACAGAUCACACAUCAAGCAAGAUAUCAUGUUUUUUUCCCUCAUUCAGUGGUGAUUGAUUCGCUUUUUGAUGAUGGAUAUGGUAUAAAAGUGUUGACCCAAUUUCAAGCAAACACAAAUAGAAACACAAACACAAUCGGGACUAGAGUUGUGGGCGAUUAUCUUAGGUGUACAAGUGAAACGGUGGUGGCUGUCGAUGGUGGUAGUGGGGUGGUUGGGUAUGCGUGAUGGCUAGAUUUUAGGACAAUAAUGAUUGGAGUUGACCUCAAUCAACGAAGGAAAGUGACAACAAUUUUGACAUCAAACGGUGCAUUUUUUAGCUUAGUAAAAUGGAGCCGUUUCGAUUUUGGGGUUUAAUCCGGGGUUUGACUCGGUGCAAGUAUCAUUUUCCUUUUGUUUAUUAAAUUUUUUUAUGGUCACAAAGUAUCACUCGUUCUAUUUGAGAGUCAUGUGAAUCAAUUUUUCAAAUUUUCAAUUUUAAAUUUUGUGGUCAAUGUGAAUUCAAUUUCAUUUGUCUCCUGCAAUUAUGAAAAAAUUAAAUAGUCAUAAUAUGGAAAAAUACACCGGUAAAAACUUUGUAAAAGCUUCGGAGUGAUACGGGGAAUUCACUUACUACUAAGGACAAUUGGUGGCAAGCUAUUCCAUUCAUUUUAUGUCCAUCCAUCUAUUUAGUUAUUGAAGAUAAGUGGUCCAUUUGUAAAUUUCAGAUUGUCUCUCUCUCCCUCUUGAAAUAACAAUAUUUAAUAUAUCUCAUAAAUUAUUAUAAAUUUUAAUUUACUCUCGAUUUAAAAUGGAGCAUGUCGAUAAAUUUUUUUUCUUCUUAAUAAAAUUGACGUAAGUUGUGUUUACAGUAGUUUGAAGUUUGAAAUAUUUUAAAGAUUAUUAUUCUAUAAGGGAGUAAUAUGAAAUGAUAUUUACUUUUCAUGUGUGAAAUGAAAAAGGACGAAGCAAGUGUCCCUGCUUUUAUUUUAUUUCAAGGAGGAGUCAUCUCACAUACUUUAGCUCUUAACAUUACAUUUUUUCUGGUUACAUUUUUUAUUUAUUUAUUUUUUUUUUUUUACACAUGCGUGUGGGUUGCUUUUCUGUAAGCUCCUUAAUAUAUAUUUAAGACAAAUCAUGGAAGAGAUGGGAUUAUAUCAAGAUGAUCAAAGAAUGUUAAAAAAGAAAAAAGAAAAAAAAAAGAAGUAAGACACUGAAAAUGGAGAAGAGAUGGAAGCAAAAGAUAUUCCAAAACAAAGCAAUCUAUCCCCUUUCGAGGGCAGACUUAUCAGGUUUAAAAAAGUACACGCUUUGGAUUGGUAGUUGCAAUCAAGGGAAAAUAAAUAGGAUCCAAUGAAAUUUAAAUCUCGGAGAAAAUAAAUAAUCAUGCAGAUUUUCAAGAUUUUAAUAAGGGAUACUAAUAUCUUAUUUUGAUUAAUAAUAUCCUUUCAUUGUGUUAACUCAAAAAAUAUAUAUUUUAAUGUUUUGCAAUAAACAGAAACGUACUAUUAAAAUGAAUAUAUAAAGAAUUUAGAAAAUUUUGAAUGUUAUAUAAAAUAAUUUUAAGAUAAUGCGUGAGAUAUAUUUUAUUAAUUUAAAAUGUUAUUUUACCUAAAAAAUAUGAUAAAUUAAUAAUUACAUAUUUGAAGUUAUUUUAAAUAUUAAAAAAAUUUAAUAUUAUUAAUCUUUUAGAUAGAUUAAAUUAUUUUUUAUAAGAGAUAGAUUAAAUUAUUUUAAAAUACGUUAAUUGUUUUUACUUUUAACGUUACCGGCCUUUCUUUUAUUUUAUUGCAAAUUAAUGCUAACAAGAAAAAGCUAGAUCAUAUUCCACAAAAGCAAAAGUGACAAACACAACCAGCUGGAAUCUUUUAAUUACUAUUCAAUAAUUCGAGACGAUUAGGGUCUUUUAUUAAACUACAAAUUGUAUAGUCUUUUUAAAAUUGUUAUAAAUUGGUGGCACCUACAAUCCUCAAUAAUUGUACCGAUAUUCACAAGUUGGUGGCCCCUACAAUUCUGUUCGGAUAAUUUAACUGUGCAAGUGCUCAUUCACAAUAAUUGUUUUGUUUUUUUUUUCUGCAUUCCCUUUCAUGCUCUUAAUAAUUGAAGAGCAUACUUUUCAUUUUCAAAUGUGGAGCCGCAGCUAAUGUCGCUAAUUUAAUUUGGGAUUAAAUUAGGGGACCAUUAUAUUGCAGUGUGCACUAAUUUUUGUGUUUAUCUAAACUCCUUAAAUUUAAGACAUAUUAUGGCAUAAAUAAGAAUAUAACAAUAGCAAAAGAGUUAAAAAGUGUAGAGAAGAUCUUGCAGAAAUAUAAAUAAUAUCUAUUUUAAAAUAAUAUCAAUAUUUAAAAUAAUUUUUAAUAUUUUAUGAUUCAUUAGAUAUAUUUUAUUAUAUUAAAGUAAAUUUUAUAAUAAAUAAAAACAUACUAUUAAAAUGAAUAUAUAGAAAAUUUAGAGUAUUUUAAGUAUUAUAUAAAAUAAUUUUAAUAAAAUAUGUGAGAUAUUCAUAUUUUAUUAAUUUAAAAUACCAUUUAACCUAAAGAUUUAUUUAUGAUAAAUUAAUAAUUAUAUUUUUGAAGUUACUUCAAAUAUUAAAAAUAUUAAUAUUACUAAUCUAUUAGAUAGAUUAAAUUAUAUAUAUUAUUUUCUAUUUAUUAAAAAAUUUAAAAUUAUUUUUAAUUACUAUUCAAAAAAUAUAAUGAUAAAAAAGAAUCUUAACAUCUUUAUUAAAAAUUUAAAAAUUUACAUGAUCAAUUCUCUAAAUAUUUAGGGUUAUAUGUGAACAACGGUGGAGAAGCUUUAUUUAAUAUUAUUGAUUUAAAUAAUAUGUCAAUUAAAAAUGUACAGAGAAGGAAAUUUCGGUGGGUAUUUUAGUCUUUUCAGCAAUUAUCAUGAUCAGAUCAGCCUUUAGCCUUGAAUCGUCGGUCAGAAAAGUUUUAAAAUUAACGCUAACAAGAAAAAGCUAGGUCAUAUUCCACAAAAGCAAAACUGACAAAACAACCAGCUGGUUUCUUUUACUAAACUACAAAUUAAAAGUGGAUUCUUUUGAAUGCAAGUGGGACAGACGAUUAGGCUCUUUUUAUUAAAGGCAAGUAAAAACUAGUCGAAUAGUCUUUUUCAAAUUGUUGUUUUAUUAUUUUUCCUUCAAAAGUUAGUGUGGCUCAUGUUUGCAGGUGCGAAUGUGGGUCCCGAAUCAUUACUAAAAUUUCUAUUCCACAGCCCACCGCAGCUUCAGUUAAUCAAACUCAAAUCAAUUUUCUUUCUUAACAAAAUAUUCCAAAGAUGUGUAGCAUUUUUCAGAUCACAUGCGAUGGUGCUCUUUUCAAUCGUUGCUUGGAUUGCUUUCUUGGAAAAGCAGCAUACAUACGUAACCUCCAAGAUAAUGUUGAUACCUUGGGCACUGAAUUGGGAAAUCUGAUCGCUAGAAAGAACGAUCUGAUGAGGAGGGUUGUCGAUGCUGAACGGCAACAAAUGAGAAGGCUGGACGGAGUGCAAGUGUGGGUUUCGAGGGUGGAUUCUGUUAAAACUGAAGCUGAUCAAUUUAUAAGAGACGGCUCUCGAGAAAUUGAAAAAUUAUGUGUUGGAGGCUACUGUUCCAAGAAUUGCAUGUCAAGCUACAAGUUCGGGAAAAAAGUGGCUAAAAAGCUACGGGAUGUGCGGACUUUAAUCAGUGAAGGAGUUUUUGAGGUGGUGGCUGACAGAGCUCCAGAGUCUGUAGCAGAUGAAAGACCUACUGAGCGAACAGUAGUAGGCUUGCAAUCACAACUUGAACAAGUCUGGAGAUGUCUUGUAGAAGAAUCAGCGGGAAUCAUUGGCCUAUAUGGUAUGGGCGGUGUUGGUAAAACUACACUACUGACCCAUAUCAACAAUAAAUUUCUCGAGAGUCCAACCAACUUUGAUUGUGCGAUUUGGGUUGUAGUUUCAAAAGACCUGCGACUCGAAAAAAUUCAAGAAGAUAUUGGGAAAAAGAUAGGUUUGGUUGGUGAUUCAUGGAAGAGUAAAAGUGUAGAGGAGAAAGCUGUCGACAUCUUCCGGAGUUUAAGAGAGAAGAGAUUUGUAUUGUUGUUAGAUGAUAUAUGGGAGCGGGUUGAUUUAACAAAGGUGGGCAUUCCACUUCCCGGACCAAAAAAUACUACCUCAAAAGUCGUAUUCACAACCCGUUUCAUCGAUGUUUGUGGUAGCAUGGAAGUUGACAGGAAGUUUCAAGUAGCAUGCUUAUCAGAAAAGGAUGCUUGGGAACUGUUUCGAGAAAAAGUUGGGGAGGAAACUCUUCAGAGUCAUCAUGAUAUCGAUGAGCUAGCCCAAAUUGUGGUCAAAGAGUGUGGUGGUUUGCCACUCGCACUUAUUACUAUUGGUCGAGCUAUGGCCUACAGAAAGAAAGCGGAGCAGUGGAGACGUGCAAUUGAAGAGUUAAGGAGAUCAGCUUCAGAGUUUGCAGGUUUGGGAAAAGAGGUUUAUCCUCUUUUAAAAUUCAGCUAUGAUAGUUUGCAGAAUGAUACGGUUAGAUCUUGUUUCUUGUACUGUUGUUUAUAUCCUGAAGAUUAUGGCAUUCUUAAAUGGGACUUGAUUGAUUGUUGGUUUGGCGAGGGAUUUUUUGGGGAAUCUGACAGGUCUGGUGCAGAAAACCAAGGAUAUGACAUUUUGGACACUCUUGUUCGUGCGUGUUUAUUAGAAGAGGUGGAAGAUGAUGAAGUAAAAAUGCAUGACGUUAUUCGUGAUAUGGCUAUAUGGAUAACUUGUGAAAUUGAGAAGGAGAAGAGAAACUUUUUGGUUCGUGCAGGUGCUGGAUUAAAAGAUGCACCGGGUGUUAAAGGAUGGGAAAAUGUGAGAAGAUUGUCAUUGAUGCAAAACCAAAUUGAAACUCUGGCAGAGGUUCCCACAUGCCCUCAUCUCCAUACUCUAUUUCUUGACUUUAAUAGGGGGUUGGAUAUGAUCGCGGAUGGCUUCUUUCAAUUUAUGCCUUCUCUCAAAGUUUUGAAGAUGUCAAACUGUUCGAAUUUGAAAUUACCUGUUGGGAUGUCAGAGUUGGGUUCAUCACUAGAACUUCUUGAUAUUUCAGAAAACAGCACAAGAGAGUUACCGGAAGAGUUAAAGAAGUUGGUAAAUCUGAAAUGUUUGAAUUUGAGGUGGACAGAGCAUUUAAAUAAAAUUCCACGGCAACUAAUAUCAAAUUCUUCAAGGUUACGUGUGUUGAGAAUGUUCGCUACUGGCCGGUUCAAUUUUCAUGAAGCACCAGAAGACAGCGUUUUAUUUGGUGGGGGUGAAGUUUUGAUACAGGAAUUGCUCGGUUUGAAAUAUUUAGAGGUAUUGGAGUUGACCUUGGGAAGUUAUCAUGCUCUCCAAAUUCUUUUGAGCUCAAAUAAGUUAAAAAGUUGUAUUCGAUCUCUUUACCUCGAGUUGACCGGAGAUACAACGUCAAUUAUUGAUGCUACGGCUUUCGCAGAUCUAAACCACCUCAAUGAAUUACGGAUUGAUAAUGGUAUUGAGUUGGAAGAGUUGAAGAUUGAUUAUACGGAGAUAGUACGAAAAAGGCGGGAACCUUUUGUUUUCCGCAGCCUUCAACGUGUUACCAUAGCGGAGUGCCAUAAAUUGAAAGAUGUGACAUUCCUCGUUUUUGCUCCAAACCUCAAGUCUCUUCGGCUAUUCUAUUGCGGUGCUAUGGAAGAAAUAAUCAGCGUCGGAAAAUUUGCUGAGACUCCUGAGAUGAUGGGACAUAUAAGCCCUUUUGAAAAUCUCCAAAUGCUUGAUUUACAAGGUUUGCCACAUUUGAAGAGCAUCUUCUGGAAGCCAUUGCCUUUCACUCAUCUGAAAGAAAUGGAGGUACUUAGGUGCGAUCGGCUUGAAAAGCUUCCACUCGAUUCCAACAGUGCAAAGGAGCGCAAAUUUGUUAUUCGUGGAGAAGAAGACUGGUGGAACCGACUUCAAUGGGAGGAUGAAGCCACUCAAAUUGCUUUUCGUUCCUGUUUUAAAAGUGAUGCUUUAUUUAUAUCUUAUUCGUGAAAAGUGAUUUAAUUUCCUGCCAAAAGACGAACGAGAAGAACAAUAGAGUCAAACUAAUGCUCACAUAAAUUUCCCGUAAGAAUAUAUAAUUAGAUUGGAAUGCACACCUCUAGAUUGAACAGAAUUAAAGCUGAGAAAAUAUUGAGUAUAGUAGCCCUCUUUACAGAAAAUGACGUGAAAGUUAAUUUAGAAAGAUAUAUUCUUGAUUAAUCCAUUUUCUGAAGUUUUUAUUUUGUAUGGUCAAUUAUACCUUCAUACUAAAAAUUUCUGAAGUUAUAAAUUAGUGCAACUUGACAAUUUUUACUGAUGAUAUCUUCUAUUUUUCCCUUUUUUUUUUUUUCACUUUCAUAGACUGGCAGCGGAUCCUGCGGCACCAAUUUGAGAGAAUAUACUGACACUACUUCGAACAGCAAGCAGAAGAAGUAAUAUGUCUACGGCAAAGGCAAUGGAGUCCUCAUUUUGGCUCGAGAUGCAGUAAUCAUCGAAGAGAGUUUCCUUGUGAAACUGGGCAACACAUUGAAUCCCUUCACCACUGAGAAGGUUGUGGAGGAAGUAAGCUUUCUCUCCAGUGAGGAAGAGGUGGCAUAUACCUUCCCCAUUUUGUUGAGGGCAGGUAGGAAUCUUUUUUCUAAGAGAUUUACUUCGUUCUCUGUAAGAAAUGCUUUGAACUUCAUCCCUCUGUCUCUAUCCUCACUUAUCAGGAAAUAAGUUGAAAGCACUAUGAAGAGAGAGAGAGAGAGAGAGAGAGAGAGAGAGAGAGAGAAUUAAGAUAUAUAGACAAGAAAAAUAUUUGACGUUGAUCUUACAAACUAAUACUUCAAGCAGUAUCCUAGAAAGCUAAAAACUGCAAGAUGGCUUGAAAUUUGAAAAGAGCACAUGCUUUUCCUCCUUAACUUGAGAAAAUGUUUAAUAUAGUGCACCUUACAGAAGCAUUUAAGCAAUUAGAACUUUGCACAAAAACAUCAAGAAGACUAAACAAGUCAGAUGCAGUGUAUUUGUCCAAGCACAAAUUGCAUUUUUUCCUCAACUUUAAUAUUUAUUGAUGAGAAUCAAUACAGGUCCCUCAUUUGUUAUAGAAAGCUUUCUUUCUUGUAGUCUCACCAGUUAAUUCAGAGGUCUAUAAUCAUCUUGCAAAGUUAAGGGCAUUUCUUUUGAUCUAAAGUCUUUGCAUCACCACCUCAUCACACGCCAAGCCAAUAUUCCAUUUACCUCUACAACAAAAAGUUUUAAUUAAACAAUCCUAAUGCACGCAGCCAAAUAAAAUGCAGUAAGAAUAUUCAACUUAAAAAUCUGAAAGCCAACUUGGUGAAUUGCCUCCUUAGGUGAAGUUCCAUGCUUUACUAUAGUUGACAGAACUCAGCAAAAGCUUCCAUACAACAGAUUUUGAAAAUGAUGAUGCCAACAGAUACUCAUUCAAUGCAUUGAAACUCCAAAGGUUCAUUGUUCAUAGAAGUUUACAGAGUUUUGGUCAUCAAAUAGCUCAGACCUAAUCCCAAACAAAAAAUGAGUGAAAAUUAGAUCACGAGCAGCUAAUUGUAAAUUCUAACUUAACUCUUCAUCUCCUUUGUAAACAAGAAACAAAAUGGAGACACGCAAAAUGAAUAUGGAGAAAAUUUGAACUCAAAUGAAAUGAGGGCAUGAAAGCAAACAAAUGGCAUGCACCAAAAAACCAAGCCUCAAUCAAAAACUAAUUAACCAUUAAGAAAAAAAUUGGUCAGAGAAUGAACUCCAAAUUCAGGAGUCAAGCAAGAAGCUUUCAUUAUUAUCAAAGUCAAUUAUCUUUGUUAGUAUGCGAGUGUGACGACUAUAGGUUGUUCUUUUUCUAAUGUCAUAUGAUUCCAAUUUUAGGUACAGGGCAUCUCUCUCUCUCUCUCUCAUCGCUAAGUGGAUAUUUUUCUCUUUUGUCAUAUACUUUAGUUAUUCUUCAAUUUACUAACUAAAAUGAAGGCCGCUUUAUUAAGAAGUUAUAUCCAGUUAUAUAAUUUGUUGUAUUUAAUAUAUGUUUGGGCUCAUAAUUUUUUUUAAAAAUAUAUAUUUCAUUCUCCAUAAUUUUUUCCCAUCAUAGCUACGAAACGUCUUAGUUUCGACUAAAAUCCUAAAAUUGGUCCUUAAUUGAAUAUGCAUUGCAAUUUGCAAAUGUAAUAUUGUGAAUGGGACACUGGAGAUACCAAAAUGGUCAAAUGCGAAAUAAGUUAGGAUUGUACGAUGUAGUUUGUAUUCAUAUUCAAUGCCUUUUUUUUCAAAAAACAAAUUGAAAUGCCAUUACUAAACGAUUCUUGAUGAUGGGAGCCACCGUGCCAGCUUUGUCGCUGAUUUGGUAUUAUUCUUAACUUGCAGAUAGUUGUGGAUAUGAUAUGCAAAAAGGUAAGGACUAUAUCUUCUUGAUGGAGGCCUCUGAUUUUUUCCCUUCUAUGUAAUUUAGUAAAUCGCAUUUUCCCUUGUGAUUGAUAUAUCAUACCAAAGUCAAGUCUUAAAUACUGCUGUCAUAUGUUAAGGUUCAACUUCCAUUUUGAUUAACGUCCAUUUGCUGCUGCUUCCAAAAGUGAGAAUGAGAUACUUUGGUUAAUUUCAGUAGUUGAACCCAAUAGAGUACUUUAUUUAGAUCUUCAUGGUUCAAAGGCCUGAAAAAACUUGCCGGUAUUUGCAAAAUGACAUUCUGUGCUUUUAUUUAGGCUUAUUAUUUAAGUGAUAAAAACUCCCGUAACCUGCUGUCAAGAAAAUUUCAGAUUGUUAAAAGACAACAUUUUGUUUCAGCCAAAAAUGUUUGUUUCGAUUAAAGACUUGAACCAUUUUCAUUUAACCUUGAUUGUGAUGCUUUACAUUAUGCAUGUUCCUCUCAAUCAAUAAAAGUUGAGGUCAUGAUUUUAUAUUUCUAUUUUGUAACUUGAAAUAAUUGGUCUGCCUGUUUCUGUAGCUUGAUAACAUGAAUUUUUCCUUCUGAAGUUAAUUUGAUCAAUAAAGUAAUUCUUCGGAGAUGAUAUGCCCAUUCUAUAGUCAUUUUCUUAGGUAACAUGUUUUUUCUUCACUCUUCAGAGCAUGUCUAAACUAAUUGAUCGCUCAGCGGAGACUUUGGGUGAGAAGACAAAAUUUCUUGGUAAAUCCUCUAAAAAGGUAUGCAUAAUUCCCGAGUAUUAAAUAAUCAUUGGUCAUAAUUUUUGUACACAACUCUUUUUUUGGAGAUCGUUAAAAGUGGUUGAUGAUCUAUUUUGUAAUAUCAUAGAGGGAUCAUGAAUUCCUGUUCUUUUCUGUGGCUAGGCAACACUUUCGGGCCAAGCUAAGGAAAUCUAUUUUAGGUAAUGUGAAAACCAGUUGUAGGAUGUAAUAGUUUAUUAUGCCCUGACAAUAACUUUUUGUAUAAUUGUCAGUUUAAUGAAUACAAGAGGAACUCUGUUGGCAAAUUCAUCCAUGAUAGAUGCUAAAAGUAUUUAUGCAUACCAGUUGCCUUAACUAAUUUUUCUCAACACUGGUAUUGAACAGGAAAAUGAAUAUGCAAUUUGUAUAUUGUGCCAUUGUGGAGAAUUUGGAUAUUCUUAUUUAAGUAACAAGGAGAGUAUUUGCCUCAUCUUUAAACAAUGAAUCUUUGAGAAAUGAGGAGUGGGUGAUUGGCAGUGUCUUCAUGUAAAUGUUCAUUUAUUUGUAUUUUGAACUAUUAUGAGAAUCUUUGUAUGCCAAAUUAGUAAUACAAAUGUUCAGAUGAUUUUUCCUGUUGAUCAUGCGUGUGUAUCUGCACACAACCAUUGUGUCCCACUUUAUUCUGAUGCACAAAUAUCUGUAGUUUAGAAGAAAAGAAAUAAUAAUCAUAUAUUAUUGCUUGGUUCAUGAUUAUUAAACGAUUAUGGCUUUAGAAAAUCCACAAAUCCUUUGUGUUCAUAUAUGAAUGUGCGAAGUUUGCUAUCUCUUAGAUUACCUUCUUCCAAGAUAACAAGUUCAUAUAUUUUUUUUAAUCCUUUUUCAUCACAGUUGAAUUUCAAGUGUAAGUUUUGUUAUUAAUAGCUGGUUUCCUGUUAUUAUGAUUUCAUAAACAGUGAGAGGAUAUGUGCUCUACUUUUGGAGGGCCUCCACAUGAAAGAAAAUUGCAACAAUUGAAUUCUUCCGGAGGGUAUGGUAUUUAAUUUAUUUUCUCAGCUUGUUGUAAGACUAAUAUAUUUCCUUCAGUACCCAAAAGGACAGAAAUGAAUUACGGAAGGAAGUUUUUGCUGCUUUAUUUAGUGCUGCUGAGAAAUCUGAUGGAUUUCCUGAAAUUACGGUGAAGACGGAGUGGAGGUCCAACGCAUUAGGAAAGGUGGUGAGUGAACCGCCGGAGGAAUUAGUACCAGAAUACAAGGCUAAUGUGGUGCACUUGCAGCAAGAUGACCAGACCUGUAUGUGCUCUUAUAUUAACUAUAUUGGUUGGAUUUGUGAGUGUGUACAUUUUUGUGUGUAUACUCACAUUUGUAUUUAUGCAUAUUAACGUGUGUAGGAUUCUUGAUUUCUGCCACUUACUGGAGAACUAGUGGAAAGCUUUAUACUGAUAUAUGUGCUAUAACUAAUGGAAACUACAAUAUGAAUAUUUUCUCUCACCUGGAGAACUGUGUAACAGAUAUAAUUUGUGGCUCUGGAAUACUGAAGAUUCUGCAAUAACUAAUGGAAAAUAUGAUAUGAAUAUUUUUUCUCACCUGGAGAACUUUGUAACAGAUACAUUUUGUGGCUCUGGAAUGUCUAAAGAAUGCUUCAGUUUAGAUCAAAUAUCUUUUAGUUAGAAAAGAUAAAAUUCUCUGAAUCUGAAAGACUGAAACAUUUUGCAUAUUUUGUGAAAGGGAAGUAUCUGUAGAUACUAGCUCAUGCAUUGAGGUAAUAUCAAUGUUAAAGAAAAACAGCAAUAAUUUAUUAUACAGAAUUAGGUUCACUUGCUUUAAAUGCUGGUCUGAUCAACCAUAACAACCUGUAAUGGUCCUGCAGAAAUAUAUAUACGGGGAGAAACUAGCUAAAUUUUCCUUUCACUUAUGGGUUUGGUCUUUUUUUCCCCUAUUUUUCAGCUUUCCUUCUCCUGAAGUAUGUUAACAAUUGCAGAUAAUGACGAAGAGGACCGCUUCCAGGCUCUUUGUAGAGCUGUGAUGGAAUAUAGGGGCACAAUGAAAGAAUAUUGUAAGGUUGUAUGUACUUUCUCUCUUGUCAUUUAUGUUUUCUCACACAUUUUGUUUAUGCCCUGAACAUGCAGCUUUGUAUGUGUCAAUUGCCUUUUACGUUUUAAAAGCCAUAAAGUAAGAAUACAGUUCCUUGUCAGGCUAUUGAUGCGUUCGCUCAGAAGGGUCAUGUUCAAGCAGGAAAACUUCUAGAACAGGUAAGGUUUCCAUCUACAGCCAUCCAUUGACAGCAGAUAUAUUUUCAUUAAGCAGACACUGUUAGCAUUCAAGAUGCUGGCAGAUUCACUUGAUUCUUAUUAGUUUGUUUAGUGGCAAGGCAUAUAACCUGUAUUUCAAAGCCAAGUUGUGCUAUUGAUUAUGUUAACUUUAUUGUUAACAUAAAGUGAUAUGGAGGACAUAAUCAAUGUAGGAAAAUUAGGUGAAGAGAUGAUGUCAAAUCUUGAACCUCUUACAAAGCUCCAAGUUCUUUACUUGAAGAAGCUGCCAAAUUUGAAGAGCGUCUACUGGAAGGCAUUUCCAUUCCCAGAUGUAUGCAGAAUUUUUGUAUUAAUGCCCAGUUCUUAAGAACCUGCCACUGGAUUUUCAAGGGGUGGGCCAAGGUAAAAUUCUUAUCAAGGGAAAGGAAGAUUGGUGGAAAGAACUUCAAUGGGAGGAUCAAGCAACUCAGAAUGCAUUGCUUCCAUUUUUCAAAUCAACUGACAAGUGAUUGAAGGGGGCAUCAUCAACAUCAUCAACAGAGAUGGAGAGAUUCUGGAGCAGAUCAGCAGGGUUUGUAUAUGAUCUUUGGUGGUUGCUUUCUUUUGUGAUUUUUUUUUUCUUCCUGUCAUUUUAUCAUUUCUUUGUCUCUUUUUUUAUUGCUGAUGUUAGUGUAUGCUUACUGUUGCUUGACAAAGUUCGCUUGCUUCUUGUUUAUUAAAUUUUUUAUCGUCACAAAAUAUUACUUGUUCUAUUUGAGAGUGAUGUGAAUCAAUUUUCAAUUAUAUAUUUUGUGGUCAAUGUGAAUUCAAUUUCAUUUGUCUCCUGCAAUUAUGAGAAAACUGCAGAGUCAUAAUAUGGAAAAGUACACCAGCAAAAACUUUGUAAAAGCUUCGGAGUGAAACAGGGAAUUCACUUACUACUAAGAACAAUUGAUGGCGAGUUAUUCCAUUCAUUUUAUGUCCAUCUAUCUAUUUAAUUAUUAAAGAUAAAUGGUCCAUUUAUAAAUUUCAGAUUGUCUCUCUCUGAAAAUAACAAUAUUUAAAAUAUCUCUUAAAUUAUUAUAAAUUUUAAUACACUCUCGAUUUAAAAUGGAACAUGCUGAUGAAAUUGUUUUCUUCUUAAUAAAAUUGAAAUAAAUUGUGUUUGCAGUAGUUUGAAAUAUUUUAAAGAUUAUUAUUUUAUAAGGGAGUAAUAUGAAAUGAAAUUUACUUUUCAUGCGUGAAAUGUUGAAAAAGGACAAAGCAAGUGUCCCUGCUUUUAUUUUUAUUUUAAAGUGGAGUCAUCUCACAUACUUUAGCUCUAUCAUUACAAUUUUUCAGGUUACAUUUUUAUUAUUUAUUUAUUUUCUUUUUUACACAUGCAUGUGGGUUACUUUUCCGUAAGCUCCUCAAUAUAUAUUGAACCCAGCGAAGAAUGUUAUGGAAGAGCAAAUUAAUGAUAUUUCUGAUAGAGUCUAUUUGAUUAUGUAGCCUGAAUGGAUGUCUUGUUGAAAGAUAUCUCAGUGCAUUAGUUCAUCCUUGUCUGUCAAUGUGUUUUUAAUGGUUUUUCCAAUUGUUUAUUAUUAUAGAUUGAUUGUAAAUUGAUAUGAAAAUUUGAUAUGAAUUUAAUGUUGAAAUGUUUUCUCUUUAGUGGAAUGAAUUUAAAAGUGCAAAAGAUUAUUGCACACAGAGAAAUAAACAUAUAUGCUUUAUAACUUUAGCAAUCGAUUCUUUUACAGCUGGAAACAGAGAUGAUGAUUAUCAUAAGGAUGAAGAAAAGUAGUGCGUUAGACGAUUAGACUCUCUUAUUAAAGGCAAGUAUAAAGUAGUGAAGAAUCCAAUAUCUCUAUUGUCUAGUCUUUUGUUUAAUUCUUCUUUUAUUAUUUUUCAGAAUAAUUUUUGGUGAUUACAAUCGGGUUAUUAUUCAGAGUUAUUGUUAUCUUCUGGGGCAGUUUCUGUUCAUCGAAUUCAUUAAUUAAAAUUUUAGAACUCUUAUCAGAAGAAUAUUUUUCGGUUAUCUUUUUUAUGUUCUAAUUCCAAUUGUAAGAAGUAGCCAUUUUAGAAUUUGGGUCUUGAAUCGAAUUUCAAUGCAUGAAUUAAUAUUAAAAAAAAAAAAUUCACUACUCGCAGUUUAGGUUACAAAUUACUUUUUGGAAAGUUGACUUUGGAAUGUUUGCAAAGAAAGAGACUAACAUAUUUCCAAUUACACUAAAUCUCUAUUAUGAUAAUGUUAAGACUAAAUUAAUUUAAAUAAUUUUUAUUUGAAAAUUAUAUCAAACGCAGUCUAAUUUUAUUAAUUUUAAGAAAUAAUAAUUAUAAAAAUUAUUGUUCUGACUUAAUUAAUACAAGUGAUAUAAAAGUUAAGUGUGCACUAAAUCUGUUUUAAUUUUUUCCAGUAUAACUAACAGAGGUCAUUACUAGAAUUAUAUUACUAGUCUAUUAGAUAGAAAAAAUUACUUAUAUUGUUUUAUAUUUAUUAAAAAAUUUAAAGCCAAUUUUUUUAAUUACUAUUUAAAGAAUAUUAUAAUUUGAAAAAUUUUAAUAUCUUUAUUAAAAAUUUAGAAAUUUACAGUCCUCUAAAUAUUUAAGGCGUAACUGUCAUUUUCUCAAGAAGCUUUAUUUAAUAUUAUUGAUUUAAAUAAUAUCUUAUUAAAAAUGUACUGAGGAGAAAUUUUGGUGGGUAUUUUAGUCUUUUCAGCAAUCAUCAUGAUUAACCUUUGGUUGGCCUUGAAACGUCGGUCAGAAAAGUUUUAAAAUGCUUAAUUGUUUUUCACUGUUAACGUUAGUGGCCUUGAAAUUGCUUAUAUUUUAUUAAAAAUUAAUGCUAACAAGAAAAAACUAGAUCGUAUUCCACCCCCAAAGCAAAAGUGAUAAAACAACCGGCUGUAUUCUUUUAUUAAACUACAAAUUAAAAUGGAUUUCUUUAAUUAAAGUGGAUAUCAUUUAAUUAAUGUUUGAACAUUAAAGUUCUGAUAUAUAACCACUAUGCCGACCACCUAAUUGCUGCUAUUUAAUUUCGUUCCAGUUCUCUCUCUCUCUCUUUUUCUUUUUUUUUUGGGCCAAGCAAUAAAUAGUAAAAAUUCAAUAAAAGCAAUAUUAAUGCUGCAAGUGAGUCAUGUUAUUUAUUGUCAAUUAGGAAAUGUGAACCUAAUUUGAUUGCAUCCCUUUAAUCAUUUAAUAAUUAUGUAAGCACCAUCCCUUUAAUUAUUUAAUAACUAGAAAAUAGAACACUGCGUUUCACGCGGCUUUGAAAAAAGAAUUUAGUAUUAUCUUUUUUUCUUACUUUACACUUGAUGAAACUGAUAAAAAAUAUGAAUUGAUUUUUUUUAAAGAUGAGGCAGCCUUAUAAAAAAUAAAAAAAGCUAUUAGCCAGCAAUACAAAUAAAGAAGGAAUGCAAGAUAAAGAAUAAAAUGAGAGAAUAUAUUAUAGAGUGAUCUUAUUCAUUCUAAUUGUGUGUGUACAAAACAAAAAGAUGAGCUCUCCUUUUAUAACUACAUAAUUACUUCAUGAAAUUAAUGAAAAAUUAUGAAUCAUAAUUUCUUGUGAGAUAGUGGGAGUUAUUGGGAAGCUAAAAGUUGCUAAUGGGAGAUAGUGGGGAGACUAAGAGAUAUAUAUUAUGAACAUCUACAUUUAUUUUAAUAAAUUCAUAACACUCCCCCUUAAAUGUUCAUUACAAAGAAUAUGCCUCAUUAAAAUCUUUACAUAAUUGUUAUUGUGUAAUAACAAUCAAAUUAAUUAUAAGAAGAUGAAAAGCCAAAUCUAACAGAAAAUUUCUCUAUUUAUUAGAUAAUAGAGAAUAUAGCAAGAUGAGAAAUGGUAAUGCCACAUCAUCUCCUCACGUCCCAACUUUAUAUAUAUAUAUAUAGAUAAUAUAUAUUAUUCCUGUCCUACAUUCACAUAUUUAAUUGUCCUUUUGAAAAUAUUCAUGAGUUAGGCCAAGUAAAGUCAAAGAAAUUGGGAAAAAGGAACAAAAGGACAAACCUAAAUUAAUUGAACCUAAUUCAUGAAAAUGCACACUUUUGUGUUGCGGACGGCGGACCCUAAAGCUUCGUUGUUUGCAGCUGCAAUUAAUUCUUUUCCUUCAAAAGUUAGAGGCUCGUGUUUACAGUGGGUCCCGAAUCGGACGUACCUAAUAAAUCUUUUAAAAAAAUUUGCCGUAUAAAGGACAGAGGUCAUUACUGAAAUUUCUCUUCCACGGGCAAUUACAGCAGCUUCAGUUAAUCAAACUCAAAUCAAUUUUCUUUCUUAACAAAAUAUUCCAAAGAUGUGUAGCAUUUUUCAGAUCACAUGCGAUGGUGCUUUUUUCAAUCGUUGCUUGGAUUGCUUUCUUGGAAAAGCAGCAUACAUACGUAACCUCCAAGAUAAUCUUGUAGCCUUGGACACUGAAUUGGGAAAUCUGAUCGCUAAAAAGAACGAUGUGAUGAGGAGGGUUGUCGAUGCUGAACGGCAACAAAUGAGAAGGCUGGACGGAGUGCAAGUGUGGGUUUCGAGGCUCGAUGCUGUUAAAACUGAAGCCGAUGAACUUAUCACAGACGGCUCUCGAGAAAUUGAAAAAUUAUGUGUUGGAGGCUACUGUUCCAAGAACUGCAGGUCAAGCUACAAAUUCGGAAAACAAGUGGCAAGAAAGCUACGAGAUGUGGAGACUUUAAUCGCCGAGGGAGUUUUUGAGUCGGUGGCUGAGAGAGCUCCGGAACCUGUGGCAGAUAAAAGACCCACUGAGCCAACAAUAGUAGGCUUGCAAUCACAGCUUGAACAAGUUUGGAGAUGUCUUCUUGUAGAAGAAUCAGCGGGAAUCAUUGGCCUAUAUGGUAUGGGCGGUGUUGGUAAAACCACACUGUUGACCCAUAUCAACAAUAAAUUUCUUGAGAGUCCCACCAACUUUGAUUGUGUGAUUUGGGUCGUAGUUUCAAAAGACCUGCGACUUGAAAAAAUUCAAGAAGAUAUUGGGAAGAAGAUAGGUCU
This 184908-nucleotide long non-coding RNA is filed under the name Citrus x clementina. RNAcentral describes it as "Citrus clementina (C. clementina) long non-coding RNA (CCLE_LNC001436)". The record is from RNAcentral. Lineage: Eukaryota; Viridiplantae; Streptophyta; Magnoliopsida; Sapindales; Rutaceae.